GUAAAUCAAUUACUAGGAAUGUAUCCUCACAUUAGGACGUGAAAGCCGUCAUUGUUUAACAUAGGGAGGGGAAAAAAAGGAAGAAAGAAAAGAACAGGUUUCCGAGUAAUUCUUAAAUAAUUUUAAUUUCAAUUUACAAAUAUAUCAUUUAUUUUAUUUUAUUUUUGGAGCACUGACUUGGAGCCUUCUGAAAUUGUAUCUAUCAAAAUUCGUUUUUGAUAUCUACCAGCUUAACUUCUAUUUCUAUUUACUCUCUUGUGCAGAUGGGCAUUGAUUGCUGGUAGGCUUCCGGGAAGAACUUCAAACGAUGUAAAGAAUUACUGGAACACCCACCUCAGCAAGAAGUUCUUUGGUAAAGCGGUUAAAGAUGUAGCUGACAAGACAGCCAAAGUCACCGUUAUCAAGCCUCGUCCUCGGACCUUCAAUAAGAACCUAUCUUAUUUAAAAGGAAAAGCAGCAAAAGAAAGUGAUGUCCAAUCAGCAGAUCAUACUCUUAGCAAACCAUAUUCAACGCCACCUCUGUCAGAGGAUGGAAUUUCAUGGUUGGACAGCUUAUUUUCUGGCAAGGAAGGCCAUAAAGAAAGCACAUGUUUCAGAAAUGGAUCAGGGAAGGAAUCCAUUUCAAGCUUCUGGGAUGAGGAAAUUUCAGCAGCUACGAAAGUAGGGGAGACUUUUGUUGAAGAGAACGAAAGUGACUGGAACCACUUCUCUUUCGAUAUGGACCUUUGGGAUCUUUUAAACGCGUGAUAGGAAACCAUAAUACAGUCAUGUCUUCAAGGUUAUCAAUGCUUUUUCCUUUCGCUAACUAAGAUAUGGCUGCAUGUCCAAUCAUAAAUUCGGAAAGAAUCUUAUCUAAAUUGCUUCAAUGUCGCCCUCUCCACGUUUCCAACCAAUUUCUAGUCAUUUAAUUUUUCAUGUGACUCAGGUCAGCACCAAAAACUUGUGGAUUUAAAUAAGUAUUAUGGUGAUCUGCUUUGUUAAUUAAUGUGAUGUUGCUGGUGUGCCUCCUUUUUAGGAAUUAAUUCCGUAUCUUUUAGAAAUAAAUAUUUAUUAUGAGCCGGUAUUAUAUUAUAUGUCAUGACACACAUCUUCAACUUUGCAACUCCAGGAUACUAGUAAGUUUUAUUGAUAAAACAUUAUUUUUUUCUUUUUUCUUUUUUUAUUAACUUGGAGCUAUGACGAUUGCAAAAAAACCUCCCAUGUUUCGAUAAGGAGUGAGUCUAUCUCCCUGUGCUUGUAUGAAAUAUGGGUAAUAUGGGUGUGACAAAGCAAUUUAAUAGGCAAUAAUACGAGUCUAGUCAUAUUUGGGAAGCUAGUCAACUUCCCCAAAUAUUAUACUUCCUCUAGGCGCAACCUGAUGUGUUUGGGUGAAGACUCUUGUAUCUUUCUUCCUUGUGUGGUUGUGCUUGUGCUUGUGCUUGUGUGCAGACCUUUUAUGCAGUGAGUCCUUUCACUACUACAAAAAUAGAAAAUCAUGAUGAUUUAAUUCUUGGGACUUUUAGAAAGUAUCAUUGUAUUCUUAUAAAAAGCGUCAAUGUUUGUUGUGGUUUUUUUUUUUAAUUCUAUGGCACUUAUCAGAAGUGUCAUUGUUUGAUGUGGCUUUUAUAAGUGGAACUAGGUAUACUAGGGCACUUUAUGACAGCGUCACAGUUGUGGUAUUUUACAAAGGUGCUUUUAUAUAUAUAUAUAUAUGUUCCAAAUAUAUAUACUAAAACAUUUGUCCCCUCUCUAUGAGCACUUGCCAAACAUUCCCUCCUCCGUUUUAGAACUCAACAUACCCCAAAACCUUGGAGCUUACCACUAAGAUCAACUAGUGAACAGUGACUGAAUGAUGAGUUGUCAAAAACCUACCAUUUAGCCAUUAUCACAUAUCCCCUUUUCCAUUUUCCUAAACCUCGAAUUUGCCAAUCGAAGUUGACCCUAUUUUGAACAGUUACCAAGUUUCCCCAUAAGCAUCAAUGCUCACCCCAGAUUGGAGCAUUUUAAGGAGAAACCAAUUGGUAUUUGUUAAUCAUAGGUAACCCAUGUGGUGAGAAACCCUUGCUUCAUCCAUUAUUAAGCUACCUUAGUGCUUUUCUCCAUUGGUCAUGUUGUUUCUGAAGAAGACCAGAUAUUGCAUGUACUUGCUGGAUUAAGCCCUGAAUACGAUUCAUUUUUUAUUUCUAUCACCACAAGAAUUGAACCUUCUAAGUUUGAGGACAUUCCUUCUCUGCUAAUGACACAUGAAACUAGACUAGAACAACAUGUUCAUAGAUCGAUUGAAAUCAAUUCUCUGGAUAUUAGCAUAGCCACGUCUAAUCCUAGUAGAACAACCCAUUUUGGACUUGGUAGAAGAUCUUCUCCAACUACAAUGCUUCAGGGAAGUCCCCAAUAGACAUAGUUUACCCCCAAUACAGGAGGAAGAUGAUCAAACCUUCCACCACAAUGUGGAAGAGGACGAAGCCAUGGCAGGAAUCAUGCAAACUCAAAACCACAAUGCCAAAUAUUUUACAAAAUAGGCCACACUGUUGCUCAGUGCUUCUACAGGUUUGAUCAAGAAUUUCAAGCCUCAACUUACACUACCAACAUCAAUCCAUGACUGCCAUGCUAGCCACUCCUGAGGUGGUAAGCGACCUUGGUUGGUUUCCAGGCUCCAGAGCUAUAAACCAUUGCACACCAACAGUUGGGCAACCCAACAAACAAAUCUACCUAUGAUGGUCCUGAUCAAGUCUACAUGGGUAAUGGAGAAGCUGAGUCAAUCUCUCACAUAGGAGAAGGUUUAAAACCCAAAAGUAAGUAUAUGAUUCAUGCAAAUGGUAAUUGAACUAUUGACUAUCCUAAAAUAUCAAAGAUAACCUUAAUGGAUAAGAAAUAACUUUCAAAGAAAAACAUAUCUACAAGAUAAAUAAAAAAUAAAAUGAAAAAUCCUAAAAUUCUCAAAUUCAAUAUGAUCAAUUAUGACUCGAAAAAUCACUAUUGCUAUGUUUCCUCUUGUAACUAGUAGUCAAUGAUGAUAAUCAACAUUGUUCAGACAUCCUUUACAAUUAGUAGUGCACUACCAAAAUCUACAUUGUCAAUUGCAUUAAAGCUUUUCCUAAGAGGAAAAUAGCAUGUAUCAUAUAAAACUCAAAAUAUAUAACUAAUAAAACCAAUCCAAAGUACAAAAUAUCGAUACAUGGAUAUAAUUAAAGAAAUGGUGCAAAACAAUGAUGCCAUUAUUCCAAGGUAUUAACUAUAUAUAAAUAUAUACAUAUCAAUGGGCUUCCCUUCACAGGUGUCUGAAAAACUAACCAUCCGACCUCCUAAUUAAAGUUGAAAUGGACUUCACUUCUGAGGAUGACAUCUCAGUGCUUUUAUAGGAGCAAAGAGAAAGCAAUGUUCCUAAGAAUCUGACUCAUGAAUUCAAGAACAAUGGUCCCCCCAGUUCUGGAAUUGAAUAGUACAUAUAUAUGCUUACCAUAACUUAACAGCAAUUACUAAGUUGAGCUUUAAGCAAUUAUAUUCAUCCACCUCCAAUAAUUCUACUUAUGGAACUUGGGGAAAUAACUUUGCUUGCAGUGCAGAGAAUCAUUUACAGAGUAGCGAGAGAGACUAUGGCAAGGGUUAGGAAGUCAGAAAUAACUUUGCUUGCAGUGCGAAGAAUCAUUUACAGAGUAGCGAGAGGGACUAUGGUAUGGCUUGGGAUGACUUCAUAUAUAAUUAUUCUCUCUCUCUCUCUCUCCUCUCUCUCAACUAAUAUGGAUGAAGAGCGUAUUUGGGAGUAGUUAUAAAAUUAAAGGGCUUUUAUUUGUAAUGUUUUUAUUAAUAACCAUUCCAUUUAAAACUUUGUGAGAAUCCUUUUUUUUAUUUUAAUAUAUGUAAAAAAAUAUUUUGAUAAUAUUUUUAUAAUGUAUUAUAUAAGGAAAAUUGAUUUUCUUUUUUUUUUGAAAAAUCACCGAUCAAGUUAAAUAAUUGCUUUCUCUAAAUUUUUAAAAGUAAACUUUAAAGAUUUACCAUAUGUCCAAUUUUUAUAAGAAAGUGAUUUUCAAAUGGGUUACAACAUUGCUUUGAUGAAUUAAUAGCAACUUCACUUAAAUAAUAAAAUCUUUUGAUAGCAUGUUAAGUUAGUGUAUUAAAUUAACAAUCUCCUUAAAUACAUAAAAUAUAAUAUACAAUAUUUUUAAUAUUCUUAGAAGUUCAAGGAAAUAUAAAUUGAUUAUCAAUGAAGGAAAUUAAAAAUGUAUUAUAUAGUAAACAAAAAUUAAUAAUGUAAUAAAUAAAACUUCGUAAUAUAAUAUAAUAUUGAGUAACUUUUUAUAACUUCUAUUUGUAUCGAUUCAAUCUUUUUUAAAAUCAUUAUAUAUUUGAUUUGAUUUGAUUUUUAUCUUUUAGAGCAUUAAGGUUUGAUACUGGCCGAGUUCCUUCAUUUUUAAAAGUCUUUUUAUCUUUUAUAAUUAAUAACCAUAUUUUAUUUUUUUAGAGUUUCUUAAGUUUUUAUCACAUCCAUAGUCUUUAAAUUUAUAAAUUACACAUGGACAAGUACCCAGUACAGAACGUACAUAAUACUUUUUACAAAUGAUUAAAUAUUCAAUUAGUGAUAAAUUAAUAAAUGUGUAAGGAUUUUGUUAUAAUCCUAUUAACAUAAUAAUGCCUCUUGUUUCCAAAAAUAUUAUUUUAUAAGGGUUUCAUUAGAGGAUCAUAUAGGUUCACGGACGAUGAGUCUUAGCUUAGCUUUGUUUAUUAUUUUAAAAUUACAUCUAGUUGCCUUUAUAAAACUAUAUUGGUACGUAGUAUUGAGGUGUUUAAUGAUUUAUGCAGAAUUUGGAGGUGUUUAAUGUUUCAGGCAGGGUAUUGAUUUUCUGUAUCGGUAUCAAUAGUUAUUUUAUAUACAUUUGUAAUUAUGUAAUGAAAUUAACUUUUUUAUGCAAAGAGAGAGAGAGAGAGAGAGAGCAUAAUUGUGAAAAAGGGAAUAGUAGUUGAGCUGAUUUGUACAUGGUCUUCUAAAUUCGCUAGGCCUUUUUUGUGGGGCCAACUAGUUGCCACUUGACGUUUAGACCAUUAUAGAGCUUUGCAGUUUCUAUGGAGCACAUCACUCAGAGAGAGAGAGAGAGAGAGAGCAUAAUUGUGAAAAAGGGAAUAGUGGUUGUUGAGCUGAUUUGUACAUAGUCUUCUAAAUUCGCUAGGCCUUUUUAGUGGGGCCAAUUAGUUGCCACUUGACGUUUAGACCAUUAUAGAGCUUUGCAGUUUCUAUGGAGCACAUCACUCCAACGGUUGCAAUACCUGAAGUAAACCACAAACUGCAGGAGAGGUUAGCUUGAUAAAGGGGCAUAUAUUAGUGAAGCAGAUAUUGCUCAGCAGUCAAUGCGAUGAUUUCUUCCAAUCAAUAAACCAAACCUGUCACUUUGUCCAAUCAGCGCUCCAAAUGGUCCCCAAACAGUGACAAAUCCUUCCCUGUCUCUCUCAAAAUGAGCCCACCUCUAGCUGUAAUGCUGUGAGUCGCACAUUUUGUUAUCAUUUCGUACAACGUGGUUAAUGGAUUGAUUGAUUGGAGGGCCGCUGUAUUUUGUCAUCUUAUGAACAAUAUCUUAUAUGAAUAUUUAACGUAGUACUUGCUUUGGAAGUUCAUCUUUCAGAAAGCAUCUUGCCCUUUUGUGGUGAUACUAGUUUUGGAAUUGGACGUUAACGUUUUGUUAUCAUUUCAACGACUCGUUGCAUGACUAAUAUUAAAUAAUAACAAUAACAGUAAAUAAUAUUAAGAAUACUAAUAUAUAUAUAUAUAUAUAUAUAUAUAUAAAAUACAUAUCUCAUGAUUACAUUAAAAAAUAAUAAAAUGUUCAAAUAACAACCACUAUAAAAAAACAUGAAAAAAUGGAAAAAAAAAAAACAAAAAUAUUAUAUUUUUUGUUUUUAUCCUUUUAACUCACCAUGAACCUUUUACCCAUUUACAAAGCUACCUCUCAUGCAUUGUAACUUACUUUUGAGACAAGGAACAACCAAUCAAUAAGGAGUUUGAUUGUUCGAGUAUGACUUCAUGAGGUCAUUCCCUAUUUCAUUCAACUACACCUAUAUCUUGCUUAUAGUCAAUUAUGUAUCAAAAUAGGUGGAUAUUAUUCUUUGCUACAUAAAUGAUCAUGGAGUGGUGCUACAAUUCUUAAAAAAGAACAUUUUCUCCAAAUUUGCAAUUCUAAGAGCAAUGAUCAAUGAUGGAGGAAGUCACUUCUAAAGCAAGCCAUUUUUCAUACUCUUACAAAGAUAUGGAGUCAAGCACAACGUUGCUAAACCCUAUCAUACUCAAAUUAGUGAUAAGGUAAAACUUGCUAACAGAGAGAUUAAGGGAAUUUUGAUGGACAUAAAUUUUAGCCGCAAGGAUUGGUCCUUCAAGCUAAAUGAUGUACUUUGGACAUACAAAAUAACUCACAAGACCAACCUUGGAUGUCUUCCCAUCGAGCCAUCUAUGGGAAGCCAUGCCACCUACUUGUGGAGAUUGAACAUAAGGCCUAUUAGGGCAUUAAAAAGUUGAAUUUUGAUUGGGAAAGAGUUGGAGGCAAUAAAAGGCUAAAACUGAAUGAGUUAAAAGCUCUAUGAAAUAAGGCUUAUGAAUUCAACAAAAGAGUUGAAUAAAAAUCUAAAUACCUCCAUGACAAGAUCAUACUUAUAAAAGAGUUCAAGGAGGGGCAAAGAGUGCCACUAUGACUCAAAAUUUCCUUUGUUCCCAAACAAGUUAAGGACUAGGUGGACUAGUUCGUAUAAGGUUAAGCAAGUUCAUCCAUGUGGAGUCAUCACUAUCAUUAAUCUAAGGUCUAGGAAUGAUUUUAAGGUGAAUGGGUAGAUACUGAAGGAGUUUAUGUAGAGGUUUUUACAGUGAUAUCACCUUUCUAGAGUACUUGUGAUCUUCAUCACAAGUUUGGUGAAUUUUCUUUUCUUUUUACUAACUCUUUUUAUUUGUUUAUUUUUUCUUUGUUCAUAUUUUAGUAUACCUUUUAUUUAGUUUUUAAUUACCUUAAUUUUUUUUCUUAGAAUUGUUUUUCUUUUGUUUUCUUUUGUUUUCUCUGUUUUUAAUUCACAAAUUGCUAGUUGUGCAUUCCAUAUUGAAUACGAGAAACCAGAGGAAGCCAUGAACUUCAUGAGUUAUGUGGCUGAAGUUUCAAGAGGAUGGGAUAAACCAAAUGCUAGAGAUAUGGGAAGAAUGAAGUCUCAACCUAAUGCUAAGGGUGAGAUGUAUAUUUUGAAUGAUGACAUGGACAUGAAGGCAAAGAUUGCAGCUAUGGCAAGGAGAUUGGAAGAGCUAGAAAUGAUGAAGAUGCAAGAAGUGCAAGCCAUCUCUCAAACACCAUUGCAAGCUAUGCCUUGUGCUAUUUGUCUAUCUUAUGAGCACUUGGUGGAAGAGUGUCCUACCAUUCCAACGGUGAGAGAAAUGUUUGGUGAUUGCAACACUUACAAUUCCAAUUGGAGGGACCAUCCAAAAUUCUCUUGGAAACCACAGCCACCUCAGUACAAGCAACCUGCUCAAGCACCAUAGCAAGCCUCAAACCUUGAUCAAGCUAUGGUGAAUCUUAGUAAGGUCGUGGGAGACUUAGUUGGAGCUCAAAAAUCCAUCAAUGCUCAGCUCAGUCAAAGAAUUGAUAGUGUGGAGAGUUCAUUGAACAAAAAGAUGGAUGGAGUGCAACAUGAUCUAUCUCAGAAGAUAGAUAAUCUCCAAUAUUCAUUCUCAAGGUUUGCCAACCUCAACAAAGUGCAAGAAAAAUGAAACUUUCCUUCUCAACCUCAUCAAAAUUCCAAGGGUAUCCAUCAAGUGGAGGCUCAAAAGGGAGAAUCUUCAAUGGUGAAGGAAGUUAAAACGGUUAUCACUUUGAGGAGUGAUAAAGAGGUUGAUCUGCCCACAUCCAAGCUAGAGCAUAAGGUAGAGAGUGAAACAGAGAAAGAAAAGAGGGAGGAAAUCAAAGGAAAGAAAAAAGGGAAAAGUACAGAGAAAGAUGGCUAUGAUGUUAAUGUAGAUGAUGGCUAUGAUGUUAAUGUAGAUGAAGAUCCACAGAAGAUAGUCAUCAAGGAAGAAAUGAUGAAGAAUCACAUGCCUCCACCUUUCCCCCAAGCUUUGUAUAGCAAAAUCACACAAAACAAGCCUCAAGUGAGGGAUGCAAACUUCAUAUGGGAUCCGGGCAAGCUAAAUCAGGAUCAAAUUUUUUGAUGGACUUAGUCUUUUUAAAGACUAGCUAGUCCAUAUCUUUUUGUUUUAUUUUAUUACUUGUUUUAAUUUUGAUUUCAAUGCUUUAAUUUUGAUUUUAAUGCUUUAAUUUUAAUUUGUUUUGAUGUAAUAUAGGUUUUUGAAUGAUCAAAAUCAAGAGGAAUGUCAAAAGAGGUGAAAGAAGAAAAUUGGGAAUCAAGAGGAGCUCAAAAGCAAGGAGAGAGCAUGGCCUGCGAAAUUUCGCAGCAAAAGUGAGCCGCUGCAAAAAUCACCUCUCACUGCGAAAUGGUUUCACAGCCGUCCAUCAUUCUCUGCGAAAAUUUUUGCAGCUGCGAAGAGGUCCCUUGGCACACGAGUGCCAUUUCGCAGCCAAGUACACCCGUUUCGCAGCUGCGAAAUGGCUGUGAAUUUUCCAUGCUUGGAGAUCCACCAUUUCGCAGCCGAGGAGCCAUUUCGAAGGGUGUUUCGCAGCUGCGAAACCACCCUUUGGCACAUGAGUACCAUUUCACAGCCCCGUACACUCAUUUCAUAGCUGCGAAAUGGUUGCGAAAUCUCCACACCUUAAAAUCCUUCAACGAGCACACCAUGAGCUGACAUGUUGCAGCCACACCCCCAUUGGACACAUUUCGAUCACUUCCUGAAGUUCAUUUCAUUCAUACCAUAUGUUGUUUCAAAUCUUGGGAAGCCAGGAGUCCAGAUCUUCAAACGGUGCUCAAUUUGGAGUUGAAACGAAGAAGUUAUGGCCAUUUGAAGACGAGCGCGCAAACCAUGAAAGGAAAUGUUGCAGCCGCACUCACAUUGGACACAUUUUGGAGUAAUUCAUGGAGCUCAAAUUAUGCAUACUAUAUCUCGUUUCAAAGCUCGAGAAGUCGAGAGUCCAUCAUUUCAAACGGUGUAUGAUUUGGAGUUGAAACGAAGAAGUUAUGGCCGUUUGAAGAUGACUGUGCAAACAAUGAGCUGAAAUGUCACAGCCAUACCCCCAUUUAGCUACUGUUGGACACAUUUUUGAAGCACUUCCUUGAGCUCAAAUUAUGUAUACUAUAUCUUGUUUCGAAGCUCGGGAAUUCAAAAGUCCAAUGCUUCAAACGGUACAUGAUUUGGAUUUGAAACGAAGAAGUUAUGGCCGUUUGAAGACGAUCGCGGAAAGCACCAGUGGGAAUUUCGCAGCCGCGCCCCCAUUUCGAAGGGUGUUUCGCAGCUACAAAACCACCCUUUGGCACACAACUGCCACUUCGCAGCAUCGUAGGCCCAUUUCGCAGCUACGAAAUGGGCUGCGAAAAUUCCCCUCCUCCGCGAAAUCCACCCCCCGCUGCAAAAAUGCUCCAAGCUUCAAAAUGGCUACGAUAAUGCUCCAGGCAUCAAAAUGGGCUGCAAAAUUCCCAUUUGGCUGCAAAAUGUUUUUGCAGCCCCAUAGCUACCUCAUGUGAAAUGACCUCCAAGCUUCAAAAUGGCUGUGAAAUGAUUUCCAAACUUUAAAAUGGGCUGCGAAAAUGUUUCUAUUUUUUCCAUGGGUUGCGAAAAUGUUUUUCUUUUUUCCCUUUGGCUGCAAAAUGAUCUCCAAGCUACGAAAUGAUUUGCAAAACACUUUGUGAAGCCAAGGGAACUUACGAAAUUUCCAACAGAGCCUUUCAACCAUGCAUCUAAAGAGGAGAGCCCUCUCACUGAGAUCACACACAUGAAGUCUCUCAUUCCAUUUCUUACCUCCUUAAACCAUCAAAGCCCAUAGCUCCAACCUAGAGCUCCAGUUGAGGAGACUAUGCCACUUAAGGAGACUACCAAAACAGAGGUCAAAGUCCUGAUCCAACCCAUUCAGGAGGCCACCACAGAGGCAUCAGCUCCACAGGACCCUACCAUUACUUGAUCAUCUCUUUACUUUUGUCUUUACAUAUUAUAUUAGUAUAAAUAAUUCCAUGUUUUGAUGUUUUAUAUUCUAGGAUUGGAUGUAUUACUGAUGAUACAUCAUAUAUAGACAUCAUUUUUGUUUAAACUUGGCAUUUUUCUAUUUCCUCUACUCAUUAACUCUUAUGUUUUCUUUGAAACAUGUGGUUUCUCCUAUACGACUCAGACUCCAUGUCACUCAGGAGGUACCACUUCCUCCCUAUUUUUCAAUCGUUUUUGUCACAUUGAGGACAAUGUUCAGCUCGGUUGGGGGGAAAGUUGAGGAAGGAAGUUUUGUUAUUAAUGCUAAGUUAUUUUGAUAAUUUAGUUAUUUUUUUGCUUAAUUUUUUAAAAUUUUUAAAGUUUUAAUUCUACUCUCCAUGGUUAUUAAGGAAAAAUUUUCAAAAUGAAAUGGGAGAAAUUGAAUUUUUAUCUUUUUACUUGACUUAGAGUUUGUAUUAUGCUUACUAAAGUUGAUGAAUUGGUGAAACUUCUAGUGAGUUCAACCUUAGUUCUUCCACUUUAAGCUAUUCACACACUGUGCACAAUAGGUUCCGAUUAUAAGAUGAGAAACUAUUUCCUUCUUGACUUAGGAAAAUUUAGACUUGGUACCUUUGACCUCAUUUAAUAGUGUUGGGACACCUUAUAAAAGGCCAAUGAGUCUUUGAAAAAAAAAAAAAAUGUUUGCUUGCCUUGAAACUCGAGCAAGGUCUAAGGGGUAUAUGGUGAAAAUCUUUAAAAUCUGGUGCCCUAAGCCUUAUUGGGAGUCAUCGACCUCAAUGCUCGUUACAAGGGUGAAUAGGUGGAGUUUAACAUACUGUAGGUGCUUGGGUAUUAAAAUUUCAUUCUCAAAAGUCCGGGGUAAAAUCCAAGGAGUUAGUGGUUGAAAGAUCCUUAAAGCUUAAUGCCCUAAACCUUAAUAGGUUGGGAGUCAUCGAUGGACCCCCGUUACAUGGACAAUUUAGAAAAGAAUACCUUUAGCCUUGUACUCUUACAAUGAAAAAAAAUUGUGAGAAAAGAGUUGCGGUCUUAACCUAUUGGAGGUUGAUCAGUUUGUUAAGCUUUGAAAAAGAAAUAGGUUGGGGGGAGGGAUUAGUUCAACAUACUAUAUUCGGAAGCUAAUAAAUAACACUUAGAUUUUUGUGGAAGAGUAAGGAUUGACCCUUUGGGAGUGGAAACUCUUUUAAAGCUUAAAUUUGCAUAAUGCCUUCUCUUUAAGAAUUGUCAUUAGACAAGUUAUUUGAUAACUCUUGUUGAAGUUUGAGUUUUAUUUCUUUAAUGUUCCAUGUGAGAGUUAUAUCAUCAUGUCACUUGAAAAUUGUUUUUUGAUCAGCAUGAUGUUGUAAAUUAUAGUAUUGUUUAUUUUUAUUUUUCUCUCAUUCAUUGCUAAGGGACUAGCAAUAUGUCGGUUGGGGGGAGUUGAUAACCCGACUCUUGGUAGCUUGGCAUGUAAGGGUAUCAACAAAAUUUAUACCUAACGUCCUUACACUAAAGUAGCAAAGCUACUAUAGCAUAGUGGCUCUAGGAUCGAACACUGGGAAGGGUUUUUACUUUAACUGGUGAAGUUCGGAGGAUGGAGUGAACUUUUCUUAAUAAAAAUUAGGUUAAGAUGAAAACAUAUAAAGAUGAAGGUGUUGUACUAAACUAACAUGAAAAUAGGUUAAAAGAUGGAAAAAGAAGUUUCUCAAAGCUUUGGAUAGCCAUGCUUAACUCACUGUGUAAAAAUGGAGAUUUUGGAACUUUUCACCUCGAGUUGGGGAAGCAACUAAGGUGAUGCUUACUUCCCGAACCGGUAUGUGUUUAACAACUGAGUUUUAGUCCUUCAAAACUUACAAAAAGGGUAGCUGAACCUCAUAAAUGCUCUUUUAAUGAUAUAGGUCAUCUCCUCGACUUGCAAUACAAUGGCUCGUAGGAGAUAACUAAUGAACGUCAGUGGAUCUAACAAUAAGAAUCCACUGAGACCAAAAGGUUAUCAAGUAUUGGCCAUUCAAAGCAAGUCAGAGGGAUUAAAAGCUUUACUUUGAAUGAAAACAUUUAUGAUGCUCAACUACUUACAUUUAUGGCUUGGAAAUCUCCAUCCUGACACGGGAGCUUCACAUGGCAUCCAUUACUUCAAGAAACUAAAAGGUUUUAGCCUCUCAUCCUUGGGGAUUUCAUCCUCCAAGGAUGUUUGGCUACUAAGAAAAUAGAAAAUAGUAGAGAGAAAAAGAAAGCAAAAGAUAUUAUGUAUUUAGCUAAGUGUAAAAUUUUACAAAAGAUGGUCUCCUGGGGAAAGUUCCCCGACGUUUUAAAGUGAAAAUUACAAAACAAUACAUAUCAGGUUGUUUACCCCUGCAUCCUUGCUCAACAACUAAGGAAUCAUCUAAUUGGUGGAUUACAAGGAGAGAAUUGGCAUUUAGACAACAAAUAUCUCAGGCAAAAUAACAAAAAAACGAUGGUCGCAAAUAUCUGGAAGCACUCGGGAGAAUUUCGCAGGCGCACAAAAUGGCUGCGAAAUUUCGCAGAUGAACAAGAUGGCUGCGAAAUCAUUUCGCAGCCGAAGGCUGAUUUCGCAGCCAAAGGCUGAUUUCGCAGCCCUGCGAAAUUGGCCUUCAGCUUGGAGUGAUCUGCUUCCAUUGGCUCUAACUUCUUCAUUUCAACUCCGAUUUGCGAACCGUUUGAAGCAUUGGAUUGUUGACUUCCCGAUCUUCGAAACGACAUAAGGUAUGCAUAAAUUGGACUUCAGGAAGUACUCCAAAAGUGGCUGAAAUGACUGUCAUCAAGAAUGCUUCAAGGUGGAUUCUCUCUUUACUUCUCCUCCUUGCAAUCCGGAUUGGUUAUGGCAAAGGACUUUAAGGCUUCAAAUCUCUGAUUCUUCAUGUUCCUGAGCUUUCUAUUGCUUUACCAUGGAUUCCAAAUAACUCUCCUCCAUCUUGGAUUGCUUUGNNNNNNNNNNNNNNNNNNNNNNNNNNNNNNNNNNNNNNNNNNNNNNNNNNNNNNNNNNNNNNNNNNNNNNNNNNNNNNNNNNNNNNNNNNNNNNNNNNNNGAGUAGGGAAAAACUUUCUUCAAAAAUCAGCUUGAAGUUCUGUCCAUGUUCUUAUGCUUCUCGGCCUCAAGGGAAUUGAGCCAUAUCUUGGCUUUGUCCUUUAAUGUGAAUGGAAAGAGCUUCAACCUCAUAAGCUCAAUAGCUGUUCCCCCUUCUUGAAAAGUAUUGCACACAUCUUCGAAUUCCUUUAUGUGUGCAUAUGGAUUUUCACUUUCCAUCCCAUGGAAAGUAGGAAGCAGAGGCACGAUGUGUGGCCUAAUAAUCAAUUGCUCUGUAGGAGGAAUGAUGCAAGAUGGUGCACUCAUCCUCGGAGGGUGCAUCCUGUCCCUCAUGGACCUAUACAAGUUCGGAUCAUUCCCCUGCCCGUGUUGUGAAUGUUGAUCCUCUGGCUGAUUCUCCAUGACUUCUAAAAUAAUCUCCAAUUCAAUAGCUCGUGGAGUCUCUAUCCGCACUAACCUUCCCUUUUGGUCUCUAAUCCAAUAGGGCAUGCACGGAUUCAGCUGGAACAAAGUAAACAAACAAAACAAAGAGAAAGAAGAAAAAAACAGAGCACGCGGAAGGAAAAACAGAGUAUGAAAAAUAAACUAAAAAUGAAAGUUAAAAGCUAAAAGAAACUUAUCUAAACUAAGUUAAAAAUGUUCUAAAACUAAAAUAAAAGGUUAAUAAAUGAAAAAUGAGAUAGAAUUCACCUUACUCAUGAGAAGUCUCACAAGUUACCUCCGGCUGAUAUAUUCAUAGUGAAGUAGCACCUUCCCCGGCAACGGCGCCAUUUGAUAACCCGACUCUUGGUAGCUUGGCAUGUAAGGGUAUCAACAAAAUUUAUACCUAACGUCCUUACACUAAAGUAGCAAAGCUACUAUAGCAUAGUGGCUCUAGGAUCGAACACUGGGAAGGGUUUUUACUUUAACUGGUGAAGUUCGGAGGAUGGAGUGAACUUUUCUUAAUAAAAAUUAGGUUAAGAUGAAAACAUAUAAAGAUGAAGGUGUUGUACUAAACUAACAUGAAAAUAGGUUAAAAGAUGGAAAAAGAAGUUUCUCAAAGCUUUGGAUAGCCAUGCUUAACUCACUGUGUAAAAAUGGAGAUUUUGGAACUUUUCACCUCGAGUNNNNNNNNNNNNNNNNNNNNNNNNNNNNNNNNNNNNNNNNNNNNNNNNNNNNNNNNNNNNNNNNNNNNNNNNNNNNNNNNNNNNNNNNNNNNNNNNNNNNAGUGGCAUGACCGAUAUCAAAACACAUCUCACAUGGUGAACUAAAGAUAUGAAGAUUCAAAAUGCAAUAGGAGUUGUCAAAGCUAAAAACUUAAACAAAAAGUACAAAGAGUGGAGAUUAUGCAAUUAAGUGUCAAAAGAAUCUCUACUCUCAAGGCUCCAAAUCAAACUCUUCCAUAAUGAGCUAAGUGUUAACGAGAUUAGGCUCCGGAUAUAGUAUAUACAACUAUCCUCACCCUCCGACCUAAGCUUUUCUCGAACAAAGGCAAAAUUAACCAACUCUUAAUAGGUUAGGAACGCACCUUCUUAUUCACAAUUCUUUUUACUCACUAAACUUUAACCAAUUCACCUAUGUAGCAAGCAGAGGAUCGAUGACUCCCAACCAAUCAAGGUUUAGGGCAUCGGGUUUUAAAGGCUUUCGCCACCCCUUCGGAUCAUGCUUAGGUUUCAAGGAAAGAAUAGAAGCUUAUUCUUUUUUUCUUUUUCUUUUUCUCUUUUCUAUUUCUUUUUCUCUUUUUCUUUUUCUUUUUCUCUUUUUCUUUUUCUAAGACUCAUUGGCCUUUUUGAGGUGUCCCAACACUAUUAAAAAGAGGUUAAGUAAUGAACCAAGUCAAAAUUUUCCUAAGCUUAGAAGGCGAGAAGUUUUACAUCAUAUACCCGGGAUCUAAUGUGCACUGUGUGUGUAAAGCUUGAAAUGGAAGAAAUAAGUUCGAAAACAAAGAGAGUUUUAAUAGAUUAUCAACUUUGAGAGCAUAAAACAAACUCAAAGACUUAAAUAAUUAAGUUAAAACUCGACUUAUCCUAUUUUAUUUUUGAGAAAUUAUCUUUAACAACCAUAGAGAAAAAUUUUUAAAAUUAAACAAAAGUAACCUAAAUUACCAAAAAAUUUAGUAUUAACAAAAAUAAUAAUAAAAAAAAAAACUUCCUUCCUCAACUGUCUCCCCCCAACCAAGCUGAGCAUUGUCCUCAAUGUGGUAUGAGCGAUUGAAAUUACAGGGAGGGAGUGGUGCCUCCUGAGUGGAUGUAAUUUGAGUAGACAAGGAGAAACCACAUGUUUCAAAAAGAAAAUAGAUAUGAGUAGAGGAAUAAAAAUAAAAUAAUACCAAGAGUAUGCAAAAAAAUGAUAGAGUUGUAUUACUUCAUGAAAGUACAUUAAAGAUGAUAACAAGUAAUACAACCAAUCCCAAAAUAUAUCAUAACAAAAGCAUGGGAUUGCAAGUGCUACUAUAAUAAGAAAGUGCAUAAAGAAAAUACAUAAAGUAAACUAUGGAAAUGAUCAAGUAGAUGGGUGCUGAUGAUGUGAAGAUAAUGACUCAGGUGGAUGUCUGUGUGUCUCCUGGAGUCGGCUCUGUGGGCUCUAAGGGGGCAGGCAUCUGGUGCUGAGGAGCUGAUGGGAUACCCAGAUGGCUCUGAAUCUGCCUCAGAAUGGCAGUAUGCUGAGUCUGAGUAGCAAUAAUUUGCUCCUGAUGAGCACGAAGAGCUGCCAUCUCCUGAGUAAGAGUGCUCUGUGAAGUGGUCAAUGUCUGCAAAGUGUGACAUAGAGCUCUGUACUCGGAAAUGGAUAUGGUAGUCCUCGGCUCUGCUGAAGAGGAGGGCUGUGAUGUGGCUGAAAAAACAGGGGAAGGCUGUGGUGUGGCAGGAGAAGCAGAGGGAGCAACCUCAGGUAUGGGCUCUGCGGAGGGCACUGCAGGGGCAGGUGCUCUCGUGUCAGCUGGUGUCUCAAUGGGCUGUAGCUCCUGUGGCUGCUCUGCAUGUGGAAUCUCUGGAUGCUCUACUCCAACUGGGGCCCCUGGCUCUGCACUAUAGGCUGUCAUAUUCGUCCAUUUGUCAAGAGUGAAUAUCUCUCGACAAAUCCGUUUGCGCUCAAAUUGAGGCUCAGUUGGGUAGCCCAAGUGUUCCAAAAUCUGACANNNNNNNNNNNNNNNNNNNNNNNNNNNNNNNNNNNNNNNNNNNNNNNNNNNNNNNNNNNNNNNNNNNNNNNNNNNNNNNNNNNNNNNNNNNNNNNNNNNNGCAAUGGAAAGCUCAGAAACAUGAAGAACCAAAGUAUUGAAGCUUUAAAGUCCUUUGCCAUAAGCAAAUCCAGAAUGCAAGGAGGGGAAGCAAAGAGAAAUCUGCCAUGAAGCAUUCUAGAUGACAAUCAUGUCAGCCAUUUUUGAAGCACUUCCUGGAGUUCAAUUUAUGCAUGCUAUAUGUCGUUUCGAAGCUUAGGAAGUCAACAAUCCAAUGCUUCAAACGGUGCAUGAUUCGGAGUUGAAAUGAAGGAGUUACAGCCAUUGGAAGCUGAUCACUCCAAGUUGAAGGCGAAUUUCACACAGCUGCGAAAUCAGCCUUUGGCUGCGAAAAUGUUGUCCUUUUGCUGCGAAAUUUCACAGCCCUCUUGCUGUGGAAUUUCUCCCGAAGCUUCCUGAUAUUUGCGACCAACAUUUUGAGAUUUUUUGCUUUAGAUAUUUGAUGUCUAAAUCCCCAAACUCUCCUUGUAACCCACCUAUCAUAAGAUUCCUUAGUCUUUAAGCAAGAACAAAGGGUGAAUAACCUCUUAUAUAUAGUUUGUAAUUUUCUUUACAUAAAAAAUCGAAUCUCUCGGGAGCUUGUUCUUAGAGACAACCUUUUGUAUAAGUAAGAAAUAUAUUUUACAGAGCACUUGCUCUGUUUUUCCUAUAUAUUUUUGUUUUCGUGUUAUUUUUCUUUCUAGCCAAUCAAACUCUGAGGAUGUUUUCUCAAAGGAUGAGAGGCUAGGCUCUUUGUCUCUUAGAGUGAAGAAAUCCGGGUAAGUUUCCUCAUGCAUAAAUUGGAAGUUUUGUUGUUUUAGUUUUUAAUGAAGAGAAAGUGUGACCCGUUAAUGGUUUUUAUCUUUUUAGCUAACUUAAAACGCCUUUUAAUCACCUGGGCCAACACUUGAUAAGGCAAGUGGUCUCCGUCCAUUGAGAUACACUAGUUUAUCUCUUGCGAGCCUUUGGGAGGUGGUUUGAAGGUAGGAUUUUCUAGAAUAGCCAACACUUGGUAAGCUUUUGGACUCUAAGGAGACAUCCAUUAGUUAUCUCUUGCGAGUUUUUGACGGGUAAUCCAAGGUUAAAGAUCACCUUGAAUGGCAAAUGCUAGGUGAGAGGCAUGAGCCAUUGCAAGGUGCAUCAGUGAGAGGGAAUUAGUGUUUAAACCCAUUAAGGGGAAGCAUUUGUACCACACUGAUUAGAGAAUUAACUAUAUGUUAAUUCUCUAAUGCGAGGAAAAGAAACAAGUGACCGGAACUCCCUUUUUGUUCAAGGAAUCUGAGCCUAGUGAUCUGAAACUCCAAGAAACAUUUUUCUUUGUAAUUAAAAUCAGUUACUAUUAUUUUUGGUUAGCUUAAAACCAAUCCUUGUUCAAACAUCUUUAUGUUUUCUUUUAAAGCUAACCUUGAAAUGAAAAUGCACCAAUUCAGCUUUGAAUUAAUAUUAAUUGUGGAGUGAAAACCCAUCCCAAUGAACGACCCUAGAGCCACUAUGCUAUGCUAGCUAAGGCUAUCCUAGUACAUGGUGUAAUAGGUUAUAAAUUUUGUUGAUUACUCCCUAAGGACCAAAAUCAAGGGACACCAGCUGGACACGAAUCAAAUGGCACCACUGUUAGGGACCAUUGAGAGGACAUGAAUCAACUGAGACACCAAUUGGGAACGUGUCAGAAUCUUAUAUCUAAGCUAUGAAAGCAAUAUUAACUUUAUAAAAAAAAUGAUCUUUAGGAUUAAAGCAUUAACCUUUAGGUUUGGAUGUUCCCAAACCUUAAAUUCCAAGUGUUGAAGAAUUAACAUCCUCAGAAGUUUCAUAGACCCAUGAUCUUCUGCACGACGACUCUUCCUUGAUCUUAGCACACUUUCGAUAAGGGGAGAGAAAUAGUGGAGACUAUGACUCUCUUUCUCUAGAGGUGGAAGAAAAAUUUAUGGAAAAGGUAUGGAAACCUUAACCUCUAAAGAGGUAUUUAUAGGGUUCCCUAGUGGGCUUAAGUGAGCUCACUAAGGGCUUAGGCCACUUAAUCUAGUUCAAAACAGGUCCUAAUUUAUUAAUAACCAAACAAAAUUAAUCACUUAUGUAGAGAACCUAGUAGAUCCCUUUACAAAGACUUUAUUUACUAAAGUCCUUGAUCAUCAUAAGGAUAGCUUAGGUGUCAAAUGUGUUCCUAGCAUGCUUUAGGACAUGUGGGAGUUUGUUGGGAUUGAGCCUUGGAAAGCAUGACAUGAUGUAACAGAUUGAGAUUCAUUCAUAAAUUUAUUUAUUUAUGUUUCUUGGUUUCCAUUUAUUAUUUCUUUUCCAUUAAUUGGUUAUUUGAGCAUACACGCCCCACAUCACUUGCAUUGUACAUGACUUGAGUGCAUUAGAAGUUGUAUAGAAGAACCAAGUUAUUGAUUUCUUGUAGUGUGAUGAGUUGUCCACAAUUAGUUCAUAGAUUUGGGCAAUCCAUUGCGAUUGUAGUACACAACCUCCUAAUUUGAGGGAUGACUUGUCUUGGUCAUUGGAUGGUUUUCCCAUGGUGAGUGCACUAGUGAAUGUGAUGCAUGUUGGACAUGACCUACAGUAAAUCAAGAUGUAAGGUUAUCAAUUGUCAUGAUUCACCAAGCUACUAUACUGCAUGGACUCACAACCUUGAGAGGAUAUUGAGCCUAUACCAAAGUCAACAUGAGACUUUGACCUAUGGGUGAGAACCUAAAGUAGUCAUAUAUCCCUAUGGAUUGGGUCACUAUUGAUGGAGGCUGAUGACAAUAGUUAUUCUCAAUAGAGGCACCAUGAUAUCUCAUGGAUUGAGAUCAUGUGUCCCCUUAGGUGAUCUAAAAAACAUGUGAUCUAGAAGAUUAUGACCAUAACAUUUCUUUUAGUGGAAAUUUGACAUAUGCUUAUUGGAGCUAGAGUAUGUCAAUUGAUCAUAUAAUUAGUAGGAUCUAUAACUCAAGGAUUAGAGAGGUAAUCUUGAUAGGUGAUAACACUACCUUGUUAGAUUAUGGAUAUUAGUUCAUGGGGAGUCUAGAUGCAAUGGAUAGUGGGUCAUAGACUUGAGCUUCGUCUCAUUGUUAUUUACAUAAGAUAUUAGAGUGCAACUGAUUCUUUUUAGUGGAAUGUUGAAUCAACUUCAGAAUUUGAUUUGAAGAAAGCUAGUCCUCUUAUAAGUUCUAUUGGUCCUUGCUUUGAGCUCAUAUACCAUGAUGACACGAUUUAUGAGAGUUGGAUUGGUUCUUGGUUCACUCGUAUGUAUAAGGGUAUUUUGGUAAUUAUGCAAGGUUACACAAGGAAUAGUGAAUAAGUUCUUUGGAUUGAGCUAAUUGAUUAAUUAGAUGACCUUGUGUGGUUAAUAAAUCAAUUAGAACCCACUUUGGGAUAGAUUAAGUGACCUAAGCCUUAUUGAGCUCAAGUCACUUAAGCUUAGUAAGGGAACCCUAUAAAUACCAUCUUAGGGGCUAGGGUUUUCAUAACCUUUUUGAGAGACAAUUGUCUUCCACCUCCAAAAAGAGAGAGCCUAGGAUUCCUCCCUUCUUAAUCCCACACUUUGGAGUGUCAAGAUCAUGGUUUGUGUUAUCGGGUGGAAGAUCUUCGGUGUACAAGACAUCCAGAUUCUUUGUUCUUCAUCUUCAUAGAGUGGAAUUGAUUUGGGAACAUCCAAAUCAAAGCUAAAGUUUUCUAAUGGCUUUUCUCUAGGCCCUACAUUGGUAAAAAUAUGAUAUUUACUUUUGUUGCAUUGGAUCUAGAGCCCUAAGGUAGUUUUGCAUGCACAUAUAUGAUACAAGGUAAAAGAAUUGAGCAAUCCAAGGUUCCUAGUAAGAUCAUAGUGGUAUGCCUAGUAAGUUUGAUUUUUUCCAUUGGAGUACAUGAUUACAUCCCAAUUAUGUGCAUUAGGGAGUCCAUUGCAAAAUAGAGAAGUGGAAAGAAGAUAUCAAACUUGGAUAAACAUAGUGAGAUUGAUGAUUUUUUUUUUAACACUUCUCAUAUUCUUUUGGAGAUAUGUCUUAGAGAUUGUGUUUUACUUAAUUUGUAUUAAGAGAUAUAUUAGUUUAUGGGAUAUCUAAAAAGAUUUUUGGGUUAUUACCUUUAUAAUCAGGAUUAUCAAAAGAUAUUUGUUGGCACAAAUGUAAGAUUUUUUUAUGAAGACUAUAUGAUAAGGAAUGAGUCAAAGAGUGAUAUAAAUUAGAAUACACUAGAAGAUAGUCUCAUAUUGCAUAGGAUAACUAUGGAUGUAGAGGGUUAAAGAUGUUGGGAUUGAGCCCCUAAAAACAAGACAUGAAGUAACAUAGUUAAACUUAACUAUCCCCUUGUUAUCCCUUUGGUGUAUUACAUUGAUUUGAGCAUUCAACCUAUGUCUCUUACAUUGUACAUGAUUUGACUGCAUUAAGAGUUGCAUAAAAGAUACAAGUCAUGGGUUCCUUGUAAGUAGAUAAGUUGUUUAUAGUUGGUUCAUGGAUUUGGGCAAUCUAGUAGAGACUGUAGUGUACCACCUCCUAAUUGGAGGGAUGACUUGUCUCAACUGUCGGGAUGAGUUUCUCAUGAUGAAUGCACUACUACAUGUGAUGCACACUAGACAGGAUUUACGGUGAAUCAUAAAGUAAGGCUAUUAAUUGUCAUGACUUGAGAGGAUAUUGAGUAUGUGCGAAAGUCAAUAAGAGGCUUUGACUUAUGGGUGAGAUCCUAAAGUGGUUAUAUAUCCCUAAGAAUUGGGUUACUAUUGAUGAAGGUUGGUGGCAAUGGGUAUUUUCAAUAGAGGCAUCAUGAUAUCUCAUGAGAUUAAGACAGUGUGUCCCCUUGAGUGAUCCAAAGGACAUGUGAUCAUGAAAUCUAUGGCAAUAGUAAUUUCUUUAGUAGAAUUCAACAUAUGCUCUAUGGAGCUAGAGUAUGUCAUUAGAUCACAUAAUAAGUGGGAUCUAUAAUUCAAGAAUUUGAGAGACAAUCUUGAUAGGCAAUAACACUACCUUGUUAGAUUACAAACACCACUUCAUAGAGAGUUUGCAUGUAGUGGAUAGUAGGUCACGAACUCGAGCAUUUGGUGUCCUGUUGUAAUAUACAUAGGGUAUUAGAGUGCGGUUGACUUUCUAUAAUGGGAUGUUAAGUCAUUUUCAGAAUUUGAUUUUGAGGAAACCAGUACUCCUAUGGGUCCCAAUGGUCCCCGUUCUGAGCUCAUAUUCUUUGAUGACACGGUUUAUGAGGAUUGAAUGAGUUUUUAUUUUACUUUUGUGCAUAAAGGUGUUUUAAUAAUUACACAAGGUUGCAUAGGGAUAUCUUUGAAUUGGGUUAAUUGAUUAAUUAGGACAUUGUAUGGUUAAUUAAUCAAUUAACAACCAUUUUGGGUUAUAUUACGUGACCCAAGGCCAUAGUGGGCUUAAGUCAUUUAAGCCUAGUAGGAAGCCUAUAAAAACCCUUUUAGCGGUUAGGGUUUCCAUGUCUUACCAUUCUCCCCUUUAGUUUAGAGCGAAAACCCUAGCCUCCACUCUUGCACCAUCUCAAUGCCUAGACAUAAGGAAGAGUCAUCAGAUGAAAGAUCUUGGGUGUACGAGAAGCGUCCUAGAAUUGAAUCACACAGGCUACAUACAUGAGAAUCGUAGGCGAUGUGCACAGGUCAUGUUCAAGAGAAUUGCACGGGACACACACAUGAGUAGCAGCAUGAGGAGAGGUUCUCCAAUUUUUCUAGGCAUGUUCUUCACCAUAAGGAAUGAUUUAGGAACAUCCAAAUCUAGGUAUGAACACUUUUUCUCUAGAUCUUUAUCCUAAUAUGGUUUUUAAAGCCAUUAUUUUCCAUUGCCUUAGAUCUAGAGAGCCCUACGGAUAGAUGUAUGAAACCAAUGAGAUCCAGGGCAUGGGAACAAAGUAAUCUAGGGUUCCCAACAAAAGACAUACUAUUCCUAUGAUUUCUAGUACACCAAUACCUCAUCAUAAUGGAAGGUCUAUGUCACAUAGAUUAUGAUGAAGCGGUGAGCAAUUUUUAUGUUCAUCCUUGGCAAGGAGCUAUGAAAGGAUAAUUGGAAUCUUUCUAUAUAUGAUGAUGCACAUGCACAAAAGCAACACAACCAAGCACUUUAAGGAGUAAAUCAAAGAUUAAUUAUGACUUUGGAAAACAUUCUUUAAGUCUUUUUAAUGGAGUCUAAAAAUUCAAAAAUUCUUAAAGGCAUUUUAUUUAUUAGAUAAGUGGUAGUAAGUAUAGCUUCCCCCCAUAAGUAUUUAGGUACUUUAGCUAUAAACAUUAAAGACCUAGCUACUUCAAGGAGGAGUUUAUUUUUUCUUUCUACUACUCCAUUGUAUUGUGGAGUGUCAUUACAAAAGCUUCGAUGAAUUAUUCCCUUUCCAAAAAAUAUGUUCCCAAGAUCUUUUUGAAGUAUUCUUUUCCAUUGUCACUCCUAAACACUUCAAUUUUUUUUAAACUAUGUUUCAACCAUAUUAUAAAAAUUCUUAAAAACAUGUUCAAUCUCUUAUUUUUCUUUAAGUAAACAAACCCAACAAAUUCUUGUAUGGUCAUCAGUUAGUGUCAAAAAUAAUUUUUUCUAAGAAAUUGUAUGAGUUUUAUAUGGUCCCCAAAUAUCACUAUGAAUACGAGUAAAGGGUUUGGAUGACUUAUAGGGUUGCAUUGGAAAUGAUGCACAAUGAUGUUUUCAAUUUGACAAAUAUCACAUUGAAGAACAAAUGGAUUUUUAUUCUUGAACAAUUUGGGAAAUAAGUACUUUAAAUGCUGAAAAUUAGGAUGGCCUAACCUAUAAUGCCACAACAUUAUUUCAUUAUCACUAGAAACACAGAAUGAUUUCAGACUAGUCAUUUGAGCUUGUCUGCAUAGGUUACCUCCAUCUUCAAAGUAAUAGAGUCCAUUAUUUUCCUUAGCAUUGCCAAUUUUCCUUUCCAAGUCCACAUCUUGGAAUUCACAAUGAGUUGAAGGAAAUUUAGUACAACACUUUAGGUCUCGGGUUAGUUUGGUAACAGAUAAGAUUGUAAGAAAGAUUUGAAACAUGAAGGACAUUGUGAAGAACAAGGAAUUUUGAAUAGCUAUUAAGCCUUUUCUAGCAAUUGUUGAAAAAGAACCAUUGAUUAUCUUGAUUUUUUGAUUCCUUGCACACAAACUAUAGGAAGAAAAUAAUUUAGAAUUCUCUAUCAUGUGAUCCAUUGUACUGGAGUCAAUGAUUCAUAGACACUUUGAAAUUGAAGACAUUUUAAAUGAAAUAGCUUGAAGGAAUCACCUUUGUGGGCUAAAGAACAAGAGAAAGACAUUUUUUUUUUUGAGAAGUUUGUCAAUUUGAAAAGCUUAUUUAGUUGAUGUAACUAUUCUUAUUGAAAGAAUGUGUCUCAAUGGUCCCUUCUGCACCAUUUUGCUCCUCAACUUCAACUUGGAAGGUUUUUUAAUAACAGUUGGCUUGGUUGGUCUAGUUGGAUGACCCCGACUUUUGGUUUUGUGGCUUCCCAUGUAGAUCCUAACAGGUCUCUUUGUAUGCCAAAGUUUAUUGCAAUGCUCACAUAGGACCUUCUCAUUCCUUAUAUUUUGUCAUGGCUAUCCAAAAUGAGUAAAUGAAUUUGCCUUUGAUACCAAAGAAGAAACCUCGGGUAGGGACUGAUUAUUCUCUCCUAUCAUUUCCUUCCUUUGACCUUUGGCCACUUCAUCAAAUAUUUCAUGGAGAGAUGACAAAGGGGUUUUCUACCCAAAAUUCUGCCCCUAACUUCAUCUAGGUUUUUAUUAAGACCUUCCAAGAAUGCGAAUACUCUAUCAUUCUCCACUCUCUUCACAUGUCUCACAUUUUUAGUUGGACAAUCUCAUUCCUCUUGAUAACAUAAAUCCAAUUCUUACUACAACCCUUUCAUGGCUUUAUAACUUUGACACCUCUCGCUCGCGUUGUUUUGAGUGUCACAACUUUGUUUUCAAUUAAAAAAUUUGGGCAGAAUUUUCCAAAUCCUAAUAAGUUUCUCGAAGUGCUUCUCACAAAUCUCUAGCUAUUGGUAGGAAGAGAUCCUUCUUUCCAAUGGAUAGAUCCAUGGAAUUGAUAAGCCAGGCAAUAACUAGUGAGUUUUCGGACCUCCAUGUCCUCAGCGUGGGAUUGUUAUCAGUUGGUUUUGUUGUCUCCCUAUUUAAGUGGCUGAACUUCCCUUUGUCAUCAAUCACAAGCUUAAUUGAUUGUGCCCACUCCAGAUAGUUUUUACCAUUCAAUUUGUGAAUUAAUUGAAUAGAUGGGUUUCAAAUCCAUUAAGACUUACGAUAGAUACUAAUGGUAUGCCUCUUGCAACAAUACUUGAAGAUGCAGAGCUUCUAUUUGCUCCAAUCAUGGCUAUUUUAAUCAUCAAGAUUUUUGUUAAUAUAGAGCCAAACUUUGAUACCAUCACAUGGGAAUAAAUAACCUGAAACACAAAAACCACAAAUCUAGGAGCUAACGACUUGAACAAUCUAACAACUUUGACUUGAAUUUAUUGGAAAAUAAAACAUAGACUUUAACAAAUAAUCCUAGUAUUUCUACAUUUUAUAUCCAUUUGAUUAAUUGAAUAAUCAAUAUGUUAAAACUAUUGGGCCAUGGAUCCUUAAUUGAUUGAAUUUUCAUGUUUACAUGGUUAGAAGAUUUGUGUUCUUUAUAUUUACUUGAAAGAAAAUUACUAGAGUUAAAGUUUCAUCUUCUAUAUCUGUGUUUGUCUGGCCUUGGCAGUUUUAUAUAUCUGAUAAAAUCUGUAAAACUUACAUAUUUCAUGAUAGUUGUUGCACCAACAUAUAUUUAAUGGUCAACAAAUUUCAUACAUGAUUUAUUAGAUUUUGUUGUCUCACCAACCAGAUUUAUAGUGAAGUCCUAUUCUACAUUUGGUCUUUUUUAAGCUUAAAGUAUUUGCUUUCUUAUAAAGGAAAAGGUUAAAGUGUGUGUUUUAUUUCUUGAGAAAAUGAGAUUUUGUUGUGCUUCAUUUUGAUUUUAUCAUUUUCUUAUUUUUGUCUUCAUUUUUAUUGUUCUUGGGUGAUGAUUCUACUGACAUGUUGAUGAGUCCAUAUUAAGAGGAAAUGAAAAAUAAAUAAACAAGAAGUUUGUUGGUUGUCAAAGCAAAGGUGUAGGAUCAUAUCUCUGUAGUUGUGUUGCUGAAUUUGGUGCCAAAAAUUGGUUAAAAUGUUGAGAGUUCUUGCAAAGUUGCGAAUCUACAAAUUGAUAAGAGAAUCUUGCAGGUAUCAUCAUUGUUACCACUCUUUGUUAUGGUGUCUUAAAACUAUUUCCAACUUAACCAAUCCAGUUGAGAGAAUCCCAUUUGAAAAACUUGAAACCAUUGAUGAUCAUUCUUUCAAGUUUCAUUAGUUUAACCAAAUCUUACAGGAAUGCACUGAUGCUAGUGAUCUUCAAAUUGGCAUGUCAGUAAAAUUGAAUAUUAAUGGGUUUUCUUCAUAUGGAAAAAUGACUUGGUUUGUGCCUUAAAUUGGGUCUUAUUCAUUAUGCUCAUCAACUGUUUGAUACAAUGCCUCUCAGAGAUGUUUCUUUUAAUACAAUGAUUUAUGUUUCUGUCUAUAAUAAUUGUGAUGCUCUUGAAUUAGUGGGUCUUUAUUCCAAAAUGAAAAAAUAUGCUAAGCCCAACCAUAUCAUGUUUAUUGGGUUAAUUGGUGCUUGUUGUCAUAGGAUGCUUCAAAUGAGCCUCCCUAGGGGUUAUAUAAAGCCUAGGAAGCUUCUAGAUACUUCUACACUUAGCCAUUGGUGGGAAGAGUGUGGAAGGUUCUAGAGAUUCCUAGAGAUGUUCACAUCUCUACAUUAUGGUGGAAGGCAUGAGAGGAGUCAAAGGCUUUCUAGAGAAUUCUAGGGAUUUCUAGAGAUUUCUUGUAUAUUCUUGUACAUAGGCUUGUAUAUAAAAUUGUGUAAGAGGUUCUAGAUUGUUCUUGAGUUGUAAGGAACCCUCCAAGGUUUUAGAGAGUUCCAUUGGUGCCUAUAAAUAGGUGAGGGCCUCAUUUGGCCAAGGUACCAAGGAAGUGAGUUCUAAAGCACUUGUAAAACUUCAUUUGAGCAAUAAAAGCUUCAAUUCUUUAAGAGUUGCCUACUAUGCUUUCUAAAGAUUCCAAGUCAUGAUCAUAUUGGUCUAACAAGCUAAGCAUCGAGACUAAGGCUAACUUAGCAAGAUUAAGGGUUUGGCUUGUCUAAGUGCUGCACGAGUUUAGGAAAAGACUAAGGUGGUGUUUGUUUUUUGGCUGAAUAAAAAAGCUAAAAUAUUUGGUUUUUUUUAUUCAGCUAAAAGUAACUUGUUGAUAUCAUCCAACAUAACUAAAAUGAACUUAUUAUCCAUAGGUUCAAUUUAGUUAUGUUGGACAUGUUACUUUUAGCUGAAUAGAAAAAGGCAAAUAUUUUGACUUUUUCUAUUCAGCCAAAAAACAAACACCACCUAAGUUCGUGACAAUUGGUAUUAGAGCGUAGCUACAAAGGGGGCAUAGUAAAGGAAGUAGUUCGGGCUCUAAUAUGGAGGAGACUAGUGAGCAAACCCAUGGGAGGGGAGACUGAGCCUACUACAUGGGGCAGGGGUAGGAAGGAUAGAUCUUAUGAUGCCAUAGCCAACAUAGAGGCAAGGUUAGCCAAGGUGAAGCUAGCCAUGGCAGACACCUUGGAAGAGGUGGCCUUGAUUAACCAAGGCAUGGAAAAGGGCUUAGAGGAUCUAAGUGAUUACUACUCAAAAAGUGCUAUUUCAUAGCUUGUAAUUCACUCUUUUAAACACUUUUGAGUAGUAGUUAUUGCCUUUUAACCCAAUUAACAUAUUAAGGACCUUUGCAAGCACUUCUAAUCAAUUUGUGUUAAGUUUUGGUGUUUUGAUAGCUUUUUGAUCACCAAAGCAAUAUGAGAUUGAGGAGAGUUAUUUGGAAUCCAUGGCAAAGAAAUGGAAAGCUCAGAAACAUGAAGAACCAAAGCUUUGAAGUCCUUUUCCAUAAGCAAAUCCGGAAUGCAAGGAGGGGAAGUAAAGAGAAAUCUGCCAUGAAACAUUUUUUAUGACAGUCAUGUCAGCCACUUUUGGAGCACUUUCUGAAGUCUAAUUUAUGCAUGCUAUAUGCCGUUUCAAAUCUUAGGAAGUCAGCAAUCCAAUACAUCAAACGGUGCGCAAUUCGGAGCUGAAAUGGAGUUACAGCUGUUGGAAGCCGAACACCGCAAGCUGAAAGCCAACUUCGCAGCGCUGCGAAAUCAGCCUUUUGUUGCGAAGUGAUUUCGCAGCCCUUUUUGUGUGUCUGCGAAAUCUCGCAGACCUCGUUUCCACCUGCGAAAUGGUCCUUAGUGCUUCCCGAUAUUUACGACCGACACUUUGAGAUAUUUUUCUUCAGAUUUUUGUUGUCUAAAUCCCCAAACUCUCCUUGUAAGCCACCAAUUAUAGGAUUCCUUAGCUAUUAAGUUAGGAAAAAGGGUAAAUAUCCAUGUAAUAAUUAUUAUUGUAAUUUUCAUUUAAAUAGCUCUCGAGGGCCUGUUCUAACAGGAGGACGACGCAUCCUUUGUACAGUUUUGGGAAGGAAGUAAAAUACAGAGCACUUGCUCUGCUUUUCAUAUAUAUUUUUGUUUUCUCGUUCUUUUUAUUUCUAGCCAAUCAAACUCUGAGCAUUUUUCCUCAGAGGAUGAGAGGCUAGGCUCUUCAUCUCUUGGAGUGAAGAAAUCCGGGUAAGUUUCCACAUGCAUAAAUUGGAAGUUUUGUUGUUUUAGUUUUUAAUGAAGAGAAAGUGUGACCCGUUAAUGGUUUUUAUCUUUUUAGUUAACUUAAAACGCCUUUAAAUCACCUGGACCAACACUUGGUAAGGCAAGUGAUCUCCGUCCAUUGAGAUGCACUAGUUUAUCUCUUGCGAGCCUUUGGGAGGUGGUUUGAAGGUAGGAUUUUCUAGAAUAGCCAACACUUGGUAAGCUUUUGGACUUUAAGGAGACAUCCAUUAGUUAUCUCUUGCGAGCUUUUGACGGGUAAUCCAAGGUUAAAGAUCACCUUGAAUGGUAAAUGCUAGGUGAGAGGCAUGAGCCAUUGCAAGAUGCAUCAGUGAGAGGGAUUUAGUGUUUGAACCCAUUAAUGGGAAGCAUCUGUACCACACCGGUUAGAGAAUUAACUAUACGUUAAUUCUCUAAUGCGAGGAAAAGAAACAAGUGACCGGAACUCCCUUUUUGUAUAAGGAACCUGAGCCUACUGAUCUAAACUCCAAGAAACACUUUUCUUUGUAAGUAAAAUCAGUUACUAUUUUUGGUUAGUUUAAAACCAAACCUUUUUCACUCAAACAUCUUUAUGUUUCUUUUAAAGCUAACCUUGAAAUGAAAAGGCACCAAUUCAGCCCUUGAAUUAAUAUCAAUUGUGAAGUGAAAAUCCAUCCCAGUGAACGACCCUAGAGCCACUAUGCUAUGCUAGCUAAGGCUAUCCUAGUACAUGGUGUAAUAGGUUAUAAAUUUUGUUGAUUACUCCUUGAGGACCAAAAUCAAGGGACACCAGCUGGACAUGAAUCAGUUGAGACACCAAUUGGGAACGAAUAACUAAGGGAGCAUAUCCAAGACCUUUGUGAGGGGAUGCUAGGCUCACAAGUUCAGCCGAUGUUACACGGGGAGUUCAUGUCCUUCUAAGACAAGGUCAUGAGCAUGUUUGCUAACAUAGAGUCAAGGAUAGAGGCCUUAGCUGCAUGCAUGGAGGCCUGAGACUAGGAGGUUCAAUAAGAACUGGCCAUCUACAAGACUGUCGUUGCAGCACGAGUCAUGGUCACUCAUGAGGCACCAAGGGUGGAAGUGCCCAAGCCACACACGUUCAGUUGCAAGAGAGAUGCCAAUGAGCUAGAUAACUUCUUUUGGCACAUGGAGUGCUACUUUGAGGCUAUCUCACUAAGAGAUGAAGCCAUUGAGGUACACACAGAUGCCUUAAACUUCACUAUUGGAGGAGUUCUGAUGCAAGAUACACAUCUGAUCGUCUUUCAGAGUCGCAAGCUAAAUGACAUGGAGAGGCGCUACAUGGUGCAAGAAAAAGAGAUGACCGCCAUCGUCUAUUACUUACGCACCUAGAGGCACUACCUUUUAGGGUCUUACUUCAUAGUGAAGACCAGUAAUGUUGCCACUAGCAACUUUCAAACCUAAAAGCAGCUAAGUCCUAAGCAAGCUAGGUGGCAAGACUUCCUGGCUGAGUUCAACUAUACUCUAGAGUAUAAGCCAGGAAGCGCUAAUCAUGUGGCCGACACCCUAAGCUGUAAAACAGAGCUAGCAUCCAUGAUGAGUCAGCCCUAAUGGGACAUAAUAGAUCUUUUAAGGGAAGGGCUGCAACAUGAUUUAGUGGCUAAGAGCCUCAUUGCCUUGGCCCAUGAUUGGAAAGCUAAGUAGUUUUGGGUGGAUGACGACCUAUUUUACACUAAGGGGAGAUAACUCUAUGUGCCUAAGUGAGGGAACAUAAGGCGGAACCUGAUUAAGGAAUGCCAUGAUACCAAGUGGGUUGGGAACCUUCGACAAUGACACACAAGGGCACUACUCAAGUUAGCUUACUAUUGGCCUCAAAUAUGAGAUGAAGUUGAGGCCUAUUGAUUCGUGCCCAAUUGGUGUCUCAGCUGAUUCGUGUCCAGCUGGUGCUCCUUGAUUGAGGGAUUAAUCAACAAAAUUUAUAACAAAUUACACCAUAUACUAGGGUAGCAAAGACAAAGCUACUAUAGCAUAGUGGCUCUAGGAUCGUUCACUGGGAUGGGUUUUCACUUCACAAAUGAUGUUAAUUCAAAGUUGAAUUGGUGCCUUUUCAUUUCAAGGUUAGCUUUAAAAGAAAACAUAAAGAUGUUUGAAUGAAAAAGGAUUGGUUUUAAGCUAACCAAAAAUAGUAACUGAUUUUACUUACAAAGAAAAGUAUUUCUUGGAGUUUCAGAUCACUAGGCUCAGAUUUCUCAUACAAAAAGGGAGUUCCGGUCACUUGUUUCUUUUCCUCGUAUUAGAGAAUUAACAUAUAGUUCCUUCUCCAACCGGUAUUGUACAGAUGCUUCCCAUUAAUGGGUUCAAACACUAAAUCCCUCUCACUGAUGCACCUUGCAAUGGCUCAUACCUCUCACCUAGCACUUGCCAUUCAAGGUGAUCUUUAACUUUGGACUUCCCUUCUUAAGCUCGCAAGAGAUAACUAAUGGAUGUCUCCUUGGAGUCCAAAAGCUUACCAAGUGUUGGCAAUUCCAGAAAAUCCUACCUUCAAACCACCUCCCAAAGGCUCGCAAGGGGUAAACUAGUGAAUCUCCAUGGACGGAGAUCACUUGCCUUACCAAGUGUUGGCCCAGGUGAUUUAAAGGCAUUUUAAGUUAACUAAAAAGAUAAAAACCAUUAACGGGUCACACUUUCUCUUCAUUAAAAACUAAAACAACAAAACUUCCAAUUUAUGCAUGUGGAAACUUACCCGGAUUUCCUCACUCCAAGAGACAAAAAGCUUAGCCUCUCAUCCUCUGAGGAAAAAUCCUCAGAGUUUGGUUGGCUAGAAAUAAAAAAGAAAUGAAAAAUGAAAGAGAAGGAAAAACAGAGCAAGGCUCUGUAUAUUCUAUAUAUUGAUCGAUGGAUUACAUGAUUCUAUAUUACAUGAUCUCCCCAGAACAAGCUCCCGAGAGCUAUAUAUAAAGAAAAUUACAAAACAAAAAUAUCUGAGGUUAUUCGCCCAUUUUCCAAACUUAAUAACUAAGGAAUCUUAUGGUUGGUGGAUUACAAGGAGAAGAAUGGAAAUUUAUACAAAAAUAUCUAAAGAAAAAUAUCCCAAAGUGUCGGUUGCAAAUAUCGGGAAGCAUUAAGGACCAUUUCGUUGGUGAAAACGAGGUUUACGAGAUUUCGCAGACGCACAAAAAGGGCUGCGAAAUCACUUCGCAGCAAAAGGUUAUUCUUGCAGGGCUGCGAAGUUGGAUUUCAUCUUGAGGUGCUCAGCUUCCAACUUGCGGCAUAUAUCGGGCAACUUCAGGAGGGAAUCCACAACACUGUAAAAAAAGGUUGUGAAAUCAUUUCGCAACAAAAGGGUGAUUCCGCAACACUUUUGCAAAAUGCUUUCUUCAGCUUAGAGUGAUUGACUUGAAGUGGCUAUAACUUCUUCGUUUCAACUCUAAAUUGUGAACCGUUUGAAGCAUUGGAUUUUUGACUUCCUAAGCUUUAAAAUGGUAUAUAGCAUGUACAAAAUGGACUUCGGAAAGUGCUCCAAAAGUGCGCAAGAAGACUGCAGCUGCUGUCCUCUGUUUUCUUCACUCUGUUUUCCUCUCUCCAGUGCUCUUUCCUUGCAUACUUUGAACGACUAAGGCAAAGGGCUAUGGAGCUCCAAAGCUUGGUUCUUCAUGAAUUUGAUCUUCCAAAAGCUUUGCCAUGAACUAUAUAUAGCUCUCCCUCAUUCUUAAAUUGAUUUGGUGAUCAAAAAGCUAUCAAAACACCAAAACUUAACACAAUUUGAUUAGAAUUGAUUGCAAGGGUCCUUAACAUGUUAAUUGGGUUAAAAGGCAAUAACUACUACUCAAAAGUGUUUAAAAGAGUUAAUUACAAGCUAUGAAAUAGCACUUUUUGAGUAGUAAUCACUCCGCCCAACCGACAUAUUGCUAGUCCCUUAGCAAUGAAGGAGAGAAAAAUAAAAAUAAACAAUACUAUAAUUUACAACAUCAUGCUGAUCAAAAAAUAAUUUUCAAGUGGCAUGAUGAUCUAACUCUCACAUGGAACAUUAAAGAAAUAAAACUCAAACUUCAACAAGAGUUAUCAAAUAACUUUUCUAAUCAUAAUUCUUAAAGAGAAGGCAUUAUGCAAAUUUAAGCUUUAAAAUCAUUUCCACUUCCAAAGGAUCAAACCUUACUCUUCCACAAAAAUCUAAGUGUUAUUUAUUAGCUUCCGAAUAUAGUAUGUUGAACUAAUCUCUCCCCCCAACCUAGUUCUUUUUCAAAGCUUAGCAAACUAAUCAACCUCCAAUAGGCUAAGAACGCACCUCUUUUUUCACAAUUUUUUUCAUUAUAGGAGUACAAGGCUUAAAGGUAUUCUUUUUUUUUUAAUUGUCCAUGUAACAGGGGUCCAUCGAUGACUCCCAACCAAUUAAGGUUUAGGGCAUCAAGCUUUAAGGAUCUUUCAACCACUAACUCCUCGAAUUUUACCCCGGACUUUUGAGAAUGAAUUUUAAUACCCAAGCACCUACAGUAUGUUAAACUCCACCUAUUCACCCUUGUAAUGAGCAUUGAGGUCGGUGACUCCCAACCAAUGAAGGCUUAGGGCACCAGGUUUUAAAGAUUUUCACCAUAUACCCCUCAGACCUUGCUCGGGUUUCAAGGCAAGCAAACAUUUUUUCUUUCUUUCUUUUUUCUCUUCAAAGACUCAUUGGCCUUUUAUAAGGUGUCCCAACACUAUUAAAUGAGGUCAAAGGUACCAAGUCUAAAAUUUUCCUAAGUCAAGAGGGAAAUAGUUUUUCAUCUUAUACUCGGAACCUAUUGUGCACAGUGUGUGGAUAGCUUAAAGUGGAAGAACUAAGGUUGACUUCAAUAGAAGUUUCAACAAUUCAUCAAAUUUAAUAAGCAUAAUACAAAAUCUAAGUCAAGUAAAAAGACAAAAAUUCAAUUUCUCCAAUUUUAGUUUGAAAAUUUUUCCUUAAUAACCAUGGAGAGUAGAAUAAAAACUUUUAAAAAUUUUAAAAAUUAAGCAAAAAACAACUAAAUUACCAAAAUAACUUAGCAUUAUUAACAAUACUUACUUCCUCAACUCUCCCCCCAACCAAGCUGAACAUUGUCCUCAAUGUGACAAAAGCGAUUGAAAAAUAGGGAGGAAGUGGUAUCUCUUGAGUGACAUGGAGUCUGAGUCGUUGAUGCGACUCAUGGUAGCUUAGCUUUAAAGGCGUAUCAACAAAAUUUAUACCUUGAAUACUAUUACUAAAGUAGCCAAGCUACUAUAGCAUAGUGGUUCUAGGAUCGUUCACUGGGAAGGGUUUUCGCAAACACAAGUGAUAUUCAAAUUGGGAAAAUAGGUGAUUUUCUUAUGGAUGUUAGCUUUAAAAGAAGAUGUAAAUGUUUUAGAAAGAAUUAAACUAAUCUAAUCUAACAUUAAAGACUAAAAUGAAAGGGUGUAAAAACAAGUUUCUCAAAGAUAGGAUAGCUAUGCUCAGGCUCUUAUGCAAAUUGAUAGGCUCCUCGCGUUGGGGUUGCAACUAUGGUGAUGCUUGCUUCCCGAACCGGUAUGGAUUUAGCAAAUCAAGUUUUAAUCCUUUAAAAUGACAGAUGGUAGUGAAUUUCAUCAAUGGUUAUUCACCUUAGACUUCCUUUGAAUGGCUCGUAAGAGAUAACUAAUGGUCUAAAGCCAAAAGCUUACCAAAUAUUGGCAACUCAAAGUCAUUCCAGGUGAUAAACUUACCUUUCAAUGGCCCUUGAAAUUGGUUCUAACGGAUUAAUGCAAAACUUGGAAUUGAAAACCUCACCUUCCAAUAGCUCGUAGGAGAUAACUAAUGGAUAGAAAUCCAAAAGCUUAUCAAGUAUUGGCCGUUGGAAGUUGUCCAAAGGAAAUAAAAACCAAACUUUGCAUUAAUGAACCUUUAAUGAAAAACGACUACCUUACCUUCCGGGUGCGAGAAAUUUCCAUGGGAUUGCAUCCAAGCCAUCACAUAACAUCCAUACUUUGAGAAACUAAAAGUUUUAGCCAAUCAUCCUCUAAGGAAAAACCCUCAGAGGCUGUUUGGCUACUAAGAAAAUAGAAAUGGGGAAGAACAGGAGAAACGAGAGAGCUCUGUGAAAUAUUCUAAAUGUUAAACGUAAUAUCUAUUCUAUAUUCUCCAAGAGGUGAUUUCCACCCCUUAUAUAGUCUUUACAAAAGCAAAAGCUUGUGAUUGGUUAGUUACAAGGAUAAGAAAGGAAAUUACAUCACAAAAUACAAAGGAAAAUAUCUAAAGUGGAGUCGGCAAAAGCAGAGGAAAAUUCGCAACACGCAUGGGUUAUGCGAAUUUUGAAGGUGUUAUGCGAAAUUUUCGCAUAACCUGGAGCAGUUGGCUUCCGAAGGCCAUAUCUUCCUCAUUUCAGCUCCAAAUCGUACACGGUUUGAAGCGUUGGAUUCUUAACUUCUAGAGCUUUGAAAUGGUAUAUAGCAUGUAAAAAAUGGACUUCGGGAAAUGCUCCAAAAGUCCGAUAUAAUACUGAAGCUGCUGUCCUCUGUUUUCCUCUUCUCCAUUGUUCUUUCCUUGCAUACUUUGAACGACUUUGGCAAAGGGCUAUGGAGCUCCAAAGCUUGGUUCUUCAUGAAUUUGAGCUUCCAAAAGCUUUGCCAUAACUUGUCCAAGUAGCUCCUCCAUCAUUUGGCAUGCUUGAAUUGAUUCAUAAGCUGAUAAAAACAUGUAAACUUGCCACAAAAUGGUUAAAACCAAUUACUAAGGACCUUAAUGAAUUAAUUGGGUUAAAUGAAUAUGAUUACUACUCAAAGGUGCUUAAAACCAUUAUAAUUAGGUCUAAAAAAUAGCACUUUUUGGUAGUAAUCAGUCGUAUAGGAGAAACCACAUGUUUCAAAGAAAGCAUAAGAGUUAGUGAGUAGAGGAAAUAGAAAAAUGCCAAGUUUAAACAAAAAAAUGAUGUCUAUAUAUGAUGUAUCAUCAGUAAUACAUCCAAACCCAGAAUAUAAGACAUCAAAACAAGGAGCUAUGUAUACUAAUAUAAUAUGUAAAGACCAAAAAAUAAAGAGAUGAUCAAGUAAUGGUAAGGUCCUGUGGAGCUUAUGCGUCUGUGGUAGCCUCUUGAAUGGGUUGGAUCAGGACUUUGGCCUCUGUUCUGGUAGUCUCCUUAGGUGGCAUAGUCUCCUCAACUGGAGCUCUCAGUUGGUAGCUAUGGGAUUUGAUGGUUUAAGGAGGUUAGAAAUGGAGUGAGAGACUUUGUGUGUGUGAUCCCAAGGUGCGCGGGGCUCUCCUCUUCAGAUGCAUGGUUGUGAGGCUCUGUUGGCAUUUUAGCAACUUCCCUUGGCUUUGCAAGGUGUUUUUGCAAACCUUCCUCCAUUUCGCAAGUCAAUUUCGCAAUUUGAAGGCCAUUUCGAUGCUUGGAGGUGAUUUCGCAGCCAUUUCGAAGUUUGGAGAUCAUUUCACAGCCAUUUCAAAGCUUGGAGAUCAUUUCAUAGCCAUUUCGCAGCUCAAAAGUGAUUUCGCAGCCCAAAAUUGAUUUCGCAGCUCAAAGGUGAUUUCGCAGCUGUAUCGCAACUUUGAAAUGAUGGGAAUUGUGUUGAAAAUGGCACUCGUGUGCCAAAAAGUGGUUUCGUAGCUGCGAAACACCCUUCCAAAUGGUGUCUCGGCUGCGAAAUUCUCGCUCAACUUUGCGCGCUUGUCUUCAAAUGACCAUAACUUCUUUGUUUCAACUCCAAAUUGUGCACCGUUUGAAGAUUUGGACUCCUGACUUCCCAAGAUUUGAAACAAGAUAUGGUAUGUAUAAUUUUAACUCCAGGAAGUGCUUCAAAAAUGUGUCCAACAGUAGCAAAAUGGAGGUGCGACAUUUCUGCUCAUGGUUUGCACAGUCAUCUUCAAAUGGCCAUAACUUUUCCGUUUCAAAUCCAAAUUGAGCACCGUUUAAAGCUAUGGACUCCUAACUUCCCAAGAUUUGAAACGAGAUAUUGCAUGCACAAUUUGAACUUCGGAAAGUGAUCGAGAUGUGUCCAACAACUGCCGAAAUGGGGGUGCGGCUGUGACAUGUCUGUUCAUGGUGUGCACGCUGAAGGAUUUUAAGGUGUUGAGGUUUCGCAGCCAUUUCGCAGCUGCGAAAUGAGUGUACGAGGCUUCAAAAUGGCACUCGUGUGCCAAAAAGUGGCUUCGCAACUUCGAAAUACCCUGCGAAAUGGAGCUUUGGCUGUGGAAUUUUUUUUUUUUUUUUUUUGGAUUUUGCAGCCAUUUCGCAGCUGCAAAAUGAGAUUCACUAUGCUGCAAAAUGGCACUCGUGUGCCAGAAUCGGCUUCGCAACUUCGAAAUACCCUGCGAAAUGGAGCUUUCCCUACGAAAUGGAGGAUUUCAUGCUUUGGUGGUUCGCAGCUGCGAAAUGGGGGCUUCUGUGUUGCGAAGUGGCACUCGUGUGCCAUUCUUGGAUUCGCAGCUGCGAAAAUUUUCGCAGAGGAGUCAAAUGUGUUGCGAAAUGGUUUCACAGCAAAGUGCCGAUUUCACAGAGGCUGCGAAAUCUCGCAGACCCCUGUUUUUUCCCUGUUUUUCCCCUGUUUUUGCCCUGUUUUUGCUCUAUUUUCACUCCGAUUUUGCUCCGAAAGACUUCCUUCAAUUUCUUUGCAAUUCCUCUUGAUUUUGAUCAUCCAAAAACCUAUAUUACAUAUAAAAAAAAAAACUAGAAUUAAAGCAUUGAAAUCAAAAUUAAAGCAUUGAAAUCAAAUUUAAAACAAGUAAAAAACAAAACAAAAAGAUAUGGACUAGCUAAUCUUUAAAAAGACUAAGUCCAUCAAAAAAUUUGAUCCUGUGGUUUAGCUUUCCCGGAUCCCAUAUGAAGUUUGCAUCUCUGGCUUUAGACUUGCUUUGUAAGAUCUUGCCAUACAAAGCUUGGAGGAAAGAUGGAGGCAUGUGUUUCAUCAUUUCUUCCUUAAUGACUAUCCUCUGUGGUUUUUCAUCUAUAUCAAAAUCAUAGUCAUCUUUCUCUAUGCUUUUCCCCUUUUUCUUUCCUUUGAUUUUCUCCCUCUUUUCUUUCUCUGUUUCACUCUCUACCUUAUGCUCUAGCUUGCAUGUGGGCAGAUCAACCUCUUUACCACUCCUCAGAGUGAUCACUUCUUUGACUUCCCUCUUUUGUGAAGAUUCUCCCUCCUUAGCCUCCAUUUCAUGGAUAGUCAUGGAAUUUUGAUAAGGUUGAGAAGGAGAGUUUUCUUUCUCUUGCACUGUGUUGAGGUUGGCCAACCUUGAGAUUGAAUCUUGGAGAAUAUCUAACUUCUGAGAUAGAUCAUUUUGCACUUCAUCCAUCCUUUUAAUCAAUGAACUCUCUACACUGUCAAUUCUUUGAUUGAUUUGAGCAUUGGUGGCUUCUUGCUUUCCAACAAAAUCUCCCACGAACUUGCUAAGAUUCACCAUAGCUUGUUCAAGGAUCGAGGCUUGCGGAAGUGCUUGAACAUGUUGCUUGUACUGAGGCGGCUGUGGUUUCCAAGAGAAAUUUGGAUGGUCCCUCCAAUUGGAAUUGUAGGUGUUGCAAUCACCAAACAUUUCCCUCUCGGCUGGAAUGGUAGGACACUCAUCCACCAAGUGCUCAUAUGAUCGACAAAUGGAACAGGGCAUAGGUUGCAAUGGUGUUAGAGAGAUGGUUUGCACUUCUUGCAUUUGGUUCAUUUCUAGCUCUUCCAAUCUCCUUUCCAUAGCUGCAAUCUUUGCCUUCAUGUUCAUACCAUCAUUCAAAAUAUACAUCUCACCCUUAGCUUUAGGUUGAGACGUCAUUCUUCCCAUAUCUCUAGCAUUUGGUUCACCCCAUUCUCUUGAGACUUCAGCCACAUAACUCAUGAAGUUCAUGGCUUCCUCUGCUAUGGUAUUCAAUAUGGCAUGCACAACUUAGCAAUUUGUGAAUUAAAAACAUAGAAAACAAAGGAAAAUAAAAGAAAAACAAUCCAAAGAAAGAAAAUUAAGGUAAACUAAAAACUAAAUAAAAGGUAUACUAAAAUAUGAACAAUAAAGAAAUAAAAAGAGUUAGUAAAAGGAAAAGAAAAGUCACUAAACUUGUGAUGAAGAUCACAAGUACUCUAGAAAGGUGUUAUCACUGUAAAGUGGCACCAUCCCCGGCAACGGCGCCAUUUGAUUCGUUCCCAAUUGGUGUCUCAGCUGAUUCGUGUCCAGCUGGUGCUCCUUGAUUGAGGGAUUAAUCAACAAAAUUUAUAACCUAUUACACCAUAUACUAGGGUAGCAAAGACAAAGCUACUAUAGCAUAGUGGCUCUAGGAUCGUUCACUGGGAUGGGUUUUCACUUCACAAAUGACAUUAAUUCAAAGUUGAAUUAGUGCCUUUUCAUUUCAAGGUUAGCUUUAAAAGAAAACAUAAACUUGUUUGAAUGAAAAAGGUUUGGUUUUAAACUAACCAAAAAUAGUAACUGAUUUUACUUACAAAGAAAAGUGUUUCUUGGAGUUUCAGAUCACUAGGCUCAGAUUCCUCAUACAAAAAGGGAGUUCCGGUCACUUAUUUCUUUUCCUCGCAUUAUAGAAUUAACAUAUAGUUCCUUCUCCAACCGGUGCUGUACAGAUGCUCCCAUUAAUGGGUUCAAACACUAAAUCCCUCUCACUGAUGCAUCUUGCAAUGGCUCAUGCCUUUCACCUAGCAUUUGCCAUUCAAGGUGAUCUUUAACCUUGGAUUACCCGUCAAAAGCUCGCAAGAGAUAACUAAUGGAUGUCUCCUUGGAGUCCAAAAGCUUACCAAGUGUUGGCUAUUCUAGAAAAUCCUACCUUCAAACCACCUCCCAAAGGCUCACAAGGGGUAAACUAGUGAAUCUCCAUGGACGGAGAUCACUUGCCUUACCAAGUGUUGGCCCAGGUGAUUUAAAGACGUUUUCAGUUAACUAAAAAGAUAAAAACCAUUAACGGGUCACACUUUCUCUUCAUUAAAAACUAAAACAACAAAACUUCCAAUUUAUGCAUGUGGAAACUUACCCGGAUUUCCUCACUCCAAGAGACAAAAAGCUUAGCCUCUCAUCCUCUGAGGAAAAAUCCUCAGAGUUUGGUUGGCUAGAAAUAAAAAGAAAUGAAAAAUGAAAGAGAAGGAAAAACAGAGCAAGGCUCUGUAUAUUCUAUAUAUUGAUCGAUGGAUUACAUGAUUCUAUAUUACAUGAUCUCCCCAGAACAAGCUCCCGAGAGCUAUAUAUAAAGAAAAUUACAAAACAAAAAUAUCUAAGGUUAUUCACCUAUUUUCCAAACUUAAUAACUAAGGAAUCUUAUGGUUGGUGGAUUACAAGGAGAAGAAUGGAAAUUUAUAUAAAAAUAUCUAAAGAAAAAUAUCCCAAAGUGUCGGUUGCAAAUAUCGGGAAGCAUUAAGGACCAUUUCGUAGGUGAAAACGAGGUCUGCGAGAUUUCGCAGACGCACAAAAAGGGUUGCGAAAUCACUUCGCAGCAAAAGGUUAUUCUCGCAGGGCUGCGAAGUUGGAUUUCAUCUUGAGGUGCUCAGCUUCCAACUUGCGGCAUAUAUCGGGCAACUUCAGGAGGGAAUCCACAACACUGUAAAAAAAGGUUGCGAAAUCAUUUCGCAACAAAAGGGUGAUUCCGCAACACUUUUGCAAAAUGCUUUCUUCAGCUUAGAGUGAUUGACUUGCAGUGGCUGUAACUUCUUCGUUUCAACUCCAAAUUGUGAACCGUUUAAAGCAUUGGAUUGUUGACUUCAUGAGCUUUAAAAUGGUAUAUAGCAUGUACAAAAUGGACUUCGGAAAGUGCUCCAAAAGUGCGCAAGAAAACUGUAGCUGUUGUCCUCUGUUUUCCUCUCUCCAGUGCUCUUUCCUUGCAUACUUUGAAUGACUAAGGCAAAGGGCUAUGGAGCUCCAAAGCUUGGUUCUUCAUGAAUUUGAGCUUCCAAAAGCUUUGCCAUGAACUAUAUAUAGCUCUCCCUCAUUUUUAAAUUGCUUUGGUGAUCAAAAAGCUAUCAAAACACCAAAACUUAACACAAUUUGAUUAGAAUUGAUUGCAAGGGUCCUUAACAUGUUAAUUGGGUUAAAAGGCAAUAACUACUACUCAAAAGUGUUUAAAAGAGUUAAUUACAAGCUAUGAAAUAGCACUUUUUGAGUAGUAAUCACCUAUGUGAGGACUUGUUGAUUACUACUCAAAAAGUGUUAUUUGAUAGCCUAUAAUUAAUCCUUUUAAACACUUUUGAGUAGUAGUUUUGGCCUUUUAACUCAAUUGGCAUGUUAAGGACCCUUGAAAGCAAUUUUAAUCACUUUGUGUAAGUUUUGGUGUUUUUGUUAGUAUUUUGAUCACCAAAGCAAUUCAAGAUUGAGGAUAAUUAUGAGGAAUCUUGGGUAAAGCUUAGAAGUCAUUUGCCAAGAGUAAAUCCGGAUUGCAAGGAGAAAAAGUAAAAAGAAUCUGCCAUGAAGCAUAUUCUUGAUGACAGUCGUAGCAGCCACUUUUGGAGCACUUUCUGAAGUCCAAUUGAUGCAUGCUAUAUACCAUUUCAAAGCUCAGGAAGUCAACAAUCCAAUGCUUCAAAUGGUAUGCAAUUCAGAGUUGAAACGAAGAAGUUGCAGCCUUUGCAAGCCAAUCACUCCCAGCUGAAGGAAGCAUUUUCCAAAGUGUUGCAAAAUCACCCUUUUGCUGCGAAGUGAUUCCGCAACCUUUUUGUACAGUAGGGUGUAUUUCCUUCUGAAGGUGUCCGAUAUAUGCCGCAAGCUGGAAGCUGAGAACCUCAAGGUGGAAGCCAACUUCGCAGCCCUGCGAAGAUAGCAUGUUGUUGCGAAAUGAUUUCGCAGGCCUUCUUGAGUGUCUGCGAAAUCUCGCAGACACCAUUUUCUCUUGCGAAAUGGUUCCUGAAGCACCCCGAUAUUUGCUACCGACAUUGGGAGAUAUUUUUUAUUAGAUUUUUGUUGUCUAAAUCCCAAAAUACUCCUUGUAAGCCACCAAUUACAAGAUUCCUUAGUUUUUAAGUUAGUAAAAAGAGAAAAUAUCUAUGUAAUAAUUAGUUUUAUAUUUUGUUGAUAUAAGUACCUCUCGGGAGCCUGUUCUCAAAGAGGAGAUCCUUUUGUAAAGUUUUUGGUAAGCAAGUAAAGUUCAGUUCUUUGUAUUGCCUUACCUUAUCACUUUGUAUUUUUUUAUUUAUUACUAAGUUAUGAACUCUCUAAGGAGUUUUCCCCAGAGAAUGAGUAACUAAACCUCUAAUUCCUUGGAGCUAAGGUUGCCGGGGAAGGUUUCAAGAGCAAGAAUGCAAAGCUUUGUGGUUUCAGCCAAUAAUGAAGAGGAAGUGAAAUCCUUUAGUGAUUUCUAUGUUUUUAGUUAACUUAAAACACCUUAGAGUCACCUGGGCCAACACUUGGUAAGGCAAGUGAUUUCCAACCAUGGAAAUGCACUAGUUUACCCCUUGCGAGCCUCUGGGAGGUGACUUUAAGGUAGGAUUUUCUGGAAUUGCCAACACUUGGUAAGCUUUUGGACUCCAAGGAGACAUCCAUUAGUUAUCUCUUGUGAGCUUGAGAAGGGAAGUCCAAGGUUAAAGAUCACCUUGAAUGGUUAAGGCUUAGUGAGAGGCUUAAACCAUUGCAAGCUGCAUCAAUGAGAGAAUUAAAGUGAAAUCUAAUUGAAGGAUGUAUCUGUACAACACCAGUUAGAGAAUUGACUAUAUGUUGAAUCUCUAACGCGAAUAAUUGAACCAUCUGACCGGAGCCGUGUCUUUUGCAUGAGGAACCACCCUAGUGAACCUAACUCUCCAAGGAAUGUUUUUCUUUCUAAGUUAUUCCCAUUACUUAUUGUGUUAGUUAGUUUAAGUCUAAAUCUUUACCAAUCAAAGUUUGUGUUUUAUUUCUUAAGCUAACCUUGAAAUGAAACAAGACCAAUUCACUUUGAAUUGGUAUCAUUGAUAGCUUGUUAAUCCUUCCCAGUGAACGAUCCUAGAGCCACUAUACUAUAGUAGCUUUUUCUUUGCUACCCUAGUAUAUGGUGUUAUAGGUUAUAAAUUUUGUUGAUUACUCCCUCAAACAAGGAGCACCAGCUGGACACGAAUCAGCUGAGACACCAACUGGGCACGAAUCACUUGUCUUGUGUGCCAACAAGACAAGGUGAAACAAAGACAGCUUAGAGGCCUGUUGGAACCACUACCUAUAACAGAGCAUUCAUGAGACAGUGUCACCAUGGACUUCAUCAUUGGGGUACCCAAUUCGGAGGACAACGACUCUAUCAUAGUAAUAGUGGACAGGUUCUCUAAGUACAUAACCUUCAUAGCAGCACCUACUGACUGCAUUGCGAAGGAGACAAAAAGACUAUUCUUAAAGCACCUGGUCAAGUAUUGGGGGUUGCCUAACUAUAUCAUUAGUGAUCGUGACCCACUAUUCACUAGGAAGUUUUGGACACAGCUCUUCAAGCUUAUGAGUUGGGAGCUUCACUUCUCCACAACUUUCACCCAUAGACAGAUGGGUAGACUGAGAGGGUGAACACCUUAUUGGAGUUAUACUUGAGGCACUUCGUGAGUUCCAACCAGAAGGAUUGGGCUAAGCUGCUAGACGUGACCCAGUUCUCAUACAACUUGCAAAGAAGUGAGGCAACCAACAAGAGCCCGUUCGAGCUAGCCACAAGGCAGCAACCAUUAACUCCUCACACACUAGCAAUAGGCUAUACGGGGAGAAGUCCAACGACUUUCAAGUUCGCUAAGAGGUGGCACGAGCAAGCUGAUAUAGCAUGCUCAUACUUGGACAAGCCCACUAAGAAGAUGAUGAAGUGGGCUGACAAGAAGAGAGUCACAUAGAGUAUAAGGUCGGAGAUAUGGUGCUUGUCAAGCUUCUUCCUCAACAAUUCAAGUCGCUAAGGCUGCUACAUAAGGGCCUUGUGAUGAGGUAUGAAGGACCCUUCCCUAUACUUGGGAAGGUCGGUAAGAUGUUCUAUAAAGUUGAGUUACCACCGAGGUUGAAGAUUCAUCCUGUCUUCCAUGUAAGUUACUUAAAACCAUAUCACGGAGACAAGGAAGAUCCAAACCGAGGGAUGUCUAAGAUGGCACCUACAACGAUUGUGACCUCCUACGACAAGGCGAUAGAACUCAUCCUUGUAGACCAAGUUAUUAGGAGACAAGGCAUACCUCAUGCUACAAAGUACUUGGUGAAAUGGAAGGGACUUUUAGAGAGCGAGGCUAGUUGGGAGCCAGCAGAUGCACUAUUGUAGUUCCAGGAACAGAUUGAGUAGUUUCGGGUGAAAGGCGUGACGAGGGCGUCUAUAGCUUAGGUGGAGGAGAGUGUCAUAAGAUGUUUCAAAUGAGCCUCCCUAGGGAUUAUAUAGAGCCUAGGAAGUUUCUGAAGACUCCUACACUUAGCCAUUGGUGGGAAGAGUGUGGAAGGUUUUAGAGAUGCCUAGAGAUGUCCACAUCUCUACACUAUGGUGAAAAGCAUGAGAGGAGUCCAAGGCUUUCUAGAGAAUUUUAGAGAUUUCUUGUAUAUUCUUGUACAUAGGCUUGUACAUAGAAUUGUGUAUGAUGUUCUAGAUUGUUCUUGAGUUGUAAGGAACCCUCCAAGGUUCCAGAGAGUUUCAUUGGUGCCUAUAAAUAGGUGAGGGCCUCAUUUGGCCAAGGCACCAAGGAAGUGAGUUCCAAAGCACUUGUAAAGCUUCCUUUGAGCAAUAAAAGCUUCCAUUCUUUAAGAGUUGCCUACUAUGCCUUCUAAAGAUUCUAAGUCGUGACCAUCUUAGUUUAGCAAGCUAAUCAUCAGGAGUAAGGCUGACUUAGCAAGAUCAAGGGUUGGCUUGUCUAAGUGCCACAAGAGCUUAGGAAAAGACUAAGUCCGUAACAUUGUGAUGGUUUGAUUUCAUUAAGAUUAAGAGAGGUAUUUCAUGCCCAUAAAGUUCGAUGCGGAUUAAGCUCUAAUGAAUUUGUUGGGGGUUCAUUGGUUAAUGGUUAUGCAAAGCAAACAAAGUUAAAAGAUGCCAUUGAAGCUUUUGAUGAGAUUAUCGAAUUGGAUUUAGUUUCAUGGAAUAUUAUUAUUGAUGGGUAUGCACGGAACAACAGUAAAUAACAUGUUGUGAGAAUGUUCUCUCAGAUGCUUAAAGGAAAUGUGAGGGUCAAUGGCUUCGCUUUGACAAGCAUUAGAAAGACAUGCUCAAAAACCUGUAGAUUUGAAGCAUGGGAUGCAGUUCCAUGGUUGUGCAAUUAAAUUAGGUUUGGCUCAUGAAACACCAAUUUACAAUGCCCUUAUAACAAUGUAAUCAAAGUGUGAGAAAGGAAUGGCAUCUCCUAUUAAAAUUUUUUGGAGCAUUUCAAAACCCAACGAAAUCUCCUGGACCCCAAUGAUUUUUGGGUUCAUGCAAAAUGAGUAGAAUGAGGAAGCUAUUGGGUUAUAUAAGGAAAUGCUUAGAUUAGGUGUAAGAGAAAAUGAUUUCAGUUUUUCCAGUAUUCUUUCUGUGUAUAGUAAUUUGGCAAACCUUGAGCAAGGGAAGCAAAUUCAUGCUAGGAUUAUAUAGUCAUGGUUUGGAUUGGAUCUAUUAGUGAAAAAUGCCCUGAUAGAUAUGUAUUCCAAGUGUGGCAGCUUAGAAGAUGCACACCUGGUGUUUAUGAAAAUGGGAAAACAUGAUGUUGUAUCUUGCACAACGAUGAUUAUGAGUUAUGGCUAGCAUGGUAAGGGAAAAGAGGCUCUGGGAAUUCUUGCUGAAAUGAAAAGUGAAGGAUUGUUUCCAGAUGGUGUUACAUUUCUUGGUUACCUUUAUGCAUGUAAUCAUGGUGGUCUUGUUGAGGAAGGUCUAAGGGUGUUUAAAAUUAUGAUUGAAGUUCAUAAUCUCAAGCCUAAAAUGGAGCAUUUCGCUCGUGUUGUUGACAUGUUAGGUCAUGCUAGGAGGUUAAAUGAGGCAAAGAGUUUUAUUGAUGAGAUGGGGAUUGAGUCAGAUGUUUUGGUAUGGGAAGCAUUACUUAGUGCUUGUAGGGUUCAUGGUAGAUAGUAUUGGGAGAGAAAUCCGCCCAAAAGAUUAUGGAACUGCAACCAGAAAGACAUGGACCUUUUGUUUUGUUAGCUAAUAUCCAUGCAGAAAGAGGAUCGAGGGAAGACAAAGAGAUGGUGAGGAAGAAACUGGUCAAUCAUGGGUUGAAAUAGCAGGUUGGAUGCAGCUGGGUAGCAUUGGAGACGAUGUCAUGCUAAAAGAUAUUCAACUUUUGUGACAGGGAGUCUAUGACAAAGUAUUUUGAUUUUUGAAAUCUCUUAUCCCAAAUUGCAGGCCACACCAUUGUGUUGGAAUUUCUCAGUUUGUGCAUAUAGAUUUGAUGUAAAGCAGGAUUUUAUAACCUAAAAGAUUUUGAUAACAAGCACGAAAAAAUUCAAUACAUUGAUGUUGGAACUUGGAAGCAUCUGUGCCCAAAUACCCAAUAGAUAAUGCCAAACCUCUGUGUGCGCAAUGUUAAAUAUUAGAGGACCAUGUGAGUAAGGUGACUCAACCCUACAUCCGAAUGAACAAUGUCCAAUGACAGGUGAUGUGCACCAAAGGACACGUCGUUCAUGAAGCGAGACGACGAUUGACGAGGGUAAAAGAAGACAAAAAGUGAUAAGACGAAUGAUGAAUGGGUGUAGAAUAAAAUGAUGAAACAAGUUGGGAUAAAAGUGUAGCAAUGUGUGAUAAUGACGAACAACUCAUCACAUGAAUUCCAAAUCGAAGCAAGUCACUAUAUGACGGGAGUGGUGAUAUAGAUAAUGAUCUAAGGAACCUAGUGCAAAGGAAACCUAAACCUCACUCCCAAUAUGUCUCCCAGAUCCAUGGAGAAAAGGAUCGUACAAUGCUCUCAUCGACUCUUAAAAGAAGAAUAAGUCUCUCAAACCUAAAAUGACCUCUGAUGAUCAAGCCGUGAUAUUGUCAGCAAACCAUGCAAAACCUAAAUAUUAAUGACAUGAACAUCGAAUGAUCGUAAGUUUUUUUUUUUUAUGCGGAACAACCGACAAAGGAAGCCAACGACCAUACCAACAUGAUCUAACAAAUGUACCUCAAAUUCCAAACCCAAAUGGUUCUCACAAACUAAAACUUCUGGAUAAAAACCUAAGGGUGGAACAAAGGGUGUGACAAGCCUCACCUGCAGCUUCGGGAGGAGAGCGUGUCAUCAUCACAUAAGGGAAGAUGGAAGCGAAAAAGAAUCAAAAGGAUAGAAACAAAACUCAAAGACAAACAAAGUGAAGAUACUGGUUAUGGUGACGGAUGCAGAUAAGCAGGCCCUGCUAGCCUAAUGGGAAUAGCUGGCCUGUACUGAUCAUGCUAUAUCAUCUGAUAAGAGGUAUCUGAAAACAGCCUUUGAGUUUGAGGCCGAUAUGAAGACCUAUGCCUUAUCAUACCAAUGGUGCCAACAUUUGAUGGCAUGGGUCUUGACCCCGACUUCUUCCCUUUUGAGUAUGAGGGGGAAGAAUUUGCCCAUAAUCCUCUAGAUAUACCCUUCUUGAUGCCAUAGAGGGCCUGCACUAAGAAGCCAAAGUUUGUCUGUGGAAAACCCAUGAGAUGUCUAGCGUAGCGAGGCUAAAGACUGUGCAUAAUCAUACUAAUCCAAUCAUGCUCUGAGGGUCUGUCAAUAAUCUAUGUUAUCUUUUCCCUCCAACGGGAGAUAAAGGAGGUAACUAUCUCAUCCGGCCUCUAUCUAAGGGACUCUAACUCUUUCCUGGAUACAUCAACUAAAAUAUUAAAGGAAUACUGUUUGAGAAACUCCUGUGCCAAAUCGGUCCAUGUCCGGCGUCGUGAGAGGUCCAAUGAAGCAAACCACCGUUGGGCGACACCACUUAGGGAAAAGGGAAUAACAUGAUCAUUUGUGUCUCGUCUAACCUAUGCCCGAGCAUAAUAGCACUGUACAACUUCAAGUGAAUACGGGGGCACCCGAUCCCUAUGUAUCUCUCAAUGUCCGACAUGCGGAACUCAACCGGAAAAGCUGCAACAGGCAGGUCAUCAUACCCAUCCCAACUCAUGAUUCCAUUGAUGACAUGCAGUGACCUCAUCCUCUACUCAAUCCUCUCAAUGCGGGCCUAAGUAUCAUCUGCAACUUGGGCAGGGGCCACAACAGAAUGUGGCAUAGUCUUAGUCUGACCAUGUAAGACAAAGGCCCCUGCCUGUGAGGCUGACUGAACUGAGGGUGGUGGUGGAGGUGGGACUAUGUAGUCUGGUUGUAUGGUAGGUCCAAAUGGUGGUGGUGGUGGGGGUAUGGAAGAAUCAUGUGGGGUGGUCCCUUGAAUCGGUACUGGUGGGACCUGGUGCCCGUCAAUCCUCUGACCCAGUCCUAAAAUAACAUCUUUGAGUGAUGCCAUGGUAUCUGUAAUCUUUGCCAACUAGUCAACAGUAGCAUGCUGCGGGUUCAUAUCUCUCUGAACUAAUGUUUGUCCUGACUGGCUAUGCUGUUCUGAUCCUCUAAUAAGUUUACCUCCGACCCUGAUCCAAGCUUGAGAACCCAGGUCGGUCUCAAUCAAUAAUCCUACAAAAGAAAAGGGGUAUGUCAAUCCCCGUGACUACUAGUCUUGAAAUCAAUUCUGUAAUGUAAUCCCACGACUAAAUCCUCUAAGGGAAUGAACUAUCAUGUGAUGUUAACAACUAAUCUAAUACAUGGCUCCACGGGCAAGAACGGGAUUCUGACAUGGUGAUACCUUAGGGGUAAGGUGGCUCAAAAGCUAACAACGGGAAAAAACAAGUCCUAAAAGCUAGAUGACAAUACCCUCAAAGGGGAUACGCAACCUAAGAUUCUAACCAACAAUCAAAGUGGCACUCUGGCCACGUAAGUAUCCACGAAACCCAACUCAGGGCUAUACAGGUCUUCAUUGCUCGGAUAUCCGUCAUCUCCAUAGUGCUCCCAAACAUUGAUAUAACCCUUAUGCUAAACCCUAUUCCAAACCCCUAGUUUGGUCGAAGGCAAACAAUUGGGAAUGAGUCCCAAAUAAUUCAAGAAACCAAUCAGGAAUAGUCGACCAAGACUAGUGAUUCGGAAAUAAGAGGAUACAAGCGUGCCCCACAAAUACAAACGACAAGCAAUCAUGCAAGAGAAAGGGCAGUCAUGCAGCAAGCAGUCAUGCACAAAAAGAUACCCUACCAUACAAUCUACACACAAGCUAAUCAUCUAAGCCUAUCAUGAACCGCAAAACCAAGAACCAACAACAAUGAAUAAGCAUGCCACAACCAAUCAGGUGAGCACACAGGCAACAACUCAUCACAAGUGUAAGUCAAAUACCAACCAAGUAAGUGAUCACCAGUCACCUAUAAAGCCUAAGAGUAAAUUGGUCAAUUAACCAUGUACUCUAAUAUAACCAACUCAAGUUCAAGUUUGAUCCUCUUAUGAAACCAGAGAUUCUAGGUUCGAUCCCCAAUAGAGUAGAUAUUUUGUGGACCCUCACCAAAUCCACUGACCACCGCGACUCGCGAUUUUAAAAGUGAAAUGGAAAACUGGUUUUCGAGUUUUGAAAAAUUCGUCCCAGUGAGGAACAAUUUUGUUUAGAGUCGCCACUUACUUUUUAUUUUUAUUUUUAAAUGAGGGAAAUUUCAGUAAGAACAAAAACCCCAGCAUGACUCUAGUCAGGAAAAAGCGAUCUACGAAAACUAGAUUCUGGAUCCAGGAAUCAGGUUACCUAUCGGGAAGGUAUCUCAUGCGAGGUAGCACCUCUCUAGGCUCGGAACUUGGUCUCUACUAAUGAACUGGGUAUAUAGGAGAAUAUGGGUCAAAGAUCAAACAAACCUUGGGCUAAACAAAUGACAUGAAUCAUAUAGACCCGCCUAGUAUUUAGCAUGCACAUACACUCAACAAGCCAAAAUCAGAGUGUAUACUUGUGGUCCCCAGCCAUGCGCUGCAAGAAAAAGGUGAGACAAUAGGCACAAGCAUGUAGUAGGCAUUCAUGCUCAAGCAUCAAAGUUCACACUUAAAGAGGAAGUGAAUGGAAAUGAGGAUGACCAAUUGUUUAUUUCUUUUCACGUUUCCCAAAUAACAAUUCACCUAUCACGAAAUUCACAUUUUUACCAUUAAGGAUUCAGCCACAUUCUUCAUUGAAACAUGCAUUAAAAUAGAACCACACUCUCCAUUGAAACACACACUAAAAUUCAGCCUCUUUUUUCAUUGUUUACCAUAAAAAAAACCAACUAUAUACUCACCAUCAUGCAGCCGCCUUACUCACCUUUAACUCCAUUUGACAAUUCAAACACCAACUCACCUUAUGCAGCCCACAAAAUCCAUAGCUCCAAAUCUCAGAUCCUCUCAUCGAGCUUCAUGGUUGCACUCUUCCCCCCAUGAAAUUACUUCUUCUUACAUCCCAUAUGAAUUACCAUGGAUACAUCCAAGUUUCAAACAUUAGAUUCUUCAUAUGCGGCCACCAAAACAUCAUUGAUUUUCAUUAAAUUUUAGCCAUUAAAAUUAUGUGUACAACCUUGAGUUUCAACCACUUACCUCUCCGUUAACAUCCUCAUGCUAUGACCAAACUGCCCAUUUAUAAUAGAAACAAAAACUGUCCACUGAUCUUGUGAAUUCUCGAUAGCAUUUCUAUUUUCGUUUAAACAAAAAUUCAAUAACAAAUCAAAUCUUUUAUGGAAAUCCUCAUUUUUAAUUCAGAGAAAGAGACAAAAUCAACUAAUCUAAAAAAAAAAGUCAUGACACUUGUGCUUCAAACAAAAGAUAAAAAUAAAAUAAAGUAGAAUAAUAAUAAUAAUAACAAAAACCAAUUAAAUCACUUGUUAUAGAAUUUUCAUUUUUAAAUCAAUUAGAAAAUGACAACAACGAUGACUAAGUUAAUCUUCACAAAAUCUCCAUUUGUAAUUUUGAGAUCACUAACCUCUACUUGCAGCCGUAAUCUUUCUUGGAGAUGCAGAAAAUGAUGAUGCUAAUGAAGUUCUGUUAGUCUGAAACGCAGGUGGUGAGAUGCUAGACGGUACAUGUUAGCCUUUGAUGGCGGUGGGCAAUUCCCUCUCAAUUGAAGCUUCUCCCUCAAUCAAUGUUUUUUUUUUCUUUCUUUCUCCCGUUCUCUCUUUUUGAAGCUCAAAAAUCUUAUGUUUUUUUUUUUUUGGACCCCCCAUUUUUCACCUCCGUUUCUUCAUUUUUUUCCUAGUCCAUUCCUUUUCCCCCAAACUUGUUUUUUUCUUUUUUUUUUCUCCUUUCUUUUUCUUUCUCUCUAGGUGCCAAACCCUCAGAGACCUCUAGACUCUUUCCCCACGUUUCAGUUUUUCUUCUACAAAGUCCCUUUCAGGAUUUCCCAAAAAAACCCUUUUCUCUUCCCAACGUCCCCGCUUUUCCAAAAACCUCUCAAACUUCUCCUUCUUAGCAUCCGCACCACACCCUUUUCUUCCCAUUCAACUCUGGAAAAAUCACCUUUAGCUUUGGAACCCCCCAACACAUUCAGUUCCCUCAUUUCCCGAGGUGGCAGCUGCCCUCUCAUUACUUCAUAAUUCCUUGCCUACCAAGAAUCCACAUGGAUUCAAGGUGGGUUGCAAUUUACCUAAAAAAUGGCCCAAAUCGGACAUAAAACCAUCCUCCUAACCCAUAUGGAGCACCAGGGCUCGAACCAGCCUGAACAAGGACACCAAAAAUGCCAAAAACAAAGUUGUUCGCAAGCAGCCCCAAUGACCCGGUUGACUAGUUGCCAACCGGUCGACCGCCUAAAAAAGAACUUGAUGAACCGGUUGAACCGAUUAUCCAUCCGGUUGACCGAUUGAGGAAAAAUUUAAAAUGUUUUCAAAAUAUUCCUUGAAGAUUAAGGAAUCCAACAAAAAAAAUGGUGCAUAAUUCUGAGUUCAGAUGAGGGAGAUAUGAUUGAAACAAGCCCAAGUGCUCCGUAUUCGAACUUGCUCCUAUGAACUCCAACCGAAUUGAAGCUUUAGGGAGAUAUCACUUCCUUUCUUUAGCAUGAUGUGAACAACUAGGGAAUUGGCCAUGACGACACUCUAAAAUGAACUACACACUCGCACUACAUUGGACCGUAGAUGAACCUACACAAGACUCAAAAACCAAUCAAGCCCAAAAGAGGGCCAUGACGGUGCCAUAUGGAAAAAAUUGGUUGCAUGUGACACCCCUAAGAUAAAUGCAAGUUUCAAAGGAAAAAAUUGAGGGUCUACAACUAUGCAUCAACUUUGUUAUAUCUUGACCCAAUACUUUGGGUCAUCAUUAUAUGGGUGUGUUAUCUUUCCUUUGGGAUGCUAAGAUUUGUGUGAUUCUUGGAUGCAUAAAUGGAUAAUCGAUGUUAUUCGUUCUACCUGAGAUUUUGCUUAUCAAGUGCCAUACUGGGGCAUAUCCCCCUCUCGUUAAGGAGGACUAAUUGGGCCAAUAGUGCAUGGGAGGAUGGUCUGUAUUGAUUUCUUACUUCAUGUGAGAAUCAUUUGUUACACUGGAGCAUAUUCGUCACUUUGAUGAGAUGGAUGGCUUUGUGCCUUGUAUUUGUGGUUUCCUAUUCUACAUAGGGGAUUGAUGUCUUCAUGAUCAGUUUUUGCUUUUGUAGCCAGUUUAUCUCCUUAUAUGAGCACAUUCUUCAGUUUUUUUCAUUAUUUGUGAUAUUGUGGUUGGCUACAUAUGACUUUGCUUGGGACUGAGAUGGAUCCCAUCGGAUUUCACCCAGAAAGCAUCGAUGGACUCCCUUAUCAAGAGUUUAUGAGACGAUUUGUUUUUGCCAUAGUCGUUCUUUUAUCAAACUGUGAUGUACAUCUAUUGAGCUUUAUGUUUGAGAUCAAUUGACAAGGAAUUUAUUUGAAAUAUGAAGAGAUUUAUGUUUAUACUUCUCGAGACCUUUGUCAUGAUGUGUUGCUUCUUUCUCAUUAAGAUGUUUGCAGCUGCUUCUUUCAUUUGACAUUUUAGCAGCUUGAUGCAACCGUGAUACUGGGGUACACCCCCUUCUUUGAGAUUAUCAAGCUUAGGUUAGAAUAUGUUAUUACCUAGUUUAGGUUUUGAUUUUUUACAGGUCGUCAUACUGGGGAAUAUCCCUUGUGUAGAAGUUAUCAAAUUUUUCUUCAUUUUUUUCAUAGGCAUUCAAAGACAUCAUUUUCCUAGGCGUUUAGAGCCACCAUUUUCAUAGGCGUUCAGAGCCAUCAUUUGCACAGGCGUUCAGAGUCAUCAUUUUCAUAGGCGUUCAAAGCCAUCAUUUUCAUAGGCGUCCAGAGCCACCAUUUUCAUUGCAUUGACAUUCAAAGCCAUCAUUUUCAUAAGCGUUCAGAGCCACCAUUUGCAUAGGCAUUCAAAGCCAUCAUUUUCAUAGGCAUUCAGAGCCAUCAUUUUGAUAGGCAUUCAGAGCCAUCAUCUUUAUAGGCGUUUAGAGCCACCAUUUUCAUAGGUGUUAAGAGCCACUAUUUUCAUAGGCGUUCAGAGCCACCAUUUUCAUAGGUGUUUAGAGCCAUCAUCUACAUAGGCGUUCAAAGCCAUCAUUUUCAUAGGCCUUCUAAGCCAUCAUUUUCAUAGGCAUUCAGAGCCACCAUUUUCAUAGGUGUUCAGAGCCAUCAUUUUCAUAGGCGUUGAAAGCCAUCAUUUGCAUAGGUAUUUAGAGCCUUCAUUUUUAUAGGCAUUUAAAGCCAUCAUUUUCAUAGGCGUUCAAAGCCACCAUUUACAUAGGCGUUCAAAGCCAUCAUUUUCAUAGGCGUUCAGAGCCAUCCUUUUCAUAGGAAUUCAAAGCCAUUAUUUUCAUAGGCGUUUAGCGCCAUCAUCUGCAUAGGUGUUAAGAGCCAUCAUUUUCAUAGGCAUUCAGAGCCAUCAUUUUCAUAGGUGUUCAAAGCCACCAUUUGCAUAGGCAUUCAAAGUCAUCAUUUACAUAGGCGUUCAGACCCACCAUCAUUUGCAUAGGCAUUCAUCGCCAUCAUUUUCAUAGGCAUUCAAAGCUACCAUUUACAUAGGCGUUUAGAGCCACAACCAUUUACAUAUGCGUUUAGAGCCAUCAUUUGAAUAAACGUUCAGAGCCACCACUUGCAUAGGCGUUCAGAGCCACCACUUGCAUAGGCGUUCAGAGCCACCACUUGCAUAGGUGUUCAGAGCCAUUAUUUGCAUAGGAGUUCAGAGCCACCAUUUUCAUAGGCGUUUAGAGCCAUCAUUUGCAUAGGCGUUCAGAGCCAUCAUUUUCAUAGGCGUUCCGAGCCAUCAUUUUCAUAGGCGUUCAGAGCCAUCAUUUUCAUAGGCGUUCAGAGCCAUCAUUUUCCUAGGCGUUCAGAGCCAUCAUUUUCAUAGGCGUUCAUAGCCAUCAUCAUUUUCAUAGGCAUUCAGAGCCAUCAUCAUUUUUAUAGGCAUUCAGAGUCAUCAUUUGCAUAGGCGUUCAAAGCCAUCAUUUUCAUAAGCGUUCAAAGCCAUCAUUUUCAUAAGCAUUCAGAUCCAUCAUUUUCAUAGGCGUUCGGAGUCAUCAUUUUCGUAGGCGUUCAAAGCCAUCAUUUUCAUAGGCAUUCAGAGCCAUCAUUUUCAUAGGCGUUCAGAACCACCAUUUGCAUAGGCGUUCAGAGCCACCAUUUGCAUAGGCGUUCAGAGCCACCAUUUACAUAGACGUUUAGAGCCACCAUUUACAUAGGCGUUUAGAGCUACCAUUUACAUAGGCGUUUAGAGCCAUCAUAAUUUUCAUAGACAUUCAGAGCCAUCAUUUUCAUAAGCGUUCAGAGCCAUCAUUUUCAUAGGCGUUCAAAGCCAUCAUUUGCAUAGGAGUUCAGACCCACCAUUUGCAUUGGCUUUCAAAGCCAUCAUUUUCCAUAGGCGCUCAGAGCCAUCAUUUUGAUAGGCGUUCAAAGCCACCAUUUGCAUAGGUAUUCAUAGCCACCAUUUACAUAGGCGCUCAGAGCCACCAUUUACAUAGGUGUUUAAAACCACCAUUUACAUAGGCAUUCAGAGCCACCAUUUGCAUAGGCGUUCAAAGCCAUCAUUUACAUAGGCAUUCAAAGCCAUCAUUUACAUAGGUGUUCAAAGCCACCAUUUACAUAGGCUUUCAGAGCCAUCAUUUGUAUAGGCAUGCAGAGCCACCACUUGCAUAGGCGUUCAGAGUCACCAUUUGCAUAGGCAUUCAGAGCUACCACUUACAUAGGCGUUCAGAGCCAUCAUUUACAUAGGCGUUUAAAGCCACCAUUUGCAUAGCGUUCAGAGCCAUGAUUUACAUAGGCGUUCAGAGCCAUCAUUUUCAUAGGCAUUCAAUGUCACAUCCUAUAAACCUCUUAUUCAGGGUAUUUCUUUCCUUGUAUAUGGUUUAUCUUGGAAUUUAUUACAUCAUGUGCUAGGACAAAAUUUUUUGUCUUUCUUAGUUCUUCAGUAUAGUUCAUUUCAUUCCACUCAUUACUCGUGUUUCCACUCAUAUUCCCUACACUCAUGAUCUCUACCGAAGAGGGGCAUAUUUGUAGACCCUCCAUUUUGUCCUACUAGCACAUAUCCUAUUACAUGUCCAUUUGAUACUUUACAAUAAUUCCCUGUUGACCCAUUGGGCACCACCUUAGGCCCACUUUUGCACCCCAGGCCUAUUUAGAUGCACUUGGCCCAUUAAGUACACUCCUAGGUCACUUGACACAUUUAUAAUCACCCUACAUCACUUAGGCAUAUUUCUAAACCUUCUAGGUCACUUAGCAUAUUUUUGAUCACUUAGACACCUCCUUAGUUUAAUUUCCACCUAAUUCACCUUGGCACUUUCCACUUAGGUCACUUAGGCACUUUUUCACCUAGGUCACUUAGUGUUUUUUUGGGCUUAAUUCCCUAAGAUUAAUUUCUUGAUUGCUUGAUGUUUUAGAUUAGGUGAGUAUUUGGCUUGAUUUUGAUUUUGAUUGCUUAAGAUGAAUUUUCGAUGUUUAAUUGUGUCGAUUUGAUAUUUUGUUUUUUUUGUUUUUUAGUUUAAUAUUUAGAUUAUUGUUACAUGCAUGUUGUAUUUAUUUAUUUUUCCUGCUUUAUUUAUUUGUUCAUCCACUUAUUUAUUUUUAGAAAAUUGCAUGUGCUUGGGAACCUGAUUAUCUUAUUAUUAUUAUUAUUAUUAUUAUUAUUAUUAUUAUUAUUAUUAUUAUUAUUAUUAUUACUAGUAUUAUUAAUUAUUAUUAUUAUUAGUAUUAGUAUUAUUAUUAUUAUUAUUAUUAUUAUUAUUAUUAUUAUUAUUAUUAUUAUUUACUUGUUGUAUGUUUGUUUAUUAUUAUUUCACUCUUCUUAUUUAUUUUCAUUUUUUUUUCAUAUACGUUUGUUUAUCUUUAUUUUUAUUUUUUACUCUUUUAUUUUAUUAAAUGAAAAAAAGAAAAAGAAAAAAUGGGAAAUCGACGGACUGCAUAGGAGAGGAGAGAGCGAGGGGUUUGAAUUUUGGUUAAAAUUAAAAGAAUUUGAUGGAUAAAGAGAGGGUAUCGGAAAAAAAGAAGAAAGACAGAUUACAAGAGAUGGAAAAAGGGAUUUUUUUUAGAAAAAAGAGCAACUGGGGUUUUCCGAGGGGUGUAUGGAAAAUAGAGAUGGGUAGGCAAUCUUAAGAGAGAAGAAAAGAAAUGGUGAGGCGUGGGAAGUCUGAUAAGAGUUUGGGGAGGUUUUCAAAAAGAGGGAGAGAGACUUAAGAAUAGAAAGAAAUAGGGGUCGAAUAGAUAGAGAGAAAAAAGGAGUCUGAAAGAAGAGUUGGAGAGGUUUUGAGGGAUGAAGGAUUCAGAUAGGUGGAGAGAAGAAAGCAGUCUGAAAGAAGAGUUAGAGAGGUUUUGAGGGAGAAGGGAUUCAGAUAGGGAGAAGAGAAGAGGAGGGGACGUUUUAGGGAUGAAGACUUAAGAAAAAAGAAAACAGAGAUUGGAAAGAAAAAAGAGAAAAAUAGAUAAUGGAGGGAGAAGAGUCUGGAGAGGUUUUUAGAGAGAAAAGUCAAAAUGGAGACUUAAAAAAAAUAAUAAAAAAAUGAUUGAGAUAGAAGCUUUAAUUGAGAUGGAAUAGUCCACCUCCAUUGAAGGCUAACACACACCAUCUUUAGCAUCUCUCCAUCUACAUUUCAGACCAAUAGAACAACAUUAGCAUCACCAUUUUUUGCACCUCCAGGAAAGAUUACAACUCUAAGUAGACGUUAGUGAUCUCCAUUUUAAAUUAAAAAUGAAGAUAUCAUAAAGGUUAAUUUAGUCAUUGUUGUUUUUUUUUCUAAUUGAUUUAAAAAUGAAGAUGCUAUAACAAAUGAUUUAGUUGAUUUAUGUUAUUAUUAUUAUUAUUAUUAUUUAUUUUUUAUCUUUUGUUUAAAGUACAAAUGCCAUAAUUUUUUUUAAGAUUAGUUACUUUUGUUUCCUUCUCUGAAUUAAAAAUGAAGAUUGCCAUAAAAGAUUUGAGUUGUUAUUCAAUUUUUGUUUAAAUGAAAAUAGAAAUGCUAUUGGAGAUUCAUAAGAUCAGUGGACAGUUUUUGUUUCAAUUAUAAAUGGGCAGUUUGGUUAUAGCAUGAAAAUGUUAACGAAGAUGUAAGUGGCUGAAACUCAAGGUUGCACACAUAAUUUUAAUGGCUAAAAUUUAAUGAAAAUCGUUGGUGUUUUGGUGGCCACAUAUGAAGAAUCUGAUGUUUGAAGGUUAGAUGUAUUCAUAGUAAUUUGUGUGGGUUGCAAGAGGAGGUAAUUUCAUGAGGAAAAGUGCAACCAUGAACCUCGAUGAGAGGACUUGAGAAUUGCAACUAUGAAUUUUGUGGGCUGCGUGAGGUGUGUUGGUGGCUGAAUUUUCAAAUGGAGUUAAAGGUGAAUAAAGUGGCUGCAUGAUGGUGGAUAUAUAGCUGAAUUUUUUAUGAUAAACAAUGAAGAAGGUGGCUGAAUUUUAGUGCGCGUUUCAAUGGAGAGUGUGGUUCCAUUUUAAUGCAUGCUUCAAUGAAGAAUAUGACUGAAUUUUCAAUGGUAAAAAUGUGAAUUUCGUGGGCUGCAUAAGGUGUGUUGGUGGCUGAAUUUUCAAAUGGAAUUAAGGUGAACGAGGCGGGUGCAUGAUGGUGGAUAUAUAGCUGAUUUUUUUUAAUGAUGAACAAUGAAGAAUGUGGUUGAAUUUUAUCUACCAUUUUUCUUUUUAGUUUCAAAUGACAUUUUUAAAAUACAAUUUUUUAAAAAUGCUUGCUGUUUGUCUUUUAACAUUUUUAAAAUCCUUUUCUUUCAUUCAAUCUUUAAAUUUCAAUCCACAAAUAUUUUUCCUAAAUUUUCUGAAACUCAAAUUUUAAAAUACAACUUUUAAAUAGUCUUCUAAAAUUUAGUUUUCUUUUUCUUUUUUAAUACAAUUUUCAAUUUUUAAAAAUUUUUUCAAAACUUAAUUUUUUUUAAAAACCAUUCUUAAAUUCUCAGAUUUUCAAAAUUCCAAAUCCAUUUUUUAAAAUAUUAACUUCAAAUAAAUUUUCCAAAAUUCCAAAACUCUUAAAUUUCCAAAAUUUCAUUUUUUUAAACACCAUUCUUAAAUUAAUUUUCCAAAAUUCUAUUUUUAAAAUUUUCAAAAUUCCCAAAUUCACAAAUUUAAUUCUUUAAGUUUCCGCUACCAAAAUUCCACUUCCAAAAUUUUAUUUCCAAAAUUCCAAAACUCUUAAAAUUCCAAAUUUUCAUUUUAAAAAAAAAACACCAUUCUUAAAUUAAUUUUCCAAAAUUCCAUUUCUAAAAUUACCAAAAUUUCCGAAUUUCCAAAUUUAAUUCUUUUAGUUUCCGCUACCAAAUUUUCCAAAACUCAAAAACUCUUAAAAUUCCAAAGUUUUGAAAAUUCUGGAUUCAAUUUUUUUAAGUUUCCGUUUCCAAGGUUUCCAAUUUCCAAAAUUCCGGAUUUAAUUUUUUAAGUUUCCAUUUCCAAAAUUUCAAAAACUCCGAAUUUAAUUCUUUAAGUUUCCAUGCAUGUGACUUUCAUGAAUUUGAUGGUCUUUAGUUAAUCAAGUUCAACUGAAUUUUUUUUAUGGAGAAUUAUGGAAUUUGUGGUUAUUAGUGGAUGAAAUUCAAGCGGGAAAGAUGUUAAUUCCCAGCUGAAGACCAAUGGAAUAGGAAUAGCUAAAUUUUAACCAUGUAGUGAAGUCUCAUGGCUACAUUUUGAUGGUUGUUUGGUGAAGCCUAGAGGUUACAUAUAUAGGGUUUGGUCAUGGCUGAAAAAUUUUAGUAAAUUUGGGGUUUUCAUAUAUUGUGUGCUUGUACUUAUUAACUCACCAUUUUCCUCAGUGUACGACUAGGAACCUUAGGUACGCACCUUUGUUCUGAUUAUUGAUUUCCUAUGCAUGCCGAAUACCAACUAGAAUUAUAUGAGUCUUCGUUAUCCAUGUAGCCCGGGAAGGGGGGGGGCAAUUGACUGAUCUUUGACCCAUAUGUUCCAAUGUACCCAAUUCACUAGUAGAGACCGGAUCCCGGGCCUAGAGCGGUGCUACCUCGCAUGAGGUACCUUCCUAAUAGGUAACCUGAUCCCUAGACCUAGAAAUCGAGUUUCGUAUACCACUUUUUCCUAGUUGGAGUCAUUGAGGGGUUUUUGUUCUUACUUAAUUUUCCUCAUUUCAAAAAUAAAAAUAAAAAUAAAAAGUGGCGACUCUAAACAAAACUGUCCCUCAUUAGGGACAUAUUUUCCAAAACUCGAAAACCACUUUUCCUCCACUUUAUUAUUUUCAAUCGCGAGUCACGCCUAUCAAUGGAUCGGGAGAGGUCCACAAAUUGGAGACUCCACUAGGGAUCGAACCCAUAAUCUCUUAUUUCAUAAGAGGAUCAAACUUGAACUUGAGUUGGGAAUAUUGGAGCACAUGGUUCAUUGACCAAUGGACUUUUGGGUCAUUUGGAUGACUAAUGAUCACUUACUUGGUUUACACCUGUGAUUUGUUGUUGCUUGUAUGUUCAUUUCAUUGGUUGUAGCAUGUUCGCUCAUUAUUGGUAGUGCUUGGUCUUGUGAUUCAUGAUAGGCAUAGAUGAUUAAUUUUUGUGUAGAUUUUGUGGUAGGUUGGCUCUUUGCGCAUGACUCACUAUCUCUUGCAUGACUGCUUGCUGCUUGUCUUUGUGGGCCGCAUAUAUAUCCUUUUACCUCCAACCCUCUGGUUUCGGUCAUUUUCUUCCUUUCGGCUCUUACUUUUGCAAGUGUGAGGCCUUAUGUGUGCUUAUUUCUCUGACCGAGCUAGAGAUUAGGAGUAGGGUCUAACAACGGCCAAUAUCGAUGUUUGGGAGCAUUCUGCAGGAGAUCGACACACUAAUAUUGGUUGGAACAUGAUCUUUGAAGACCUGUAUAGCUCAGAGCUAGGUUUCAUGGAUAUUUGUGUGACCAGUGUGUUUAUUUUUUGUAGUUUUAGCUUCAUAGGAUUUUUGGAUGCACCCACACCACUCACUAUGCACUUUAGUUGACUAUUGAGUGUUGAGAGUUGCGAGAACUUUUACCAUAGGAAACCCCCUGGGAUGUCGAGGUAGUACAUGUGUGGAGGUGAUGACCACCUUGCAUGGAAGCACCCUGUCUUUUUGGAGAUGUACAGAGGGUUUCGUACCGUUGGAGGGAGAGAAUUGAUUGAUCUUUGACCCAUAUGUUCUAAUGUACCUAACUCACUAGUAGAGAUCGGAUCCCGGGCCUAAAGCGAUGCUACCUCAUAUUAGGUACCUUCCUAAUAGGUAACCUGAUCAUUGGACCCAAAAAUCGAGUUUCGCAGACCGCUUUUUCCUAGCUGGAGUCAUUGAGGGGUUUUUUUUCUUUCUUAGUUUUCCCUAUUUAAAAAAUAAAAAUAAAAAGUAAGUGGCAAUUCCAAACAAAAUUGUCCCCAUUAGGGACAGAUUUUCCAAAACUUAAAAACCACUUUUCCUCCAUUUUAUUAUUUUCAGUCAUGAGUCGCGUCGGUCAGUGGAUCGGGGGAGAGUCCACAGUCGCCUCCAGUAAACUAAUGUUGUUUCCCACUAUUUGUGUAAUGUCCCACAUUGGAUAGGGAUGAAAGUUCCUAGCACUAGAUAUGUAGAGGCUUCUCUUAACCAAGUAGACGCGUUUUAAAGCCAUGAGGGUCCCUUUGGGUCCAAAGCAGACAAUACCUACACGGUUGGGAGUGGGUCAUUACAAAAUGGUAUCAGAGCCAAUCCCCGACCCUAGUGUGGGGGUUUGUUUGGCUCCGUAAAGGGUGUUUGUCUAUUUGACCCCACAAUCCAUGGGACACAACAAGGAUGUUGUAUCUGCAUGGGGGAGUGUUUGUGAUGUCCCACAUCAAAUAGGGGAGAAAGUUCUUGGUGCUAUAUAUGUAGAGGCUCCUCUUAAUUAGGUAGACAUGUUUUAAAGCAGUGAGAGUCCCUUUGGGUCCAAAGCGGACAAUAUCUGCAAGGUUGGGAGCGGGUCGUUACAAUUUGAUAUUAUUGUUUCAUGGAUGGGGAGGUUAUUUAAGGAUGAUGAAAUUAGGUAGGUGGUAUCCCAAAUAAAUACACUACAUAUUGAUACAUAAAAGGCCUUAGUUUGGAUGAUUUUCGCGUGAAUAGUAGUUUCUAGAAAUGGAACUUUAAGAGGAAAGCAGAAAUGUUCAUGGAAAUUAAACAAUCAAAAAUAUUUUCUUUUUUACAUCUUAGUUUUGAUAAAUAUAUAUUUUUUCUUUUUAAUCGAUUAUGAGUUGCUUUCUUUUCAAAAAUCACAAUCCAUUAGAUUGAAUUUCCAAUUGAUAACUUAAUGGAUAAACAUUUGCAGGAGUCCAUGACUUUCUUUGUUAUGUCAAAACACUAUUCUUUUGCCCUAGAUAGAAAUUAAGAGACAAAGGAAUAAAUGUUUUCUAGAAAUAUUUGGUUUGGAAUCAUAAGAUUUUGUUGGGCUUGAAAUAGGGGACAAAUGAACAAUUGUGGCUUUCAAUAUAAUAGAUUAUAAGCCCAAGUAGUUCUUUUUCAUAUUCAUUAUUUUUCUCAAAGCUUUGUUUUGUUUUGGAUAUCACUAACAACUGGUCAUUAGUCUACAGUCAAACGACUUCUACAUUAUUGUAAGGGCAUAACCACUCAUGGUCUUCAUCUUCUAAAGAACUCUCCAAUGUCACUAUAUGCCUUCUUCAAUGCCAAUUGGACUGGUAAUAAAGACGACCAAACAUCCACCAUUGCCUAUGUCAUCUUCCUUGGGUCCAAUGUUAUUUCCUAGAGCUCCAAGAAGCAAUGUUUUGUCAUUAAGUCCUCAAUAGAGGUUGAAUAUAGGAUGGUUGCCUUUAUAACAAAUGAACUCACCUGGAUCCAAUCACUUCUCAUUGAACUUGACAUCACUUCAAUGCUCUAUCGACCAUCUAUUGUGACAAUGUUAGCAUCAUCCAUCUUUGUGUAAAUUCAGUCUUCCACUCUCCCAUGAAACAUAUUGAGAUUGAAUUCCACUUUGUUCAUAAUAAAAUUCAAUAAGGUCAACUUUGUGUCUCCCAUGUCAGCUUUAAUGAUCAACUAAUAGAUGCUUUGACCAAACCUUUAUCUCAACAAUGACUACAAGAUUUAUGCAUCAUGAUUGGUGCUCUCUCCAAGAACUCCAUCUUGAGGGGGCAUAAUAAGGAAAACCAAUCAAACAAAAAAAUCAUGGGAUUGUAAUUAGUAUGUUUUUAAUUUAUUUUAGUUAGUUUUAUUUUCUUAUUUUUGGUAGUGUAUACAUUCUUAUUUUAGUUAGCUUCCUUUUUGUUUUUAUUUUUAGUAGUGUAUAUUGUCAAAGGGGUGCUUUUAGCGCUUUUAACUGAAGAAUGCAUGCAACAACAAAGUCACAUGAAACCCACUUUAAGAAAGUUCAAGAUAGGUACUGUGUGCGUAGGAUAAAUAGGGAAUAGUUAGGGUUGUUAAGGUGCUAUUUGUCUAUAAGAAAAAGAAUAUUUUAUAGCUGUCAAAAUUGAGUAUAAAUAUGGAAAAAAAAAAUCAUAGUAGUGCAAUACACAAAGACAUGAAGUUUUUCUGGAAAUUUCUCUUUUUUCGUUCUCUUUCUUUAUAACACUUAUCAUGGUAUCAAAGCACUAUUGGUCCUAAAGACACCACAAUUCCAAUUGAAAUCUGGCAUAAUCAUAUAUAUAUAUAUGUCAGUUAGCAAACACUAUCAAAAUAUCUAUUCUUUUACCUUUGUUGAAUUUCUCUUAUCUUUACUUCUCUUCUUCUUCUCCAUUCUAGUUUUACUUGAUAUUUAGAUCAACAAAACUUCAAUAUUAGAAAUGAUGUCAUAUCUCUCCAUUACUUUUGGAACGUUCGCUCAUCCCUUAGUAGUGAAGUUAGAUAGAAAUAAUUUUCUAUUAUGGUGUCAAAAAGUAAUGGCAGCCAUAAGAGGUCACGGUCUCCAACGUUUUGUCCUACAAGAAAACUACUCAUCUCCUCCAUAAUUUCUUAUUGAACUUGAUUAACAAGCUAGUCGAAUCAAUCCUAAAUUUAUAGCGUGGCAGCAACAAGAUCAACUUCUAGUAUACUGGUUUCUAUCCUCCAUGAGUGAAAAUAUUCUACGACACAUGGUUGGAUCAAAUAUCACGUUUGAUAUCUAGCUAGAGAAACACUCUUCACAUCUCAGUGCAAAGCAAGGAUUAUGCAACAUAAAAUGCACUGCUAACUAUAAAAAAAAUGUGGAUCCACUAUGGCUGAGUAUCUUUUCAAAUUCAAAGGCAUUAUAGAUGCCUUAGCCUCCACUGAUAAUAAUGUUUCUAAAGAAGACUAGGUAUUGCAUGUACUUGUUGGUUUAAGCUCUGAAUAUGAUUCAUUUGUUAUUUAUAUCACCACAAGAAUUGAACUUUCAAAGUUUGAGGACAUUGCAGCUCUACUAAUAACACAUGAAACUAGAGUAGAACAACAUCUUCACAGCUUGAUUGAAAUCAAUUCUCUUGAUAUUAACAUGAACACUUCUAAUCCUAGCAAAACAACUCGUUUUGGACUUGGUAGAAGAUCUUCUCCAAAUGCAAUGCUUUAGGGAAGCCCCCAAUAGGUACAAUUUACUUACAAUGUAGGAGGAAGACGAUCAAACCUUUCACCACAACGUGGAAGAGGACUAAGCCAAAACCACAAUGCCAGAUAUGUUACAAAAUAGGCUACACUGUCGCUCAGUGCUUCUACAGGUUUGAUCAAGAAUUUCAAGCCUUAACUUACACUACCAACAAUCAAUCCAUGACUGCUAUGUUAGCCACUCCUAAAGUGGUGGGUGACCCUUAUCGGUUUCCAGACUCUGGAGCUACAAACCAUUGCACACCAACAAUUGGCAACCUCACAAAAAAAAUCUACCCAUGAUGGUCUUAAUCAAGUUUACAUGGGUAAUGGAGAAGGUGAGUCGAUUUCUCACAUAGGAGAAUCUUUUUUGCACUCAUCAACCUCACUAUGUAUUCUUCAUCUUAAAAAUCUCGUACGCAUACCUCAUCUGACAAAGAAUCUUAUUGGUGUGUCCAAAUUUGCUCAAGAUAACAAAGUUUUCUUUGAGUUUCUCCUUAAUGCAUGUUUUGUUAAGGACCAAGUUACAGGUGCAAUCCUGAUUCAAGGCACACUUGAAGGUGGUCUAUGUGUCUUUCAUGUACGGCCUUCCACAACUAGCUCACAACAUCCUGAACUAUCCACAUUGGUGAAUAGUAUUUUCAAUAAGUCCAAGUAUACAACAAUUCCAAGCCAUUCAUCAAUACAAGCUUUGUCCUCCAUUGCAUUAGAUAUUUCCUCUCAACUGAAUGUUUGACACCAACAACUGGGUCAUCCUUCUCUCUCUAUACUUAAACGUGUACUCAAUGCUUGUAAUAUUUCCUACUCAAAGAAUAACAGAGCACUUCUAUGCACUACCUGCCAAUUAGGAAAACAACAUAAACUUCCAUUUCAAUCCUCAUACACUAUAUACAAACAUCUGUUAGAAUUAGUUCAUGUAAAUAUUUGGAGUCCUAUCCCUUGUCUAUCAUCAGGAGGGUUUCGCUACUACAUUUUCUUUACAGGUCAUGCCACCUGAUACUCUUGGUUCUACCCACUUCAUACCAAAUUGGAAGCACUACCUUGCUUUAUUAAGUUCAAAACAAUGAUGGAACUACAACUUAAUACAUCUAUCAAACACCUACAAACUGAUGGUGGUAGUGAAUUCAAAGCCUUCCACACCUUCCUUCAAUCAUGUGGCAUUCUUCAUCGCAUUUCAUGCUCUCAUAUUCAUGAACAUAAUGGUCUUGUUGAACGUAAGUAUCGACAUAUUGUAGAAGUUGGACUCAUUCUUCUAGCUCAAUCUCAUCUUCCCCUCAAUCUUUGGGAUCAUGCUUUCCUUACUACCGUUCAUAUUAUCAAUUGUAUUCUCACUCUUGUACUUCCAUCAUAAGCCCUCUUAUUCUCAUCUCUGAGCAUUUGGCUAUAGAUGUUAUCCUUGUAUUCAUCCUUAUAACACUCACAAGUUUUCAUUUCAUUCCACUCCUUCCAUUUUUUUAGGUUGCCCUAAAAGCCAAAAAGGCUUUAAGUGUUUUGCCCUGAAUGGAAGAAUUUAUAUCCCCUCACAUGUAUCCUUUGAUGAAUCCUAUUUUCCAUCCCUUUCAUGAACAAUCUUUUCUCCCUUAUCCAUUCCCACUUUCUUCAACCCACUAUCUCAUAUCUCUUCUUGUUUCUAAUUCUAAUCCUCCUUUAUCCCCUCCACGACCUUUCUUCCCUUCAACUUCCAACAAUCCCUCAAUUCACCACUUUGUGCCUCAACCUCUCUCUCACAACACACAUCUCUAGCUCUUGUCAUCUAUAAUAACUGGACCAUGAGACAACUUGAUUUUAAUAAUGCAUUUCUCAAUGACAUUCUCAAGAAAAAUGUCUAUAUGAUCCAACCUCUUGGUUUUAUUGAUACUACUCAUCCUAACUAGGUGUGUAAGCUUCAUCACGCUUUGUAUGGUCUCAAGCAAACUCCUAGGACAUGGUUUGAAUGUCUCCACUUACUACUACAUCAACUUGGUUUUCAUUCCAAAGUAGAUAGAUUUUUCUUCCUUAAGUUUGAGGAUGGUCAUUAAUCUUUCUAUAUACUUAUCUAUGUGGAUGAUGUUAUCAUCAUAGGAAACUCUCCCACUCAGGUGCAACAAUUUGUCCAUCAACUACAAGCUUUAUUUGCCUUGCAAGAUCUUGGAAACUCAUCCUAUUUCCUUGGACUUGAACUAAAUACUACUCCUCAGGGUGUUCUCUUAUCACAGCAAAAAUACAUCACUGAAAUCUUUCACAAAGCUCAUAUGGGUGAAGCCAAGCCAAGACCUACUCCCAUGGUCAAAGGUGUUUCUCUCUUAGCAUAUGUCGAAACUAUCUUUGAUGAUCCUCACCUUUAUCAUUGCAUUGUUGGCAGCCUUCAAUAUGCCAUCAUUUCCAGUCCAGAGAUCAGGUUUGUUGUAAACCAAGUUUCUCAAUUCAUGCAACACCCCUUGGAACCUCAUUGGAAAGUCGUGAAACACAUCCUCUGUUACUUAAGAGGCACAAGUGAUCAUGGACUCCUAUUUAACUCACAUUCCUCUCUCAAAUUAGUAGCACUCUUUGAUGCAAAUUGGGCAUCCAAUCUUAAUUACCACAAAUCAAGUAGCAGAUAAUGGCUAUUCUUAGGUCCAACCUUAUCACUUGGAGUUCUAAGAAGCAAACCAUGGUUUCCCGUUCUUUUACUAAGGCAAAAUACCAUUGUCUUGCAACUAUAGCAGCAUAACUCACCUGGGUUCAAUCCCUACUUCAAGAAUUACAUAUUUUUCUUCCACUCCCUCCAAUGUUGUGGUGUGAUAACCAAAGUUCUAUUGCCCUUCCCAACAAUCCCAUGUUUCAUGCCCACACAAAAUAUAUUGAGCUUAAUGUUCAUUUCAUUCGUGAAAAGGUCCUAAACCGUCAACUUUCCAUCCAACAUGUCCUCUCUCUUGAUUAAAUGGUUGAUUACUACCAAAAAGUGCUAUUUUGUAGACCUAAUUAUAAUGGUUUUAAGCACCUUUGUGUAGUAAUCAUAUUAAUUUAACCCAAUUAAUUCAUUAAGGUCCUUAGUAAUUGGUUUUAACCAUUUUGUGGCAAGUUUACAUGUUUUUAUCAGCUUAUGAAUCAAUUCAAGCAUGCCAAAUGAUGGAGGAGCUUCUUGGACAAGUUAAAGCAAGGUUUUAGCUACACCAAAGCAAGCCAACAAAAGGAGAGAAGCAAAGAGAAGCAAAGGGAAGCAAAGAGGAAAACAGAGGACAGCAGCUGCAGUCUUCUUUGGCACUUUUGGAGCACUUCCCGAAGUCCAUUUUAUACAUGCUAUAUACCAUUUCAAAGCUCAGGAAGUCAAGAAUCCAACGCUUCAAACCGUGUACGAUUUGGAGCUGAAAUGAGGAAGAUAUGGCCUUUGGAAGACAACUGCAUCAAGCUGAGGGACAAUUUCGCACACCACUGUUCAAGGUGCGAAUUCCUCAGUCCACUGUGCGAGAAUUUCGCACACCUCAAAUCAACGUGCGAAAUUGGAACUCCAACGUGCGAAUUUUCCCCUGUUUCUGCCGACUCCACACGAGAUCUUUUCUUUUAGAUAUUUUUGUAUAAAUUUCCAUUCUUCUCCUUGUAAUCCACGAAUCAUAAGAUUUCUUAGCUAGGAAGGAUUGGAAAAACUUCUCUAUAUAUAUUCCCUUGCAUCCAUUGUAAUAAUUAUCGAUCAAUAUAUAGAAUAUACAGAGCCUUGCUCUGUUUUUAUCUCUUCUCCUGUUCUUCUCCCGUUUCUACUUUCUUAGUAGCCAAACAGCCUCUGAGGGUUUUUCCUCAAAGGAUGAUUGGCUAAAACUUUUAGUUUCUCAAAGUAUGGAUGUUAUGUGAUGGCUUGGAUGCAAUCCCAUGGAAAUUUCUCGCACCCGGAAGGUAAGGUAGUUGUUUUUCAUUAAUGGUUCAUUAAUGUAAAGUUUGGUUUUUAUUUCCUUUGGACAACUUCCAACGGCCAAUACUUGAUAAGCUUUUGGAUUUUUAUCCAUUAGUUAUCUCCUACGAGCUAUUGGAAGGUGAGGUUUUCAAAUUCCAAGUUUUGCAUUAAUCCGUUAGAACCAAUUUCAAUGGCCAUUGAUAGGUGAGUUUAUCACUUGGAAUGACUUUGAGUUGCCAAUAUUUGGUAAGCUUUUGGCUUUAGACCAUUAGUUAUCUCUUACGAGCCAUUCAAAGGAAGUCUAAGGUGAAUAACCAUUGAUGAAAUUCACUACCAUCUGUUUUGUCAUUUUAAAGGAUUAAAACUUGAUUUGCUAAAUCCAUACCGGUUCGGGAAGCAAGCAUCACCAUAGUUGCAACCCCAACGCGAGGAGCCUAUCCUGAGAUUUCCAAUUUGCAUGAGAGCCAGAGCAUAACUAUCCUAUCUUUGAGAAACUUGUUUUUACACCCUUUCAUUUUAGUCUUUAAUGUUAGCUUAGAUUAGUUUAAAUCUUUCUAAAACAUUUGCAUCUUCUUUUAAAGCUAACAUCCAUAAGAAAAUCACCUAUUUUCCUAAUUUGAAUAUCACUUGUGUUUGCGAAAACCCUUCCCAGUGAACGAUCCUAGAACCACUAUGCUAUAGUAGCUUGGCUACUUUAGUAAUAGUAUUCAAGGUAUAAAUUUUGUUGAUACGCCUUAAGCUAAGCUACCAUGAGUCGAAUCAAUGGCAAACCACUUCAUGCUCAAUGCUUCCAACAUCUUCGCAACAAGUUUCACGUAACCUCUCUUUCACAUUUAAAAGGGAAUAACAUAUCCAUGCAAGACAAAGUUGAAAAAGGUUCUUCAACAAACGUUUCAAAAAAGUCUACAUUCAGCUUGAAGGGACAUGUCAAAGGGAUGCCUUCAGCGCUUUUAAUUGAAGAAUGCAUGCAACAACAAAGUCACGUGAAACCCACUUCAAGAAAGUUCAAGAUAUGUACUAUGUGUGUAGGAUAAGUAGAGAAUAAUUAGGGUUGUUAGGGUGUUGUUUGUCUAUUAGAAAAAAUAAUAUUUUACAACCGUCAAAACUGUAUAUAAAUAUGAAAAAAAGAAUCAAAAUAUUGCAAUAAACAAAGACAUGAAGUUUUUCUGGAAAUUUCUCUCUCUUUUCAUUCUUUUUUUAGAGCACUUAUCAUAUAUAUCCUUUAUUUUAGUUAGUUUCCUUUUUUUUUUUUUUUAGGUAGUUUUUAGUUUGACUACAUACUAGGACAAUCACCAUUAAACCCAACAAUGAACCCUAGCUUUUAAUAUAGAUAGCAGAAUUUAGUUUUAGACAGUGGGUUAAUAAAUAAAUAAAUCUAUACAAGAUUGCAAGCUCUAGUACUCAUAUUUUUUCUAUUUGGUAAACCUUGUAAAAGAAAUUUGAUAUGCACAUUUUUAGACAAGAACUUUUUGGUUGUAUUGUUAUUAAGCCAUUUGAAUUUUCUUCCAUGAAGUAAAUACAAUUUCUAUCAGAUCCUUUGGAUUUAGUGUCCCAAAAUAUAUAGUUGUGUUGUUAAAUCCACUCAAAAUGCUACUUGAGGAAACAAAUAAGCAUGAUUGUGAGUUGAGACCUACCAGAAAUGAUUUAAUAAAAGUGGAUAUAUUUACUGUACUAUAUCAAACAGCAUAGCUAGGAAUUUUAUUUGUGGGUUUGAGCCUUACAAAACAUAUAAAAGGGUUAGAGGAUAUGCAAGACAUAAAAUUAGGUUUAAAACCCAAAAGUUGGUAUAUAAUUGAUAUAAAUGAUAAUUGGCCUAUUCACUAUCCUAAAAUAUCCAAAAUAUCUUUGAUAGAUAAGAAAUAACUUUUAGAUCAUGUUUGGUUGGUUCAAUGUAACAUCGGGAUAGCAUUAGAGAAAAAAUAUUAUAUCAUAUCCCAUAUUUGAUUGGUGAUGGGAUAUGAUAAAUUAUCUCAAUACUUAUCAUAUUCUAUAUUCAAUCAAACAUGGAAUAGGAUAACUAGUAACAUAUAUUAUCUACCUUAUUUUAUUUAUCCAUUUUACAUUAGAUAUGUUAAUCUCAUAUUAAUAUAUGGGAUAUGUAUAUCACAUGUAUCAUAAAUUUAUUUAUUUUUAUCAUUUUUUUUUAUUUUUCUAUAUAGGAAAAUAAUUUUUUUAUUAAUUAAAUUUAUGGUUGAAAAAGAAAACCUAAAAAAGUUUAUAAAUUAAUAUUAAUGUGUAAUAUAUAAAUUAUUUUCAUAUAUUGAAUAACAUAAUAUAAAAAAAUUAUUUAAAAAGUUUAAAUAUUUUAAUUAUGAAUAUUGUUAAAUAUAAGAUAAAAUUCAAAUUUUUAAAUAAAAAAUAUUGAAAUGUGAUAUAAUUUUUAUUUUAAACAUUAAAAAUAAUAUAUAUUUCACAAUAUUUUUUUUAUUCAUUUGAUCACAAAUUAAAUAUAUACAUAAUAUAACAUGACAUAUCCCUUUAGAUAUGCUACCUUAAAAUAUCAUGUUCAUAGGAUAUAUAUUGUUGGCAGAUCAGAGGGUUGGCCGCGUCCAUCAACUCCCCUUGUGUUUGCCGUGGGCACUUGGAUGAAUGCACUAUAAGGAUAGGGUAUACGCCUUUCCUAACAACAAUUGCUUUUAGGAGAGUUGGUAACGCCUGAGGUCCUACAUAUAUGUUUAAAGAUAUCAUAUUUAAUUGAAAAUCAUAUCAUAGGAUAUGUAUUUUCUAUUUAAUGAGAUAUGAUAUCUCAAGAUAUACAUAUUCAAUCUUUAAAUUUUUUAUUGAAAAAAAUAAUUAUAUUACAAUCCUCCCAAUUAUAUUCAAAUAGAUCAUAUAAAAUUCAAAUAAAGGAACCUUUUUCUAUCUAAAAUUGAAAAAGGAAACCAAUCUUACUUUAAUUAAAAUAAAGUAAAGAAUAAAAUAGGGAAAUAAAUUUAACUCCUGCAUAUAUGCCUUGCUUGAGUUAUUUUAUAGUUUUAUCCAAUUCCAUAGAAGAGGAUAUUCACAUGUUGGUUACAUAUGAAAAUGAUAGGUUAUCUAUCAAGAUAUAUAUAUAUUGUAGACUUUAGCCCAAUCAUGUAUCUUUGAUAUCUUUUAAGCUUAUUAUUAUAAAUUCUAUUAUUGUGAAAUAAUUAGAUAAAAUUUUAUAAAAAUGAAUCAGCGUAUAAUUUAAUAUAAUUAUGUAGGUCAAUUGUAAAUUAGUCUUUAUUUAACUAAAUUUUAAAAACAAAAAUUUUCAAAAUUUCAAAAUUAAAACCAAAAACAACUAGACAUCAAGAAAUAUAUAUAACAAAAUAUCAAAUAAAUUUUAAAAAAUAAUGAGAAAAUAAAUUAGGAUAAUAGUAUCAUGACAAGAAAAAUAUGAAAAAUAAAAAAUAAAAAUAUUGAAUAUUAAAUAAAUCUUGUGAAAAUAUCUAUUUAUUAUUUUUCAUUUUAUUAAAAUCCUAAUAUGUCAUUGGUACUCGAUAAAAUUUAAUUACAAAUAAUUUUUUUAGCUUUUAAGAGGAGCAAGAUUUCCAUUUUAUUAAGUAGGACUUUGUUCUCUCUUGGGAAAUUUGAUUUCAGAAUUGGGUAGAUUUAGCAGCCAAUUUUACCCUUAAAUAUAUAACUAAUAAAACCAAUUCAAAGCAUAAAACGUUGAUACAUGGAGUUAAAGAAAUGGUAUAAAGCAAUGAUACAUGGGCUUCCCUUCACAGGUGGCUGAAAAGCAAACCAUCUGACCUCCUAAUUAAAGUUGAAAUGGACUUCACUUCUGAGGAUGACAUCUCAGUGCUUUUACAAGACUGAAGAUGAAGCAAUGUUCCGUACAAUUUGACUCAUGAAUUCAAGAAGGGAAACUUAGGUUUCAGGCCAUCAAUAUCAAAAUAAUAGCAUAUUCAAACCCUAGGUUUGCAAAUUUCAAGUUUACGAUGCUAACCCCAAAAAUAUUUUGGGUCUCAUGCACUUUCAGCUAAGUUAUUUUUUAAUUCCCAAAAUGCCCCCCCUCCUUCAGUCAGGUCAACCUCCACAUGUUUAAAAUAAAAUAAAAGACUAAAAAUAAAAAACAACUUAAUAGUAGGAACCUUCCUUCUUUGUUUAUUUCUGUGUGUAAACCCUCAGUUCACUUUUCCUUCUUAUCUUCUUUAUUUCCCCCCUUCCUUUAAACACAUCUAACUAGUAUAAACCCUAACGAAAAACCAUAGUCAUUUUCUUCAUUUUUCCUCCUAGUGUGUGGUCUACAAUCGAGACGCAACAACUUUGUGUGUGAUCUGGCAGAAGCUUCACAUCCUUGGGUGCCUCUGCCUACCACCACCAUCUCCUCACAUCCCAUCCUUUUCACCUCUCUCACUCGACUUCCUCUUUCUUGAUGCCUCUAUCUUUCUCAUCUUAGGUACUCUCUGUUUCUAUAUGUAUAUGAUUUGAACGAUAGUGAUCUAGGGCUUCAAUCUACAAUUUUUCUUUUAAAUUUUUUAUUGCUUGAGAAUGAUUCCGUAAUUCAUUGUAAUUCUAGGGUUUUCUUAUUGAUUCUUGCUUCUUUUUUUUUUUUUCCAUGCCAACAUGCUUCAACUUGAUUGGGCUUAUCUGAAAUUUUUAGCUUUCGUGUGUUCAAUUGCUGAGAAAUUUGUUGAAAUUGAAAGGAAAUAUAAAGUUUUGACAAUUUUAGGGAUUGAGUUGGGUGAAAGUGAAUGAUUGAGUUUAUCUCUGUCGAAUAGUUGUCCAUACAUCACUAAACUAUUAUUUUGAUUGGAAUCAUUGAGCUAAUUGUUAUUGUGUUAAUUAAAUAAGGGAUAAAGUUAUUUUCCAGCAGAUGUUAAGCUUGUAGGAAAAUUUUACAAAAAAAAAAAAUACAUCUUUUUUCUUGUCUUUUUUUUUUUCUUUUUUGUCUUAUGUGAAGCUUUGUCUUGUAGGAGGAAAUUUUAGGGAAAUUAUUUUCUACAAGUGAAUGAGAAUCAAUGGAAAAUACACUUUUCACUUAUCUAAUCAAUCAAAUAUAAAUGAAGGUUUUAGAUUUUAUUUUAUUUUCUAUUCUUUUCCUCGAUAUCUUAGCAAAUAAAUAGAGAAUUAGGAAGAUUCUUUUGAUAGAUUUGUUUUUCCCAUGACUAAGGCAUGGUUUGAUGCACUUCCAAUUUUUCAUUUUUAAAAAUAUAGAAUAAUAGCAACUUUAUAUAAAAUUUAGGAUCUCUAAUACAAAAAAAUAAAAAUAAAAAGGAAUUUAUUUUAUAUUUUAGGUUCCUUAAACUCAUUAUUUGUUUUAAUGUUUCUUAAUCUAAAUUAUUGUUCUUGAAUUUAAAUAAGAAAGGUAUACAAUUUGAUUUUUUUGUUUUUAUGGAAUUAAGAUUUGAAAUAGAUUAAUGUUGCAGUUACCAAAUGAGCAUUAUUACAUGUCUAAUUGUGGUCCUUAUUUUGUGCAUGCAUUCCUCUAAAGGAGAAAUUUCUUUCACUUAUACCUUUCAAGUUAGCAAAUAGAUUGUCAUUGCUUAAGUAAGGAACAAAUGGAGUUGCCUUCUCCAAUCAAUGGGGUUUUUUUCUAUUGUGGAUUGAGUUCCUUUUCCCAAAUUCUUAUUCUUGAUAAUGAUAAUGAAGUCUAUAACUUGUAGAAAAUAAGUAGAGUUAUUUAGUGCUCUUCUUUAUCAAUGUGUCUUGCUAGGUCCUUCUAGUUGCAUUUUUUAAUGCACAUUUUCUUCUUAAAAUUGAAAACAAAAGAAAAAUAUUAUGGUACAAUUAAGUUUUUGGAAACCAAAAAAGUUGAAGGCUAGUAAAAUAAAAUAGAAAUCACAAAAUAAAAAUAUAGAACACCAUAAGCUAGGCCUUUACUUUUUAUGGGCUCUAUUUUAAAGCUUGAAAUGUAGCCUUGGGGAUUUAUAGCUUAGUGGGUCAUUUCUCUGGUUUUAGAAAUUCACAUUCGAACACAAUUGUAUUGUUUCUAUUAACAUAUGAAACAGUUCUACUAAAUGAAGAAUGUGGCUUUAGUAAUUCCAUAGCAAUUAUAAUAUUACUUUAUACACUUAUCUAGAAACUAAUAUUGGUAGCUUUGUACCAUAAAGGAAUCUUGCAAACAAAGUUGACAAGUUAACCCUAGAAUUUCAUUCAUUUAAAAAAAAAAAUAUUUUUAGGGAUUUCAUCAUAUAUUUUCAUUUUUUUAAAUUGGGAAUUAUUGCAGAAUUACUAGACUAUGAAAAAAAUUUCGGGCUUGACUACAUUAUAAUUGAGGUGAAAAAAUGAUGAAUUGAUUCUUAAUUUAUUUUUCUCAACUAUGCAUUCUUGUUGAAACUAACUUUCUUAAGAUGGCCACCCUUAGGUACUAACUUUUUCAACCUUAGGUUACUUUACUGAACCUUGGGUACUACCUUAGUGAACCUUGGGUACUACUUUAGUGAACUUUAGGUACUACCUUAAUGCUUCUUAGGUACUACCUUAAUGCUCCUUAGGUACUAUCUUAAUGCUCAUUAGGUACUACCAUACUAAACAUUGGGUACUACCUUUGUGAACCUUAGGUAUUUCAUACAUGAACCUUAGGUGUUUCAUUCACUUCCAUCUUAGUUUAAAGAUGAAUUGAUAAAUGUUGAACUUCUCUACUCAGUACACAAUUUCUUUAAUUAAGCAUGAGAUUAUUAUGCUCUAAUAGGUCAUUCGGGAGGUUCUUUUUAGGUACUACCUUAGGUACUACCUUAAUGCACUUUAGGUACUACCUUAAUGCAUCUUAGGUACUACCUUACUGCAUCUUAGAUACUACCUUAAUGUACCUAAAGUACUACCUUAGUGAACCUUAGGUACUACCUUAAUGCACCUUAGGUACUACCUUUGUGAACCUUAGGUAUUACCUUAAUGAAGCUUAGGGUAGUUUGUUUGUGAACCUUGGGUACUAAGUUUAUCGAUCCUAGGUAUCUCCUUCCGCAACCAUAGCACAAUUUGUUUAGGAAAGCAUGGAUUAAGAUUUAGGAAUACAUAACUUUGACAUAUUAUUUUCUAUUUUUGUUUUAAUUAAGUGUAUAUAAUAUUCAUGUAAUUCCUAAGAUUAAUCAGAAAGUUUUUAUGUAUGUUUUUAUUUAUUCUUUUCAACAUAUAUUAGAGCAUCUUAUAAAACAUGUGUGAACCUUACCUAAUUAUUAUUGUUUGUGCAAAGAAAAAGAAGGAUUAGAUGAUAACCAAAAAAUCCAAUAUCAUUGGUUUUUUUAUUUAUGAAGUUCAAUUUCCCCCCUAUUUGAGGUGGCUUGGUCUCUUCCCUUGCAAUUAAGGUAGGUCAAAUGUUUAAGAGAUGUGAGUUUUCUCCUUUUACACUUAUUUGCUUCAAGGUUGGUUUUAUUCAUUAUGCCUAGCAUAUGGUUUUCUUUUAUUUUAGCUUUGAUGGAACUUAUGUGAUUUCUAUGACUUAGAUCAUACACUCCUUGUUAGAAACUUUAUCUAUAACAUAUAUCCUCUUAAUUUUCCCAUACAUGUCAAUGUUUGUAGUGAUGACCCUCAUUUUGUUUCUCACUAUGCAGCCUGUAGAUCAAAGGCAACAUCUUUCUAUGUGCUUUGACAAACUUAUGAUAAACAUAAAUCAAAGCUUGGACUUAAAAAAUAGGGAUAAGUUCACCAGAAUCUGACUAGAUUUAAGAACGAAUUCUACAACAAAUAAAUUGUGACAUCUUUUAGGCAACAACAACAAUUUUAUACUAGUAGAAGGAAUUCAUGUGUUUGCCCCCCUAAUCUUUGAGCAAAAAAAAAUCGAAAAAGAGAUGGAAGAAAAGAACAGAAAACCAACUUCCUAUGUUGUGAAAAAGUGCUGCAAAUUCCUUGAUUACUUUGUAUAGGAAGUGAUUUACAUGUAGUUUUCUUAAGUGGUAUCAUAAAUCAUACUAGGAAUUGGAGGAAAAGAUAGAAAAUACAGAGUGGUUGUCAGGCUUGUAUGGGUUCACUAAGGUGGGAUUAGAAUAUUGUAGUUUUUUUUAUUUUCAAUUAUUUUUUAGGAGAAAAAGAAAAAAGAAAAAGAAAAAUUAUGAUUUUUUUUGUUUUUUUUAACAAAUAUAAGUGGUGGAAACUUAAUUUUAUGAAUUAGAUAAUAUAAGUGUAUUUUUCCUCCACAAAGUUCAUGCUCUUGUUGGAUUAUUAUAAGGUACAUUCUCUCUAUGAUCUCUUUAAACCUAGAAAGAACACUUAAAACUUUACAACUAUUAUACCACCUAGAUAGAAACCAAAAGGUCUUCUAUCUUUUUAGGUUUCAGAACAUUAUUGCCUUAUAGUGGCAAACUAUAAGGGUCAAGGCUCAAUUCAACUACUAUAAUAACAAGUCUGGUCAAGUUAGAUUCUCUCUGCUUAUUGUAAACUAUUUGUACAAGACAUUUUUUCAAUGACUUUAUAUGGACUAUAAGAAGCCUAUUCCCAAAUGGUAACCAUGAGCUCCAAUAUCCUAUCCUCACUUUAGACUGUCAUUUACUUAGAAUAUUUAGUUUGGAGAAUAGACAAUGGGUAAUCUUUUUGUUUAAGCAAGUCAUCAUUAUCUACUUUCUUGUUUCUACAUUCUAACAUUUACAUAAUGCCAAAAUUUGGGCCCAAGCAUCUCGUGGUAAGAGUGUCCCUCAAAUAUCUAUGUUAAUCGAACAAGAACUAACUGACACAAAUGGAAAUUAUAAACAAUGGAGACAACCCUUGAAGUGACCUUUGACUCUCUUAGGGGAACAUCUUGAUUCAUGUGUCCUGAUGUGCCUCUUGAUGUUAUUUUUCAACUGCUUGGUGCCACAUAUCUCACAAAUAAUGUGUUGGUCACAAGAUUGGAGAUGAGCUGUGGACCCCGCAUUUAGAUUGCUCGAAUGCGUUUCCCACUCGAUGGCGAAACUCGAUUUUUAUUUGAAAAUUUUGAUUUUUAUUGAUUAAGAAAAAUGACUUGGAGUCGCCACUUAUUUUUGUUUUAUUUUUAAAGGGUAAACAAAAUAAGAAAGAAAAACCUUAAGUGUGACUCCUUGUUUUGGAAAAAGCGGUCUGUGAAAAACCGGAUCGGGUUCGGGGGUCAGGUUACUUAUUAGGAAGGUACGGUAAAGACCGUAGCACCCCUCUAAGUCCCUAAAGUCGGGUCUCUACUAAUGAAAUGAAGCUGACAUGGCAAUCAAUGUGAAAAUCAAUGAAUACUCAAAUCAAUCAUGCACAUAUGAGUAUCAGAAUAUGCAUAGAGAAUAACCAAAGUGGAAGUGGAUGCGUACCUGAUCAGCAAAUAGAAACGCGCUAUCAUGAAACAUGGUUAGUGAACAAUGAACAGAUAUAAUCAAGCGCUUAUCAAGGAGUAGGGUGAACCAAUCAUGCAUGGCAAAUAAAUCAAUCGAUCAGUCAAUCAAACAUGAAGUCAAGUAUGUAGGGCCCCCACCAAAGCCCGUUUAUUUUUGCAUGAAUUAAUUCCAUAAAUUCCAUUAUUCGGAAUUACGAAAUUUAAUUCUUACUUAUUUUCAAAACAUUUUAAAAACAAAGAAAAUGCAAAAGUGGCUUGCCAGAAGGAAAAUGACAACCAAAUUUUAUUGAAAAUGGAAUUUCGGUAUCCAAAAAUUCUAAGCAUGGAAAAUGGGAAAUUUUGGAUUAUUUGAAAAUCAGAAUUUGAGAAAAAUAUUUACAAAAGGGGAUUUGAGAAAUCAUUUUCAAAAAUCAAAUAAGAAGAAAACCAAGAAUGCCACAUGGAACCGGGGUAUGGAAUAGGUGGUAAGUGAGCUCUUGAGUCAACACUGUUGAUUUAUUGUCAAUGGCAAGAUUGGUAAUUUGGCUCCCAAAACUGUCCAAAUAUAAGCUGCUGUCAUUAAUGCAGAUUUUAUGGCUGUUGGGGGACCAGUCAAGGGGAGCUUGGUGAAACAUAGCAGCCAUCCUGCUCAUGUACGGACAUGCCAACCUUCCAAUUUCGGUGAAAGAAAGUGUCGGAGAAGGGUAAAUGGAUGAUGCCCGUACCGUCAUUGAGAACGAAACGGCCCUGAGCGUCAUCGGAGGCGGAGAUCAAGAUGCCCUGUAACCAGGCACGCUGGAAAAGGGCGUCGCUGCAUGUGAAGUCCUUCUGCGACGUCCUUUCUUUAGCCUUCUUAGCUGUCUGCAUAUUACCUUCAGCGUUGCUAGGUUGUAAUCUAUCUUCCCCUGUUACCAGUUGAGUUUCUCUAGCCCUAGAAACUUUUCCAUCGGCCGGAGCACCUUGGAGCCUUCAGAGAGAAGAGACAUGGGUCUGUACACGACACCUCAAUGCUCCGACGAGAUUUUGCAAUCUCGGGUGACUUAAUCUCCAUCAUCACUAUCAACCGUAGCUGCCAGGCCCCGAAACUUGGAGCCAGACCACCCCUUGGCUUGGUGGCUGCCGCGACGACCAUCUCCAAAAUCCUCAUCGUCGUCCUCUGCAGCCUUGUCGAUUCUUGAUGGUGACGCUGAACCUAUGGACGAAGGCAGUGUGCGCAGGAUCCAAUCCUGUGCUUCUAACCUGAGCAACAACAUCUUGGCAACCUCGCCAUCCACUUCCUUCAAAUCUCCUUUCAUGCAUACCCACCCAAUGUUCCCAUGAGCAACAGAACGUAACAUAGAAAAGGCCUUGUUACCCAUCUCAAUCUAUGUCUCAACAUUUCAAAGAUCUUCAGUGUAUACAUUGAGAACACUCAGGCAGAUCGAGCUGUAAAACUAAAGCCGAAGAGAACCCCAAGCUAAAGAGAGAAAGUGCAGUUCUGGAGAGAGAGCCAGGACCUCGAUAUUCUUCAUUAUGCCACUAACAAUUGAUUUAUCACCCAUUUGAAUAUUUCAUGUACGUCAUCGAGAACAUCAUUAGGAGAGUUUGUACAGACAAGUCUCCUUGCUUGUUUUUUUUUUUUUUCAAUGCAUGCAUCAAUUACAAUCUUUGUUCCUCACUGCUAUUGUUGUUCAUCCUUUACCUUUUCAUGCACGAAGUAAAAUAACAGAUUGGAUGCAUGGGAUUUUCGGAAUGACACCUGGUUUGAAGGUAGUUUUGGACGGUUAAGUGAGUGGGUGAUGUGGGUACGAGGACAGGAUAGGUAGAUGGUUGUAGGUACAGGGAGCGUGAAGAGGGGCAAGGUGGGUAUGUAGAGGUUGCUAAACGGGCAUAAAAGAUAGGGGGGUGAUGAUGUUGCCUCGGUGAAUUGGCGGGUACACCAACUUGGCAGUUUGAAACGUGUCAUGGUGAUGAGAGCUAAAGGCAUUGUGAAGCGAAGUGGUUGACGACGAUGACCGGAAAGGAAACUGGUGGAGAUAAAGAGAUAUUUCGUCCGGUUCCGAAACGGAUGGCAGUGGCGCUGGAAAAGAAGAGCAAGGUUUGGUAUACUGACCCGCCAUUAACACUAUGAAUACAAGCAGAACAGAGAACUUAUGGGCGGGAUUUCUAUCAAAUGAUCCUUGCAUGCUCUAACAAGGCCAUACAUAAAAUCGCAUGCCCAGUAGGCCAUACGAUGAUUGGUGAAUCCUUUUUUGAAGUAGACUCAUAGCCUGGCGGAUGACUACGUCUGAUAGGUCAGAUGCUGCUACAGUUCAAACACUGAAAAUGCACUAGAUACCUUCCCCCUUGAAGCUUCCUUUUCUUCUUUCCUCUCGUCUAUUUCUUGCCUCUCAAGUUCCAGAACAUCCUCUCCUCACCAACAGCUUCAGAAAAUUGGUUCUCCUUCUAGCAAAACUUCUCAUCCAAGAAAAUAUCUCCUCUCCAACAACCAAAAAUCUUUCCUUCAGCUUGUUUGCUUCUUUAACCAAAAUAACCUCUUCUCACAACUGUUGCAUUGAGCAAGAUCCAGAAACAAAUAGGAGCCAUAACAAAGCAGAAUCCACAGAGAACAGAACACAAAAGAAAACGAGUAAAAGUGAUCAUCAGAGGCUUCACUUCAUGAGUUAUUCGUGAGUCCUCUGAUUAGGUGAGAAAAAAAACAAUAUGGAAUGUAGAUAUUGGCAUGAUUCUUUGGGCGUUUCACAACAGAGACAAGACAUGCUCAGAUUAACAAUACCAAACAUGAAUGCAAGGUUAUAUCUCAACAAGCAACAAGUGGCCUUCAUUAUCCACUCCAAACAAAUCAACGAAUAUUCAAACAUCAACAAGAGACAUAGAAGAGUGAUAAACAGCCAAAAACCAUCAAUAAGCCUGUAGCAAUCAUACCUGAGGGAGUCUUUUUCAACAAAACCAGCAGGACUCCACGUUUUACUCCAGAAGAAUCAGUCUGCUACCCUGCUUCCGGCCAAGCUUCCUCCUCUAACUCAGAGAACCUCUCUGGAAGCUCUCAACAGCAGCCUCGAAAAUUUUUGGUUCCCUCUAGCUCCAGAAAUAUGUUCUGUCUCUAAAAAAAAACCACACCCCAGCUCUCUCCCCUUCAAGCUAAAACUCUCUUUAACUCUCUUUUUUCCAGCCAAAUGCCCCCCUUUUCCUCAGCUUGCUUUUCCCUCCAAGCUUCAGAACACACUCAAAAAAUCUCUAACGGCCGAGCCUCUGUCCCCCACUACCCUGCAGCUGCCAGACGACACCACCCCCUGCACCACUACUUUGCCGCCGGCCUCACUCUCUCUCAUCCGCUCCUCAAGACAACGGCCUGCAGAUUCUCCUUCUAGAAUCUUUUUCACCUUUACAGGUGUCUUCCCCUAAUUGGUCCAUCAACUCCACUAUUUUGAUCCUAUAUUGACUAAUCCGAGAGUGACACGUGGCCAGAAUGAGCUGCAUGAAAUAGCACCCAAAUGGGGGGUCUACAAAUAUGCCCCUCUUCGGUAGAGUUCACGAGUGUAAAGAAUAUGAACAAUGGAGUGAAAAGAAGGUGUGAAUAGUGAGUGUAAUGAAGUGAACUCUACCGAAGAACCAAGGAGACCCCCCUAUAGGGACACUAGUGAGAUAAAAACUCACUCAGGCCAGCAGACGAACACCAAGGCUCUAAUCCUAAAAAAAAAGAAAGAUGUCACAAAAUGCCUCUGCGGCCACACUAAGGAUCCAGGCUCCCUCUAAAAUGUCUCCAAAAGUGACCCAAAAAUCAAUGUCAAAGGUGAGUAACGGUCGAACCACCUUGGAGUACGAACAAGAAUGCGUCUAAAGGAGACUGCCCUAUGUGGACUACAUGAUGAAUACACGAUAAGCACAAGGUAACGAAAUGACGAGGAUGAUAAUAAGUGCAAAUCCAAUGAAGGUGAGACACGCAAUGCCACUGAAUAGGAAUGCUAGGAGCUGUGACUCUGCAUGACAAGACUGACUCUAAACACUAAACUAGGAAAUAAUAAUAAAAAAAAAUAAAGCUCUGCAAGCCAAACCAAAAAGCUAACUCUAAAUGCUAAACUGAGAAAAUAAUAGCUCUGGAAGCCAAACCAAAAAAAAGCUAACUCUAAAUGCUAAAUUGAGAAAAUAAUAGCUCUGGAAGCCAACCAAAAACUAACUCUAAAAACUAAACUAGAAAAUAACAGCUCUGGAAGCAAACCAAAAACUAACUCUAAAUGCUAAACUGAAAAUAACAGCUCUGGAAGCAAACCAAAAACUAACUCUAAAAACUAAACUAGAAAACAACAGCUCUGGAAGCCAACCAAAAACUAACUCUAAAAGCUAAACUAGGAAAUAACAGCUCUGGAAGCCGACCAAAAAACUAACUCUAAAAACUAAACUAGAUAAUAACAGCUCUGGAAGCCAACCAAAAACUAACUCUAGAAAUUAAACUAGAAAAUAACAGCUCUGGAAGCCAACCAAAAACCAACUCUAAAAACUAAACUAGAAAACAAACAGCUCUGGAAGCCAACCAAAAACUAACUCUAAACGCUAAACUAGAAAAUAACAGCUCUGGAAGCCGACCAAAAAAAAACUAACUCUAAAAACUAAACUAGAUAAUAACAGCUCUAGAAGCCAACCAAAAACUAACUCUAGAAAUUAAACUAGAAAAUAACAGCUCUGGAAGCCAACCAAAAACCAACUCUAAAAACUAAACUAGAAAACAAACAGCUCUGGAAGCCAACCAAAAACUAACUCUAAACGCUAAACUAGAAAAUAACCGCUCUGGAAGCCUAAACAAGAUGACGGUAAUGGCUCUGGAAGCAUAAACAAGACGACAGUAAUGACUCUGCAAGCCUAAACAAGAUGAUGGUAAUGGCUCUGCAAGCUUAAACAAGCUGAUAGUAAUGGCUCUGGAAGCAUAAACAAGAUGACGGUAAUGGCUCUGGAAGCCUAAACAAGAUGAUGAUAAUGGCUCUGGAAGCCUAAACAAGAUGACGGUAAUGACUCUGGAAGCCUAAACAAGAUGAUAGCAAUGGCUCUGGAAGCCUAAACAAGAUGAUAGCAAUGGCUCUGGAAGCCUAAACAAGAUGACGGUGGUGGCUCUGGAAGCUCAAACAAGAUGAUAGUAAUGACUCUGGAAGCCUAAGCAAGAUGAUGAUAAUGACUCUGGAAGCCUAAACAAGAUGACGGUAAUGGCUCUGAAAGCCUAAGCAAGAUGAUGAUAAUGACUCUGGAAGCCUAAACAAGAUGAUAGCAAUGGCUCUGGAAGCCUAAACAAGACGACGAUAAUGGCUCUGGAAGCCUAAACAAGAUGACGGUAAUGGAUCUGGACGUCGAAACUAAAAAGUGAUGAUGAUGACUCUAAACGUCAAACUGAGAAGUGAUAACGACUCUGAACGCCGAAACCAAGGAUGUGACUCUGAAUGUCGAUCUGAAAACCGAUGAUAGCUCUGAACGCCGAAACUGAGAAGUGAUGAUGAUGACUCUGAACGUCAAACUGAGAAGUGAUAACGACUCUGAACGCCGAAACCGAGGAGGGGACUCUGAAUGUCGAUCUGAAAACCGAUGAUGGCUCUGAACGCCGAAACUAGGAAGUGAUGAUGAUGACUCUGAACGUCAAACUGAGAAGUGAUAAUGACUCUGAACGCCGAAACCGAGGAUGUGACUCUGAAUGUCGAUCUGAAAAUCGAUGAUAGCUCUGAACGUCGAAAUUGGGAAGUGAUGAUGAUGGCUCUGAACACCGAAGUUGAGAAGUGAUAACGACUCUGAACGCCGAAACAGAGAACACGACUCUGAAUGUCGAUCUGAAAGUCGAUGACGGCUCUGAACGCCGAAACUGAGAGAAGUAGUGAUGAUGGCUCUGAACACCGAAGCUGAGAAGUGAUAACGACUCUGAACGCCGAAACCGAGGAUGUGACUCUGAAUGUUGAUCUGAAAAUCGAUGAUAGCUCUGAACGCCGAAAUUGAGAAGUCAUGAUGAUGGCUCUGAACGCCGAAGUUGAGAAGUGAUAACGACUCUGAACGCCGAAACCGAGGAUGUGACUCUGAAUGUCGAUCUGAAAAUCGAUGAUGGCUCUGAAUGCCGAAACUAAGAGAAGUAGUGAUGAUGACUCUGAACGUCAAACUGAGAAGUGAUAACGACUCUGAACGCCGAAACCGAGGAGGGGACUCUGAAUGUCGAUCUGAAAACCGAUGAUGGCUCUGAACGCCGAAACUAAGAAGUGAUGAUGAUGACUCUGAACGUCAAACUGAGAAGUGAUAACGACUCUGAACGCCGAAAUCGAGGAGGGGACUCUGAAUGUCGAUCUGAAAACCGAUGAUGGCUCUGAACGCCGAAACUAAGAAGUGAUGAUGACUCUGAACGUCAAACUGAGAAGUGAUAACGACUCUGAACGCCGAAACCGAGAACGUGACUCUGAAUGUCGAUCUGAAAACCGAUGAUAGCUCUGAAUGCCGAAACUGAAAAGCUACAAUGAUGGCUCUGAAUGCCGAAACUGAGAAGCGAUGAUGGCUCUGAAUGCCGCAACUAAAAAGUGAUGGUGGCUCUGAAUGCCGACAAUUGGAGAAGUGGCUCUGAACGCCGAACUGAAAAAAUGUGACAUGAUGACUCUGAAUGUCGUAAACCGUGAAUGAAAGACAGCUCUGAACACCAGACUGCAAGGAAACAAUGAGGGGGAAAUAUGCCCUAGUGUGGCAUGCCGCUGCAAAUCUCAAUCCGUCGGGAAAUGGCCGAAAGGGACUCUACGGGUCUCGAACGACGCUCCCCUGAGAGCUCAUAUCGAUGAAGAGCUCAGGAAUGAUGGUCAGUGAGACGAAUACAAUAUAUCUCGGCCGAGUGAUGGAAGCUGUGAUGGACAUGCAAGAGAACGAUCGCCUCCACGGCUAAAUGAGGGAAAUAUGCCCCAGUAUGGCAUCAGAUGUAUCCGAUCUGUCCUGAUAACCCGAGAAUAGCACCGAUGGGACGCGUAACAGAUCUGAUAUGUACCCCACUGAAAUGACGAUGCGGGAAUCUAGGCACUCGACAUAACCCCAUCCAGGAAUCACGACUAUAUCAAAGAGUAUGAAUCUGGCUGAACGAGUCAAGAGAGGCUCCUCGGAGUAUCAGGACAAAAUGAAAUCAAUCAUCAACCUGGCGUGUAUCUCAUAACCGUGGGUGAUCAUGUAAACCAGUGGGGAUCUAUAAAUCUCGAUCAAGAUGGGGAAUAUGCCCCAGUGUGGCAUCGGAAAUGUAACAUGUCGAAAAAUCAGAUGAGCUCAAAUCAUCUAUGCCUGCAACUGGCUAGAUGGCUCUCGAUAGGUUCCACUAAGGAAUCAUCGCGAGGAUAGCGAAUAUAUCAUCAUCCCUGCAUACAUCUCGUAAAUAAGGAUAAGCACGCGACUCCCUCAUGAUCUGUAAAUCUCAUCCGAACGGAAAUAUGUCCCUGUAUGGCAUCGAAAUGUAGGAUAGGUCGGAGAUCAGAUAGCAUGGAAUCAUCUAUCCUCGAACAUGUGACCUCUGCGAAGAUCCGUAAAGAUCCUCCGAAACGGAAUAUGCCCCAGUAUGGCAUCGACGUGCGACAAAUCAGGAAAUAUAGGUGACAUCAAAUCAUCUCUCAUCAAACAUGUGAUCCUGGUAAUCCAAACACGGCUGAAACGAAUCUAAACAUCUGAGAAGUGUCUCGCAGAAGAAGAUGCAUGGCAAAUAUCUAAAUGUCAACCGAAUCUCGAACACCUGUCCACAUAGAAGCUAUAGAAGACGAUAUCCGAUCCCAUGGCCUCAGGGUGGUCUUAAGACACGGGACGUAAUGUAGGCUAGGGUGAUAGGGUGAUAGAAAUGAAGGGAAACUAAGCUCAAAUACCCGAUGAUCAAAACCCAUACCCUCAUGUAUGAAAUGCAACAAGUAUAGUAAAUCCCGUGAGCCAUGGACCCAAUGGUGCCUAAUGUGAACAUAGUGUCAAUGAGGAGACAAGUGAAGCAAAACAAACUGAUAAUGAGAUAUGUAAUGGUGAUACGAAGGGAAUAUCAAACCCGAGAUGGGUCGUGGUAAGAAAAGAAUAAGAGGUGAAGUGAGAAUGAUGAAUCAGAAGCGAAAAUGAGGACGAUGAUAAUGAAGCGAAUAACAUCAAAAGGAGUGAUGAUCAACUCAGAUCAGACAUGGAGUGAAGUCACAUCAACUACGAACAUAAUGAUGGAACGGACAAUAACCCAGAGCUCCUAAGGGAAAGUCACUCAUCUCGUUCAUAAAACAUGCAACAAAAUGAAUACAAAGCCUGAGGGAUCCCGGGAAGCUCACAUACGAACUCCCGUCAACAAACAUACUCGAUCAAGUGACCCUCGAAUAUCAAUACAUACACUCGGUGUUGGAUAACAAUACACGCCUGGUUUUUAUUUCUUUUUCCAUUUUUUUUUUUUUUUAAAACAACAUAUGAAUGAACUGUACAUGCUCUGAACUCAUACAAAGAAGACCCAAAGACGAGAUCAAAAAUGAACAAGCAUGCUCUCAAAUAUCAAUAUAUCACAAACUCAAUCUAAUGAGAUGAGGUGACCUUCUCAAACUGAGGAUCCCUGGAUCAGUGUCCGUGGGAUAGAUAGUGGAAAUGACAUGACUACCCUCCAUGUAGUGAACUGAGGAGGAUCACCACUCGGGGUGGAAGAAAAUGAUGCAAAUGAGCAGUAGACAGGAUAAACAAGAUGAGACGAAUAACACAACCGAUGAGGCGAGAUGAAAAUGCAAUGAUGUAAACAUAUAGAGAAUAUAAUGAGGAGAAUGCACCCCUAGGUCCAAGGCUCAUGAAACUCCUGAACAAUGCAUGCAUACACUAGAGGGCCCCUAUCCCGGUGAGAAAGUGUGAGCAAGGCAAUAAGAAAGAAAGGCUAUAAUGCGCGUGCGAGGCUCAAUGGGCUAACAACAGUCUAUAUAGAUCAGAAGGGGAUAAAGGGAUAUAGCUAACCGAAAUGAUGGCCACCCAUCCUGCGACCAUGGACUCAAACAUAGUACCUCUUUAGCUGAUCCACAUUGGUCGGCUCUGAGAACUGGUUUCCAUCUAAAUCCAUCAGCCAUGCAGCGCCCUCUGGAGUCAACUCCCUGAUGAAAUAAGGUCCGCUCCAACUGGGUCUGAACUUCCCUCUAGGAUCUCUGAUCAAUCCCCUGAUGACUCUCAAGACUAAAUCACCUACAUGCAGUGGUCUCGGCUUGACCCGCUUUUUGAAAGCGCGGGCCAUCUUCCUCUGAUAUGCACGAAUGUGGUCUGCUGCUCUCAAUCUCCUCUCAUCUAGGAGAUUGAGCUGAUCAAAUCGAGCCUGAGCCCAAUCCGUCUCGGGAAUCUGCUGCUCUAGUGCUACUCUCAAUGAUCCCAUCUCAAUCUCAACAGGUAGCACUGCCUCCAUGCCGUACACCAAUGAAUAGGGUGUGGCUCCUGUAGAGGUGCGAAAAGAAGUCCGAUAUGCCCACAAUGCGAAAGGGAGCUUCUCCGACCAAUCCCGAGAAGUCUUAACCAUCUUCCGCAAUAUCCUCUUAAUAUUCUUAUUCGCGGCCUCUACUGCCCCAUUCGUCUGCGGCUUGUACGCAGUCGAUCUAUGAUGCCGGAUGCUGUAUCUCUGUACUAAGGUGUCAACCUCUGCUUUGAAAUGUACCCCUCUAUCCGAGAUCAGCUCGUGGGGGACUCCGUAGCGACAAAUGAUGUGUGAUCUAAUGAAACUGGCAACUCUGGAUGAUGUCAAUCUCGCAUACGAAGCAGCCUCCACCCACUUGGUGAAAUAAUCGAUAGCAACCAAGAUGAACUCAUGACCACUGGAAGAUUUCGAUGAAAUCUUCCCGAUGAUGUCUAUGCCCCACACAGAAAAUGGCCAUGGCGAAGUAAGUGCAUGCAACUCGGAAGGCGGCACGUGAAUGAGAUCUCCAUGUAUCUGACACUCGGGACAUCUCUGAACGAACUGGCAACAAUCUGUCUCCAUAGUCAACCAAAAAUAGCCAGUCCUCAUGAUCUUACGAGCCAACAUAUGUCCUCCCAUAUGUGGUCCGUAAACUCCCGCAUGAACCUCUCUCAUCACUCGAUCGGCAGAGGCGCGGUCUAAACACAAUAAUAGCAUCCCGUCAGCUGAUCGCCUAUAUAGCGUCUCACCACAAAUCACGAAACGGGUGGCCAACUGUCUCAAUGCCCUCCUAUCCUUGGCCGUGGUGGCCUCAGGAUAAACGCCGAGUCUCAAAAAGUGAUAUAUGUCAUGAUACCAGGGCAAACCAUCGUCUAUCUCCAUAUCAUCAAUCAAACAACAGUACGCAGGAGCAGAUCUCGACUCGAUCAACAAUGGGCGAACAGUGGCAUCAGCGGGAAUAUCAAUCAUGGAAGCUAGAGUAGCUAAAGCAUCAGCAAACUGGUUCUGCGCUCUAGGCAGAUGUGUAUAUCUCAAAUCCUCAAAUCUCGCAACCAGUAGCUCCAAAUAUGCAUGAUAAGGCCUAAGCUUCGCGUCUCUAGUCUUCCACUCGCCCUGAAUCUGUCUCAAUACCAGAUUGGAGUCACCAAACACCUCCAUCUGUCUAAUCCCGAGCUCGAGGGCUGUCUCUAGCCCCAAGAUACAUGCCUCAUACUCAACAAUGUUGUUCGUGGCCGGAUGUCGAUCCGAGAAUGCCAAACGAACAGAUCUGGGAAUGUGAUCACCAUGAGGGGAUAUCAACAAAACACUUAUCCCAUAUCCAGAAUGGUUGGCUGCACCAUCAAAGUACAUGCGCCAACCCGACAGACUAGUCACAGCUGCGACAUCCUCGUCUGGGAAGUCAUCAUCAAUAGCUCUGGCAUCAGAAACUGGUAAUGAGGCUAAGUGAUCUGCGACAAUGCUCCCUCUGAUGGACUUCUGAGUGACAUAAUGAAUGUCAAACUCAGUCAGAAGUACCAGCCAUCUCAUAAGGCGACCAACUAGAGCGGGCCUAUCAAACAAAUAUCUCAAAGGAUCAAGACGAGAUAUCAAAUGCACUGAAUACUCGGUCAUGUAAUGUCUCAAUCGGCGAGUGGCCCAAACCAAUGCCAAGCAAUAGCGCUCAAUCAUGACAUAUCUCGUCUCGUAAUCUAGCAUCCUCUUACUCAGAUAAUAAAUGGCUCGAUCUUUGCCCGAAUCAUCGAGCUGAGCUAACAUGCAACCUAAAGCCACAUCCGAAACUGAUAGGUAUAGGAGUAGAGGACGGCCUGGUGUAGGCGGAGCCAAAACUGGAGGCGACAACAAGUACUCUCGGAUCCUCUCAAAUGCGCGCUGACACUGAUCAUCCCAAACAGUAGGUUGACUCUUCCUCAAGAGUCGAAAAAUGGGCUCACAAAUGUCUGUCAAUCUGGCAAUGAAUCUGCUGAUGUACUGAAGUCUGCCUAGGAAGCCUCUGACCUCUCUUUCUGUCCUCGGCGCAGGCAUGUCAAGAAUGGCUCUAAUCUUGUCCGGAUCUACCUCUAUGCCUCGCUCACUGACCAUGUAUCCCAAGAGUUUCCCAGAAGUCACUCCGAAAGUGCACUUCUUGGGAUUCAGUCUCAAUCUGAACUGUCUGAUCCUCUCAAAGAACCUCUCCAGAGCUGCUAAGUGAUCUGAUCUACCUCGGGAUUUCACUAUCAUGUCGUCUACAUAAACCUCGACAUCCCGAUGCAUCAUGUCAUGGAAGAGGGUGGUCGCUGCUCUCUGAUAUGUGGCUCCUGCGUUCUUCAAUCCGAAUGGCAUGACUCUAUAGCAAUAAGUACCCCACUCGGUAAUGAAGGACGUCUUCUCCAUGUCCUCUAGAGCCAUCAAGAUCUGACUGUACCCGGAAAAUCCGUCCAUAAAGGACAACAUCGAGUGACCUGCUGUACUGUCAACUAACAUGUCGAUGUGUGGGAGAGGAAAAUCAUCCUUAGGACUGGCCUUGUUGAGAUCUCGGAAAUCAACACAGACUCUCACUUUGCCAUCCUUUUUGGGAACAGGGACGACAUUGGCCAGCCACUCUGGGUACUCGACCACUGAUAGAAACCCCACACUGAGUUGCUUCUGAAUCUCCUCUUUCACCUGCAAGCUCCAACGAGGGUGCAAUCGUCUCAACUUCUACUUAACCGGUCUGACAUGGGGCAGAAGUGGCAAACGAUGCUGGACGAUAGAUGGAUUAAGGCCCGGCAUGUCCUCAUAGGACCAUGCAAAGACGUCCAAAUAUGCUCUGAGCAACUGGAUGAGGCUGUCCCUCUCAUCUGUAGAUAGAUCUGACCCGAUCCUCAACUCCCUAGGCUGAUCUGCAGUGCCAAAAUCAACAAUCUCUGUGUCUCCUACAGCAGGUGAAACCCUCUGAUCAACGGGACCCGAAUCGGAAACAGAAGAUGAGUCAUCAUCUGAGUCAUGCUGUGCAAUCUCAUCAUCAAUAUCAAAAAUCUGUGAUGUGGGUGAAGAUGGUGCAGAUAAAUCAAUAUCACAAGAGACAGACAAAUACUCAAAAAUGCUCAAAUCCAUAGAUGAAACAUCGGAAACAAUGUCAGAACGGGAGACGAACCCCGACAGAACGUCAAAUGAAAGAGGUGGGUCCACAAAGUCGGACGCUCCCUCAACAAUGCCAACAUGGCUAUCAAUCAAAUCAUCAAAAACUAUAGCAUCCUCAGCAAUCUCCAGAGCAGGGGCUGUCUGGAUCUCCUCAACGAUCUCGAUGAAAGACACCCCGAAAAGAUCGAAUGGUGAAGUGAGUCCAGGCUGAAUAGUCUCCUCAAUCUGGCUCAGGCUCAGGGCGAGCAUCUCGUCGAUGUACUCGUCAUGUGGGGCAGCUCCGUCCACUACGUCCCCGACCUCAGCAAGGGUCCCAUGCUCAUCGAUCUCAUCAGGAAAACAAAGCGUCAUAAGGCUCGUGCGAUCCGGAGAAGAAGGAGCAAUCAACACAGAAGUCGAAGGACCAGGGGCUCCAUCUCUCAAUCGUAACUGCUGGACAAGGCGCUGAAGCUCGGCCUCCUGGGUGGUGCUAAGUCCUCCGACGAUCCCGUCAGAUGGUGCGUGCGGCUCCGAUGCCCUCACAAAGUAAUCUGCUAAGCUCCUGGUGUAUGGGCGAAGAGGAUAGUAGAAAGGUGUGUGGGUCAGUCGAGCCCUCACUCUCUCCUUGCGCAAACGCGCCAUGUAGAGAUAAUCGGCCUCAUUGGGGAUGAACCCGAGCCCAAAUGGUACGUCAUGAUCAGGAAUAGUGAUGAACUCGCUCGGUCCAUGCUGACGUCGACCCAACCCCAUGUCGGGUAGAUAAGACAUGCUCCGCAUAAUAUCGAGCACCACUGUGCUCCCAUGCCGGUCAAAGGACAUGGCCACAAAAUCCCGGCAGAAAUCCUCUAUCUCCACAGUCUGCACCUCAUCGAAGGUGAAUCCAGUCAGAAAAAGAUCGUCAUCAGUGUGACUAAUCUCGAGCACAGGCUCGGCGGUAAUGAACAUGUCUCCCACAGACUGUACCACGACGACCUGACCAUCGUGAAUAAACUUCACCUUCUGAUGAAGGGAAGAAGGAAUGGCCCCGGCUCUAUGGAUCCACGGUCGGCCCAGAAGCAGGUUAAAGGAUGUAGGAAUCCUCAAAACCUGGAAUACAGCGACAAAAGUGGCUGGACCGAUCAGCAGCUCGAUCUCCAAUGUACCCAUGACCUCUCUACGGGUGCUGUCAUAAGCUCGGACGGUCUGAGUGGAUGGGCCGAAAUCAGAAGGAGCGUAUCCAAGGGUGAUGGCAGUGGCAAGAGGACAUACGUUCAGGGCCGAGCCAUUGUCCAAAAGGACAGAUGGGACUCGGCGGCCUGAACAACCAACAGAUAUGUAGAGCGGGCGAGUGUGGUCUGAGCCCUCCGGUGGCAAGUCAUCAUCGGAAAAGACAAUACAAGUGGCUCUGCCAACCGUCAUCAUAUGAAUGAGUCCCUCGGGAGUGGUCGUGGUAUCAACUCUGAUCUGGCUCAGAGCUCGAGUCAGUGCAUCCCGAUGAGUACUGGAGGACGCUAAAAGGCUCCAGAUAGAAAUACGAGCCUGAGUGCUCUGCAACUGCCUCAAAAUCUCGUCAUCCUCUGCUCUGACCUCCUCCUGGGAGGCAGAUGUACCCUCAACUGGCCUAGCUGCCGCGGGAGGUGGCUGUCUCACUACUCUCCCUCCCCGGAGGAUAUACUGAACGUCCGGAGUCUGAGGAUCAUCACGAUGUGGAGCCUGAACCUCCUCAACAUCUGGGAUCAGAAUGUACGGCGCCUGAACGCUAUAGCAUGUGAAUGUCAGAGGCUCGGAAGUGGGCGCCUGUACAGAUGCUGCCUUAGGAACUAAUCGGAAUGAAGCGGGCAUCUGUGGCUCUAGAGUCACCCCACUCGUCUCGUAAAUCCCAGCUGGCAUGAUAGGCUCUGGCUCUGGAUCAUCCCAACUCAACAUAUGGACAUGAUCAUCAGUCUCAUCGAAGUCCAAGAAAUGAAUACCACCAGCUGGUGGAGGAACUGCAUGUGUGGUGUGGGUCGGCAACGGGUUUGUGGUCACACUCGGCUGGCCCAAGUGUACCAAACCCUGGUCUAUCAGAUCCUGAAUAGCGUGCCUCAGAGCGGUGCAUCGAUCGGUCUCAUGUCCAGGCCCCUGAUGAUAAGCACAGUGUAAAUCCAUCCUGAACUGAGCUGGAAUCGGCUGAGGUAGUGGCCGAGGGGUGAGAGCAGUCAACAAACCGGCCUCUAUGAGCUUCCGAAGAGCCUGGCUCAACGGCAUGCCUAUCUGCGAGAACUGCCUCUGCGUCCUCAAAGCAAACGGAGCAGAAGUCUACUGGGCUCCCGGUCGGGGAUAAGGCGCCGCAGGUCUCGCAGUGAACUGAGCAGCGUAGCAUGGCUGCCCUGCGGCUGUGUAGGAGACCGCGGGUCUCUCAAUGCUCUGAGUGGCAUAAGAAGGUAAAACCAAUGUCCGUGGCAUGUGUGUUUGAUCGUAAGCUGGACGAGGUGCCCGUGGCCUGUACUGAUGAGAUGCAUAGGAAGAAUGAGGCUCGGAAAACUGUGGGAUCGGCUGAUGGCGUCUGAGAGGCCUCUGACUGGAUGAACUGAUAACACCAACCUCUGUCGGUCUCGGUCCUAUGAAUGGUUUCUUCCCCUUAACAUCACUAGGGGAAGAAUCUGCCCAUAAACCUCUCGUGAUGCCAUCCUCGACAUCAUACAAAGCCAUAACUAGAGACCCAAAAUCUGUGAACGGGACCCCAACCACAUGUCUGGCGAUCCUCGGCUGUAGGCUCCUCAAAACCAUCUGAAUCUGGUGUCUCUCUAAUGGUCUAUCCACUAUCUCAGCUAUCUUCUCGCGCCAACGGGAAAUGAAAGAAGAAGCGGACUCCUCUGUCCUCUGCCUCAGAGCCUCGAGCUCUCUCCUCGAUACGUCUACAACAGUGUUAAACGAAAACUGUCGUAGGAACUCCUGGGCCAAGUCAUCCCAUGUACGGCGUCUUGAGGACUCCAGAGACGUCAACCAACGCUGAGCCGCCCCACUCAGAGAUAGGGGGAAAAGAGUGAUCAUCUGAGGCUCGUCCAGUCCAUGAGCCCUCAUCACGGUGCUAUAAAGUCUGAGGUGGAGGCGCGGACAACCAAUACCAGUGUACCUCUCAAUAUCUGGCAUCCUGAACUUAGCCGGCAAGCUGGCUACCGGCAUACCCCCAAAAUCAUCCCAAACAACGGAUCCAUCUGACACUCUCAUCUGCCUCAUACACUGCUCGAUGCGGUCCAUGCGCGCAUGCGUGUCAUCAGCGACAACGGCCUGGGCGACUACGGGUGGAGCGAUCUCAGAAUGCCCGUGUAAUACAUAUGGUGAUGCCUAAUGCACUGAAGGAACGGGUGGGGGUGGUGGAGGUGGGUGUGAGUCAUAUGGCGUCUCAUCCUGAACUAUCGAUGGUCUACCCUGCUGACCACCGAUCUCCUGCCUGAGGCUAGCCAAAGCCUCCUGGAUAGAAGCCAUGGCAGCCGUGAACUGAUCGACCGUGACAACCUGCUGAUCCAUAUCUGGUGUAUCUGAAACCCGAACUAAUCUGCCCUCUACUCUGAUCCACGAAACUAUACCCAGACUGAGAGUAAAAAUCCUGAUCCUGAAAGUACUCCUCCUCUGCUCUGAUCCACAAAGGUAUAUCAAGACAAGGAACAAAGGUCCGAUCCUACAAAGCACGAAGAACGGAAUAAGGAUAUGGCUUGGGGAAUGUAUAGAAGAAAAGAUAAUCUGAACAGGAACAAGCAAAGCAUCCAAGUGAAGAUGAGCGGUCCGACCGUACUCAAACUCGUCAUGAUCUCAGUGCACUCUCAACUGGAGACUAAACAGAGGGAAAAUCGGAUCCAAAACUGCGGCUACAGAGGCACGGAAAGCCCUCAGAUGCACCCACGUGUAGGGAGGGAAUCCUAAUCGAAGGAUCUACGGCUCAACCUACAAGGUCAAGGUGGCUCUAAAUGGAUAAGGGUGGACUUUAAAAUAUCCCUAGCAGAAGCGAUCAUACCCUCCGACGGUACGCAACCCUCUGUACGCCUCCGAAGAGACGGGGCGCUUCCAUGCAAGGUGGUCAUCACCUCCACACAUGCACUACCUCGCAUCCCAGGGGGUUUCCUAUGGUGAAACCUCUCAAACUCUCAACACUCAAUAGUCUACUAGCGUGCACAGUGAUGGUGUGGGUGCAUCCGAAACCCUAAGAAGCUAAAGCAAGAUAUGAAACACACUGGCCACACAAAUAUCCAUGAAACCUAGCUCCGGGCUAUAUAGGUCUUCAAUGAUCGGACUCCAAUCGACAUCAAAGUGUCGCUCUCCUCCAGAAUGCUCCCGUACAUCGAUAUAGCCCGUCGCUAGACCCUACUCCUAAUCUCUGGCUCGGUCAGAGAGCAAACACACAGAAGGUCUCACACUUGCAAUAGUGAGAACCGGGAUGAAAGGAAUGACCGAAACCAAGAGAAUUGGAGGUAAGGGGAUAGAUGUGCUACCCACAUAGACAAGCAACAUGCAAUCAUGCAGAAGGAAGGCAGUCACGCGUCAUACAGUCAAGCAAAGUACAGGAUAUAUCACUCAUGUCCACACAAAAAGCUACAACUAUCAGGAUGAAUAGCGAUAUGAACAUCAUGCUCAAAAGACGAUCAAGAUAAUAUGCAAGUCAGAGAAUCAACAUAUCAAGUCAAAUGAUAUACACCAGUGAAUCCAUGCAUGUGAGGUGAACAGAACAAUCAUGGCAAAAUCAGAAUGACUAUGCUAAGCAAGGCAAGAUGAUCAAUCAAUAUAAUCAGCAUGUCAAUGUACUCAACAAACAUGGCAAUGAAGCACAGAAAAAACAAAAUCCUUAAUCAAGAUAAUCAAUCUCAUAAUCAGCAUGUCAAAUAUCCCAAACAAAUAUAUCAAUGAAGCACAAAGAAAAUCACUGUGUCAAAAUCCCCAAUCAAGAUAAUCGACUAAUACGAUCAAUCAUGUCAAUGUCCCAAGUGAAAACUCAGGAACCCUCAAUGUGCAAUCAAGAAGUGAGUAUCCACUAAUCGACUCAUCAAAAGCCACAUUUGCUUCAUCCUAAGUUCAAGCUUGGCCCUCUAAUGAUCCCUAGUGGAGUCGCCAUUUUGUGGACCCCGCAUUUCGAUUGCUCGAAUGAGUUUCCCACUCGAUGGCGAAACUCGAUUUUUAUUUGAAAAUUUUGAUUUUUAUUGAUUAAGAAAAAUGACUUGGAGUCGCCACUUAUUUUUGUUUUAUUUUUAAAGGGUAAACAAAAUAAGAAAGAAAAACCCUAAGUGUGACUCCUUGUUUUGGAAAAAGCGGUCUGUGAAAAACCGGAUCGGGUUCGGGGGUCAGGUUACUUAUUGGGAAGGUACGGUAAAGACCGUAGCACCCCUCUAAGUCCCUAAAGUCGGGUCUCUACUAAUGAGAUGAAGCUGACAUGGCAAUCAAUGUGAAAAUCAAUGAAUACUCAAAUCAAUCAUGCACAUAUGAGUAUCAGAAUAUGCAUAGAGAAUAACUAAAGUGGAAGUGGAUGCGUACCUGAUCAACAAACAGAAACGCGCUAUCAUGAAACAUGGUUAGUGAACAAUGAACAGAUAUAAUCAAGCACUUAUCAAGGAGUAGGGUGAACCAAUCAUGCAUGGCAAAUAAAUCAAUCGAUCAGUCAAUCAAACAUGAAGUCAAGUAUGUAGGGCCCCCACCAAAGCCCGUUUAUUUUUGCAUGAAUUAAUUCCAUAAAUUCCAUUAUUCGGAAUUACGAAAUUUAAUUCUUACUUAUUUUCAAAACAUUUUAAAAACAAAGAAAAUGCAAAAGUGGCUUGCCAGAAGGAAAAUGACAACCAAAUUUUAUUGAAAAUGGGAUUUCGGUAUCCAAAAAUUCUAAGCAUGGAAAAUGGGAAAAUUUGGAUUAUUUGAAAAUCAGAAUUUGAGAAAAAUAUUUACAAAAGGGGAUUUGAGAAAUCAUUUUCAAAAAUCAAAUAAGAAGAAAACCAAGAAUGCCACAUGGAACCGGGGUAUGGAAUAGGUGGUAAGUGAGCUCUUGAGUCAACACUGUUGAUUUAUUGUCAAUGGCAAGAUUGGUAAUUUGGCUCCCAGAACUGUCCAAAUAUAAGCUGCUGUCAUUAAUGCAGAUUUUAUGGCUGUUGGGGGACCAGUCAAGGGGAGCUUGGUGAAACAUAGCAGCCAUCCUGCUCAUGUACGGACAUGCCAACCUUCCAAUUUCGGUGAAAGAAAGUGUCGGAGAAGGGUAAAUGGAUGAUGCCCGUACCGUCAUUGAGAACGAAACGGCCCUGAGCGUCAUCGGAGGCGGAGAUCAAGAUGCCCUGUAACCAGGCACGCUGGAAAAGGGCGUCGCUGCAUGUGAAGUCCUUCUGCGACGUCCUUUCUUUAGCCUUCUUAGUUGUCUGCAUAUUACCUUCAGCGUUGCUGGGUUGUAAUCUAUCUUCCCCUGUUACCAGUUGAGUUUCUCUAGCCCUAGAAACUUUUCCAUCGGCCGGAGCACCUUGGAGCCUUCAGAGAGAAGAGACAUGGGUCUGUACACGACACCUCAAUGCUCCGACGAGAUUUUGCAAUCUCGGGUGACUUAAUCUCCAUCAUCACUAUCAACCGUAGCUGCCAGGCCCCGAAACUUGGAGCCAGACCACCCCUUGGCUUGGUGGCUGCCGCGACGACCAUCUCCAAAAUCCUCAUCGUCGUCCUCUGCAGCCUUGUCGAUUCUUGAUGGUGACUCUGAACCUAUGGACGAAGGCAGUGUGCGCAAGAUCCAAUCCUGUGCUUCUAACCUGAGCAACAACAUCUUGGCAACCUCGCCAUCCACUUCCUUCAAAUCUCCUUUCAUGCAUACCCACCCAAUGUUCCCAUGAGCAACAGAACGUAACAUAGAAAAGGCCUUGUUACCCAUCUCAAUCUAUGUCUCAACAUUUCAAAGAUCUUCAGUGUAUACAUUGAGAACACUCAGGCAGAUCGAGCUGUAAAACUAAAGCCGAAGAGAACCCCAAGCUAAAGAGAGAAAGUGCAGUUCUGGAGAGAGAGCCAGGACCCCGAUAUUCUUCAUUAUGCCACUGACAAUUGAUUUAUCACCCAUUUGAAUAUUUCAUGUACGUCAUCGAGAACAUCAUUAGGAGAGUUUGUACAGACAAGUCUCCUUGCUUGUUUUUUUUUUUUUUUUCAAUGCAUGCAUCAAUUACAAUCUUUGUUCCUCACUGCUAUUGUUGUUCAUCCUUUACCUUUUCAUGCACGAAGUAAAAUAACAGAUUGGAUGCAUGGGAUUUUCGGAAUGGCACCUGGUUUGAAGGUAGUUUUGGACUGUUAAGUGAGUGGGUGAUAUGGGUACGAGGACGGGAUAGGUAGAUGGUUGUAGGUACAGGGAGCGUGAAGAGGGGCAAGGUGGGUAUGUAGAGGUUGCUAAAUGGGCAUAAAAGAUAGGGGGGUGAUGAUGUUGCCUCGGUGAAUUGGCGGGUACACCAACUUGGCAGUUUGAAACGUGUCAUGGUGAUGAGAGCUAAAGGCAUUGUGAAGCGAAGUGGUUGACGACGAUGACCGGAAAGGAAACUGGUGGAGAUAAAGAGAUAUUUCGUCCGGUUCCAAAAUGAAUGGCAGUGGCGCUGGAAAAGAAGAGCAAGGUUUGGUAUACUGACCCGCCAUUAACACUAUGAAUACAAGCAGAACAGAGAACUUAUGGGCGGGAUUUCUAUCAAAUGAUCCUUGCAUGCUCUAACAAGGCCAUACAUAAAACCGCAUGCCCAGUAGGCCAUACGAUGAUUGGUGAAUCCUUUUUUGAAGUAGACUCAUAGCCUGGCGGAUGACUACGUCUGAUAGGUCAGAUGCUGCUACAGUUCAUAUACCAAUGACCAUCAUCCUCUUUAUCUGAGCUUGCUCAUAAACACUGAAAAUGCACUAGAUACCUUCCCCCUUGAAGCUUCCUUUUCUUCUUUCCUCUCGUCUAUUUCUUGCCUCUCAAGUUCCAGAACAUCCUCUCCUCACCAACAGCUUCAGAAAAUUGGUUCUCCUUCUAGCAAAACUUCUCAUCCAAGAAAAUAUCUCCUCUCCAACAACCAAAAAUCUCUCCUUCAGCUUGUUUGCUUCUUUCACCAAAAUAACCUCUUCUCACAGCCGUUGCAUUGAGUAAGAUCCAGAAACAAAUAGGAGCCAUAACAAAGCAGAAUCCACAGAGAACAGAACACAAAAGAAAAUGAGUAAAAGUGAUCAUCAGAGGCUUCACUUCAUGAGUUAUCCGUGAGUCCUCUGAUUAGGUGAGAAAAAAAACAAUAUGGAAUGUAGAUAUUGGCAUGAUUCUUUGGGCGUUUCACAAUAGAGACAAGACAUGCUCAGAUUAACAAUACCAAACAUGAAUGCAAGGUUAUAUCUCAACAAGCAACAAGUGGCCUUCAUUAUCCACUCCAAACAAAUCAACGAAUAUUCAAACAUCAACAAGAGACAUAGAAGAGUGAUAAACAGCCAAAAACCAUCAAUAAGCCUGUAGCAAUCAUACCUGAGGGAGUCUUUUUCAACAAAACCAGCAGGACUCCACGUUUUACUCCAGAAGAAUCAGUCUGCUACCCUGCUUCCGGCCAAGCUUCCUCCUCUAACUCAGAGAACCUCUCUGGAAGCUCUCAACAGCAGCCUCGAAAAUUUUUGGUUCCCUCUAGCUCCAGAAAUAUGCUCUGUCUCUAAAAAAAAACCACACCCCAGCUCUCUCCCCUUCAAGCUAAAACUCUCUUUAACUCUCUUUUUUCCAGCCAAAUGCCCCCCUUUUCCUCAGCUUGCUUUUCCCUCCAAGCUUCAUAACACACUCAAAAAAUCUCUAACGGCCGAGCCUCUGUCCCCCACUACCCUGCAGCUGCCAGACGACACCACCCCCUACACCACUACUCUGCCGCCGGCCUCACUCUCUCUCAUCCGCUCCUCAAGACAACGGCCUGCAGAUUCUCCUUCUAGAAUCUUCUUCACCUUUACAGGUGUCUUCCCCUAAUUGGUCCAUCAACUCCACUAUUUUGAUCCUAUAUUGACUAAUCCGAGAGUGACACGUGGCCAGAAUGAGUUGCAUGAAAUAGCACCCAAAUGGGGGGUCUACAUGAGCCUUGAGGCAUUUUUCAUUAUUGAAGUGCUUAAAACAGCCUAGUUCUGAACAGACUGCCUCCACUGAGUCCAAUUUAGCUACAAUGGGAAGAGCAUUCAUAAGAGUUCACAAACAAAUAUUGGAAAAAUUCUAAGAGGUAGAUAUGUUUCCAAAUUUUAAAGAAAAAUGCAACUAGAUUAUGUUAAUUUACAUUAUCCACUAAGAAGAUAUUAAGAAAUAUUUUUAAUACAUAAAUAAAAAGAAAUUGAUAGAUAAAAGAUACUUGUCAUGAGAAUCCUCAUGCUCCUACAACUUUGAAGCAAAUUUGAACACUUUUUUCACAAAUGAAGUUUUGAAAGUUUACAUAAGUAGUACCCAUGUUUCACUAAGGUAGUACCUAAGGUUCACUAAAGUAGUACCUAAGGUUAAGUAAGCUAGUACCUAAGGUUCCUAAAAUACUUAGACGAUGUCUAAUAAGAUAAAAACAUCUCUUUUAAUGUCCAUUAGGGGGGUCUUAAUUGGCCUAAUGAAGUCCAAUGCAAUAGGGCUCUUCUACUUGUAAGAGGCAAUCCAGUCUCACCAAUUACCAUUAGAAAACAAGCUUGAAGAGGCCAAAAACUAAACCUUAAGAGAGGUGAGCCUAGCGGCUAAUGAUAUUGAUCACAUAAUCUCAAAUGUGCCAUACAUCAUAUAUCAUUGAAUUUUACAAAACAAGAUUACAAAUAAUUAACAAAAUGCAAGAGGACGUAAGUCUCUAAAGCAAACUGGAGCAACAAUUAUUACAUGCUAAAAGAAUAACAAAAAAAAUAGAUGAACUUUGAUAACUUAACGUGUACUUUUUCAUAAGAUUUGGAAGUCACAGGUUUGACUCUUAGACAUAUAUACUAGUAAGAGUACUAGUAUCAUGAAGCACAAAUUUUCUUAUUGUUAAUCUGAAACAAAAGCAACCACAUCAAAAAUUCAAUAGAAGUUAAAAAGUUCUCAAUAUAUAUACCUAAGAUUUAUUGUGACUAUAAUAUAUAUAUCUAAAUAUAUAUGCACACACAUCUAUUUCCUUGUAUGGAAGAUAUACUUCUAUCAAUUCAUGGAUGACAUAUCCAAAGGCAAACUCUUUUUAUUAGGCAAAUCUAUGAUCUUAAAAUUCAAGGUCUAGAAGAAUCUAGCUAAUAGAAAAAUGGCCACUCCAAUAUCUAAACAACGUAAUGAUAAAGGGAAGAAAAUGGUUUGCAUAGGGCAAGAAAGGUUUUCUCAUCUAGUGAAACAAUAGGACUGUGUCUUGUGAGGCUUAAGCUUCCUAUUCGUAAUUAUUUAAAUAAAUAGACUCACAGGUAGCAAUCAUAAGAGUCAAAUGUGUUUGCUUUGCUAAUCAUUUCACAAAUGCAAAAGCUAAACAUCUAAUUCAAAACCACAUGCAUCAGGUUAUUAUUAUAUUUAUGGAAAUGACUAAUGAGUAGUAAAAGCACCCAUCUCCAAGUGCUCAAGGUGCCUUCACCUUUACUAGGUAAAAUAGAAGAGAAAAUGGCUCAACAUGUGAGAACAUAGAAGGACCCAACAAAAAAUAAACAUGAAAAACAGAAAUUGAAGAUCAACCAAUAAACAUAGCUUUUUUGAGAGCUACUAAAUUCUAACCAUUUGAUUAUAUAAAAAGAUACGAAUUAUAUACCAGCUAUGUGGGUAACUUAGAAUCUUUGAUAUAAUGAAAAUGGUAUAGAUAGACUCCAUGUGAACAAGAAAUUGUAGAAUUAUUCUGACAAUAAUGAAAAUUCCUUCUAACUCCAGCCUCCACUCUCAUUCUGAUUGCCAAGCAAAGGUGGCAAAAUAAAAGAAAAUAAAAAAUUUCUGAAUCUUACAACUUUCUUUUCCCGUAGAAAUAUUUAGAAUGAAAAUUUUCCACUCAACUUGACCAAAUUUAAGUAUUUAUUCAUAAAAACUAUAAAAUUGGGAAUUUAUUUUCCUUAAACUUUGAUAGGAAUCACAAUAAAAAGAAGAAUUUCUUAACAAAAAUAUACAUAAAAAGUUGUAAAAUUGAAAAACUAUUUUCCUUAAAUUUCAAUAGAAAUAGCAAUAUAAAAAGAAUUUCUUAAAAAAAAUAUAUAGAAAAAUACAUAAAAAGACGACAUUCUCUAAAACAUACAUACAUAUAUGUGUUAAAAUAUACAUGAACACAGAAAACCUAACCUAAAUCAAACACCAAAAAUUUGGGAUUUUGACAUCCAAAUCCUAACACCAAAACCCUAAUUUUGAACCUUAGUAUUGUGAUUUCCAGAACAAUGGAAGAAAAAUAAAUAUGCAAACCUUUCCCCCCCACCCAGAAAAAAAAAAAAAAAAAACAUUAAAAGAAAACAACACAAAUAGCUUGAAGAAUUGAAGAAAACCAGAAACCCAAAUGGGAACCCCAGAUUUGGACAUGAACAUUGUUGAUAGUGGUAAAAGACAAAAGACAAUAAAAUCAUACAUGUGGACAAACAAAAAAAAAUAAAAAACAAAAAAGGCAAAGUCGGAUGUUCUUCAACGAGAAUGAUUAAAUUGAAAAUGUUGGCGGUGCUACUGCUCCAUCACAAUUUCGAGAUAGAGAGGAUGGGGGAAGAUGGAAAUGAAAAGGCUUGGAAAGAGCAGUGCGACUGAAACACAUGUAAAAAAGUUGAUAAUGAUGGGCAUGCCCUUCGAUCUAUGUCGUCCACUUCUGACAAGAAGAGGUUAGGGUUAGGUUUCACCAUAUUCUUGGGAUUUUGGGAUUAUUUGUUCAAAUAAGAGGUCCAUUUUUUUUACGAGAUUUGGGUUUUUCAUAUUCAGAUCAACACAAGGAAGAUAUUAGGUUUUUUGGAUUUUUGGGUUUCAAGAGAGAGAGAAACAGACAGAGGAUGAAGUUUUCUAUUCAAUCUUAGUGUCGACUAGGGCAGAGAGAAAAAUGUAGGCUAUUUUUUAGUUUUUUUUUUUUUCAUCUGAUGUGGAAGAUGAGCUGGCGGAAAUGGAAGGGCAAUUUGGGUAUAAAAUAACAACUACGCUCAAAGUGCAUGAAGCUCAAAUUAUUUUUGGGAUUAGAAUAGUUAUAUUAAAAAAAAAAAAUCAAAAGUUGGGUUUCCAAUUUCCUAUAUUUUUCAUAUUACCAACCCAAAACACAAGUUUCAAUUCCCUUUUGCUAUCACAUUGAAAGCUAUUGUAUUGUCAUCUUGAGAACACAAGAAUAUUUCAUGUGAUACAAUGAUGCUUAAUUUGGAAGUUUAGUGCUUGUUUUGAUUGAUGCUUUUGAAAAUUGUUUGAAAAAUUAAUUUUUAAGAAUAAUUUUUAGUGUUUUCAAAAAUAAAUUGUGUUGAGGAUUGAAUCCUAGAAAAUAGUUUGUAUUUAAAAUACAUGUAUAUAUAUAUAUAUAUAUAUAUAUAUAUAUAUUUGAUUGAGUUAAUAAAAAAGUUUUUUUAAAACAAAAAACAUAUUUAAAAGUUUUUUCUUUCAAUUAAUAAAUAUUUUCUUUAAUUAAAUUGUUAUUAUGUAUAAAUAAAUUUUAAAUUCACACUUCAUUUAAAUUAAAAAAAUUAUUCCAUCUUAAAAUUUUUAAUCUAGUUAUAAUUUUUUAAAAUAAGGGAUUACUUUGUAACCAUGUGUAACUAUAUUAAUUUCAAUAAUGUUUUUAUUUCUAUAUAUGGUAAACUCCAUCCUCAUUUUGAAAACAUUUAUUUUAAUCAUAAAUGCAUCAUACUAAUACAUGUUUUUAUUUAAAAAAAUCAUUCAAAUUAUAUGUAUACUAACACAAUCAAUAUUAACACAAAUAAAUACUAUAAGUAUUAUGAUACCAACAUCAUAUUUUAAUAUAAUAUAUUAAAGUUUUCGAGUUUAUAGAUGACAAUUUUUUAGAUAAUAAAUACAUUCAUUUAACAAUAAUGAAAAUAAGAAGAAGAAAUAUGAUAAAUAGUAUAAAUAAAAAAAAGCACGACAAUGCUAUACUCACAAUAACCAAUAAGUAGAAAAUGACUUUGAGGAUUUUUUUUUUUUAUAGGCAUUGGGUGUUGUAAGUUGGCAACUAGUUGUUGAGGUUGUUGUGGAUCAUACUUACCAACCCAUAUAAAGUAGUAGAGAUGUUCCUACAAUACAUUAAUUGUUAAAAAAAAACAUAUAAAAUAUGAUGUGUGUAUUUCACUAAUAUCAAUAUAUUUUUAUGUAAUAAUUAAAUAUACUUACAUGAUAUAAUGGACAAUGAUAAAACCAUCGACCAUUGUUCUUCUGUGUUUUCAACACGAAAAUACAUAUCCAUCCACACCCACAAUAACACAUGGGUCUUUUGUCCAUCCUACUUUUACAAUUAUAAAAUCAAAUUUAUAAGCAAUAUUUAAUCAUUAGAAAUUCAACAUACAUCAUAUAACACUAAUGAGAACUAGUUAACAAAUAUAUAUAAAUUAUAAUAUAUAAUUGAAGUAUUGACAAAUAUUUAGAAUUAAAAAUAGUACAAGUCAUAGAUUGACAUUGAAAUAAUUUGCCUACAAGAUGUCAUAGUUGCACUCUCAUUCGAUAAAUCAAUUGAGUGACUUGUGCUAUUUAUGCUCUCUUCUUUACCUUGGACUGAAAAGUCUUCUACCUCAUAUUCUCUAAACAAUUGAUCAUUUCAAGUCGAUAGGCAAAUCUAAUUAUGAAGGGUACAAUAUGCAAUAACAAUUGAUGGUUGCCUAUUUGGCUUAUAACAAGGCAUCAUCCUUAAUAUUAGAAACCAUGUCUUCAAAACACCAAAGCACUUUUCAAUAAUAUUUUGAAGAGAUGAAUGUUUAUAAUAAAAAAAAAAAAAUUAUACUUGACGGGUUGAUUACGCCUACCCCAAUAUUCUUUUAAAUGAUAUUGCUUACCUUAAUAUGAUGGCAAGAAUCCAAAUGUACAAUGAUAACUAGAAUCAACUAAAUAAUAUUUUCCUUCAUUUAGCCAAGGAAAAUUAACUUAUGGUCUAGUCAAUGCAUCCAAAAAGACACGUGCAUUAUUUGUUAUUCCUUCCCAACCAGCAUAAACAAAUGUGAACAUCAUGUCAAAAUCACAUGCACUCAUAAUAUUUUGUGUUAUAAUUGUUUUUCUACCCCUAAAACUACUUUGUCUAUCAAUUGGAACCCAUACACUAAUAUGGGUGCCAUCAAUUGCACUAAUGCAAUCCUAUAACAACAAACAUUUAUUAUUGUUAAGGAAGUGAAGUAAUGGUCAUGAAAACUAUUUAUUACAUGAAAUUCACAUGUAUAAAUAUUUUUUUAUAAAAUCUUACCUUAAACCAUGGAAAAUAUUUAGGAUUAUUGGCAACAUAUGAAGACAUCUCAUUAGUCAUAUUGUUAGGACGUAUGAGAAUUUUGCCUAGUCAAUAUAAUGCAUGUCUAACUUCUUUAAAGUGUCAAGUGACAGUCUUUGUGGAGUGUUGAAAACGGUUUGUUACAACCCUCACUCUCACAUUAUGUCCUACUCUUAUUAAGGACAUAGCAACUGCCUCUUCAACUAUGACUAAUCAUGUAUCUUGUAAGUUUUCAUGUGUCUUAAGAUGAUCACAAGUGUUCAUAAAUGUUUCUUUAUCCAUUCGAAAUAGUUAAUAGCAUGUCUGAGGAUGACCAUCUAUCAUAUCUCGUAUAAAUUGUGCACCACUUAACAUUGAUGUAUUUUAAGGUAUCUUGCAUAAAAAUAUUUCAUCAUACUCAUUCAUUAUGUGAGCAGUAAAAAUUUCAUCUAAGUCAUCUUCCUCUUCAAAAGAUGAAAUUGACUCAUAUAGUGAACCGUUGCUUGUCCUAUUAUCGUCUAUUGGUUACUACACAAAAUAAAUUAACCUACAAUAUAAAAUAACACUAAAUGAACAUUAAAAUAGAUAUUAUAUAAGUUUCAUAACCAUAAAUAAAUUUCAUACAAUGAAAAGCUAAAGAAUACGGUAAAAGAUUCUAACCAAAAGAGAAAUAAUACUUAUUACAAUGUCAUCAUAAUAGUUACUCAUCCAAACACACUCAAAUUUAAAGCUUAUUAAGCCAUGCCUUUUUCCUUUCAAUAGACAUAUUCAUAAAAAUCUCUCUCCACCCCAACAUUGUGAAUUUCUCAACAACUUUUAAAUAUUUGUUAGUAUCCAGCAAGUCAAUGGUUUGUAAGAUUGCCAUGCACCUUGUAUUUCUAAAAUCAUUAGUACCUGCACUAGUAGCUUCACUACUAGUUCCACUCAUAUAUCUCUCAACUCUAGCCAACAAUGCUUUAGUUCUAUCUCAAGAUACCUCUAUUCUAGCCUUUGAUGCCUCAGCCUAAGCUUUCAAAGUAUCUCCCAUUUGACUUAAUUUGGAAUCUUUCUUACCUCUACACUUUAAUAGAGAAUCAGUUGUACACUUUCCAAAACAUGUGGUCACUCCUCCAACCAUCUCUAGCCGUAGCGAAUCAUUAAGGAUCUUAGUAUCUACAUCCACAUGCACUCCACCAUGUUCCAAUUUUCAUCCAUCUCAUCCUCAUCAUCAAUGUUUGGUGGAUCUUGGGUGGAAGAGUAGUAGAGGGUGCCAGUUGCUGUUGACAGAUUAAAGAUCAAUCCUAGCAAGUUGUAGUUUGGGAAUUCCUUUGAGCAAAACCUUUUUGCAUUUUGGUGGGCCUAAUAGAGGGAAAAAAACUCACCCUUAGUGUAUACCAAAUAUUUAAAUUAAAAAAUGAUUAGUUUUAGAAGUUGCCUUUACCCGAAUGUAAUUUUGUCAAGUUUCCUCUAGAACAUGCAUCAUGUUAGUUUUAGCAUCCUAACCAAAUCUAGUAUGCUUUAAAAGAUUAGAGAACUCAUGGUGCAUUGCACGUAGUCUGUUAAGCUACUUCAAUUUGAAAUUUCUUUUCCCUUGACUAUUGACCUCAAGUAACAUCCUCCUCCAUGUGUUGGUACUAAAUGUACCACUAUCCAUGUUAUCUUUAUUAACUUCAUUUGGUGUGAUAUGAUUAAAUAUUUUCUCUAUAUUACCUCUACACGUUCCUACAUCCUCAACAGUUAUUUUCUUAAUUGGCAUCUGUAUGAUCCCAACACAAAUAAGGACCUUAUAAGGAGAUAACUUUAGAAUCACCAACAUAAUUUAAGGACUUGUUUGAAUGAGAAUUAAUAUUGUUGAAGUAUAGUUUAUAAAAAUAUGAAAGAAAAAAUGAAAGGAAAUUAAAUAAAAAUAAAAAUAGAUUUGAUAUUAAUGACAUCAUAGAUAUCUUUUUUAUUUUAGUUUUUAUAAAUUUUAAAGGAAAAUACGAAGGAGGAAAUGGGGGAAUGAAAGAACAGUAAAUAAAAAUAAAAUGAGUUUGAUUAAUUUUAAAAUAAAAAGAAUUUAUUUUAUAUUUUUAUAAUAAAUCAAACAUGACAAACUCAUUUUUAUUAUAAUUUUAAUUACAUUUGAUUUUCUUUUUAUGUUUUUUUAUAAUAAAUCAAACAUGAAAAAUCAUGUUUAUUAAAAAAAUUCUUAAUUUAACCUUUAAUUUUAUUAAAAAUUAUAGUAUCUUCUAUUAAGCUAAGAGAAAAGUGUAGACCCUCCAUUUUGUCCUCUUAGCACAUGUCUUUUACAGCAAUUCCCUGACAGCCCAUUAUUACUCACGUAGCCUAUCUGCUCUAAGCCACCUUGGGGACUAUGGUUGAGGGAUUUAUUGAAUUCUAUUACGACUCCUAGUAGCCCAUUUAGACUUAGAUACACUUAAGCACCACCCUAGGCCCACUUAGGCCCUACCCUAGGCCCACUUAGGCCCUUUAAGCCCAUUAGGCACCAUCCCAGGCCCAUUUAGACACUUUAGGCUCAUUUAGGUACACUUGGCCCAUUAGGCAUCACUUUAGGUCCAUUUAGACUUCAGUUCAUUAGGCACCACCUUAGGCCCAUUUAGGCACUUUUCAAGGUUUAGUUUCACUUAGAUUUGUUUUCUUGUUUUUCUUUAUUUAUUUAUUUUAUUGAUUGCUUUUAAGAUUAAGUGAGUUUUGAUUUAUUUAUAUUAUUUCAUUAUUAUUAUUAUUAUUUGUAUUUUUUUAUUAUUUAUUUUAUUUUAUAAUUGCAUGAAAUGAGUUAUUUAUUUAUUUGUUUAUUAAAUCUAAUAAUUUCAUGUUUAUGCAGGAAACUUACCAAAUGGACGACUAUUGGAGCAAGUCUAGAAGGAAGAAUUUUUCAGCAGAUUCUUGAGAAACUGAUUAGAAGGGAUGCGAUUUUUUUUUUUGGGAAAGGUGAAUUACCAAAACGGUUUGGCAUGAAAAAAAAAAUGUGCAGCAUGUAUAGGGACGAAAUGUGGGCUAUGUUCAGAGAAGAGAGAGUUCUGGUGAGUUGUCUUUCCAUGUUGGUGGAGUCAAUGAGUGGAAAAGAGAGAUCCUGGACUUGGAAAAGGAUUUUGGGAAGGAACAAACACGUCGGUUUGAAGGAAAAGGGAAAUGAUUUUUAGCACGUGGAGAAGAUGAAUGAGAGGCUGGUGAAGAAAUUGAUCUCAUUUUUCGAGGAAGAUACAGAAAGGGUUUUUUUAAAAAGGUAUUGCGCUGAUUUUGGGAGGAGACAGAGCGCUCUAUAGAGAAAGGAAGGUGACUGGUUUUGGAAGGAGGAGCAAGAGAGAGAAGAGAAGGAAGGUUUGAGAGAAGGAUUCAGGGCAUGAAAGAUGGCAGAUUUAGUGAUGAAGUGGGACUGGUUUUUUUAGAAGAGAAGAGGGUAGAGGCUUGAGAGACGUGAAGGGGCACCAUUGAGAAGGAAGAGAGAGGUAGCAACCAUAAAAAAAAGAGAAGAAUUUUUUGACAUUAGGAAGGAGAAAAGAGGAUCAACUAAGGUGAUUUUCUGGUGGAGGGAACACAUACACAGGCCUGCCAUCUACAGGGGAGUCCAAGGGAAAUUCACAUCUUGGAGAAGAGAACCACCAGCCGAUUGAACACAGGUUUCUCGCUGAGAGUAGUCCACGCAUCAAAUCUUCAUCUCCACGGGCUGUAUCCAUCACCAGUCCGCACAUCUGCUCUUCAUCCAAACGGCUCCAUAUCAGGUUCCGGAGUGUGAUCUUACACUGCAAGUGUCAUGGCUACACCCUGCGCCAUACCAGCCGCACCUCUCCGGAAGCACCUUCAACACGCACCUCCACAUGAAAGAGAUCCACAAAAAGACUUUAAAAUGAAUUAAUUUAAAAUUUUCUUAUUAUUUUGGGAAAAUUCAAAAAAUUCCUACUAGAAGUAGGAAAAGAAAGGUAAAAGAUUUCCUUGUCAUCUUGGGAGAAUAUGGAAAAUCCUAAAUUUUCCUAGUAGAGAUAGGAGAAGGAAGAUAAUUAAAAUAAUUCCUUAUAUAUGUGACCUAACAUUUAAAGAAGAUAAUUAAGAAAUGAAUUCAGAAUUAGUUUAUAGACAUAAAUUUGGCAUCCUAGUUAAUGAAAUCAUAAUGAUUCUCAUCUACAAGUAAAACUAAGUACAUCAUAUCUAUCAAAAGUUUAUAUUUAUCAUUUUCUUAUCUUUUUUUAAGACUCAUAACAAUAGAAUGGUUUAGAAUAAUAUUUAGAUAUAAAGAAUUACUAAAUAAUUAUAAAUAAAUAAAAAAUCAAUUUUCUAAACAUAUUUUGAAGAUUCUUGGGUUGGGCCAUCAAUUUGUUUAGGUUUUUUUUUUUAAAAAAAAAUAAAUCUUAGGAGAAGGAACAAUUAAAGAAGAAAAAACAAGAGAUUGACGAAGCUGAGCAAGCUAAAUGGAAUAAAGUGAUUGUGACUUUUGACUUGGUUGGUAGUAAGGUACUACUAGUGGACUGUCUUUUAUAUUGUUGUUAAUCUCUAUGCAUGCAUGAAUCUUCCAUCUCAUUGUAAGUUUUAAGUUGAAUUUUGGUGCAGAUUCAGUCAUUUUUUUUAUAUCUACUCUUUUUCUAUUCAACCACCUAUAUAAGAACUUGUCUUUACUCUUUAUUUCCCCUACUUGUCUUUCCUAACCAUAAUUACUUAUUAAGCAUUCAUUAUCUGAUGGGAAAAACUUGGAUCUAUUCGUUUCCCAAGUUAGGAUCAAGUUAGGAAUAUGCAUAACUAUCUUAGGAUUUUUCUAAAUCCUAUGCAAAGCAAAAAAAAUUACAUUUUUAUACUUGAAAAGGAUUCAAAAAGUGCUAACGAAAACCAUACCUCAGAUUCGGAUGUUCCAAAAUCAAAUCCACAUGGUGAAGAUGAAGAUCAAAAUCGUUGAAGUCUUGUAAACCCGAAGUCUUCCACCUGAUGACUCGAACCUUAAUCUUGGCACACUUCUAGUAGGGAGGAAAAGAGGAUGGAGGCUAUGGCUCUCUAUCUCUUUGGAUUGUAGAAGACAAAAAGCUAUGGAAACCCUAACCCCUAAAAGAUAUUUAUAAGGUUCCUAAGUGGGCUUAAAUGACUUGAACCCACAUGGGCUUAGGUAAAUUAAUCUAGCCCAAAAUGGGUCAUAAUUAAUUAAUUAACCCAAUAAGACCUACUAAUUAAUCAAUUAGACCAAUCUAGAGACCUUGUUCACUUACCCUUAGGCAACCUUGUGUAAUUACCAAAACACCCUUAUGCACAAAAGUGAACCUAAAGUCAAUCCGACCUUCAUAACCCAUGCUAACAAGGUAUAUGAGCUCAAAGCAAGGACCAUUGUGGCCUAUAGGAAUACUGGCUCCCUCAAAAUCCAAUUCUAAAAUUUAUUCAACAUCCCACUAUAGAGAAUCAACUAAACUCUAGUAUCCUAUGUAAAUUAACAACGAGACACCAACUGCUCAGGUCCGAGACUUGCUAUCUAUUGUGCUUAGUCUUCCCAUGAAUUGGUAUCUGUAGUCUAAUAAGGUGAAAACCAUCAACCUUUCAAGUCGAACUCUACCAUCCUUGAGUCACAAAUCCUCUUAUUGUGUGUUCAAUUGAUAUAUCUUAGCUCUCAAAGAGCCUAUGUCAAGUUCCACUUAAGGAACUACUAUGACCAUAAUUUCCAUGAACACACCUCCUUAGGAUCAUCUAAUGGGACACACUGUCUCAAUCCCAAGAGAUAUCAUGGUGCCUUUAUUGAGAAUACUUAUUGCUACCGGUUUCCAUCAAUAGUGACCUAAUCCAUAGGGAAUAUAUGAUCAGCUAAUGAUUUCACUCAUAGGUCAAAGUCAUUGCAAACUUCAACACAAACUCAAUAUUCUCUCAAGGUUGAGAGAUAAUAUAAUGAAGCAGCUUGGUGGAGUCAUGACUACUUGAUAGCCUUAAGUCAUAACUCCCUAUAAAUCUUGUCCAAUGUGCAACCAUACACACUAGUGCUCUCACCAUGGAGAACCCAUCCUAAUAGCCAAGACCAGUCAUCCCUCUAGUUAGGAGGAGGUGCACUACAACCUAUAAUGGGUUGCCUAGGCCCAUGAAUCGACUAUGAACAAGUCAUCUAUUUGCAAGGAACCCAUGACUUGGAUCUUCUGUGCAACUCCUAAUGUACCUAAGUCACGUAUAAUGCAAAAUAUACAAGCAAGAAUGCUCAUAAAGUAUAAUACAUGGAAUAAGGAUAGAUAAAAGUGAAAUUGGAACAUCAUUAAAUAAAUAAUAAAUUCCAAAUUUAUUGCAUCGUGUCAUGCUUUUAAAGGCUUUAUCCUAACAUUAUCAUGGAUGCUUAUAACUUUCUUGACAUGGUUUUCCCAUGAUGGUUCCUACCUCAUAUUUGUUUUUCCUCUCUUAAGCCAUGGUUUUUUAACAACUAGUUUUGCUAAACUCACAGAGGUUUUCUUCUCAUGUUUUUUUAAGUGAUGGUGAAUGAAGAUGAAGUUUCAAAAUUAGAAUCAUAGAAUAGAAUACUAAGGUUACCAGAUGAAAGAGAAAUACACUGGAUUAAACUGAACCUAACUCUUAGAGUGCAACUAGUUUUUAUGGACCUAAGACCAAGUCAAAAGCCUAAUAAAGGGAAACAACUAAAUAAAAGCCUAAAGAAUGGUAUGGGCUUGGAGAUAACCGGAAAAGUGCAACAUGAUAGCAAUGAAUUAAAACAUCUUAUGACAAAUAACUAGAUAGAAACAUCUUCAAAUGACAAUCUUUGGAAUAGGCCGUUAGUAAAUAGAGGUUUGCAUGUGGAAGAUGAUGGUGCAUGUUCCUUGAAUUUCCAUUAAAAGGCACAAGUUCUGUAAAGGAACAAGUUGGACCAUUUUGAAACAAAAAACCAAGAACAAAAGAAAUGAAACUCUCAUUGGAAUGCUCACAACUAAACAACAAACUAGAGCAAACUAAACUGAUAAACCUACCACAAACACUUUCUACUACAUGAAUUUUUUAAAGAACAUGACAUUAACUAAAACAACAAUGAACCCUACAUUUCAUUAAGAAAACAAGCUAUUUAUGCAUUAUAAAUUCUGAAGUUUUCUUUUAGAUCAGGAAUUUUCGUAAUUUUAUAGGAAAAUCUCAUGGAAAAUUAUAAAAAAAUCAUAUAUGUACUCAAGGAUAAACUCAUUGAAUUUAAGGUGGUAGUGGAUAACCUAUUGGGUAAACAUAUCAUGGCACUUCGAUUAGAUUGAGGUGGUUAGUCUAGUAGGUUUGAUUCUUUCCAAAUGGAACAUAAAAUCAUAUCCCAAUUUUGUGCACCAAGGAUUCCAUCAUAAAAUGGAGUAAUAGAAAUAAAAUAUUGAACUUUGAUAGAAAAAGUGAGAUCGGUGAUUGGUUUCUCAUUACUGCCCAUAUUCUUUGAGGAUAUAUCUUAAAUGUUGUAUAAUAACUCUUCUAAAUAGGUGUAUCACUUUAUAAGAUAUCCAAGAGGAUUUAUGGAUUAUUACUUUAUAGUCAGGAUUAUCAAAGGGUGUUUAUUAUUACAAAUACCAUAUUUUUUAUGAAGACUAUAUGAUAUGUAAUAAGGCAAACAAUGUAGAUUGGAGAUAUUAGAAGAUAGUCCCACUAUACACAAGGUACUAUGGAUCUAGUACCAACUAUUCCCAUUUCUUGUACACCGAUGCCUUGUCAUAGUGGGAGGGUUGUUAAACAACUAGACCGAUUAAUGUAUUUGGGAAAGUCUUUCGAGGCCAUUCUAAAAGAACAUGAGAUCGAUCCCAUAGAUUAUAGUAAAACAAUGAGCGAUAUGGAUGCACAUAUUUAGCAAAAAUCUAUCAAGGCAUAGUUAGAAUCCUUAUGAUUCUAAUGUAGUUUGGAUUCUUGUAGAAGCACCUGAAGGGAUAAAACCCCAUAGGUGUAAGUUGGUCUACAAGAGGAAUAAAGGAGUAGAUGGAAAAAGUUGAGAUUUAUGUGGCUAGGCUAAAGGUUAUAGUUCAAAACAUUGUUUUGAAUAUAGGAAACCUUUUUACCAGUAGCCAUAUUCAGAUCCAUCAUAGUACUCCUAACUAUUGCGGUGUAUCUUAUUUAUGAAAUAUUGUAAUAGGAUGUCAAGAUAGUGUUCUUAAACGAUUAUCUUGAUAUUAGCAUAUAUAUGAUGUAACCAGAUAUCUUCAUAGCAAAGGGCCUUAUGAGAAAAAAAAAUUAUAGGGAAACAUGGUGGUGCUCUAGGAUCUUGUAGGUAUAUGACAAUCAACUCAUUGGUAAUGAUGUAGGGUUAUUAUCAUUAACCAAGAUCUAGUUUUCUACUUAGUUUUAGAUAAAGGAUUUGGGAGAAACGUAGUAUAUUCUUGGGAUUAAGGUCUUUAGGGACCGCAAGAAUAGGAAACUAGCGCUAUCUCAAGCUACCUACAUAGAUAAGCUUUUGGUCAAGAAUAUGAUGCAGAAUUCCAAGAAAGGUUUGUUACUUUUUAGGCAUAGAAUUCCUCUUUCUUAGGAUCGGUGUCCUAAAACACCUGAGGAGAAAAGAACGCAUGUAGUCAAUACCUUAUGCCUCUAUAGUGGGUAGUCUUAUGUAUGUGAUGCUAUAUACUAGGCUAGAUAUUUGCUUUGAAGUGGGUAUAGUGAGUAGAUAUCGGUUUAAUUCAAGUCCAGAAAAUUGGACUAUUGUCAAGCAUAUACUCAAGUAUCUUAGGGUACUAAGGGAUUAUAUGCUCGUGCUUUAAAGUGUUGAGAUAGUUUAUAGGGUGACAUGAUGAUUGACAAAAUACCUUCUAUGGAGAACCUGGUGGAUAUUUUCACCAAGACAUUGACAUGAAGAGUCUUUGUUGGUCAUAAGGAUAACAUAAGUAUCAGAUAAGUAUCUAGCAUGCUUUAUAGGCAUGAUGCUUUCAGGGCUAGUGAGACAAUAUUAGGAUAAAGCCCUUAAAAGCAUGACAUGAUGUAACAAAUUUGGAAUUUAUUAUUUAUUUAAUGAUGUCCCAAUUUCACUUUUAUCUAUCCUUAUUCCAUGUAUUAUACUUUAUGAGCAUUCUUGCCUGCAUAUUUUGCAUUGUACGUUACUUAGGUGCAUUAGGAGUUACAUAGAAGAUCUAAGUCAUGGGUUCUUUGCAAAUAGAUAACUUAUUCACAACCAGUUCAUAAGUCUAGGCAACCCAUUAAAGGUUGUAGUGCACCACUUCCUAACUAAAGGGAUAACUAGUCUUGGUUAUCGAGAUAGGUUUCCCAUGGUGAGUGCACUAGUGUGUAUGGUUACACACUGGGCAAGACCUAUAGUGAGUCAUGACUUAAGGUUGUGAAGUAGUCAUGACCUCGCCAAGUUGCUUCAUUGUGUUGUCUCUCAACCUUGAGAGAAUAUUGAGCUUGUACUAAAGUUAGUAAUGACUUUGACCUAUGGGUGAGAUCAUAAGCUAAUCAUAUAUUCCCUAUGGAUUGGAUCAUUGUUGAUGAAAACUAGUAUAAAUAGGUAUUCUCAAUAGAGGCACCAUGAUAUCUCUUAGGAUUGAGCUUGUGUGUCUCCUUGGGUGAUCCUAAGGAGGCGUGUUCAUGGAAACUAUGGCCAUAGUAGUUCUUUAUGUAGAACUUGACAUAGUCUCUUUAAGAGCUAAGAUAUGUCAAUUGAAUACACAAUAGGAGGAUCUAUGACACUCAAGGAAGCUAGAGGUAGUUUUGAAAGGCUAAUAGAUUUCACCUUGUUAGACUAUGGACAACAGUUCAUGGGUAGACUGGACACAAUAGAUAGCAGGUCAUAGACUCGAGCACUUAGUGUCUUGUUGUUAUUUACAUAGGAUAUUGUUGUUUGGUUGAUUCUCUGUAGUGGGAUGCUAAAUCAACUUUAGAAUUGGAUUAUGAGGGAGCCGGUAUUCUUAUGGGUCCUAGUAGUACCUACUCUGAGCUCAUAUAGCUUAUUGGCAUGGGUUAUAAGGGUUGGAUUAGCUCUAGGUUCACUUUUGUGCAUAAGGGCAUUUUGGUAAUUACGUAUGAUUGCAUAAGAGUAAGUGAUCUAGGUCUCUAGAUUGGGCCAAUUGAUUAAUUAGCAUGCCCUAUUGGGUUAAUUAAUCAAUUAGAACAUAUUUUUGGCUAGAUUAAGUGAUCUAAGCCUAUGUAGGCUCAAGUUACUUACGCUCACUUAGGAACCCUAUAUAUACCCUUUAGGGGUUAGGGUUUCCAUAACUUUUAUCUUCCACCAUCCAAAGAGAUUGAGAGCAUAGCCUCCACCCUUUUUUUCUUCCCACCGAAAGUGUGCCAAGAUCAAGGUUCGAGUCAUCGAGCGGAAGGCUUUGAGUUUACGAGACUUUUACGAUUUUGAUCUUCAUCUUUACCAUGUGGAUUUGAUUUGGGAACAUCUGAAUAUGAGGUAUGGUUUUCAUUAGCACUUUCUGAAUCCUUUUAAAGUAUAAAAUGUUAUUUUUCCGUUGUACAUAGGAUUUAAAAAAUGCUUAGGAUAGUUAUGCAUGUUCCUAACCUGAUCUGGACUUAGGAAAGGGAGAGAUCUGGGUUUUUCCCAUCAUUAACUAUAUUAGAUGUAUACAAUAUUUAAUCUACUAAUAUAUGAACAAAGGGCUGAAUGGAUUUUAUUGUAACCUCUAUUAUGUUAUGUUAUAUAUACCCAAGAGCAAGCUAGUUCGGUUGGAGAUUGUGGAGCUUUGAAAACGUCCUAAAUCUAAGCUGAUCUAACCAUAAAUUGUAUUGUUGUUCCAAAGGUGUCGAAAAGGUCUUCGUUUAGAAAGUGAGAAGGAGAUGUCCCUUUUGGGUGAGUCAUUUUGAAACCCUAGCUAAUCACAUCCAUUGUCAAGCUUCCCUUGAUGAUUGUUCUUCCCAUAGUAAUGGGUCCCAAAUUAGGUCUGAUGGCAAAAGUGAAAUGAAAGGGGAUGAGACCCAAUGUUGUUGUUAAAGCAAUAAGUCCAAAACAAAGGGAGAUGACAAAGGCAAAGGAAAAAGGAAUAGGGAAGAUCCACAUUUAAAGUGAUUCAUAAGCAAUAAGAAAAGACAACUACAAAUGGGAAGAGGCUAACAGUAUAAGCUAUUGGUAAGGGAUGGAAAAUGGGAAGCUUUGAUUAGUAGUUGUUCACCACAGUGGAGUGACCAAAUGAUAUUCAAAAGUUUUCGCCAAUAGAUGUGUCAUUCCCGAUAAGAUUAUAAAUUUUUAUGAGUUAAGCUACUUUGAUUUUGAACGUUUAUUUGGCGAGAUGGGAUGGCUAUUGUUUGCUUACCUCAAUGAGGCAUCCUAUCCUCGCCUAGUAAGAUGCUUCUAUUCAAAUAUGAAAUACGAGGAUGGAGGACCAAUUAAAAUGUAUGUCAACGGGAUAGAAAUUAAGUUUGAUGUUGUAGAAUUGUUUGAUAUUUUAGACAUUAAAAAUGAUGGAAUAAUCAUAUUUGAAUAAAAAAUUUGGCCAAAGGUUAUGAGUUUUAAACUGGUUGAAGCAAUAUAGAGGAUAUGUGGCUUUGACUUCUCAAAUGUUAAGACUCCACCACCAACUCAGACAUUGAUCGUGUUGAGUAGGAUCCUUCAACAUAUGAUCAAUUACAUAUUCAUUUCUAAAAGAGGUCAUCAGGAUGAGGUUUCAUUUUUUGAUUUUUUGAGGUAUUCUUGGUUGAUAGCUUAGUGACACAAAGAAAAAACAAUAUGGGUUAUAUUAUUUUCCACCAUAUGAAAGUUUGUUUUAUUAGAAGUAGGUUUGUCCUUCCAUAUGGCAUGUUCAUUACGAAGAUCAUGAAGUUCUUUCAUGUCAACUUCCAUGGAAAUAUUGAGAUUAUCAUGUUAAAGGCUUCUGACAUGUAUAAUAUUGUGUGCCUUCAUCGUAUGCAAUUUGAGUUAAAGGAUGAUGGGACAUGGGGAAAGAAAAAGACUAAAUGGCUUGUUGGACUAGAGGUGCCAUAUGAGGAGGAGGACCAAAUUCAACAUAUGGAAACAGAAGAUGGUGGAUACGAGAAUGCAACUGGUUUGGAUAAUGACAUUGAGAUGGGGCCGGUUGUUGAAAGUAGUCUAUCAACCACAUGACCACAACCAACAUCUUCUGAGCCAUCUCACCAUUCUACAUAUUUUCGAGAGCUUAGCUCUACAAAUUAGGUCGAUUGGAAUUUCAUUAGAGAAUAUGACAAUGGGUAUUGAUAGGUCGUUUGACAUUCCUAGAAGGGUGCAUUGAUAAGUUGCAAGAUGAAUUCAAGGCCUGUAUCCAACUUGUGACUCGCCAACAUGAGGAGUUCAUCACUUUCAUGGGAGGCAUGGUUCGACUUCAUCAACUACCAUAGGCAUGGUCUAGGAAUGACCAAUGGAAAUGAUGUCCAUGUGGAAAUUGCAUUAUUUAUUUUGAAGUUGCCUAGAUUUUGCCAAUUUAUUUUUAGCUACCAUAUUUUGGCUUUAGGUUGAGUAAUUGAUAUUUUACAUUAUCUGAAAUGUUGUUACCUACUAUACAUAGUCAAAUAUAUGAGGAUUUGAUUCAUAUAUACAUAUAUUUGUGUAUCUACCUAUUGUUAAUUACCUUCCAUCAUUAACAUAAUGUAUUUUCUUCCAUUUUUCUAAAUGAGAAAAGGAUAUGAUAUAAAUUAUUCACGAUGUCAAUUUUUAUGAGAAUGGAAACGUCCAAUUUUGGUGGCAGAUCGUUGUAUAGAUCAAUAGGUAUUGUUUCUCAUUAUUAUGUUGGUUAUUAGCAUAAAUCAUACGUACAAGACUUUGACUACAUUAUUACAAAGUAUAUUGACAUGUAUAAUUUAGGGAUGGAAAAUGAGUAUGCACUCCUAAAUAUUAAUUUAAUUGGUAGUUCCCAAAUUAGUUUCCAAUUUGUCUAACAUUGUAUGCGUCAUUUGUAACUGAGGCCAUAGGUUUCAUAGAUAUAUGAGGAUAUAUUUAAUGAAUAUCUUUGGGAUCAACAUUGUUCCAAGAUGAGGAGUUAGAGUUGGGAGCCUAUUCAUUAAAAUUAUGAAGAGUCCAUUUGUCAUAUUUUCAAAUUAAUUACAUCGAAAUAGAAAAUAGCACCUAAUUCAGCUUCAUUUGCAUUUUCGCAUACCAUGAACAUAAGGGAUAUUGGCCAUAAGCGUUCUACGCUUAUGAAUUUUGUAGAAGGGAAUGGAAUAAUUAAAACCAUAUACGGUGUAAUUCAAUUGGUAAUAUAUAAAUUUUGGCUAUGAAAUAAAUCAAACAACUCCUGUUCUUUGCCUAACUAUAUGUGUAGUAUGGUUUCAAUAAUACUAAGAAUGAGACCUUCUUACCUAAGUGACACCUCUUAGAAUACUCACAUAAGUAUGCACUUUUCCUAUUGAACACAAGUUACUAUUCGUGUCGAUAGUUAUAUAUAUCAAUGACAUUGUAACAAUUAAAUUCAACAAAAUAUUAAAGUACCUUUACACUAACAUAUAGUACAUAACUUUCUAUAGAAGCUAUAGUUGGAGUGAAAAGCAUCAAAUCCCAUUGUAGGAUGAAUUACUCAUUGGCUUCUCAAUUUGGGAGUAGUCGAUCGGUAGACUAACAUAGGUCGACCGAUCAUAUUUAAUAUAAUUUGAAAUGGCUAUGGGUCGAGGUUGCGGUUGAUCCGAGGCAGUUUGCCGAUACGUACUGCAUGUGUUUAGCCAUAGUUUAACAGCAUAAAAGUAUGAUGAAAUGUAAUAGAAUGUGAAGUGAAGACAUGUGUAAUUGUUCCGUCUUCAAAUCUUCUUACCAAUUACAAGAAUAAACCUAUUUCAAAAGUAGUGAAGUCAAUGAAAGAUAUCGGAAAUUGAAUUUAAGAAAAAAAAUAAUCAACUUAAGUUAUUAUGCAACUUAAUAAUUAUAGAAAAUACCUUAGUAAAAUAAGAAUAAUCAAUAACUUAAACGACCAGGAAAUAUUGACAUUAAUUUAUAUGUAUUUAUAUAGCAAUUAGUGAAAUUAAUUUAUAUAUUCCAUUGAUUAAAAUAUGGGCACCAUGAAAUUGAAAGAUAUAUUCCAUUUUUUUUUAAAUGAACUAUUUAGAAUGACGACAUAAGUUAUUAUAAACCAAGUUAUGUUUUUAAAUAAUUUUUUAACAAGUUUUUGAUUAUUUUAUUAUUAAUAUUUUAUAAUCUAAUAUACUCAUUUUUAAUGUUUUUAAUGUAUAACUAAAAAAAUGUGAUGUAUAUUCCUUACUAAAUAGAUAUUAAUAUAUUACUUAUUAAAUAGUCAUUGGUUCGUGUUGUAACCCAUGACCACUAAACCUGAUAAACCCAAAUUAUUGUAAUAUCUAAAAUUUAUGUAUUAUAUAUAAAUUGUAUAAUAAUAGAAUAUGUAUAAUUUUGAAAAUAUAAGUUAUCAUAUAAAAUUUUAAUUUACUAUUAAUAUUUUUGAAUUUGAUAUACUCAUUUUCAAUUUUUUUCUUUUUAUGUAUAACCAAAUAAAUGUCAUAUAUAUUCCUCACUAAAUGCACAUUAAUGUAUUAGUUAACGCAUUAAAUAACUGUUGGUUCCUGUUAUAUUAUCCAUCUAUAAUAGAAUAUGUAUAUAUUUUAAAAUUACAGUUAUCAGAAAAUAUAAUUUAAUUAUUAAUAUUAUAGAAUCUAAUAUAAUAAACAUUCAUUUUAAAAAUAGAAUAUAUUAAUUAUAAAUAUAUAAUUUAGUUAUAUAUUCGUUUAAAAAAAAAUUCGAAUGUUAUAAGAAGAUGAAGAUCAAAGGGUGAAGGAGAGGAAGUGGGAAGGCCAAACCAUUAUUCACAUUCCUGUCGGUAAUAGUGCUCACUCGUCUGAUGGACCGCCAUCACUGGGUUUUGUGUCUAUUUAGUUGCUCUGAGGUGGAAAUGGGAUCGGAAAAUGAAAAGACCUUUGUGGAACUCCUAUGUAAAACCCUAUGUCUACCAAAUUAUUCACCCUCUCCUUACAGUGAUCCCAAUUGUAGCCACACUUGGUUUGUAGAGGAAUGGAAUCCGAUGGAAGUGCAUCGGUGGGGGACAAGGCGAAAGGGAAGCGACCUAUGCUAGAACCAAAUACGGAGGCACGAAAAAAAAAAAGAACUAUGAUACAUGCAUGUUUAAGACCCUGGAUUAGGAAAGAGAUAUUUUGUUUUUUUUCACCCACUGAACUAUCGUCCUGGGUAGGAAAAUUAAUUUUGGUGAGUUGAAAUACUUUGGAUUUGAGCACCUUUUUGGUGCCCAGGGAUGACUACCUCUUGUUUCUAUGAAUGAGGUUUUCUACCCACGACUAGUGAGCUGCUUUUAUUCUAAUUUCACUUACUAAGAUGGGAAACCAAUUAAAGCAUACGUCAACAGGGUUGAAAUCAAGUUUGGUGUUCAGGAGCUGUGUGAAAUUCUUGAGAUUGAAGAUGAAGGAAUAAACAUUUAUGAAUUCAAGAGUUAACCAAAUUGGAUGGUUUUAAGCCAGGUGAAGCGGUUCAAAGGAAGUGUGGCCUUAAGUCUUCGAAUGUGGCAACCAGACCAGUAGUUCAUAGUUUGACGGUGCUCAGUCAGAUACUUCAACACAUGAUAAACUACAUUUUCCUUCUUAAGGAGGGGCAUCAAGAUGAAGUUUCCUAUUUUGAGGCGUUUUUGGUUGACUGCAUCUUGACAUGUAGGAGAGUUAACAAUGGAUAUGAAAAUUUUCAGCACAUGAAAAAGUGUUCACGUAGCAUGUUGUCAAUCCUUAUUAGAUGUUCAUUACGAAGAUAAUGAAAUGUUGUGAUGUCAUAUUAUGGGGGGUGCUAGAAAUGCGUAGGCUGAAAGCUUAUCAUACUUACAAUAUUGCAGCUCUUGGUCAUAUGAAGUUUGGAUUAUUAGAGGAUAGGACAUUGUAGGGACCCCUCCCCCUGAUAACACGUGGCACACAUCUCCUGGUGACGCGUGGCACACAUUCUCAUCCGGAUCAACCUCAUCCGGAUUUUCCCCAAGAGUACACGUGGCGCGUCUCUCUUAUCCGGACCCCCUCAAGGAGAGGCACAUGACACUCACAAACAUUACAUCCGGACGACUGCCACAGCACAUCCGGACGACCGACAUACACUAUUCGGAUAUGUUUGUCUGGAUCAUUGACUGAAGUAAGCAAGUCUUACACGUUAUCACAACAGCCUGCCAUGGCCCACAUUCCGCCACCUGCAGGGUGAAAGGACAAGAAUGAAGUGACAGCAAGUCACUUCCUACGAUCACUUCCCACGAUUUCUGACAAUCGCAGCAACUACCACGAUCUCUAUCAGCCGCCCGUAGGGUGAUGAUGGCCCUGCCACCACCUAGUGUCAUCAUGACAACACAAAAUAUCUCCCUGCCAUUAAAGAGAGAAACAAAGCCUCUGAUACUAUAUAUAUGAACCUUCACACAAAGAAGAAGGUAAGCUUGCUAUACCUGGUAAAAGGCCAACUGAUUUAUCUCUAUCUCUCUAACCAUGGCUGACAAAACCAUCGGAGGAUGCGUCCGGACACCCUGUCCGGAUGCCUUUUGCAGGUAUUACGAUUGAAUCAAGAAUCUGUAUUGGUUGAGAUCGUGUGUCCACCCAUUUGGCAACUACGUGGAUUAUCAGGGACGCGAGGCCUCAACAUUGGCGUCGUCUGUGGGAAAAUAUCACUGAUUCAAUCACCAGCAAAAAUGGCCACACCUUCCCAAAGCCGUUCAUCUGGUAGGGAAGGGGAAGAUAAUUCUGAAUGGCGCCAAGCCAUCGAAAGAAGACAGUUGGCAAGCGAACGACAACUGAAAGCUCUCCUCCAGGAGACAGAAAAAUUAAGAGAGGAAAACGCGGUACUACGCAUCCAGGCUUCAACAUCGGGGCCUCCUCGUCGCCAGUGUUCGAGAGGCCAGAUAGCAAAUUCAAGGCCAGAACCAAAGUCAAUAUAUCCUGGGGCAGCGGGAGCUAUCCCAGAAGCGUACAACGUGAGGCCACAUGAGCCACACACGCCCAUGCCUCGAGCUCCCCAGGAGGAAAGCUCGAACUCAACUCAUUUCUCAGCAAAAAGACAACGCGAUAGAAAAUCCCAAUUGUCAAAUUCAAUGCGAGCAAGACUAGGCCCACAAGAGCCUGGGAGAUCAAGACCACCAGCAGCCACAACCGGAAAGCAACCCCUUACCCUGUGGUCACCCCCAAGGUGCAGAAAGUGCUCCCGCACCGUGACCCUAUGGUCACCCCCAUGGUGCGGAACGUUCACUCGCACCUAGCGGCGCAACAAGAUGGGAGAAACCUCCCAAACGAGCCACCCAUUGGCUCCAUCAGCAAAAGGCUGGACGACAUGCUCUCCACGCCUUUCUACUCUCACAUCAUUCAUUACGAGCCCCCAAGGGGAUUCCUCGUACCAAAAUUCUCCACAUACGAUCGGUCCAGUGACCCCUUCGACCAUAUCAUGCAUUAUCGAUAGCUCAUGACGCUCGAUAUUGGCAAUGACGCGCUGCUGUGCAAAGUAUUCCCUGCUAGUCUACAAGGGCAGGCCCUUUCAUGGUUUCAUCGCCUACCUCUCAAUUCUGUUGGCAAUUUCAGGGACUUGUCUGAAGCUUUCAUGGGACAAUACUUGUGCUCCGCUCAACACAAGUAGAACAUCAGCACUCUACAAAACAUAAAAAUGCAAGAUAACGAAUCCUUAAGGGAGUUCGUGAAGCGGUUUGGUCAAGCCGUGCUUCAAGUAAAGGCUUGCAGUAUGGAUGUUGUCUUAUAGAUCUUCAAACGAAGCAUCUGUCCAGGCACACCAUUUUUUGAAUCACUAGCUAAAAAGCCUCCUACAACGAUGGAUGACUUGUUCAGACGUGCAAACAAAUAUUCAAUGCUCGAAGAUGACGCAUGAGCAGCCACCCAGCAAGUCCUAGUUGCUGGGCAAGCAUCUAGGAGUGGCACGGAAAGAAGUGCCAAACCUCCGGAUCGGCCGAGGCCAUCCGAUCGAAGACAGGAGGGACCAAGUCGACCGGAAAGGCCACCUCUCACGCCACUUUCCAUAUCAUAUGAAAAACUUCUUCCUAUGAUCCAAGGUUUGUCUGACUUCAGGUGGCCUAGACCCCUCGGAACGGACCCAACCAAGAGAGAUCAUAGCAAGAGAUGUGCCUUCCACAAGGAGCAUGGUCACAUAACAGAAGAAUGCAGGUGCCUCCAUUAUUUGGUCGAAAGGUUCAUAAGGGCGGGGCACUUAAAGCAAUACCUCCACUCAGAAGCCGGAGGUAGAGACGCUUCCCAAAAUCACAACUCUGUCGCCCCCAAAGCCCCACUCGCCCCCAAAGCCCCACUCGCCCCCAAGGCCGUUAUAAACUACAUUAACGAAGGCCCAUCUGAUGAGGAGUAUGACUCCAAACGAAAGAGACAAAAGUUGUUGAGAGCUGCAUCAGUGCAUGAGCGUAUCAACUCCAUCCAGCCUGGAUUAACUGGAGGGGGCCCUCGCCCCAUAGAUGGGACAAUCAUUUUCCCACCAGUAGACCCCACCCGGACACUGCAGCCCCACCGCGACGCCCUCAUCCUAUCCUUAGAAAUAGGAGACUUCGAUGUGAGACGCAUUCUAGUUGAUCCAGGCAGCUCGGCUGAUCUUGUACAAGCAUCAGUCGUUAGCCACAUGGGCCACAGUCUCACGGGCCUUGAAAACCCUGGACGAAUCUUGUUUAGAUUCAAUGGGUCAUCGACUACUUCCUUGGGAGACAUUGUACUGCCGGUCCAAGCUAGCCCAGUCACUCUCAAUGUACAAUUUUCGAUGGUACAAGAUUUAUCACCCUUCAAUGUCAUCUUGGGGCGCACAUGGCUACACUACAUGAAAGUCAUCCCCUUUACAUAUCAUCAAAUGGUAAGUUUCCUUACCAAGGAUGCACAAAUUGAUCUAUAUGGCAGCCAGUUAGCCGCUCGCCAAUGCUACCAGAUAGCACGAGAAGCAGGGACCAGCUAGGAGGAUGCAUCCCUCCCUGAGUCCAGCCAUGCACGUAACCAAUAGCAAUUAUUGGGUCCGACGAACAAAGAUCCUCCAACAGCGGAUCCCUUGCAAACAAUUCAAAUUUCGAAAGAAGGAACUCACCUUACCAACAUCAGUUCCCUCCUGACACCCGAAGAGAUUUAGAAUAUACAGAACGUCCUCAGACAAAACCACGACGUCUUCGCAUGGGUACAUUCUGAUAUGACAGGAAUUCAUCCCUCCAUUACCUCUCAUAGACUCAACGUCUUACCAACAGCCAGACCCAUCCGGCAGAGGGUUAAGCGUUUUCACCCGAACAGACAAAAAAAUAUCCAGAAUAAGAUGGACAAGUUGCUAGAAGCCGGAUUCAUCAUAGAAGUAGAUUACCCGGACUGGUUGGCAAAUGUAGUAGUGGUGCCCAAAAAAGAAGGCAAAUGGCGAGUAUGCGUCGACUACACCAACCUCAAUAAUGCAUGCCCAAAAGACAGUUUCCCUUUACCACGAAUAUAUCAAAUUGUCGAUUCCACUACUGGGCAAGGGAUGCUCACUUUUUUGGACGCCUUCUCCGGAUACCACCAAAUCCCCAUGUCUCUGGAUGAUGAAGAAAAAACAGCCUUCAUAACACCACACGACCUCUAUUGCUACAAAGUCAUGCCAUUCGGGCUCAAAAACGUUGGUGCCACUUAUUAGAGACUGAUGACAAAGAUCUUCAAACCUCUGAUAGGCCACACGAUAGAGGUAUAUAUUGAUGAUAUCGUGGUUAAAAGCAAAACCCGAGAAGAGCAUGUUCUUCACUUACAAAAAGUUUUUCACCUCUUGAGGAAGUAUGGCAUGAAGCUGAAUUCUUCUAAAUGCGCCUUUGGCAUAAGCGCUGGCAAAUUCUUGGGGUUUAUGGUCAGCCAAAGAGGUAUAGAAGUCAGUCCGGAUCAAGUCAAGGCAGUUAUAGAAACACCACCACCCAGGAACAAGAAGGAGUUACAACGCCUCAUAGGCAAGCUCGUCGCGCUAAGGCGUUUUAUAGCCCGCUUCACUAAUGAAUUGCGACCCUUCUUCUUGGCAAUACGAAAAGCUGGAACAAACGGAUGGACGGACAACUGUCAAAACGCUUUUGAAAAGAUUAAACACUGUCUUAUGCAGCCGCCCAUCCUGAGCAGCCCCAUCCCAAAAGAAAAAUUAUACAUGUAUCUGGCUUUAUCAGAGUGGGCAAUCAGCGCUGCUCUAUUCCGCUGCCCCUCACCUAAGGAGCAGAAAACUAUCUACUACGUCAGCAAAGCAUUGGUGGACGUAGAAACCAGGUAUUCAAAAAUGGAACUAACAGUCUUAGCCCUUCGAAGCGCUGCCCAGAAGCUCCACCCCUAUUUCCAAGCCCACCCGGUGGUCGUGCUGACCGACCAACCCCUUCGUAACAUUCUGCACAAACCAGACUUAACCGGAAGAAUGCUGCAAUGGGCCAUCGAAUUGAGCGAGUUUGGAAUCGAAUUCCAACCCAGAUUGUCCAUGAAAGGCCAAGUAAUGGCUGACUUCGUGCUGGAAUAUUCCCGAAAGCCUAGCCAACGCCAAGAAUCAAGUGAAAAAGAGUGGUGGACUUUGCGAGUUGAUGGAGCCUCACGAUCAUCCGGGUCCGGAGUCGGGCUUCUGCUACAAUCCCCAACGAGGGAACAUCUGAAACAAGUCAUCCAGCUAGGAUUCCCCGCCUCCAACAAUGAAGCAGAAUAUGAAGCCAUCUUAUCCGGAUUGGCCCUCGCCUUGGCUUUAUCCGUCUCCAAGCUCCGUGUCUAUAGCGAUUCUCAACUCGUGGUCAGUCACAUCCAGGAAGAAUAUGAAGCUAAAGAUGAGCGCAUGGCACGAUACUUAGCUAAGGUGAGAGAUACCUUACAACGAUUCACCAAGUGGACGAUCGAAAAAAUCAAACGAACUGAAAAUGGACGCGCAGACGCCUUGGCAGGCAUAGUUGUCUCCCUCCCCAUCAAAGAAACCAUAUUUUUGCCUAUACAUGUGCAAGCCAACUCUUCCGUCGCGGAAACCUCCACUUGCAACGCCAUUGAGGCAAACCAAACAGAUAGCCAAGAAUGGACAAACAAUAUUAUACAAUACCUCCGGACAGGUACUUUGCCCCAAUAUCCCAAGCAAGCACACAAGAUCCGGGUGCAAGCCGCCUGUUUCACUCUGAUUGGGGGGCACUUGUACAAGCGCUUUUUCACGGGUCCCUACCUUCGGUGCCUAAGUCAUUCAGAGGCCCUGCAUGUGUUAGCUAAAAUGCAUGAAGGAGUAUGUGGCAAUCAUUCUGGAGGACGGUCUCUAGCGCAUAGGGCCCAUUCGCAAGGAUAUUAUUGGCCCACCAUGAAGAAGGAUGUCGUAGCCUAUGUAAAAAAAAUGUGAUAAAUGUUAAAAGCAUGCUCCCAUUCCCCAUAUGUCGUCGGAGACAUUGAAACCAAUCUCAGGCCCCUAGCCCUUCGCACAGUGGGGCAUGGACAUAGUAGGACCCCUCCUAGCCGCUCCCGCCCAAAAGAAAUUUCUACUUAUUGCCACGGAUUACUUCAGUAAAUGGGUGGAAGCUGAAGCAUAUGCAAGCAUCAAAGACAAAGAUGUCACCAAAUUCGUAUGGAAAAACAUCAUCUGCCGCUUUGGAAUCCCUCAAACCAUUAUAGCCGACAACGGUCCACAAUUUGAUAGCAUCACAUUCCGGAAUUUCUGUUCAGAACUGAACAUCCUGAAUUCAUACUCCACACCGCGUUAUCCUCAAAGUAACGGGCAAGCAGAAGCCACAAACAAAACGCUAAUCACUACCUUAAAGAAAAGGCUCGAGCAAGCCAAAGGAAAAUGGGUGGAAGAGUUACCCGGCGUCCUGUGGGCCUAUCGAACCAUACCCGGGCGGCCAACAGGAAACACUCCCUUCGCCCUUGCAUACGGUAUGGACGCAGUCAUUCCUACCGAAAUAGUGUUGCCCACUAUCCGGACUGAGGCAGCAAAGCAAGAUGAUGCAAACGCGGAGUUAGGAAGAAACUUAGACUGGGCAAAUGAAGUAAGGGAAAGCGCAGCCAUCCGGAUGGCAGACUAUCAACAAAGGGCAUCCGCUCAUUACAAUCGCAAAGUAAGGGCUAGAAGCUUCAAAAAUGGUACGCUGGUCCUUAGAAAAGUUUUUGAAAAUACUGCCGAAACAGGAGCAUGGAAAUUUCAAGCCAACUGGGAAGGACCCUAUAUAAUAUCUAAGUCAAGUAAAAGUGGAAAUUAUCAUCUACAAAAGCUAGACGGAACUCCAUUACUCAAACCGUGGAAUGUGUCCAAUUUAAAGCAGUAUUAUCAAUGAAAGAAAGAAGACAAGCACAAAUGAGAAUAAAGAAUGUUUUAUUAAUAUUUGUGAAGGUGUAUACAAAGAGGUCUCCGGACUACAAAAAUACAGAAAGAAGAUAGCAACAAAAAAUUACAAAAAGAAAAGCUAUCAAGGAGCAGGCUUGUCAAGCAGCUUCUUCUCUUCACCUGGAGGAAUUGAAGGGACAUCCCGUUUAAUGUCAUGUUUCUUCAUACAGCAGCGAUAGCCGAAGAAGAACAUAUCAUCUACUUGCUUCUGGUAGUCCGCUUCAAGCUCUUCCCUCUCUACAGCAAACUCACCCUCCAACUCUUCUUUUUGCGCUGAUAAGCACAACUGCAAAUCUUCCUUCUGCUUCUUCUCAAUGGAUACCUCCGUUUGGAGUUGCCUCACCUCCCCCCUCAAGAGAGCCACCUCAUCCUCCGCCUCAUGCAAGCGGGCAUCCAUCGACUCCUCUCGGCUCUUUGCCUCAGCUAAAUCCACCCGGAGAGCCUCGUUGUCUCCUUGAGCGGUGGAUAAACUGGCUUCGGCUUCCUCCAGUCUCAAGCGCAACUGAUUUUCACUGUUUUUGUGCUGAGAGGCGAAGACCUUCAUGUAAUCAGCGGUCCGCAGCAGGUUAGUAAAUAGAUCGUGUUGUUGGGCCAUGCCGUGAAGACCACUCACCAGCUGCACACAAACACACAAGCAAGAAAAGUGAAAUUACAAACCAUACCACAAACACAUCAGCAUGACAAAAAAAUCAAGAAGUACAAAACUAUCGUUUCCACCACUUCAAACAUUUUUGCUGAAGGCAUGGCAGUAUCCGAGCCGGGAGGAAUCCGUUUCAGUUUCUCUUCCAACUCUACAUAGCUAAAAGAGCCAGCAGAGAUGCAAGCCGCAUCAUCAACAGGACUUCCCCCUGAUGAGGCGUUGGAAGGUGACUCCUCCUCCAGGUCUGGGGCCCCCUCAUUUUCAGCCGGCUGGGUCUCUCUGGGAGUACCCUCAUCCGGGGCCACCACCAGGACAGCUGGGGUCUCAGUUACCAUCUCCGUUUCGCUCCCCUCCGGAUGAUCAUCCUGGACGGACGAGCAACUGACUUCGAUGGUUUCCUGGAAUCGAUCUUGAAGUCGCCCGAUGAGGCCGGACUUUAACUUGCGCGCUGAACGCGACCUCUUUGAAGCUGGCCCCUUCAUCGGUACAAGGGCAAGAAGGCUUGGCCCGCCAGAAGGCAAACUCUGGCUUUCUGCCCCCAUUUCCUCCAUUGGGGUUGCCAUAAGAGGCAAUACUUCCGCACAAAUGGCCUCGGUUGUGUCCACAUUCGGAUGGGGAGAGCCGGGUUGAUUUAUUGAUGCAACUUCUUCAGCCAAAAGAGCCACACGGCCAACCGCCGACAUUGAAGGCCCUGAGUGGUUCAGACCCGCAAGAUGUCCUGGUCCGCUUGAAAUAGAGGGUGGGAUAGGAUUUUUCGACUCUUUUAUUGUUACCUCCUUCUCAUAAGUAAUAGGAGGACGUACAAACUCCUUCAGAGAAGUGGGGAGUUUCACUUCUUUCCCCUUAUUAUGAAGAACCAGCUUCCUCCUUUUUUCUGGAGCUUUACCUGGAAGGGAGGUUGCGCUGCGUUUUUUCCCAGGAGCCUUCCGCAAAGUUCCCUCUUUUUUCCUCCUCUCCCGAUUGUCAAGGAGUGCUCGUCGUUUCUCAACAUCGGCCUCUUUCACCUCCUUGUAGAACAGGAGGUCUUUCAUAAUGUAGUGCUCCCCAGACACUACCUUCUUUGGUAGCUUCCUUGAGAGGAUGUUGAUAAUGUACGCUUGAGACUCCCGGACAACAGCCAGCAAGUUCCGCGCAGUGAGCAGUGUCUCAUAAUGCCUCUCAGCAGCAGCUAUCUCGAAUAACUUAUUUAGUCGAGCAAACGACGCCUUUUCUACCCACUCGACUACGUGGCCCCUCUUGUCUGGACCUGCAUUAUCAGCAACCAAAGGUGUUAAGCCAUCUAAUAAACACAACAAGAGGAACAACAAGACAAAUGCCGGGUAAUCCCCACAAACUGACUUACCCAGAAGCUCCAACGAAUGGUUUGGGGAAAAUGGCCUCUCCGGAUGCUCCAGAAGACCAGCCCAGGAACCCCGGACCAACAUAUGUCCCUUUGUUCCUCCUUUCGUUGAGUCCGACAGCUCAGUCACUAAUUGAAGGGAAGGCAGGUGGGCAGCCAUGCUAAAAAUAUCGUUUUUUCCCUUCUUAAGGGAGUAGGCAAAAAACACCUCCAGCAGCGAGAGGUCCAGGUUGAACAGCAUAUUUAGAAUGUUGCAUCCCAUCAGCACCCGGACUAUGUUGGGGUGGAUGCAGGCUGGUGGGAUCUGUGUGAAGUGAAAGAAUUCCUUGAACAGCGACGGGAGGGGGAACUGAAGCCCAGCAUUAAUCUGCUCUUUGGAGAACACGAUGGCAUGGUCUUCAGUUUUCUCAGUAGACAUGGCCUCUCCAUCCAUCAGUUCCACCACCACGCCAUUUGGGAUACUGAAACGUUCGCGGAACUCCUUUACACUCAACUUAUCCACAGAUUUCUCAUGAACAUCACCAGACAGGCCAGAUGAGGCAGCUCCCUUGAUUGUAGACAUUUUUUAGCUUGAGACUGAACUGGAACCUACAUACAAGAAGGACAACAGUCAAACAUAGUGAUCCAAAACUCACAAACCCUAAACGACAGACAACUCUCAAGAAAACCUCACACCACCAGUAUACCCAUCCCAAAACCCUUGACCCUACCAAAGAAAAACCCUCAACCCACAUAAAACACAGGGGGGUAACAAAAACCCUCGAAAACAUUGACAAAACACGCAGUCGCAAGCAACUUGCCCAAGCAAACUAGCAACAAACCGACAAAGACGAAAGGCAAAACCAAAGACAAAAGCAUGACAAACGAACGUACCGAGUGAAAACAGCGAAAAGAGGGUUGAACACCGCAAAUGCAGUCACCGGUACGACGCAAAAAGCACCGUCAGGAAAUUCUAGGGCUUCACUCAGAAAGCUAAGGUACGUAGAAAGUAGAAGAAGAAACACUCUCAGAAAGGAACGCAGUAGGAAAAAAUGCAACAGAAGGCACAGUAUGCUAUUUAUAGGGCAACAGCCCCUCGGAAAACCAAACGUUCAGCUACGCCAUCAUUGAAACGACACGCUGCUUGGGAAUACACAGAGACGACGACUCAUCAUAAAUGCUCUUCUCUCUCUUCACCCCCACUUGCCACGUGACCCAAUGAGCGCAAAAAGUAACCUCAGUUUCAAAAAAACCAAUUAUUUUUAACCCGCCCAUUUUGCUUGGGCAAAAUGGGCAAGUUAAAAAGGGGGGCAUUGUAGGGACCCCUCCCCCUGAUAACACGUGGCACACAUCUCCUGGUGACGCGUGGCACACAUUAUCAACCGGAUCAACCUCAUCCGAAUUUUUCCCAAGAGUACACGUGGCGCGUCUCUCCUAUCCGGACCCCUUCAAGAAGAGGCACACGACACUCACAAACAUAACAUCCGGACGACUGCCACAGCACAUCCGGACGACCGACAUACACUAUUCGGAUAUGUUUGUCUGGAUCAUUGACUGAAGUAAGCAAGUCUUACACGUUAUCACAACAGCCUGCCAUGACCCACGUUCCGCCACCUGCAGGGUGAAAAGACAAGAAUGAAGUGACAACAAGUCACUUCCUACGAUCACUUCCCAUGAUUUCUGAUAAUCGCAACAACUACCACGAUCUCUGUUAGCCGCCCGUAGGGUGAUGAUGGCCCUGCCACCACCUAGUGUCAUCAUGACAACACAAAAUAUCUCCCUGCCAUUAAAGAGAGAAACAAAGCCUCUGAUACUAUAUAUAUGAACCUUCACACAAAGAAGAAGGUAAGCUUGCUAUACCUGGUAAAAGGCCAACUGAUUUAUCUCUAUCUCUCUAACCAUGGCUGACAAAACCAUCGGAGAGUGCGUCCGGACACCUUGUCCGGAUGCCUUUUGCAGGUAUUACGAUUGAAUCAAGAAUCUGUAUUGGUUGAGAUCGUGCGUCCACCUAUUUGGCAACUACGUGGAUUAUCAAGGACACGAGGCCUCAACAGACAUGGGGUGGGAAGGAAAAUGCACAGCCUGCCAAUUUGGAUAUGCCUUUAGAAGAGGAGAAGGUGGAUGAGGAAGAAGAUAAGGAAUUUACUAGUUUAGAGGGGGCUUUUGGACUGGAAGGAAGUGGACAACAGAAGUCAAUCCAUGAAACACAAGCACCUGCAAAAAAGUCAUGUGAUAAAUCAAUGUCCAUUGAUAGCCUAUGUGUGUAGAUGAGCUUGCUUGGAGUUCAUUGGGAGGAGAUGUCAUUAGCCACUAAUAUGUGUUUGGCAUCUUUGGAGAGCCGAACUGAUAAGUUCUAGGAGGACUUCAAUGCCAGUAUCCAUCUUCUGACUCGCCAACAUGAGGGCCUUAUGAAGAAACUGGAAGUCGUGGUCCCACCAGAGCAACCGAUGAAGGGAUGAUGCAUGUUACAUUGGAUUCAGAUGUUUUUUGCCACCUAAUUUACAAAUUUACUACAUUUUGGCAAUUUUAUAUACAUGCCAAACAUGGAUAUGUUUUUUGCUUUAUUAAAGUUUUCGUAAUGUGAUACUUAUGCUGCUAUGUGGAUAUUAAAUAAAAUGAAAGUUGCUUGCCCUCACUAAUAACAAACAACAAUCCAAAAUACCCCUACUUUUUAUGUUAGUGUUUAGGGAUAAAUGCGCACAACUUUCCUGCUUGACAUAGGGGAUAUUUAUCCCAGGAAGCCUCACAUGCAAAUUUCCAAUGUGCUUGUUUCUCUCUAACAAUGAGUAAUCUAAUAUGAGGGUCAGAAAUGUACCAACUCAUCACUGUUAGAGAGAGUUGAUCAACAACUUACUUUUCAAAGGAGCAUUUCAUGGAGGUUGAGAAAAAAUAACUGUAAAUGAGAUUGAAAAGUUUGCCUAUUAGAAUCGGUAACUUGAAUAUUUGGGGUAUCUAUGAAGAGAAGUCCUUAAUUGAGAUGGGGAAGUUUGCCAAUCUGAAUCGAUAACAAAUUUCAAUUGAACCAUAAUGAAUAAUAUAUAUCUUCAUACAAUGAGGGAAAUAACUCCCAAGUUUCAAUAAUCGUAUGACUCCCAAUUUACUUAAUGGUUGAAUUGAAAAGGAUUGGCUUGCCAAUAUAGGGUUCAACUAAAUAUUAAAAAUAUAAGGGACAUGUCCAACUCUUGGCCAUGCAUUAAUAUUGUUAUGAGUACUCCAUACAAAGAAUGGAGUGAAUAUUGGUGAUCUGAUUUCGAAUGCUCUCUUGACGAUUUAAACCCACAAAAUUAAAUGAACCAAUUAGGGAGAAAUUGAAUCCAACCGGUACACUUAUGUAGCUCGACCGGUACUUAUUGAACCAUGUAAUUUUGGAGAAGGCAAUGGGUACCAAUUCAGCUCCAUCCUCUACCGGUAAACUACAUGGUGUUCCAGUAGGUACUGCAUGUCAUUAGAAAUUAAGUGAUUUCUAUAUUCACAAUAGAAGCAUUUUAUUUGGAAAUAUUUUUCAUGUAAACACAUGAAUUAUGUUGUUAUACAUAAAUCUUCCAAUUUCUAAUUAUUGAUAAAACCAAUUUGUAUAUGGUUGGAAUUAAUAAUUGAGCUCUAGAAAUUGGUAUAUUGCAUGCAUCAUCUCUAUAGCCAUAAAGUAGCAUUUUAAUUUUUAAAAUUGGUAAUCAAUCUUGAAAAUUUAAUCAUAAAACCAAUGUCUAUAUACUUUGUAAUGAUUAUUGAGCUCUAGAAAUUGGUAUAUUGCAUACAUCAUGUCUAUAACCAUAAAGUAGCAUUUUAAUUUUUUGAAAUUGGUAAUCAAUCUUCAAAAUUUAAUCAUAAAACCAAUGUCUAUAUACUUUUAAUCAUAAUUGAGCUCUAGAAAUUGAUAUAAUGCAUACAUCAUGUCUAUAACCACAAAGUAGCAUUUUUAUUUUUUAAAUUGGUAAUCAAUCUUGAAAAUUAAUCAUAAAACUAAUGUCUAUAUACUUUCUAAUGAUAAUUGAGCUCUAGAAAUUGAUAUAAUGCAUACAUCAUGUUUGUAACCAUAAAGUAGCAUUUUAAUUUUUUAAAUUGGUAAUCAAUCUAGAAAAUUUAAUCAUAAAACCAAUGUUUAUAUACUUUCUAAUGAUAAUUGAGCUCUAGAUUGAUAUAAUGCAUACAUCAUGUCUGUAACCAUAAAGUAGCAUUUAAUUUUUUUAAAUGGUAAAUUAUCAUGUAAUUUUUGUAAAAAUUUAAUUAUUUGCACUUUGUAAUAUAAGCUUUAAAAUUUGAUGAAAUGCAUACAUAAUGUCUAUAACCCUUAAUUACAAUAUCUAUUUUAAAAGUUAUUAAAUAAAUUAAUAAUAAAGAAUUUUGUAAAAUUGUGUAAUGGGUUAUGUAUACCCAUGAAUCGUAAACCCCUUCACUCUAAUCCACCAUUAUGAAAGUAGUUAUAACAUUCGUAGCACGACCAGUGGGGUUCCAUUAGGUCGACCAUUCGAUCGGUCUGCAUUUCUCUUGUUUGCUCCUCAUACAUUGUGUUGGGAAGUGAAGUGAUAGGCUCAUCUUGGGUAUUUGUGGCUAAAAACUCCCACAUUGCAAACAUAGUGGUUCAGCAGAUCCUUGGCCACAACAUAUUCUAAAGUUGAUUUUUUAUUUCAUGGCUUCAAAAUGACGUGGUCCGGUGGGGGAUAAAGCAAAAAGGAAGCGACCAUUAUUGAAACCCACUACAGAGGCAUAGAAAAAGGCCACCUAUGAUACCUGAAUGUUCAACAAUAUGGAAAAGAGGAAAAUAGGAAAAUAGGAAAAGAUAUUCUGAACUUUUCUCUUAUAGGCUUGUCAUACCGGGUAGGGGAAUAGACUUUGGUGAGUUAAGUUACUUUGGGUUUGAUUGUUUAUUUGGUGCCAUGGGAUGGCUACCUCUUGUAUCCCUAAAUGAGGUUUUCUAUCCACAGCUAGUCAAAUUUUUUAUUCAAACAUGACCUACGAGAAGGGAGGUGUAGACCCUUCAUUUUGUCCUUUUAACAGGUAUGACACCAGGUGUCUUCUCAUACUUCUCUUUUGACUCGUAGUCAUCUCUUGGUUGCCUUUCAAGCUUAAUUUAGGUUCACUUAGACACACCUGACCCAUUAGGCACACUAAGCCCAUUUAGUUGCACUUGGUCCAUUAGGUACACUCCUAGGUCACUUGACACAUUUUUUAUCACCCUAUAUCACUUAGGCACUUUUUUAAACCUUCUAGGUCACUUAGCACAUUUUUGAUCACUUAGGUUCAUUUAGGUACUCUUGACCCAUUUAGGUACACCUAAUCCACUUAGGCUCAUUUGGACUCUCACUGUGACCUUGGCCACCUAUCGAGCUUAGGUUAGAUUUCACUUAGUUGCAUUCCCACUUAGCUCACUUAGACACCUCCUUAGUUUAAUUUCCACCUAGUUCACCUUGGAAAUUCCCUCUUAGGUCACUUAGCCACUUUUCACCUAGGUCACUCAGAUGCUUUUUUGGGCUUAAUUCCCUUUGAUUGAUUUUUUUAUUGCUUGAUUUUUAAGAUUAGGUGAGUAUUUGGUUUGAUUUUGAUUUUUGAUUGCUUGAGAUGAAUUUUCGAUAUUUAAUUGUGUCAGAUUGAUUUUUUAUUUUAUUUUUUAUUGUGUUUUAGGUUAAUAUUUAGAUUAUUAAUUAUAUGCAUUUGAUAUUUAUUUAUUUUUCUUGUUUUAUUUAUUUAUUCAUCUACUUAUUUGUUUUCAAAAAAAAAAAAAAUUUGUCUGUGAUUAGUGAUCUUAUCUUAUUAUUAUUAUUAUCAUUAUUAUUAUUAUCAUAUGAAUUAAUUCUUAGGUUUUUCUCAUAUAUGCCAGUAUUGAUAUUUUCUAUUUUUCUUUUCCAAAUUGGCAUGAUUUUUAUUUAUUUUCUAUUAUAAGGUUUUUAAUUUGUAGCUCUUUUUUUCAUUUAUUUAUUUAUUUUGCAUGGGAGUUCGAGAACUCUCAAGAAUGCAACAAGAAGGUUGCCAAGUUAAGCGGUGUAAGGAGGGAACUGUACCAGAGAAAUUAGAUUGCACCAUAGGAAAUCAAAGAGUCCGCAUGGAAAAGUGGAGUUCUGGAAACAAUGAGUGGGAAAAAUAAUACGUGGGAAAAAGGCGUUUGAAGAAAAAAAAGGAAGGUUGGGGUUUUCUGAUGGGGAAAGUGGAAAAGCCUGAAGGUGGAACCUUCAGGAGGUUAAAAAUCAGUAGAAAGGGCUAUGAAAAAAAAAAAAAAAAAGGAACAAAGCAAAAGAAGUGGAGAGGAAAAAAACAGAGAAUUGAGGGCAUUCAGAUUUGAAAGUCUAUGUAAAAAUAGAGCAAAUGGGUGUGGUUCUUAUAAGGGUUCCAACCAGCUCUGCAUCAUCUUUUGGGAGAAUUUCUCCAAGAAGUACUUCAUUGAUCCUAAAAAAAAUAAUUUUUUUUUGCCUCCUUUUGUUCUUCAACCGGGACUAUGGUGGUGAGUCUUGGUGAAAUGGGGCUUUUCUCAUUCAUGGGUUUUGUAGUACAUUGCUUGCUUUUAAUUGGGUAGGGCUUGAUUUUUCAUGAGCAGUCCAUAAAUGGGGCUAGGGUUUCUCAUAUGAGGGAGUUUUGGGUAAAAAGGGUAGUUCUCAUUUAUGGGUUCUGCAAUCAGAGAUUGAUCCAUUUGCUAAUGGAGUUGUUGGUUCAUGUACGACAUAUUUUUUAGUGAAAUGGGUUCUUUAUGUUGAUGGGUUUUUGAAUACUGAUGCGGCUCGCAAUGGGAUGCCAUUCAGAUUUCUGAUGUUUGUUCACAAAUGUAUGUGUUAAAAUGUCGUUGCUUCUGGUAUUAAGCUCGCUUGUUGAAGUUUAUAGAUUAAGAAAGGUCUCUGUUUGGGAGAAUUGAUCCUUAAGUUUCUAUCAAUUGAUGGUUCUAGCGUUGGAUUUGUUUAGAUUUUCAUUUGUUGCUCUAUUCAAGUGGUGUUGGUUCAUUGUUUUUUUUAUUUUAUUUUAGUCUGAGGGUUUUCCAUUUUCCUAAAAUUGGUUGUUGCUAAGAGAAUUGGUGAAGCUUUGGUUAUCAGGUUUGGUCAUUAUUUUUCAUUUUCAGAUUUCUUGAGUCUUAGUGGGUUUUCAGUUCUUGUAUUCAAGCAUUGUUUUUUUGUUUUCAAUUUAAUGAAAAUUAUUAUUUUAGGUACUUCAAUGGUGGGAAGUGAGACUAAAGGGAAACUUUUAGUUUUUGGAUUUGAUGCCAGUUUUUCUUAUGGAAUGAAGCAUGAUGAUGCAAGUGGAAUUGGUAUAGGGAAAGGUUUCAGGCUCCAAAAAGCCAACAAAAGAUGGACAACUAAUAUUUCUUACAGUUGGUGACAAAUCUUUGUAUGAAAUUGUUGCUCCACUCUCAGACAUCAUGGGAAAGUCAAGAUUCUUUCCUUGGGAGUGUUGGAAAUGGAGAUACAAUGAAACUUGUUGUCAACAUGGUGAUGGGAACUAUGAUGGCCUCUUUUUCUGAAGGUUGGUUCUCGGUGAGAAAGUGGGAUUGAAGCCAGAUGUUAUUGUCGAGGUAAUAUCACAGGGAGCUAUAAGUGCAUCAAUGUUUUCAAUGAAAGGUCCUUCAAAGGUGAAAUCCCUCUACCCAACUGCAUUUCCCUUAAAGUAUCAACAAAGAGACCUCAGGCUUGCCCUCGGAUUAGCAGAAUUUGUUUCCUAGCCUACUCCAAUUAUAACAGCUGCAAAACAAUAAUCAAUAGCAGCAACAAUACCUACCAACACCUCUCUACCGUUGGGAUCCUUUCUCUCUCUCUAGCAUGACAUGCAUGGCACACCUCACCACCAUGCAGUCGCACCCCAACCAUAUGCUCACCCACAACCAUCCCUCACCACCAUGCAACCGCCUUUAACCAUAUGCUCACCUACACCUCACCACCAUGCAGUUGCACCCCACCACAUGUAGCCCACAUACAACUCAAAGCCUCUCUACAGCCCAUAUGCAACUCAAAGUCUCAAUCUAGCCAUCUUCUAGUAUCCCAUCCAGUGGCCACGUUCCAUUCCUUUGUUUGUUUUUUAUUUUAUUUUAUUUUAUUUUAAUGUUAAAAAUUUAUUUAUUUACUUAUUUUAUUUAUUAUGUUUAUUAUUCUCAAAUAACUCUUUAAAAUCCUUUUUUUUUUAAAUAUAAUCUUCAAAAAUAUAAUUUUCAAAUAGUUUUCUAAAUUUCCCAAAUUCAAUUUUUUAAAAUCCCAUUUUCAAACAAAUUUUCCAAAAUCCCAAAUUUAAUUUUUUUAAAUCCCAUCUUCAGUCAAAUUUUCCAAAAUUCCAAAAUCCCAAAUUUUUUUUUUUUUAAAUCCCAUUUUCAAAUAUAAACUCCAAAAUCCCAAAUUUAUUUUUUAAAAUCCUAUUUUCAAAUAAAUUUUCCAAAAUUCCAAUUUUUAAAAUUACCAUAUUCAAUCAAAAUUUCCAAAAUUCCAAAAUCCUAAAUUUAAUUUUUAAAAUCCCAUUUUCAAAUAAAUUUUCCAAAAUUCCAAACUUAUUUUUUUAAAAAAAAUUCCAUUUCCAAAAUUUCAAAUUUAAUUUUCAAAACUCUCAUUUUUUUUAAUAUAAAAAUGAAUAAGUUUUCAUAAUUCCAAAAUGAUGAAAUUUAUGAGAAUUAAUUUAUAAUAAAAAUAAAUUGGGCUUUGGCGGGGGCUCGACAUUCAUAACAUUUCUUUUAAAAAUAAUUCAAGUGAACUAUGUGAUCGAUUUUGUUUGAUUUUGAUUUGGUUUUGUGUGUGUGUUUUUUUAUGCUUGUCAUUAUACAUUGACCUUGUUUUCAUGACAGGGCUUUAUUACCUGCUACCAAGGUACACUCUCACCCUCACUUUGUUUAAAAUUUUAUUAUCAUGACUUGUUUUCAAACUAUUAUCAUUUUAGUAUUCAUUGAUUUUCUAGUUAAUUGUCAUGUCUGCUUCACCUUAUUUAAUAGAGACCCAUUUUUAGGGGCCUAGAGGGAUGCUAUGGUCUUUACCAUACUUUCCUAAUAAGUUACCUGAUCCCCAAACCUAGACUUAGGUUUUUCAUAGACCGUUUUUUCCAAAUAAGGAGUCACACUUAAGGUUUUCUUUCUUAUUUUGUUUUCCUAAAAAAAUAAAACAAAAAUAAGUGGCGACUCCAAGUCUUUUCUAAAAAUUAUAUUUUUCACCAAAUAAACAAAAAACGAGUAUUGCCAAUCAAGUGGGAACGCAUCGUGAAAAAUAUGGGUCCAUAGGAGGACCCAUUCCAACAUCUAUGAAUGGGGUGGAAAUUAAGUUUGAUGUUGCCCAACUUUGUGAAAUUUUAGGUAUUGAAAAUGUUGGAAUGAAGAUAUUUGAAUCAAAAAGUUGGCCAAAGGUUGGUGGUUUUAGCCGUGUAGAAGCAAUGCAAGGGAUGUGUAAGUUUCCAUUUUCUAAUGUCACCACAUGACCACAAGCUCACAGUUUGACAGUCUUGAGUAAGAUACUCCAACACAUGAUCAGCUAUAUAUUCAUUCCCAAGGGAGGUCAUAGGGAUGAUGUAUCUUAUUUUGAGGGCUUUUUGGUUGGCUGCAUAUGGACAUUAAUUGAAUCAUUUUCUUGAGGACCCAUUGUAAGUAUGUAACAAGUUAAUGGUUAACAAUCACCAAUUGUACACUUAAUUCAAAAUUGAAAGUUUUUUUAAAAUAAACCAUUAUAUGUUAUACUUGGAAAAUAAAAUAUAAAGUGGUGGAUCUCAUUCAUUUGUGCAACAUUCUCAUUCGAAUAUGACAUUUGUAGAUAGAUUUUGUGACAUAUUGAUAUUCACAAUCCUAUUGUGGAAUAUUUAUAGACACAUUUACAACAUAAACAAAUGGCUACUGUCUUCACAUUCUUUUGACAUUGUCUUCACAUUUUCAAAAGAGUUUCAUCAUUGAUUCCAUGGAGUGUGAUUACACAACAUAUAAUAUAAAUUGUAUAUAUUUGGAAAUAAAUAUGUACAAUGUGUAAUUACAUUGUUUAGUUACAAAAAUAUAAAUAUAUUUGUGGACCCGCAUUUUUCACGUACACCCCCACUUGAUGGCGAGACUCGCUUUUUAUAAAGUAAAAAUGAUGUAUUUCAUAAAAACUACAGUCGUCACUUCUUUUUAUUUUUUAUUUUUAAACAGGAAAAUGAAAUAAGAAACUAAAGCCCUAAGAAACAUGACUUCUUAAACUUUUGGAAAAACGUGUCUUUGAAAAACCCAAGUCUAGGUCCAAGGAUCUAACUACCUAUCAGGAAGGUGCCUUAAAAAAAUGUAAUACCCCUCUAAACCCUAAAAUAAAGGUCUCUAUUGACUAAAUUAAGGGAAACAUGAUAAUUAAUCAAUAGAUCAAGGAUACUAAGAAAAAAGCAAUACUGAUUUUGUCUAAGGCCAAGCAACAUGCUAUUCAUAACAAAACAAAUAUACCAAUAGAAACACUCAUAUAAGAAAAGGGGAUUAGCGUACUUGAGUUGCGUCUCAAAGUGCUUUCAUGAAAACAUCAAAGGUUAGUUUAAAAAAUAAUUAAUACAACACUCAACCUAUAUUUCAUCUUAUUCAAGGAAUCAAGUAACAAAUUUGAGCAAUCAAGACAAUAUCAAACACGAGAGUAUUCACAAACAAAGUUUGCAUAUUUACAAAAUUAAAGAUAUAAAAGGUGUAAGGGAUGUACUUGGAUAGCAUGCAUAACUUACAAUGCACCUGCACAUAGCUAGAGUAGGUUAGAACAAUUGUAAUAAUGAAUAAAUAGGAUACAAAACCCUAAUAUAAAUGGUAUAUAUACAACUCAAAUGAAAUGGUAGGAAUCUAAAGAAGCAAUAGCUAUCAUGUAGGACAUGCAAUACAACUCAUUAUUAAAGCUAAACUAAUUUACAUGAUUGUCAAAGAUAUAAAAAAUAUUGAUUAAGACAAAACAUAUAGCAAAGGGGUAGAAUAGUCAAAUUCACUUGCAAAAUCCUAAACAAAUACUUAGAGAUAUUAUUUCAACAUGGGAAAAAUCAUAUGACACCAUCAUUAUGUCUAUAUUACAAUACCAAAGCCAAGACCAAGUAAAGAUGUGUCAAUUAACUCCAGAUUAAAAGAUAAGUUAAACAUUUUAUAAAAAUUCCAACAUGCAAUCAGAAUAGGAGUCUUCACAAAAAAAAAAAAAAAAAAUGUCUUAAAAAAAUAUAUAGAAAGUAAAUUUAAUUACAAAAAAAAUAAAAAUUAGGAAACAUCCCUACAUGUCUAGAUGAUCAUCCAAUUGGCUAAACAAUUUAAUAAAGCUUCAUUUAAUCCCAUUUUACAAAAACAUUCGAGAAGGUCUAGAACAUGAUUGAAUUCUAAGUAUACAUAAAUUGAAUUUUUUUAGCUAACCCAGAGGUGCUAUAAAAUCAUACAAUAUUAAGAAUGUCUAAUUUACAAGAAAAAUAAGGUCAAGGUAAAAAGGUACAUGAUUCAAAUUUAAAAACAAGAAAAUAUCCCCUUUGUUCAAAAUCAAGGCAAUAUAGUGGGUGCAAUAGGAGAAGAUCAUAUCUUUUAAUUGGGAAAACCUUUUUCAACAUUUUAUGUCUAAAAUAAACUUUAGGAAUUAUAAAAUCAAGUAAAAAUAUUAAAACAUUUUUAAAAAAAUUAUCUAAUAAUUUUAAAAACUUAAAAACAAUCUAUGUCUCUAAAACUAGGUGAAAAUAGAACCCGACAAAAGAUUAACCUAAUAACACCUACUUCAAAAAUGUUUUCUAACUCAAACCAAGUUCUAAAAUCAAGUUCAAGAAGUUAACAUCAUAUAUAUACAAGCAAAUUUUUAGGAAUACUCUAAAUAAGUCAUAUCAAAUUUUUAUUUUAGAUGCAUUAUAAAUCCAACAAGAUAACAAUAAAAGGUUUUUGAAAAAUAAUUUUAUGUAAGGGCUUCACCUAGUCCCCAAUUAUUAUACACAAAUCUAGACUAUGGAUUCCCAUCUAUUUGGGACAACAAGCUUGGAUUCAUGUUUCAUUUUUUUUGAACCUAUAUGAUGAAUCAAAAUUAAACUAACCAAAUUUCAAACCUUUUUUUAACAUGAUGAAUUUAAAUUAAAACUAACUUAAACUCUAACUUGCAAUCAAAUAAAAUAAUGGAUCCAAACAAAAACAAAACUAAAUUCUAACUUACCAUAAUCCAAGAGUGGUGCGAUUGUUGUUGAUACCUGAAUGGUGCAGCAUCCUUUUUCAAGUCACAAUGUGUUCAGUGUGUAGAGAUUCCUAUGACAGCACGCUGGUUGUCGCCCUUAGUACAUGGUUGUGUCUCUUUGAGUUUUACAGUGCAUGCUCUCUUUGAAAAGUAUCUGGUUUGUGUGUGAAUCUGGCUGUCUAAAAUCCUUCCUCCUCUCAAAAUCUGGCCGCCCUUUCUUUUCUUUAUAGAUAUAAUGCAGCUAUGUUCUUCCCUCCCCGAAAGCAGCGUGGUAUUCCUAAUUAAAAUAGGUGCAGUCGUGAGUAAUGGAGACUCCUACAUGAAUGUGGCAGCGUGUUUUCUUUAUUUUCAUAUGGAAGCUGCUUUUAUAUUUAUAAUUUAUUUUUAAUUUGAUAUUGGAAAGUGGCUUUGAAAAUAGUUUCUAAUAUUUACAAUGGAAAGUGGUUUCUCAAUUUAUAUAUAUCACAAUUAGAAAAAUAUUAACAAACUUUAAAAAAAAAAUAACUUACCAAAUUGACAUUAAAAAUUUUAUAUUAAAAAUUAACUUACUAAAAUUUAUUUACAUAUAUACCACUAAAAAAUAUAUAUUAGAAUACUUUUAAAAAAUAACUUUUCAAAAUUUUAUGUUCGUACGUACCACUAAAUAUAUUAAAACACUUAAAAAAAUAACUUACCGAAAUUAUAUUUAUGUAUAUACAACUAAAAAAUUUAAAUUAAAACAUUUUAAAAAAAUUAACUUACCAAAAAUAUAUUAAAAGCACUUUAAAAAAUAACUUACUAAAAAUCUAUUUCCAUAUAAAUACCACUAAAAAUUUUAUAAUAAAAGCAUUUAAUAAUAAUAAUAACCUACCAAAAAUUUAUUUACCUACAUACCAUUAAAAAUUUUAUAUUAAAAACACUUUAUAGAAAAUAACUUACUAAAAAAAAUUAAGUGAACUAAAACAAAGCAUUUAAGUGACCUAAGCCUAAAAAGUGCCUAGAUGAACUGAGUGGAAAAGGAUCCAAGUGAAACUUAACCUAAACUCCGAGAGUGGCCAAGGUCAUAGUGAGGGUUCAGAUGAGCCCCUCAACAAAAGGUCUCUGAAAGUGACUCAAAAGGAGAAAACUGUAUGAGUGUCAAUAAGCCACCAAGGGACAACUAAGAGGCAAAAGAAAAGUAUAGGGGGAUACCUAGUCUCACAUGUGCUAAGAGGACAAAAUAAAGGGUCUAUAAAGUUUUGAUACAAUCAUGUUUAUGAUCGAGUUCUAGGUGAUAGUGAUUUUCUUCAAUAUGGAGGAUAAAUCUUGGAUUUGCCAUCAAAGCACUAGGAGAUAUUGCAAAGUUUGAUCUCGUUGACGAUUAAUCAUUAUCCGAUACUAGGGAAUACCUCCUUUAUAGUUGUAUUAUGGUGUAUUUUUUUUCCUAUUUCAGUUGCUUAUACCAAGGGAUUCCUGUUUAGAGUACCUUAUUGAUCAUUUUUACACAUUGGGGCAUACCCCAUUUAUUGAGAUUAUAUGAUCUUUUGUUGAUUUCAUGACCGCUUAUUUCAUUUGUUGAUCCCUAUGAGUUAUUACUAUGGGCAUGUACCCUUUUUCAUUGAGUUCGUUAUCUCAAUUGCCUCUUCUCCUGAGCUUGUUAGUUUGUUUUGGCUAUAAAUAAUUUCUUUGUCCUCGUUUUUGUUUUAGGUGUUUUUGGUUGCAGAUCUAGUACCCACCCCUCUCUUAGUUUGUUUAGAUUAUCUCUUAUCAUUUUAGUUUUCAUUUAUGGAAUUUCUUCAUUUUGGUUUCGUUUAUGGCAUCCAUUUCUUUGAGCACCAUCUUGGGCAUACCCCCUUUAUAGCCCAAAGUUGUUUAUUACCUCGUAUUUCGAAGUUUAUCAUCAUUCCAUUGUCAUUUGUGACAUCCUUUCAUUUUAGUUUCCUUUAUGGCCAAAGCUGUUCAUUACCUUUUAUUUCAGAGUUUAUUAUUGCUUUCAGUUCCACUUGUGACAUCCUUUCAUUUCGAUUUUGUUUGUGGCAUCCUUAUCUUUGAGUAUCAUCUAAGGCAUGCCUUCCUCACAUCCCAGAGCUAUUAAUUAUUUCUUAGUUCAGAGUUUAUUAUCGCUUUUAGUUUCACUUGUGGCAUUCCUUCAUUAUGAUUUUGAUUGUGGCAUCAUUUUCUUUUAGUAUUACCUGGGGCAGACCUCUUUCCUUGAGAUAUUUAGAUCCUCUAUUUUGGUGAUUUGAUCAUACUUGUUUAGUCAACCUUUAGUGGUUCUAUUUGGAGUAAGGGAUCAUGAUCUCUUUUAGGCUCAACUUAUAGCCUAUAUUGUUCAUUACAUCCACAACCCUAAGUUGUUCAUUGCAUCAUAACCAAGAGUUGUUUAUUCAUUUACAUAUUUGAUCCUUUCAUUAUUUUGGUCACCUCUGAGUGGUUUGACCAAGAGUUUGCGUAUCACACUCUCCUAUUUGGCUGUUAUUUUUUAGGGCAUUCAAAGCCCAUAAACCUGAGUUAUUCAUUACAUUAUAACUCUGAGUUGUUCAUUGCAUCCACAAUCCUGAACUGUUCAUCAUUUCUAUUUAUCUUUGAGACAUUUGAUUUAGAGUUUACCUACCACACUCUUCUCAUCAUCCAUUGGUUUUUUAAGGCAUUCAAAGCCUAUAACCCUGAGUUAUUCAUUACUUUACAACCCUGAGUUGUUCAUUGCAUCCAUAGCCCCAAAUUGUUAAUUACAUAUACAUUCUCCAUACCUUAUCAUCCUUGUAUGCAAAGUCAUUCUUUUCACCCCUUCAUAUCCUUAAGUUACUCAUUACAUACUUUUUUCUCUUGUCGUUCUUUUUUCUUGUGCAUAAUUGUUCCAUCCUUGUUGUUACAACCCUAUAUUUCGAGCUUAUCAAAUCAUGUGAAGAACAAAAUUCCUAGUCUUUUUAGUUCUUUGGCAUAGUUCACUUGUUCUAGUCAUUACUUGUGUUCCCACUCGCACUCUUACACUCGUGAUCUUUAUCAAAGAGGGGCAUAUUUGUAGACCCUCCAUUUUGUUUUGUUAGCACAUGUGCUAUUAAGUGUUCUUUUAGUACUCCACAAUAGUUCCCAGGUGGCCCAUUGUUACACAUAAAACCUAUCAUUUUAAGUGGCCUUGGAGACUCUAGUAGAGGGAUUUAUCUGAUCCCUCAUUGUGACCCUUGGUACUCCCGAGUUAAAUAUAGGAUUUUCAUUUUCUUUUCUUUUUAUGAUAGUUCAUUUAGGUAUACGUUUAGGAUAACAUACUUAGGCAUAUUCAGGUACACUUUUUAGGACACUUAGAUACUCCUUAGGUCACUUAGGCACCUUUCUGAGCCCUUUUUUCCCCCUAUUUUGAAAGAACCCAUUUGAGCCCUCCAUUUUGGCUCAUUUGAUCUCUACCCUUGAUCCAUUUUGAAGCCCUAAAAAUCACAUUUUUCACCUCAACCAUCACCGGCUACUAGGCCUUUUCUCGAAGUUUACUCUCCUCUCUUUCAUUUCCUUUCUCUUUUCCCCUCUCUUUCUCUCCAUCUCAUCUUCUUAUUCUUAUACCCAUCUCUUCAUUAUCCCUUUAUGGCCUCCAUUGUCACACUUUUCCAUUAAAGGUUGAAGAAUAGGUAAAACCCCUAUUUUUUUUAUUCUUACAAUGAUUAUUUGGGUUCUUAGAUAGUGUUUGUGGGCUUUUGUCAAUGUAUUUGGUUUAUGAGACUUGGUUAUGGAUAUUAGGUUUUGGUAUUUGGAUGUGGGUUAUUGGAUAUGGGUUUGUGUUUAUGGAUUUCAAAUUUGGAUAUUGGAUAUUUUGGAUAUGGGUAUUUGGUUUAUGAGAAUUGGUUAUGGAUAUUGUGUUUUGGUAUUUGGAUGUGGGUUAUUCGAUAUGCGUAUGCAUUUAUAGGUUUGAACUUUGGAUAUUGGUGUAGGGAACCCCAGAUUACUUCGUUCUCAUGCCUUAGAUCACAUAGGGUACAUGCAAAUCUAUCCUAGGCCCUCCAAAUCUAUCAAAAUAUAUAAAUAGUUCAUCUAAAAUAACAUGGAUACCACAGAAAUCAUAGAAUUGGAGAAUAAAGCCACAUACCUUUGAUCCGGAUAUUCUUGGAUUGAUUGUAAUUGAUGUAGAUAUCUCCAAAGUCAUAAAAGAUCUCGUAAACACCAUGAUCUUCCGCCCAAUGACUCUUUUUUGUGUCUAUGCACUAACAUGGUAGAGAACUCAAGGGUGGAGGCUAGGGUUCUCUCUUUAGACUAUAAGGAGAAAAUGACAAGACCUGAAAACCUUAACUUUUGAAGGGGUAUUUAUAGGCUUCUUACUAGGCUUAAGUGACUUAAGCCCACCAUGGGCUUGUGUCACUUAAUCUAGCUCAUAAAAGGUUUCUAAUUAAUUAAUUAACCAUACGAGGUUCUAAUUAAUCAAUUAGCCUAGUCUAGAGAUACCACUAACAUAUUCUUGUGCAAUCUUACGUAAUUACCAAAAUGCCCUUAUGCACAAAAGUGAACUAAAAACUCAUCCAAUCCUCAAAAAUUGCGUCAUCAAGGAAUAUAAGCUUAGAGUGAGGACCAUUGAGAUACAUAGGAGUAUUGGUUCCCCCAUAAUCAAAUUCUGAAAUUGACCCAACAUCCCACUAUAGAGAGUCAACUACACUCCAAUACCCUAUUUAUAGUUACAACGAGACACUAAGUGCUCGGGUCCGUGACCUACUAUCCACUUCAUGCAAACUCCCAAUGAACUAGUGUCCGUAAUCUAACAAGGUAGUGCUAUCACCUAUCAAGAUUACCUCUCAAAUCCUUAAGUUAUAAAUCUCACUUAUUAUGUGAUCAAAUGACAUACUCUAACUCUAAGGAGCAUAUGUGAAAUUCCACUAAAUGAACUAUUGUGGCCACAUAUUUCAUGAUCACAUGUCCUUUGGAUCACCCAAUGGGAUACACUGUCUCAAUCCCAUGAGAUAUCAUAGUGUCAUUAUUGAGAAUGCUUAUUACCACCAACCUCCAUCAACAGUGACCCUAUUCAUAGGGAUAUAUGACCACUAUAAGGUCUCACCCAUAAGUCAAAGCUUCCUAUUGAUUUUAGCAUAGGCUCAAUAUCCACUCAAGGUUUAUAGUCCAUACAGUAUAAUACCUUGGUCAAUCAUGAAAAUUGAUAUCCUUGCGUUAUGAUUCACUAUAGGUCCUGCCCAAUGUGUAUCACAUAUAUUAGUGCACUCACCAUGGGAAACCCAUCUCGACUACCAAGACAAGUCAUCCUUCCAAUUAAGAGGUGGUGCACUACAGUCUCUAUCGGAUUGCCUAAAUCCAUGAACCAACUAUGGACAACUUAUCUCCUUAUAAGGAACCCAUGACUUCUAUCUUCUAUGCAACUCCUAAUGUACCCAAGUCAUGUAUAAUGUAAGAGAUAUGAGUUUAAUGGUCAAAUUAAUGUCAAUAUACUAAAAGGAUAGCAAGGAAUAGUUAAAUCUAACUUUGCUACAUCAUGUCUUGCUUUUAGGGGCUCAAUCCUAACAAACUCCCACUAGCCCUAAAAGUAGAGUAGGCAACGUAGAAAAAAGUCUACUCCAUAGUACCAUCACCUCUUUAUAGUAUCUCACAAUAAGGUAACACUUUCUCUUUAUAUUUUUCCUCUUCUAGUGGUACUUCGGUUCUUUAGACCAUACCAUCGUCCAAUUGUUAUCACAUAAUAUGAUCUUAGAUGAUAUAGCCAAGGGAACUACCCAUAAGACAAAAGGUUUCCUUUGCUGUUAUAAAUGUUGGGAACCCCGGAUUACUCCAUUCCCAUGCCUUGGAUCACGUAGGGUGCAUGCAAAUCUAUCAUAGGUUCUCUAAAUAUAUCGCAACAGAUAAAUAGGUAUUAAAAAACAAUAAGAAUACCAUAGAAAACAUAGCUCUAGAGAAUAAAGCCAUAUACCUUUGAUUCGGAUAUUCCUGGAUCGUUUCCAAUCGUUGUAGAUAACUCUAAAAUCAUAAUAGAUCUCGUAAACACCAUGAUCUUCUACUUGAUGAGUCUUUCUUAUGUCUAGGCACUGAGAUGGUGGAGAUCUCAAGGGUGGAGGCUAGGGUUCUCUCUCUAGAUUGAAGGAGAGAAUGACAAGACUUGGAAACCAUAACACUUAAAGGGCUUCCUAAUAGGUUUCCUGCUAAGCUUAAGUGACUUAAGCCCACCAUGGGCUUGGGUCACUUAAUCUAGCCCAAAAAUGUUGCUAAUUGAUUAAUUAACCAUGCAAGGCCUAAUUAAUCAAUUAGCCUAGUCCAAAAAUACCACUCACUAAUCCCUAUGCAACCUUGAGUAAUUACCAAAACACCUUCAUGCACAAAAGUGGACUAAAAACCCAUCCAACUGUCAUAAGCCAUGUCAACAGGGAAUAUGAGCUCAGAACAAGAACCAUUAGGACCCAUAGGAGUACUAGCUCCCUCAUAAUCAAAUUCUAAAAUUGACUCAAAAUCCCACUAUAGAGAGUUAACUGCACUUUAGUACCCUAUGUAUAUUACAACGAGACAUUAAGUGUGCUCAAGUCCGUGACCUACUAUCCAUUGUAUGUAGACUCCUUAUGAACUAAUGUCCUUAAUCUAAUAAGGUAGUGUUAUCAUCUAUCAAGAUUACCUCUCAAAUCUAUGAGUUACUAAUCCCACUUAUUAUGUGAUCAAUUGACAUACUCUAGCGCCAAAGAGCAUAUGUCAAAUUCCACCAAAGGAAUUACUAUGGCCAUAGAUUUCAUGAUCACAUGGACUGUGCAUCACCCAAGGGGAUACGCCGUCUCAAUCCCAUGAGAUAUCAUGAUGCCUCUAUUGAGAAUUCCUAUUGCCAUAAACCUCCAAUAAUAGUAACCUAAUCUGUAGGGAUAUAUGACCACUUUAAGGUCUCACCCAUAGGUUAGGCUUCCUAUUGAUUUUGGCAUAGGCUUAAUAUCCUCUCAAGGUUGAAAGUCCAUGCAGUAUAGUAGCUUGGUGAAUCAUGACAAUUGAUAGCCUUGCAUCAUGGUUCACCAUAGGUCUUGUAUAGUGUGCAUCACAUACUAGUACACUCACCAUAGGAAACCCAUCUUUACAACCAAGACAAGCCAUCCCUCCAAUUAAGAGGUAGUACACUACAAUCUCUACUAGAUUGCCCAAAUCCAUGAACCAAUUGUGGACAACUAAUCUACUUACAAUGAACCCAUGACUUGUAUCUUCUAUGCAACUCCUAAUGCUCCCAAGUCACGUACAAUGUAAGAGACAUAGGCUAAAUGCUCAAAUCAAUGUCAAUACAUCAAAGAGAUAGCAAGGGGAUAGUUAAGUUUAAAUUUGUUAGAUCAUGUCUUGCUUUUAGGGGAUCAAUCCCAACAAUAAAAGGAAAAAAAAAAAACCAGUUAGAGUGUACAUAUACCUAGAGGUAGACUUGGGAGAGUCCUUAUCAAACUAAAGUCCAAUUUCCCAGUAUGAAAUGAGUACCAACUCAUUGCAAAGACUCACAAACAUAUAAUCUCUCAUUCUCCAAAGAUAUUAGAGUAUAUGUUUGACAUUUUCCCAAAGCUCUAAUAAGGAAAUGGACUAAUAUCCACUUAUUAUUCCUACAACAAGGCAAAUAUCUGGUCUGGCACAUAACAUCACAUACUUAAGGUUAUCCAUUGUAGAGGCAUUGGAUACCACCUUAAUGUGAUCUUUCUCCAUAGAUGUCUAAGGACGUUGAACCUAAGAAAGACAACUCCAAAUCCAAAGAGUAACAAACCUUCUUAGAGUUUUGCAUCAUGUACUUAACCAAAUGCUCAUCUAUAUAGGUGACAUGGUGCAAUUUUCCUAUUCUUUUAGUUCUAAAGGACCUUAACCCCAAGAAUGUUUUGCAUCUUCCUCUAGAUUUUCAUCUAGAACUUAGUAGACUACUAGAUCUUAACUAAUGACAAUAUCCCUACAUUAUAUCCAAUGAGUAGAUUAUCAUCUACCUACAAGAUCUUAGAGCAUCACCAUGCUUCCUUAUGCCUUCUUGUACACAUAAGGCCUUUUUCUAUGAAAAUGUUUAGUUGUUGUAUCUUACAAAUGAGACAUACUACAAUAGAUAGGAGUAAUAUGAUAGAUUAACCCCUAUUGAAAAGGUUUUCCAUAGUUAAAACAAAGUUUCAAACUAUAGCCUUUAACUACAGUCUUAGCCACAUAAAACUCAAGCUUUCUUUCUACUUUUGUGUUCCUUCUGUAUACCAACUUACACCUAUGGGUUUUAUCCCUUUAGGUGCUUCUACAGGAACCCAAACUAUGUUAGAAUACAAAGAUUCUAACUACCUCUUCAUAACUCCUUGUCUUAAGUGACCACAAACAUUGCUCACUAUUUCAUCAUAAUUUAUAGGAUAUAAACCUCCCACUACGAUGAGGGACUAGUGUACUAGAAAUCAUAAGAAUGGUAUGCCUUUAACCUUUUGGAUUCAUAGUUUCCUAUGCAAUGUGGGACUAUCUUCUAAUAUAUCCUCCAAUCUAUAUCACUUUUUGCCUUAUUCCUUAUCAUAUAGUCUUCAUAAAAAAUUUGACUUUUGUGUCAACAAAUAUACUUUGAUGAUCUGACUAUAAAGGUAAUAACCCAAAAAUCCUCUUAGAUAUCCUAUAAACUGAUAUACCUCUUAAGAAAAGAUGUAUUACAUAGUUUAUAAGACAUAUCCCUAGAAGAAUCUGGGAAAAGAUGAGAAACCUAUCCAUGAUCUCAAUAUGUCCAUCCAAGCUUGAUAUCUUUUUUUCAUCUCUCAAUUUUGCAAUAGAGGCCUUGGUACACAUAACUAGGAAAUAAUCUCGUGCUCCAAUAGAAUUAAUAAAACUUACUAGACUUAUCAUCUUGAUUUAAUCGAAGUGACUUGAUAAGUAUACCCAAUAGGUUAUCCGAUUCUGCUUUAAAUUCAAUGAAUGUAUCCAAGUCAUUAGAUCUCUUAUGAAAUGAGAUGCUCGUUGAGCACUUCUUUUGCAACCAUAGUUGCCAAUUUUGAAAGGCAUAGAACAGCUUGGGUAAGGAAGCCCGAGAUGGUGCCCAUUAUAAACUCCAUUAUGUUAGCAUUAGGUUCAACUCCAUCGAUUGUUGUAUGGUUAUAAAAUUUCUUCAGAAUGGACUUUCUUAUGAGAAAGUUGAGCCAUGUAUAACAUCACUGCAUUAUGAGCCAUUAACAGUCUAGUAAGAGUAAGCUCUCUAAUCAUACAAUCUAUCUUUCACAUCAGUUGCUAGACAUUGGCCGUCUUAUUAACUAAAGUCUUUGCAUGCCACCUACGAACUGCUGAACUAUGUCUCUUUUUAAUGCUUUAGGUGAUCUAAAUAAACAAUUUGACUUAAUUCUUGGGUAUGUGCACCAUAAAAAAAAAUUACCUUUCCACAAAAACAAUCUUAUUCCCUACCUUUCAGCACAAUCUGAACCGAGAGGCCAUAUGCACAUGGUAAAUGCAAACAGAGAAAAAAAGGUUAUAGUGACAACCACUCAUAGUGUUUACAUCCCCUAGAGAGAAAGAUUUUGGGAUUGAGCCUCAAAAAUCAAGACAUGAUGUAACAAAGUUAGACUUAACUAUCCCUUUGCUAUCCUUUUAGUGUAUUGACAAUGAUUUAAGCAUUCUGUCUAUGUCUCUUACAUUGUACAUGACUUGGGUGCAUUAGAAGUUACAUACAAGAUACAAGUAAUGGGUUCUUUGUAAGUAAAUAAGUUGUCCAUAGUUAGUUCACGUAUUUGGGCAAUCCAGUAGAGACUAUAGUGCACCACCUCCUAAUUGGAAAGAUGACUUGUCUUGGCCGUUGGGAUGAGUUUCUCAUGGUUAGUGCACUAGUUUAUGUGAUGCACACUGGACAGGACCUACAAUGAAUCAUGACGUAAGACCAUCAAUUAUCAUGAUUCACCAAGCUAGUAUACUGCAUGGACUCUCAACCUUGAGAAGAUAUUAAGUCUAUGCUAAAAUCAAGAAGAGGUUUUGAUCUAUAGGUGAGACCUUAAAGUGGUCACAUAUCCCUAUAGAUUAGGUCAUUAUUGAUGGAGGUUGGUGGCCAUAGGUAUUCUCAAUAGAGGCAUUAUGAUAUCUCAUGGGAUUGAAAUAAUAUGUCCCAUUAGGUGAUCCAAAGGACAUGUGGUUAUGAAAUUUGUGGCCAAAGGAAUUCAUUUUGUGGAAUUUGACAUAUGCUCCUUGGAGCUAGAGUAUGUCAUUUGAUCACAUAAUAAGUGGGAUUUGUAACCCAAGGAUUUGAGAAGUAAUCUUCAUAGGUAAUAACACUACCUUAUUGAUUACUACCAAAAAGUGCUAUUUUGUAGACCUAAUUAUAAUGGUUUUAAGCACCUUUGAGUAGUAAUCAUAUUCAUUUAACCCAAUUAAUUCAUUAAGGUCCUUAGUAAUUGGUUUUAACCAUUUUGUGGCAAGUUUACAUGUUUUUAUCAGCUUAUGAAUCGAUUCAAGCAUGUCAAAUGAUGGAGGAGCUACUUGGACAAGUUAAAGCAAGGAUUUUGGACAUUUAAAAGCUUGAAUUUCAAGUGGAAACACGAGCACAAGCAAAGAGAAGCAAAGAGGAAAAGCAAACAAUGGAGAAGAGGAAAACAGAGGACAGCAGCUGCAGUCUUCUUUCGCACUUUUGGAGCACUUCCCGAAGUCCAUUUUUUACAUUCUAUAUACCAUUUCAAAGCUCUGGAAGUCAAGAAUCCAACACUUCAAACCGUGCACGAUUUGGAGUUGAAAUGAGGAAGAUAUGGCCUUCGGAAGCCAACUGCUCCAGCAUAUGCGAAAAUUUCGCAUUCCACAAGAGCAUAUGCGAAAUUCGCAUUUGGUUCGCAUAACCCAUGCGUGUUGCGAAUUUUGCUCUGCCCUUUGCCGACUCCACUUUAGAUAUCCUUGUAACUAACCAAUCAUAAGCUUUGGCUUUUGUAAAGACUAUAUAAGGGGUGGAAAUCACCUCUUGAAGAAAGAGACGCAUAUAUACAGACGGAGCCUUGCUCUGUUUUUCUCUCUUCUCCAGCUCUCCCGUUUCUAUUUUCUUAGUAGCCAAACAGCCUCUAAGGGCUUUUCCUUAGAGGAUGAUUGGCUAAAACUUUUAGUUUCUCAAAGUAUGGAUGUUAUGUGAUGGCUUGGAUGCAAUCCCAUGGAAAUUUCUCGCGCCCGGAAGGUAAGGUAGACGUUUUUCAUUAAUGGUUCAUUAAUGCAAAGUUUGGUUUUUAUUUCCUUUGGACAACUUCCAACGGCCAAUACUUGAUAAGCUUUUGGAUUUCUAUCCAUUAGUUAUCUCCUACGAGCUAUUGAAAGAUGAGGUUUUCAAUUCCAAGUUUUGUAUUAAUCCGUUAGAACCAAUUUCAAACGGCCAUUGAAAGGUGAGUUUAUCACCUGGAAUGACUUUGAGUUGCCAAUAUUUGGUAAGCUUUUGGCUUUAGACCAUUAGUUAUCUCUUAUGAGCCAUUCAAAGGAAGUCUAAGGUGAAUAACCAUUGAUGAAAUUCACUACCAUCUGUUUUUCCAUUUUAAAGGAUUAAAACUUGAUUUGCUAAAUCCAUACCGGUUCGGGAAGCAAGCAUCACCAUAGUUGCAACCCCAACGCGAGGAGCCUAUCCUGAGAUUUCCAAUUUGCAUAAAGAGCCAGAGCAUAGCUAUCCUAUCNNNNNNNNNNNNNNNNNNNNNNNNNNNNNNNNNNNNNNNNNNNNNNNNNNNNNNNNNNNNNNNNNNNNNNNNNNNNNNNNNNNNNNNNNNNNNNNNNNNNNNNNNNNNNNNNNNNNNNNNNNNNNNNNNNNNNNNNNNNNNNNNNNNNNNNNNNNNNNNNNNNNNNNNNNNNNNNNNNNNNNNNNNNNNNNNNNNNNNNNNNNNNNNNNNNNNNNNNNNNNNNNNNNNNNNNNNNNNNNNNNNNNNNNNNNNNNNNNNNNNNNNNNNNNNNNNNNNNNNNNNNNNNNNNNNNNNNNNNNNNNNNNNNNNNNNNNNNNNNNNNNNNNNNNNNNNNNNNNNNNNNNNNNNNNNNNNNNNNNNNNNNNNNNNNNNNNNNNNNNNNNNNNNNNNNNNNNNNNNNNNNNNNNNNNNNNNNNNNNNNNNNNNNNNNNNNNNNNNNNNNNNNNNNNNNNNNNNNNNNNNNNNNNNNNNNNNNNNNNNNNNNNNNNNNNNNNNNNNNNNNNNNNNNNNNNNNNNNNNNNNNNNNNNNNNNNNNNNNNNNNNNNNNNNNNNNNNNNNNNNNNNNNNNNNNNNNNNNNNNNNNNNNNNNNNNNNNNNNNNNNNNNNNNNNNNNNNNNNNNNNNNNNNNNNNNNNNNNNNNNNNNNNNNNNNNNNNNNNNNNNNNNNNNNNNNNNNNNNNNNNNNNNNNNNNNNNNNNNNNNNNNNNNNNNNNNNNNNNNNNNNNNNNNNNNNNNNNAAAAGAUCAACUCUCAUCUUAAUGAAAAGAUUGAUAAUAUUGAGGAGUUCAAUGAAUUUAAGAAUUGGAGGGGGUUUAUAAUGAUUUAUCACUAAGGAUAGAAAAAGUUCAAGACUCCAUUGAGAAGCUCACCAAUCUCGACAUAGCAAGGGGGAAAAGGAAGCUUCCUCCUCAACCCCACCAUAACCUUCAAGGAACCAAUGCAAAAAGAUCAAGGAAAGUGUUGAUGAUCGACACUUUGGUGGGGGAUUGCUAUGACAACUCUAUGGACCAACCUUCCAUUGAAAAUCGUAAGGUUCAAGAUGAUAAAGGGUUACUUGAACCCUUUAAAGCAUCCACUUCUCCAGGGAAGAGAAGAGAAACGAAUUCCCUUGGACCAAAUGGGAAGGAUGCCAAUUUUGUUUGGGAUCCAGGGGGAAUUCAGCAUGAAGUGGGUGUGUGAGUGAGGAUGAGCUAAAUAGUUCAUCUUCUUUUUGGGGUACAUGCUAUCAGCUUCAUUUAAAUUAUAUGCUUUCUUUAAAUUUAUGCAUGUUUUAGUUUGAAUUCUUAGUUUUAAUUUUGUUUUAAUAUGUUUUUAAGAUGAGUUUUGAAGUGUUCAUGCAGGUAUGAUGCUUGCAAAAAUCGAAGUUAUGGUGAAAACAAGGGAAAACAGGGGAGAAAAGCCAAAACAGAGCAAUUCGCACCACCCCAUUUCGGCAACUGUUGGGCACAUUUAGAUCACUUCCUGAAACUUAAAUUAUGAAUACGAUAUCUCAUUUCAAAGCUUGGGAAGUCAGGAGUUCAUAGGUUCAAACGGUGCUUGAUUUGGAGCUGAAACGAAGAAGUUAUGGCCGUUUGAAGAUGACUGUGCAAAGCUAAACGGGAAUGUUGCAGCCGCACCCCAUUUUACUACUGUUGGACACGUUUUUGGAGCACUUUCUGGAGCUCAAAUUAUGCAUACCAUAUCUCUUUUUGAAGCUUAGGAAGUCAGGAGUCCAGUGCUUCAAACGGUGUGCGAUUUGGAUUUGAAACGAAAAAGUUAUCACCAUUUGAAAGAAUCCAAUUUGCAUUUGGGCGUGUGAAUAGUGCAAAUGCGAAAAUUUCGCAUUCCACCAUGUGAAUAGUGCAAAUGCGAAAUUCGCAUUACCUUUCCCCUUGUGCGAAAUUUUCGCAUAACACCCCCCUUGUGCGAAUUUUUAAGUUUCCCCUGUUUUUAGCCAAAAAUCUUCAAUUUUAACACCCCUGUAAGCUACAUUCAAAUGUCAUUGCAACUUAUAUCAGUAUACCAUCAUGGCAUGGAGCCUUUGAGCCUUGUCCUCAGCUGCUCAAAGUGGGGCCCACUCAUCAUUUUUGUAAAUAUUUAGUAUAAAUUCCUCUCUCAUUCAAAUUUUGAAUUUUGAAAUAGGUGGUUCAACCUUCUCAAACUCCAAGUCCACAUCACAUGAGGUACCACUUCCUUCCUCCUUAUUUUCGAUUCAAACAUUGAGGACAAUGUUCAUCUCGGUUGGGGGGAGAGAUGAGGAAGUAAGUAUUAGUUUAAAUUUUUAUCUUACUUAGUUAAAUUAGCUACUUUUUGUUUAAAUUUUAAAAUUUUUGCUUUAAACUCCAUGGAUAUUAAGGAUUAACUCUCAAAAUUAAAUGAGAGAAGUCGAGUUUCAACUUGAUUACAUGAGUCUUAGAGUUUGUAUUAUGCUCUUCUAAAAGUUGAUGAAUUGUUGAAACUCCCAUUGCAUGCAAACUUAUCUCUUCCACCUUAAGCUAUUCGCACACACAUACAUUAGAUUCCGAUUAUAAGAUGUGAAACUAUCUCACCCUCUAAGCUUGAGAAAUCAUAAUUUGACACCUUUAACCUCUCUUUAAUAGUGUUGGGACACCUCAUAAAGACCAAUGAGUCUUUGAAAAAAUAGAAAAAAGAAGAAAAAGAAAAAGAAAAAGAAAAAAAAUAUAGAAUAAACUUCUUUGCUUGCCUUGAAACCCGAGCAUGGUCCGAAGGGGUGGCGAAAGCCUUUAAAGCCUGGUGCCCUAAGCCUUUAUUGGUUGGGAGUCACCGAUCCUCUGCUUGUUACAUGGGUGAAUUGGUUAAGUUUAGUAAGUGAAAAGAAUUGUGAAUAAGAGGUGCGUUCCUAGCCUAUCAAGAGAUGGUUAAUUUUGCUAAGCUUAAAGAAAGACUUAGGUUGGGGGGAGAUGAUAGUUAUCCAUACUAUACUCGGAAGCUAAUCACAUUAACACUUAGAUUUUAGUGGAAGAAUUUGAUUUGGAUCUUUUGAGAGUGGAAAUUCUUUUGAUGCUUAAACUUGCAUAAUAUCCAUUCUUUGUACUCUAUGAUCAAGUGAAUGCUUUGACAACUCUUAUUAUAGGUUGAGUUUCACAUCUUUAUUGAUCCAUGGAUAUCCAUCAUGCCACUCAUAUCAUUUUUUGGAGUGAUUUGCAUGAUCCCUUUUAUGUAUAUUAUUAUAGUUUACUUAGUUUUUAUCUCCUCCAUUGCUAAGGGACUAGCAAUGAGUCGGUUGGGGGGUGUGAUUACUACCAAAAAGUGCUAUUUUGUAGGCCUAAUUAUAAUGGUUUUAAGCACCUUUGAGUAGUAAUCAUAUUCAUUUAACCCAAUUAAUUCAUUAAGGUCCUUAGUAAUUGGUUUUAACCAUUUUGUGGCAAGUUUACAUGUUUUUAUCAGCUUAUGAAUCGAUUCAAGCAUGCCAAAUGAUGGAGGAGCUACUUGGACAAGUUAAAGCAAGGAUUUUGGACAUUUACAAGCUUGAAUUUCAAGUGGAAACACGAGCACAAGCAAAGAGAAGCAAAGAGGAAAAGCAAACAAUGGAGAAGAGGAAAACAGAGGACAGCAGCUGCAGUAUUCUUUCGCACUUUUGGAGCACUUUCCGAAGUCCAUUUUUUACAUUCUAUAUACCAUUUCAAAGCUCUGGAAGUCAAGAAUCCAACGCUUCAAACCGUGCACGAUUUGGAGUUGAAAUGAGGAAGAUAUGGCCUUCGGAAGCCAACUGCUCCAGCAUAUGCGAAAAUUUCGCAUUCCACAAGAGCAUAUGCGAAAUUCGCAUUUGGUUCGCAUAACCCAUGCGUGUUGCGAAUUUUGCUCUGCCCUUUGCCGACUCCACUUUAGAUAUUUUCCUUUGUAUUUUGUGAUGUAAUUUCCUUUAUUAUCCUUGUAACUAACCAAUCAUAAGCUUUGGCUUUUGUAAAGACUAUAUAAGGGGUGGAAAUCACCUCUUGAAGAAAGAGACGCAUAUAUACAGACGGAGCCUUGCUCUGUUUUUCUCUCUUCUCCAGCUCUCCCGUUUCUAUUUUCUUAGUAGCCAAACAGCCUCUAAGGGCUUUUCCUUAGAGGAUGAUUGGCUAAAACUUUUAGUUUCUCAAAGUAUGGAUGUUAUGUGAUGGCUUGGAUGCAAUCCCAUGGAAAUUUCUCGCGCCCGGAAGGUAAGGUAGACGUUUUUCAUUAAUGGUUCAUUAAUGCAAAGUUUGGUUUUUAUUUCCUUUGGACAACUUCCAACGGCCAAUACUUGAUAAGCUUUUGGAUUUCUAUCCAUUAGUUAUCUCCUACGAGCUAUUGGAAGGUGAGGUUUUCAAUUCCAAGUUUUGUAUUAAUCCGUUAGAACCAAUUUCAAAUGGCCAUUGAAAGGUGAGUUUAUCACCUGGAAUGACUUUGAGUUGCCAAUAUUUGGUAAGCUUUUGGCUUUAGACCAUUAGUUAUCUCUUACGAGCCAUUCAAAGGAAGUCUAAGGUGAAUAACCAUUGAUGAAAUUCACUACCAUCUGUUUUGCCAUUUUAAAGGAUUAAAACUUGAUUUGCUAAAUCCAUACCGGUUCGGGAAGCAAGCAUCACCAUAGUUGCAACCCCAACGCGAGGAGCCUAUCCUGAGAUUUCCAAUUUGCAUAAGAGCCAGAGCAUAGCUAUCCUAUCUUUGAGAAACUUGUUUUUACACCCUUUCAUUUUAGUCUUUAAUGUUAGCUUAGAUUAGUUUAAAUCUUUCUAAAACAUUUACAUUUUCUUUUAAAGCUAACAUCCAUAAGAAAAUCACCUAUUUUCCUAAUUUGAAUAUCACUUGUGUUUGCGAAAACCCUUCCCAGUGAACGAUCCUAGAACCACUAUGCUAUAGUAGCUUGGCUACUUUAGUAAUAGUAUUCAAGGUAUAAAUUUUGUUGAUACGCCUUUAAAGCUAAGCUACCAUGAGUCGCAUCACUUAUUAGAUUAUGAACAUCAUUUCAUGGGGAGUCUGCAUGUAGUGGAUAUACAUAAGAUACUAGAGUGCAUAAGGAUAAGUGAGUGGUAUCUUUAGACUGGGCUAAUUGAUUAAUUAGACAUUGUAUAGUUAAUUAAUUAGUAACCUUUUUUAGCAAGCACCCAAGCCCAUAAUGGGCUUAAUUCACUUAAGCCCAAUAGGAAGCCUAUAAAUAUCUCUUUAGAGGUUAGGGUUUUCAAGUCUUGCUAUCUUCCUUUUUCAGUUGAAAAAGAAAAACCGUGGCCUCCACCCUUGAGAUUUCCACCAUAUUUGUGCCUAGAAACAAGGAAGAGUCAUUAGGUGGAAGAUCUUAGGAGUACAAGAAACACAUUAGAAUCAUACAAGCUGCAUUGACAAGAACUGCAUGAGAUGUGCAUAAACCGAAUGCACGAAACCACACGAGAUGCGCACAAGUCACAUGCUCGAAAUCACAUGCGAUGUGCAUAGGCCACAGACACCAAAAUCGCACAGGACGCGCACAUGGGUAGCAACAUGAGGACAGAUUCUCCAUUUUUUUAGGCAUGUUUUUCACCGCAACAAAUUGAUCUAAGAACAUCCAGAACCAAGUAUGAACACUUUAACUCUAGAUCUAUGUUUUCUAUGGUUUUAAUAUUGGUUUUUGAAUACCUGGUUUUCUCUACGAUAGAUUUAGAGAGCUUAUGAUAGAUUUUCAUGCACCCUAUGAGAUUUAGGGCAUGGAAAUGGAGCAAUCCAAGGUUCCUGACAAAAAAAACCUCACUACUAGACCUUUCAUGGAGUAUCAAAGGUUCAGAAUUGCCAACGUCAAUGAUUUUUAGACUAGCAGAACGCAUAGGGCAUACAUUCAUCCAUUUUCAAUAAGGUUCUUUGCUAAUGGAUGGUUAGUUUCAUGUUACUUGAUGAUAGCAUAGUGCCAAGAACACAUGAUGGUUAUGAGGAAGACAGUUAUGAGAAGUGAUUUGAACCAUAAUUGUUAUUUGGGUCUUCUUUAGGUAAGCUAAAUGGUGAAUGAGGUGAAUAUGAUGGUUGAAUCAUAUAUGACAGCCAUGAAAUGCCAAAGGGUUAAACCAACUGAGCAUGAAGACUACAUAAGCCUUUCAUCCUAGGUAGCUUUUAGCACUAGCAGUGUUUAUUAGGCAAUGAAGGAGAAAAUGUGCAUUAAAGGGCCAUGAAGGCCAUGCAGAAUUAAACUUUAUGUAUAUUAUGAUGUUUGCAAAGCCUAUGAGACACGAAGAAUAUUGGUUGGGUUGAAAUCUAGAAUAAGGAAAAUUGGUAGAGAUGGAAUGAGGGAUCUAGGGAGGCUUAGAAUGGAGAUGGAGUUCUAGAGAAAUGGGUAUGGGAAAUAGUAGAGAAUGAUACAUGGUUUAGAGAGAGAGAGAACUAGGGUGGUGACAAGAAAAUAGACCACGUUGCCACAUUUAUUCUCAUGAAGGCAUGGUUGAUGUCUUGAGGAAUCCUCCUCUAUGAGGCGCUUAAGGUAUCAUUUGGAAAGCCACAACCUUUCUCUAAAGAUAUGUGGUACAACCUCCCUUAUUUUUUGGUGCAUGUGGAGCCUUUUUUCCUUAAAAAAAAAAAAAAAAAAAAGUCACCAUUAUCAUCCCCCUGCAAUUGUGAUGUUGCAGAUCAUGCACCAAGAUGGCUAUGCAUAGCGAUGCCAAGGUGGGGGGCUCAAGAGGCGACUUGGGGUGCAUCAUUUUGAAGUGGUAGCAAGGGUGUUCAUUUUUCUAAAGAAGAUUUGGGACUAUUCUAAAUAUGCCUAGAUUUCUCAAAAACCAAAAAUCCCACGCCAUUAUAGUUACCCAAACUUUGGAGAAAUAGGAUACUUGUCCCAUUCAUGUCAGUGGUCCACAACUCACUUAGAUAAAUAUACAAAAUACCCUUUUACAUGGUCAGUAACUCCUUGGUUCCAAAAGAAGCCAAUUUCAUUAAAGCAUAAGGAAUCUAACAUCUUCAAAGAGAAACCGGACCUUUGUAUAAUCCUAAAGCACCUUCAGCUUUAACAAACUUGGGAGAUGAUUACUACCAAAAAGUGCUAUUUUGUAGACCUAAUUAUAAUGGUUUUAAGCACCUUUCAGUAGUAAUCAUAUUCAUUUAACCCAAUUAAUUCAUUAAGGUCCUUAGUAAUUGGUUUUAACCAUUUUGUGGCAAGUUUACAUGUUUUUAUCAGCUUAUGAAUCAAUUCAAGCAUGCCAAAUGAUGGAGGAGAUACUUGGACAAGUUAUGGCAAAGCUUUUGGAAGCUCAAAUUCAUGAAGAACCAAGCUUUGGAGCUCCAUAUCCCUUUGCCAAAGUCGUUCAAAGUAUGCAAGGAAAGAACAAUGGAGAAGAGGAAAAACAAAGUGAAGAUGAAAACAGAGGACAGCAGAUGCAGUCUUCUUGCGCACUUUUGGAGUACUUACCGAAGUCCAUUUUCUACAUUCUAUAUACCAUUUGAAAGCUCAGGAAGGCAAGAAUCCAACGCUUCAAACCGUGUAUGAUUUGGAGCUGAAAUGAGGAAGUUACAACCUUUGGAAGAUGACUACUCUAAGCUGAAGGAAGGAUUCAGCAAAGUGUUGCGAAAUCACCCUUUUGUUGCGGAAUGAUUUCGCAGCCUUUUUGCACAGUGCUUUGGAUUUCCCUUGAAGUUUCACUCCGCGAUGGAAGCCAAACACCACAAUAUGAAAGCCAACUUAGCACCGGUGCGGAACCAGCCUUUUGCUGCGAAGUAAUUUCGCAGCCCUUUUUGUGUGUCUGCGAAAUCUCGCAGACACCAUUUUCUCCUGCGAAAUGGUCCUUAGUGCUUCCCGAUAUUUGCCACCGACUCUUUUGGGAUAUUUUUCUUCAGAUAUUUUUGUAUGAAUUUCCAUUCUUCUCCUUGUAAUCCACCAACCAUAAGAUUUCUUAGUUAGGAAGGUUGGAAAAAUGUCUCUAUAUAUAUUCCCUUGCAUCCACUGUAAGAGAAUCAUGUAAUCCAACGGGAGGAAGAUAUAUAUUUUACAGAGCACUUGCUCUGUUCUUCUUCAUAUAUAUAUGUAUAUAUAUAUAUAUAUAUAUAUAUAUAUAUAUAUAUAUAUAUAUAUAUAUAUAUAUAUAUAUAUUUGUUUUCUCGUUAUUUUUCUUUCUACCUAAUCAAACUCUAAGGAUUUUUCCUUAGAGGAUGAGAGGCUAAGCUUUUUGUCUCUUGGAGUGAGGAAAGCCGGGUAAGUUUCCACAUGCAUAAUUUGGAAGUUUUGUUGUUUUAGUUUUUAAUGAAGAGAAAGUGUAACCCGUUAGUGAUUUCUAUGUUUUUAGUUAACUUAAAAGGCCUUUAAAUCACCUGGGCCAACACUUGGUAAGGCAAGUGAUCUCCGUCCAUGGAGAUGCACUAGUUUACCCCUUGCGAGCCUUUGGGAGGUGACUUGAAGGUAGGAUUUUCUGGAAUUGCCAACACUUGGUAAGCUUUUGGACUCCAAGGAGACAUCCAUUAGUUAUCUCUUGCGAGCUUUUGACGGGUAAUCCAAGGUUAAAGAUCACCUUGAAUGGCAAGUGCUAGGUGAGAGGUAUGAGUCAUUGCAAGUUGCAUCAGUGAGAGGGAUUUAGUGUUUGAACCCAUUAAUGGGAAGCAUCUGUACAACACCGGUUGGAGAAUGAACUAUAUGUUAAUUCUCUAAUGCGAGGAAAAGAAACAAGUGACCGGAACUCUCCUUUUUGUAUGAGGAACCUGAGCCUAGUGAUCUGAACUCCAAGAAACACUUUUCUUUGUAAGUAAAAUCAAUUACUAUUUUUGGUUAGUUUAAAACCAAACAUUUUUUCUUUCAGACAUCUUUAUGUUUUCUUUUAAAGCUAACCUUGAAAUGAAAAGGCACCAAUUCAGCUUUGAAUUAAUAUCAUUUGUGAAGUGAAAACCCAUCCCAGUGAACGAUCCUAGAGCCACUAUGCUAUAGUAGCUUUGUCUUUGCUACCCUAGUAAAUGGUGUAAUAGGUUAUAAAUUUUGUUGAUUACUCCCUCAAUCAAGGAGCACCAGCUGGACACGAAUCAGCUGAGACACCAAUUGGGCACGAAUCAAAUGGCGCCGUUGCCGGGGAUCGAACCCUGAAUCAGAUGGUGCCAUUGCCACUUCCACUACUAGGGACGAAUCAGGAGACAGAUUUCUAACAAAGCUAGUCUAAGUCUGAACUUAAUCCUUCACUACUUUCAUAAUCCACUUUAAAAGCAUCACGCAACAUAUGAAACUGAUCCCAUGACCUCCAUGAAUAGAGGGAGAAAAGGAAAAAAAAAAAAAAACAGAAAACAUAGUAUAACCUAAGAAUUUUUUUUAUGUUUUAAUCAUAGGGGCAAAAGCAAGUGAAAGAAACAAUGGGCAGAAGCGUGAUUUUCAUAUGUUACAUAGAAAAUUUGAAUCAUAUUCAAGACACAUCUCAAAGAUAACUAAAUAUGCAAUGUAUGAGUAUAGUAAGAUCUAGUCUAUCAACAAAAAUCAAUGAAAAAAAAGGAUAUGAACAUGCUAUAGCCCAAUCCAAAUAAUCUAAAGAUCAGUAGAGAACCAAAUGUAUGACAUGAUAUCCAUACCAAAAUCAACUACAAGCAUACAAGCCUCUGGUGGUCACACCAAAGGAUUCAACAAGUAUUAGCAAUAACAAACGAAGAAGCGAGGAUUUUUUUAUUUUUUAUUAUUACAGUAAAGAACUUACCUCCAAGCAUAUGUAGGCUAGUGAAUCCUUUCUCUCUCCAGUUCCCUUUUCUCAUUUGGUUUUUUUUUCCUCUUUCUACCUUAAACAAUACCUCAAAACCUACCUAGAGAAUCCAAAAACUUUUCUUCCACUCUUCCUUCCCAUCCUCCUAUUUAAUCUGAAUACUUUUCUUCCUAAAAAUAGUCCAUACUUGUGGUUUUUUAAAACUUUAGUUUUUUCCCAUGCAACAAUCCUUCGAAACCCCAACCUCUCAUUUUUUCCAAUCCUCUCUCUCCUUUCUCUUUCCUCACAUUUCAAAUUCUGGUGAAUCAUGCCUAGUUAACUACAUGCAUAUAGAGAGGAUGACAUGUAUCCAAAUGGUUAUGCAUAGCUAUGCAAAGGUGGGACAUCGAAAGAACUUAGGUGAUUGGUGAGGCCUAGCUGAGGUGCAAUUCCAACAAUGAAUCAAUGUUGCACUUCGAAUUUUUUUUUUUUUUCUUCUCCUCAUUUUCCAAUAUCAAGGUUGAGAGCCUCAAGACAACUCUGAUAAGAGGAUAUUUUUGCAAACUUCCAAUCAUGUCAUUUUUAUCUCAAAUGCCAAUAUUGAUAGUGCCUUGUUGUAUAUCCUCACCAUUAAGUACUAACUUGCUUAAUUGUCAGUGAGAAAUUGAUCUUCUUGAACUUUGUCAACUUCUAAGGACCUAGAGUCAAAAUAGUCAUUUUCAUUUGAAUUUUUAGUAGUUCCCUCAUUUGGAGAAACAAUCCUAACUUGACUUAAAGCAUCUUCUCCACCAAAACUCUUUUGUUUUUUCUUUUCUUUUCUUCUAGAAUCAUUUUUUUUUACCUAAAUAAAUAAGUAAAUACAAAAAAAAAAUGAAAAUAAAAUAAAAAAGAAGAAAAUAAUAAUGAUAAUAAUAAAAGUAAGAAUAGUAAUAAUAAUAAUAGUGAUGAUAAUGAUGGUAAUGAAAACAAUGGUAACAAAGACAAUUCUAAUGAUGAUAAUAAGAAAAAUAAUAAUAACAAAAAUAUACAAUGACUAUAUAUAUAUAUAUAAAAGAUAAGAAAAUAAAUAAAUAAAUAGAUAUAAGUACACGACACAUAUUCAUAAAGAGAACAUGCAAGGUACAUAAGCCAUGCAAGCUACGUCAACCAUGCAAGCUAUGUUAGUAGUGCAAAUGACUUAAAGGUGUUGGGAUAAGCCUAAGCGGACUAGGUGCACCUAGACGGACUAAGUGUCCUAAUGGGCCUAAAUGUGUGUAAGAAAAUUGUCAUAAAUGUGUACCUAGUAUCUAGGAUGGCUCAAAGAGGUAAGCUAUAUGAGUAGCAAUGGGCCACCAAAAACUACUAUGGAGUACUGAAAUACUACAUAAUUAGGGCAUGUGCCAAGGAGACAAAUAUGCCCAUCUUCAGUAAAGAUCACAAGUGUAAGGAAUGCAAAUAGAAAUAUGAGUAAUGAGUGGAAUGAAGUGAACUAUACCAAAGAAUUAAGAGAAGACCAGAAAUUUUGUCUUAGCAUAUGACUUGAUAAGUCGUAAGAUAAAUCGAUCAUAAGAGAUGAAAUACCUUAAAUAAGAGGAUAAAUGAAACCCAAGCAAUGAACUAAUAGACAUGAUGAAUAUGAAUGAAUGAUGAAGAUAAAGAAUGGAAACUAUCAUCUCUGAAAACUAGGAAACUAUGACUCUAAAUGCUAAAAAUGAGAAAAAGAACGGCUCCGAAAGCCUAACAAAAAAAUGUGACUCUAAAUGCCUAAACCGAGAAAGUGGCUUUAAAUGACUAACUAAGAAAGUCGUUCUAAAUGCUUAUAAAUUUGAAAACCUAUGGGGAGAAUGGUGGUUUUGUAGUCCUACCCAAAAAUGGUGGCUCCAAACAUCUAACUAAGAAAGUGGUGGCUUUAAAUGCCUAUGGCUCUAAACGCCUAUCAAGAAAAGUGGUGACUAUGAAUGCCUAUGAGGAAAGAAUGGCCUUAAAUGCCUAUUCAAAAGUGGUGGCUUUGAAUGCUUAUGAGAGAAAGGGUGGCUUUGCACACCUAACCAACGGGAUGGCUCUGAAUGCCUAUCUAAAAAUGGUAGCUCUAAAUGCCUACAACUCUAACUGCUUAUGGCUCUGAAUGCCUAUGGCUCCAAAUGCCUAUCUAAAAGGGGUGGCUUUAAGCUUCUAUGGCUCUGAACGCUUAUCUAAAAGUGGUAGCUCUUAAUGCCUAAGAGAGAAAGGGUGACAUUACACACCUAACCAAUGGGAUGACUUUGAACGCCUAUGACUCUAAACACCUAUCUAAAAAGGGUGGCUCUAAAUGCCUAUGACUUUGAAUGCCUGUUUGAAAGGGGUGGCUUUGAAUGCAUAUGGCUCUGAACACCUAUCUAAAAAGGGUAGGGCUGAAUGUCUAUCUAAAAAUGGUGGCUCUGAAUGCCUAUGGUUCUAAAUGCUUAUGAGAGAAUGGGUGACAUUGCACACCUAACCAACGGGAUGACUUUGAACAACUAUAGCUCUAAACACCCAUUUAAAAGUGAUGGCUCUGAACACCUAUCUAAUAGAAGUGGCUUUGAACACCUAUGGCUUCGAACACCUAUCUGAAAAGGGUGGCUCUGAACGUUUGUAGCUCCAAACGCCUACCUAAAAUAGGUGGCUUUAAACACCUGUGGCUCUGAAUGCCUAUCUAAAAGUGGUGGCUCUGAACGCCUAUGGCUUUGACCGCUUAUGGUGUUAAAUGCCUAAGUUGAAAAUGGUGACUUUAAAUGUCUACGACUCUUAAUGCUGAUCUAAAAGGGGUGGUUAUGAAUGCCUGUGGCUCUGAACACCUAAGUUGAGAAAGUGGCUCUGAACACCUAAGAUGAGAAAGUAACUUUGAACGCCUAAUUGAUGGGACAUCUUUGAACGCCUAUGAGGGGAAAGGUGGUGGUAAACAAAAAUACGAUAAUCUUAACACAGGGGAUAUUCCCCAAUGUGAUAACCUCUAAAGGUCAAAACCUAGUCUAGGUAAUGAUAGAGUCUGAUUAAAACUUGAUAAUCUCAAAGAAGGAAGGGUAUACCUCUGUAUCAAAGGUGCACCAAGCUACUAGAAUGUCAAAUGAAACGAGCAUGUGCAUAUAUAUUGUAGUGAGAAGGAAACAACCUAUUUUGAUAAAGGUCUAAAAAAGGUAUGAGCAUAAAUUGUUCUAUAUCUUAAACAAAUUCUCUAUCAAAUGAUCUUAAACGUAAAACUCAACAAAUGUACAUCAUAGUUCAACUAAAGAAAGACUAUGGUGAAAACAAAUUGUCUUAUAAACACUCAAUUAAAGAGUCCAUCAAUGCUCUCUAGGUGAAAUUUGAUGAUAUCAAUCUCAAUCUCAAUCUCAAACAAAGUUAAAUGAAGCAAACCAUGAUAUCACAAAUCAUGAGAAACUAGAAUAAUACGAUCAAAUCAGGAGAUGAACUAGCUAUGAAAAUAAUGACUGAUCAUAGAGAAGUCAAUCCCCUAUGUAGAACAUGGAAUCAUAAAUAUAAGACAAAAAAAACUAUCCAUCUCAUCAAAGUGGGGAAUAUGCCCCAAUAUAGCAAAUGAUGCUCAUAUGAAGUAAGUAAUCAAUACCGACCAUUUGCUCAUGCAUCUUGCCUCAAAUAGAUCUCCUCAAUGAGAAGGGGAUAUGCUCCAGUAUGGCACCUGAUGUGAAAGUCUCAAGAGGAACGAAUAACACUAAUUAUUUAAUUGUGUAUCCAAUAGUCACAAAUCUUAAAGUCCCAAAGGAAAUAUAACACUCCCAUAAAAUGAUGACCCAAAGUGAUAAAAGAGUACAUGCAUGGUAUAUGACAAAGAUUUGUCAUUACCAGACCAAUAUCUCUAUAAUCAUGAAUAUAGGGGCCAUAUAGACCAAUGGUUACUAGGAAAACUGAAAGAUGAGGGUAAUAUGACCCAGUAUAAACAUCUGGUGUGUCAGAGAGAUAGAACUGAUAUCAUCAAAUGAAUACUAUCUCCAUACUCAGGUUUCAUCAAACAUCAUCAUACUAAGAGGAAAAGAAAUCAAAUGUCACUUGAAAAAUCUUUCACAAGGGAAAGCACAACAACACCCAUACUUCAACUAAUCGUUAAAACUUGCCUAAAUGAAGACUGUUGAAGAUAACGCCUGAUCUCACAACCUCAAGGUGGUCUUACGACACAAACCAUAACAUAGGCUUGGGGUAAUAGGGUGAAAUAAAUGAAGAGAAACUAAGCUCAAGUACCAAGUGAUCAAACCCAAUAACCUCGUGUCUAAGAUAUAAUGUGUAAAAUAAUCUUGUGAGCCAACAAACUUAAUAGCAAACAACGAAAGUAUUGACGAAAGAAGAGAGAAAAGAGAAAUGGUCAAGCUAUUGAUGCAACAUGUGAUAAAUAUGAAGGUAAUAAAUCAGAAACGUGUAUCAAUGUAAGAAAUGAAUAAAUAUGGCAUGAUUGUAUGAAAAAAAAAUGAUGGGAAAUGAAGGAAAGCAGCGAUAAGAUACAAAGAAUGAUGACCAACUCAUAUUAGUACAACUGAGAAAAGUCAUAUCACCAAUGAUGGAAUGGCAGUGAAGAUAGUGAUUUGGAAACCUUAGUGACAGGUUACCUAAUCCUCACACCCAAUGUAUAUCAAUCCUAAUCCAUGAAGUGAAGGAUCUCAUAAAACUCUCACCAAACUCUCGUCACUCUAAAUGCAUAACAUAAAUGAUCCAAGGAGUGGAAUGCUCUCAAAAGGCUCACAUACGAGCUCGAAGAUAUAUAUACCCAACGGACAACUGAUGAUAAAUGAUCCAAUGAACAUCCCAUGACAAAUAAGCUCAAUAAGUAACUCUCGAAUAUCAACAUAUGCUAAAUGGAGUGUAAUAUCAUAUACAAACACAUCAUUACAUUUUUUUUUCAAGAACACUAAUAUAAACAAACUAAAACUCCAUUGGGAAAAUAAUAGAAGUGAAUAAACUCUCCCCAAUCAUUGAUGAAAAUAUGAAUCAUACACAAACCACAGAAAAAGUCCAACUCUAAUCACUAACAAGUAUAUAAAACCCCAACCCUAAGACCACCUUUUAAGCUAAGAUCUCCAAAUCAAAGCCAACAAGGUGGAAUGAAGAGUGUGACAUGACUACCUUGAUGCACUAAAAAAAGUAAAAAGUCAUCAACCCAAGGAAAUAAGGAGAGUGAAAUGAAGCAAGUGAAGACAAAAACAUGGAAAUGGAAAGAAAAUGAACCAUAAUGAAACAUAACAGGAGUGAAAUGGUAAGUUGAUGAUAACAAGAAGGAAGAAAAUAAAUCAAAGAGUCCAAAACUCACAAGACUAUCUAAGUUAAACAUGCAUGCACAACCAAGGGCCCUUAUCUAGGUAAUGAAAGGUAAGCAAAGCUAUAAGAAAGAAAUAUUAUAAUGUACCUCAUAAAGCUUAAAGGGCUAGCAAUGGGUUGUGUGUGAAAUGGGUACGAUAAGAUAUGAGGCUAAUUGAAAUGAUGGCCACCUAUCUUUUGACCAUGAUCUAAAAUGUAAUACUUCUUUAGUUGAUCCACAUUGGUUGGCUAUGAGAAUUGCUUUCCAUCUAGGUCAGUCAACCAUGCAAUCCCUUCUGGAGUCAACUCUUUAAUAACACAAAGUCUACUCCAACCAUGUCUAAACUUCUCCCUAGGGUGUCCAAUUAGACCUUUGAGAAUCCUUAGAACCAAAUCCUCUUUUUGUAAUGUCCAGGGCUUGACCUGUUUCUUAAAGGUGCGGGCUAUUUUUCUCUGAUAAGCUUGAAUAAGGUCUAUAGCUCUCAACCUUCUUUUUUUUCUAAAAAGUUAAGUUGAUCAAACCGAGAUUGAGCCCACUCCAUCUAAAAAACCUAUUAUUUAAGGACCACUCUCAAUGAACCCAAUUCCAUUUCCUCGAGUAAAAUGGCCUCCAUACCAUACACAAAAAAAAUAAGGUGUAGCUCCUAUAAAGGUGCAAAAAAAAGUACGGUAUGCUCAUAAAGCAAAAUGAUGCUUCUUUGAUCAAUCUCGAGAAACCUCAACCAUCUUCCAUAGAAUCCUUUUUAUAUUCUUUUUUGCAGUCUCUACUGCCCCAUUAGUCUAUGGCUUGCAAGCAAAUGAUUUAUGAUGUUGAAUGUCAUAUUUUUGUAACAAAGUUUCAACUUCAGCUCUAAAGUAUGCUCCCCUACCUGAAAUCAACUCAUGAAGAAAUCCAUAAUGACAAAUAAUACGUGACUUGAUGAAAUUGGCAACUCUAGCAUAGGUCACUUCGCAUAUGAUGCAACCUCUACCCACUUAGUGAAAUAAACUAUGGCAACUAGGAUGAACUCAUGACCAUUGGAAGAUUUCAGCGAGAUCUUUCCAAUUAUAUCAAUACCCCACGCUAAGAAUGGCUAUGAUGUGAUGUCAAAGCAUGCAACUCUGAGGGUGGUUCAUGAAUAAGAUCCCCGUGCAUCUAACACUCUAGGCAUUUUGAACAAAUUGACAACAAUCAGUUUCCAUAGUCUACCAGAAGUAUCCCAAUCUCAUAAUCUUAUAUGCUAACAUGUGUCCACCCAUAUAUGGACCACAAAAUCCUACAUGAACCUCUUUCAUCCCUCGAUCUACAGAGGUUUGAUAUGAUAAGAGGAUAUUUGUUGCAAACUUCCAAUCAUGUCAUCUUUAUCCCAAAUGCCGACAUUGACAGUGUUUUGUUGUAUAUUCUCACCGUUAAGGAGUACACUUGCUUGAUUGCCAGUGAGAUAUUGUUCUUCUUGACCUUUGUCAACUUAUAAGGGCCUAAAGUCAAAAUACUCAUUUUCAUUUGAAUUUUCAGUAGUUCCCUCCUUUGGAGAAACAAUCCAAACUGGAUUGAAAACAUCUUUUUUUUCUUCCAUAAUCAUUUUUUUACCUAAAUAAAUAAGUAAAUAAAAUAAAAUAAAUAAAAAAGCAUUUUAAAAAAAUGAAAUGAAAUGAAAAUAAAAAAAAAUGAAAUAAUAAUAAGAGUGAAAGUAACAACAACAACAACAACAACAACAAUAAUAAUAAUAAUGAUGAUGAUGAUAGUAAUAAAAACAAUAAUAACAAAGACAAUUUUAAUGAUGAUAAUAAUAAAAAUAAUAGUAACAAAAAUAUACAAUGACUAUAUAUAUAUAUAAAAGUAGAUAAUAAAAUGAAUAAAUAAAUAGAUAUAAGUACGCGACAUAUACUCAUAAAGAGAACAUGCAUGCUACGUAAGCCAUGCAAGCUACAUCAACCAUGCAAGCUACGUCAGUAAUGCAAAUGACUUAGGGGUACUAGGGUAAGCCUAAGCGGACUAGGUGAACCUAGACGGGCCAAGUGUGCCUAAUGGCCCUAAAUAUAUCUAAGCAAAUUAUCAUAAAAGUGUACCUAGUAUCUAGGACGGCUAAAAAAAGUAAGCUACAUGAGUAGCAAUGGGCAACCAAGAACUAUUGCGGAGUAUUGAAAGACUACUUAAUCAGGGCAUGUUCCAAAUGAACAAAAUGGAGGGUCUACAAUAGACUGUUUAAUACAUCUUCUUCUUAAGAAGUAUAUCAGAUUAUAGGGUAUCUAAGAGUAUUUUUGGGUUAUCACCUUUAUAGUCAAAAUCAUCAUAAGAUAUUUAUUUGCACAAAUGUCAAAUUAUGAUGAAGACUAUAUGAUAAGGAAAAAAGAAAAAUGUGAUACAGAUUGGAGGAUAUAUUAGAAUAUAGUCCCAUAUUGCAUAGAAUACUAUGUAUUUAAAGGGUAAGAAACAUACCAUUCUUAUGAUUUCUAGUACACCUGUACCUCAACAUAGUGGAAGGUUUAUAUCCCACAGAUUAUGAUAAAGAGGUGAGUAGUGUUUGUGCUCACUUAAGGCAAGGAGCUAUGAAAAGGUAGUUAGAAUCCUUGUAUUCUAACAUAGUUUAGGUUCUUGUAGAAACACCAAAAGAGAUAAAACCCAUAGGUGUAAGUUGAUCUAUAAGAGGAACAUAAGAGAAGAGGGAAAUCUUGAGUUUUAUGUGCCUAAGACUAUAGCUAAAGGUUAUAAUUUGAAACUUUGCUUCAACUAUGGAAAACCUAUUGUCAUACUCACAUCCAUUAGAUUACUCUUAUCUAUUGCAGUGUGUCUCAUUUAUGAGAUAAAACAACUAAAUAUUUUCAUGGCAAAAGUCCUUGUGUGUACAAGAAAGCACAAGAUCGUGGUUUGAGUCAUCGGGCGAAAGAUCUUAGGCGUAUGAGACCUCUGGACUCAUGAAUAAUGUACCUGUAGAUCUAUAGUUAACAAUGGUUUUUAUAGCCAUAUGUUUCCGUUAUGAUAGAUUUAGAGAUGCCUAGGGAUAGAUGCAUGCACUUUAUGAGAUCUAGGGCAUGGGAACGGAAUAAUCCGAGGUUCCCAAUACAAAUACCCCUUAUGGGGCUAAACAAACCCCCACAUUGGGUCACAGAUCAACUUUGAUACCAUUUGUAAUGACCCACACACAACCAUGUAGAUAUUGUCCACUUUGGGCCUAAAAGAGUCCUCACGGCUUUAAAACUUGUUUGUAGGGUUAAGAGGGAUCCAUACUUAUAUAGUGCCAUGAAAUUUCUCCCAUAUCUAAUUUGGGAUAUCAUAAACACCCUCCAUGUAGAAACAACGUCCUCAUUGUGUCCCAUGGGAUUGUGGGACAAAAUAGACAGACAUCCCUUAUGGGGCCAAACAAACCCCCCACAUCGAGGUUGGGAUCGACUCUAAUACCAUUUGUAAUGACUCGCACCCAACUGUGAAUAUAUUGUUCAUUCUAGACCAAAAGGGUCCUCACGGCUUUAAAACACAUUUACAGGGUUGAGAGGGAUUCAUACUUUUAUAGUGUUAGGAACUUUCUCCCCUAUUCGAUGUGGGACAUCAUAAAUAUCCCCUCAUGCAAACACAACGUCCUCGUUGUGUCCCAUGGGAUUAUGAGGUCAAACAAACAAAGACCCCUUAUGAGGCCAAACAAACCCCACACCAGGGUUUGGGGUCUACUCUAAUACCAUUUGUAAGGACCCACUGCCAACCGUGUAGAUAUUGUCCACUCUGGACCUAAAGGGCUUACAUGACUUUAAGACGCAUCUACAAGAUAAGAGGAGCCUAUUGUAGACCCCCUUUGCGGAUGACCCAAUGAAUGGAAUUUUUUUCCAUUUCUUUGAAGUAUGGGAGGACCUCUUUCUGGAAAAAAAAAAAAAGAGAAACCGGCCGCAUGGGACAUGUGGCAAAGAAGGUAUGGUGGUAGCAAGGAGCAGGUGAAGACUUGUGAAAGAAGAAAAACGGAGGGGGGGUGUCUUCAUUGAGUUGGAAGGUGAGGUAGUCGUCGUGGAAGAGGCGGGCAGAGGAGUUGGAAACGGAGGAAGAGUCAUUUUUAGCAAAAACAGAGGAGGAGUUUGUCAUUUUGGGUCCAGGUAUGACUUCCACAUACUUCCUCUAUCUCAUUUCGGAUGAUUCUACUCGAUUUUCCUACUGUUUUUUGUUUUUUUUUUCUUUUAUUCAACUGGGUGCCUAAAGGUUUAUAUUUGGUGUUAUGCAUAUUUAUGAAAUUCCAAAACUAUUUAUUUUUUUAUUUUUUUCAUGCAUCUUCAUUGAUUCUUUCUAGCUUCAUUUAUGAAUAACUUGAGUGUUCUUUUGUUUUAUGAAUGCUUCAAAUAUAGACCCUCAUUCCCUGAACUUAAUGUGCCAAAGUCGUGUUUUCAAUCCUCUUUGAUCCCACUUAUGUUUAGCUCUUUGAUCUUUAUAAAACAAAGUUAGAAUUAAUAGUUUUGUUUUUCUUCUUCUUCUUUUAUACAUGCUCUGUUUUCCCUCAUUGUAUCCUCUGUUUCUGGUAUUCCUGGAGUGAGUAUCAUGUUUGGGCUGGCCGGUUAGAUCGGGUUGCUUCUGAGGGAGUUCAUCAUCAGGGUUUUAAGGGGCCAUUAUCAGGUUGCCUAGUAGAUGAAGAACCAGAAUGAAUGACUAUGGCUUCCACAAACUACAAAUUCGGGAUGAAAAUAGGAGUAUAUUGAGCAGAGGCGAUGUCGAGCGAAGAAGCUCCAGCCAAAAUAGUGUUGAAAGUCAAGGAACCAAAAAGGGAGAGAGUACAACCUUUGGACCUAUUAGAGAUCUUGGUUCACACCAUUGGUGGCAUGAAAAAGAAAGCCGACGGGGAAGAAUCUUCACCUUGCACAGCCAUGCCGACUGCCUAAGAUGUUUCACAAAGAUUCAAGUAACUUGACGUUACUAUUCUUCAUGUCAAGCUCCCUGUCACUGGAGGAAAUAAACACCUGGUCCUGGUGCCCAGUCUGCUCUCCGAGCCCCUUGCUCGUUCUGGAAUGAGGAUGGGGCUAUGACUCCCAUUUCCCACUCAUUCAUCCCUGAUCUCAUUCACGUGCAGGCAUCCUCAAACAUUCUCCCUUCUCAUAAGAUGCAUAUCCACUCACUAACCUACACCACCCAAUACCUAUAAACCCAUUCAUUUCUCUUACACCUGAAAGCCAUUGUGAUUUUCUUUUAUUAUUAUUUUCUUGCUUGGGAAUCAUUACAUGGCAGUGAAGUCAAUGGAAGAUUUUUUUUGGUGGGCCAUCCUGGAAUGUAUAUGCCCAUUUUCCUUUUGGUCUCACACGUUUUCAUUCUAACUUCCAAAUUUUACUUUAGUUUAUUUUAUUAUUAUUAUUAUUAUUAUUAUUAUUAUUAUUAUUAUUUAAAUGUCAUCUUCAAAUAAAUUUUCCAAAAAUUCUAGUUCCUAAAUUUAAUUUUUAAAAUGUCAUCUAAAAAUAAAUCUUAAAAAAAAAAUAAUAAUAAUAAUAAAUUCCGGUUUCCAAAUUCUAAUCCCCAAUUCCCACAAUUCCAAUUUUUCAAACUUAUUUAUUUAAUCAUUAUUAUUUUGGUUAUUAUUAUCAUUAUUUCAUUUAUUUAAUUGUUUAUUUCCUUUAAAAAUUCCAAUCAUUAAAGUUCUAUUUUUCAAAAUUCCGUUUUCCAAAUUUAAUUUUCAAUCUAAACAAAUUUCACUAUUCAUGUUCAUUCGUUUAAUUAUUAUUUUCGUUAUUAUUAUUAUUAUUCCAUUCAUCUACUUACUUAUUUCCUUAAAAAAAAAAAUAUGUCUUUAAACAAUUCUUCAAAAACCUGGCUUCCAAAUCUAAUUUCCAAUCUAAAAAUUCUACGAUUCAUAUUCAUUUGUUUAAUGAUUAUUUUCAUUAUUCUAUUUAUUUAUUUAUCCAUUUGUUCGUUUAUUUAAAAUUUCAUCUCUAAAUAAUUCUUUAAAUUUCCAAUCCUUAAGUUCAAUCUCUAAUCUCUAAAAUUCUAUUUUUCGCAAUUAUUUACCUAAUAUUUAUUAUCUCAUCAUUAUUAUUAUUCCAUUCAUUUAUUUAUUCACUUAUUCAUUUAUUUAAAAUUCCAUCUCUAAAUAAUCCUCCGAAUUUUCAAUCUCUAAAUUCAAUUUCCAAUUUCUAAAAUUUUAACUUUCGCAAUUAUUUAUCUAAUCGUUAUUAUUUUCGUUAUUCUAUCCAUUUAUUUAUUCAAUUGUUUGUUUAUUUAAAAUUCCAUCUCUAAAUAAUUCUUUAAAUUUCCAAUCCCUAAGUUCAAUUUCCAAUUUCCAAAAUUCUAAAUUUCGCAAUUAUUUACCUAAUCUUUAUUAUCUCGUCAUUAUUAUCAUUCAAUUCAUUUAUUUAUUCACUUAUUCAUUUAUUUAAAAUUCCAUCUCUAAAUAAUCCUCUGAUUUUCAAUUUCCAAUUUCUAAAAUUCUAACUUUUGCAAUUAUUUAUUCAAUCGUUAUUAUUUUCAUUUUCCUAUCCAUUUAUUUAUUCACUUGUUCAUUUAUUUUAAAUUUUAUCUCUAAAUAAUUCUUUAAUUUUUCAAUCCCUAAGUUCAAUUUCCAAUUUCCAAAAUUCUAACUUUUGCAAUUAUUUAUCCAAUCAUUAUUAUUUCGUCAUUAUUAUUAUUCCAUUCAUUUAUUUAUUCACUUAUUCAUUUAUUUAAUAUUCCGUCUUUAAAUAAUUCUUUAAAAUUCCGAUUUCCAAAUUUAGUUUUCUGAAAUUCCAAUUUUCCUAUCUCCGAACUUAAUUUUCAAUUUUCAAUAUUCCAAUUUUCGCAUUUAUUUAGUUACUCAUUUAUUAUUAUUAUCAUUAUUAUUAUUAUCAUUUUAUUCAUUUAUUUAUGAAAAUUCCGCCUUCGAAUGAUUUCCAAGAUUUCCAAUUUUUAUAAUUCAAUUUUCAUAGUUUCUACUUCUCAAAUAAUUUUCAAAAUUCCAAUUUCUUUCAAAUUUAAUUUCUAAAAUUAUCAUUCUUAGAUUUAAUUCCUAAAAAUCCAAUUUUCACUAAAACUCCAAUUUUCAAAUAACCUCUAAGACUCCAAUUUUCCUUCGAACAGUUUUAAUUUCUGUUUGGUGAUGCAUGUGAUAUGUUUUGUGCUCUUUAUUGUACACUGACCCCAUUUUUAUAAUAGCGCACUGCUCGUUCGUGGCCUAGGUACGCAUCCACUCUCAUUCUGGUCAUUCUCUAUGCAUGUUUUGAUUCCCAUAUGUGCAUGAUUGAUUUGAGUAUCCAUUGAUUUUCCUAUUGAUUGUCACAUCAGCUUCAUUUUAUUAGUAGAGACCCGACUUUAUGGACUUAGAGGGGUGCUACGGUCUUUAUCGUACCUUCCCGACAAGUAACCUGACCCCCGAGCCCGAUCCGGUUUUUCAUAGACCACUUUUUCCAAAACAAGGAGUCACACUUAAGGUUUUCUUUCUUACUUUGUUUAUCCUUUUAAAAAUAAAACAAAAAUAAGUGGCAACUCCAAGUCAUUUUCUUUUUAAUAAAUAAAAUCAUUUUCAAAUAAAAAUUUAGCUCGCCUCAAGUGGAAACGCAUGAGCAAAAAUACGGGGUCCACGCCUAUAUAUAUAUAUAUAUAACACCAAUAACUUUCUCCCCUAUCUGAUGUGAGAUAUCACAAACACCCCUCCUUUUCCCAUGUAGACACAACAUCCUCAUUGUGUCCCAUAGGAUUAUGGAGCCCCUCACAAGGCCAAAUACACCCCCACACUAGGGUAAGAGAUCAAUUCUUAUACGAUUUGUAACAACCCAUAUCCAACUAUGUAAAUAUUCACUUUGGGCCCAAAGGGGCUUUAAAACACAUCUAUAGGGAGAUCCAUGCUUAUAUAGUGGUAGGAACUUUCUUCCCUAUCCGAUGUGGGAUAUUACCAUAUUACCUCAUUUAUUUCAUUAGUACUAAUUAAAUAAUGUAUUGCAUGCCUAAUUCAUUUCAUCAUUAUUUUUAUUUUUUUUAUCAAAAUAAGUUAAAGAAAUAUAAUUCCAAUUUUCAAUUUUCAGAAUUGGUUAAGUCUUUUAUGAAUUGUUUAAUGAAUUUUAUUUUAAAAGAAAUUCAAUUUCAACAUAAAUAAUUUAAAAAUAGAGUUUGAUUCAAAAUUAUGUGGUUUUAGCGUGAUGUUUAGUGUUAAAAGAUUUAAAAUAAGCACUUAAAAUAUAAGAUCUCCCGCUUUUCAUUUACAAGUUAACUCUUCUAUCAAACUCUCUUUUAUUAUUUAAAUUUAGUUUCUAUAUUUAAGUAGUUGACUCCUAUAAGGGUUUGAUAUUUUUGUUACUAAGAGUUUUUUUUUAUUAGGUAUGAAAAUAUCCAUAAAUAAGUAGUUGUGUGAUAUCUGAACACUGAGAAAAAAAAUUAACUUCUUCAUACUUUCUCUUAAUCACUUACCUCUUUGGGUAAUUAUUUGUGUGUUUUUCAAUCUCAUUGCUCCAACAAAAUUUUGAUUGUUGAUCAAAUUUUUUAGUUUGUGCUGCGUACUUUUCUCAUAACCAUUUUAAGAUUAUAGUCUGAAAAUGUUGUAGUUAAAUGGAGCCUGACUGACUCAUAGUCAAAGCAUAUAUCCCAAGCUAUCAAUUUAAUGCCCUACUCAAAAGGUCUCUCGAAAGCCUAUACUAAUGGGGGGCCAGGUUGCCCACUUUGUCACUUGCAUGCAUGCAUCUUGGUCAGUACAUACAUCAAAAUGAUGGUAGAUAACUUGGACCUUUCGCUGUAAUUUCUAAAUCCAUUUACAGUGGCCUUGGGUUUAACCAUUUUCUAUAAAUGUGGGGUUCAAACAUAUAACUAAAGCAAAAGUAUAUGGAAGGAGGGGUCGGGUAGAUAGAGAAAGGGCAUGUCAGCUUGUUCAAUGUUGUACAAAAUGGCCUCACAUGAAAGUUACGGAUCUAAAAGUCUCAUGGGCCAUGUCAUGUCGGUCCUCAAGGACUGUAAAAAGACAAUAUAGUGCUGAGGGUGGUGACAUGUUGCCUCCCUCAACACCAUAUUGUCUUUUUAGACUGUAAGUGUUGCCUCAUUGUGUCCUUUGUCAAUCUCAAAUUCAUGGAACAUUUUAAAAAGUGUAUAUAAGAGGUGGAAAUGACUGUUAACUCAUUUAUAGUCACAGGAAUGGUAGCUGAUGGGAGAAAGUUUUGAUAUAAAAUGCACGUAUUCAUAUUCAAUGCAUGUUUCAGAAAAUUUAAGAAUUUCACCUUUAGAAGAGAUGGCAUUCCUUUGGUAGUGCCCACUUUCUCACUAACUUCAUUUUAUUUGAGGUACCUGCCUUGCUUUUCUGCGCACCUGAAACUUUACUUAAAUCCUAAGUUCAUUUCUUGGCCAUCUUCUCUUCUGUUUGUAUGAUCAUUUUGGGGAUUACAAAUUCCCAUAUAUUUACAUUAGAAAAGAAGGGGUCCGUCAAAACCCUUGUAUGUACAAAGAAAUGAGAGCUUAUUUUAUCUCCUAAUAUACAAAAACUAAAAAGAUGGUGUCAAAUAUUAGUUUGAGAAAAGAAUGUCACUACAAGGAAAAAUGUAUAUGGUGACAUUUAUAACGAGUCACCAUAAACAUAGGGUGUCACUACAACAUAAUGUCACCUUCUCCACUGACACUAUAGAGGGUACCAAUUGGUGACGUAUUUGGAAGUGACACCAAAGUAGAUAAAUAGUGACCCAUUCGGAAGUAACACCAUAUAUUUCUAGUGAUGAUAGGGUGUCACAUUAAAUACAUCAUCUUUGAGUUAUGAUGUCACAUUAAAUGCAUCACCUUUGAGUUAUGGUAUCACAUCAUUGUAAAUUAUUGUGGAAGAUAUGAUUGGUUUUAGUUGUUGAUUUUGUAAUGCUUAUGAAUUAAUAAGAUUAACCUGUUUAUAUUUUGUCCAUAAAUAUAACAAUCAUAUUAUAUUUAACUCAUUUUUCUGUAAUGUUUCUGGAAUAACUCAUAAUACAUUAAUCAUCUAAUAAUAUUUGUAUAUCAGAUGUUCACAAAAGGAUAGUACGUCCAACAUAUCAAACCCAUCAAAACUAAAAAAGAAGAGUGAAUACAUACCAAAACAUGAUUCAGAAAUGUUAAAGAUCCCAAGAUUCAUGUAUACCUCCAUUUCAUAAGCAUAAAACCAACUAACCAUAAAAUGACAUAAAAGUCCCAUCUAAAAAUCUAAAUUUCUCAGUUGCAAUUAAAGUAACAUUUAUGUCCUAUAACGUAUGACAUAAGAGUUGCAUUUAAAAACUCAAAAUCUUGUUGCCUUCUUCCUUUUUUUUAUUCUCCAUUUCACCCUCCCAAGAGUGUAUACCUGUAUUUUAAAAUUUAAUGAGUUUUAGAGAUUUUUAUUGAAGAAAAUAAACAUGGAUCGAUGUUAUCAUAAAUGAACAAAUCUAAGAACUAUUUUUUUUUUUCAAAUAGAAACAUUAUUCAAAGAAUAAGCAUUACUAUACAAUACCUAUGGAAAAAUUCAUGUAGUAGCUAAGGGACUCACCAUGCAUGGUGAUCAUGAUGCAUCAACAUGAUUCAUGAUUAGUUGUAGCACAAAAGUAGCCCAUUCUCCUCUAAUUUCAUCGAAUUCUACUUGAGAAUAUGUUUUUUUUUUAUCACCAAACUGAAAUCAAAUGAGAAAAUAACAUUAAAAUGCAUAACAUUUGGAAGCCUAAAACUAUGUACAAUUCAUUAAAUAAGUAAUACCUUUGAAGCAAUAAUUGUAGGAUAAAAAAUUAUCUCUUUAAUGAAUCUCAUAACAAAGUAGCCAUAUUCGAACCCUCCUUCUUGUCUUGGACACUAAUCGAUCAAUUAUAAAAUAACAUUAGUACUCACAUAUAUAAAUGGUGCAAAUGCAUAAGCUAAUGUGUAAAGAAAAAUUUUUGGAUGUCACCUGCACUAGUUGCUAAGAUGGCUCCCUCUUAUAUGUUUUUUUUGCAAAUAUUCGAAGAGCCCUAUGUAAAUAAGUUCAAUGGGUACAUUUUUAAAAUAGGUAAAUAUUAUAUGUUUUAAUAUAUAUAAAUAAUAAAAAAAAUGUGUUUGAAGUGAAUGUAUUUUUUUAUUUAAAAAUAAUACUAUGAAAAAUAAUAGGAAGAACUUACAUGUUUACGAUGUCAUUUAAGUCCUCACAUGGUUUGUGAUGCAUAGGGUCAAGAUAGUGGACUAUCAUUUUCCUUGGCUCAAGCACUACCUAAAUAUAAACCUUUUAAGUCCUCAUAUCUAUUUCUAUUAACAAAAUAUAAAAACUUUCCAAAACUCAACUACUUAAAUAUAAAAACAAAAUCAAAUAAAAUAUCUAGUUAAUUGGAUUUUAGAAACUAAAUAAACUAUAAAUAAACUAAAUAUAAAAACUAAAUAAAAUAUCUAUGCCCAUGAAUUAAUUGAAUAGGAUAGAAAGACACAGAGAGAACAUGGUUAUGGUUAUGAUUUCCAUCUUAUCAUCUCCCGUCAAUACCAUUUUAAGGUUGGACACUACUUUUGUUGCUAGACUUGGAAAGGGAACUUCAAAAUUGAAAACAUAAAUAAACCCUUAUGUAAAAAAAAAAAACAUUAAAAUAUAAUUGAGCAUUAAAAUAUUUACUCUCUUUCAUCACUUUCAUUUGAAUAUUAAUAAUCUCUUAUUGAGAUAGAUACUUACAAUUUAACAAAAUAGAAAUUCCUAAUAAUAAAAAUAUAAACAUUUCUAUUUCUAUUAACAAAAUAUAAAAACUUUCCAAAACUCAACUACUUAAAUAUAAAAACAAAAUCAAAUAAAAUAUCUAGUUAAUUGGAUUUUAGAAACUAAAUAAACUAUAAAUAAACUAAAUAUAAAAACUAAAUAAAAUAUCUAUGCCCAUGAAUUAAUUGAAUAGGAUAGAAAGACACAGAGAGAACAUGGUUAUGGUUAUGAUUUCCAUCUUAUCAUCUCCCGUCAAUACCAUUUUAAGGUUGGACACUACUUUUGUUGCUAGACUUGGAAAGGGAACUUCAAAAUUGAAAACAUAAAUAAACCCUUAUGUAAAAAAAAAAACAUUAAAAUAUAAUUGAGCAUUAAAAUAUUUACUCUCUUUCAUCACUUUCAUUUGAAUAUUAAUAAUCUCUUAUUGAGAUAAAUACUUACAAUUUAACAAAAUAGAAAUUCCUAAUAAUAAAAAAUAUAAACAUUUCUAUUUCUAUUAACAAAAUAUAAAAACUUUCCAAAACUCAACUACUUAAAUAUAAAAACAAAAUCAAAUAAAAUAUCUAGCUAAUUGGAUUUUAGAAACUAAAUAAACUAUAAAUAAAUUAAAUAUAAAAACUAAAUAAAAUAUCUAUGCCCAUGAAUUAAUUGAAGAGGAUAGAAAGACACAGAGAGAACAUGGCUAUGGUUAUGAUUUCCAUCUUAUCAUCUCCCAUCAAUACCACACAUGCCUUCCCGGAUUGGUCCUUUUGGGGUUGGAUACUCUCAACGAAAUUCUAUAUCUCAUUCCCACUUAGAUACAAACAGAAAAAUCAUUCUUUUUUUUUCCUCUCGUUUUUUAGAAAGGAUGAAGAUUAUGUGAUAAUAAAUCUCAAAAAAAUUAUGUACCUGUCAUUCUCACACAAAUACAUAUUAAAAAUCAUUCAUUUUUUCCUAUUUUUCACUUUUUUUUAAGGACUUGAUCAUGUGUUUGGUUUAGAUUAAAAAAUCAAUUAAUCUACAGUUUUUUCUUCUAUGCUAGAAGAUUAAACCUAAAUUUUUCUUCCUUACAACUCAAGAAAACACAAUUCACAAAAACCAUAAUACAAAGAUGUUGAAACAAUUAAUAUAAUGACAUUAAUAAAAGAAAAAAAUUAUAGAUCCAAGAGAUUUUGGGUUACCUAGGAGUCCACAAAGUGAAGAAUGUCCGUUGUGAGCAUGUUGACUAUGGAUGGGUGAGAGAAAAGGUUGAAGAAGAUCAUGAUUUUAUAUAUAGGAUUUAUAUAUUGAGAUUUUUUGGAUUGUGGGUGAGAUAUGGAAACAAUGGGAUUUUUAUAUAGUAUCCAUCAUUAUUAAUUCUAAAAAUGGGCUCAUUAAGUUAUAAUACCUAAAAAAAUUUAUUUUUUUAUGAUGUCACUUUCCAAAAAAUGACACUAUAAAUAUAAAAUUAAUAUCAUCUAACUACCUCAAUUGAAGAUUUUUUAUAUAAUGUGUCACCUUUAUUAAUUAUAAACCCUAUGGUGUCAUUAUUUUAAAAGUGGCACCGUAAAUAGUGACACCAUAAACUAUUUUUGUAGUAGUGUGUCUAACUAUAUUUGGCUACUAGACAAAUUAUUUUAUCCCUAUUUGAGAAAGCUUCCUAAAUUCUAGUCAAUUUAUAAGAAUAUCUUGAUAAAAACUUCUAUAAACAUGAGGUGUACCUAAUGGAAUGUCAUAUAUUUAUACUUUGAAAAAGUAAGGAGGAAGAAAAUUUGGGUUUAAUAAAAUUUUUAAAGACUAAAAUUAUCCUUGAGUUCAUAAAAAAGGCACUUUAAAAUGUAUUUUGUAAAUAUAACACUUAUAUGAAAGAUAACUUGGAUAUCUAAUACUUCCCAAAAAAAUUAUCAUAAGGCAAAUCGAUCAUAUAACAAAUUCACUAAUUUGAAAAGAAUAAGUACACAAAUUUAAUUGAAUGAAACACGAACCUCUUCUAAGAAUCAUACACUCACUAACACACACUUGCCUUAACAUUUACAUGCUACAUCCCUUACUCAUUAAUGAACUCCUAAAUUAUUGGAGAAGAUACGAUCAAUCACCACAACUCUGCUUUAAAUAUGAGUUAGGCUUCUAAGAAUAUUGAGAAUGCACAAAAUAAUAAUGGCAAUUGCAAUUCAAGGUGUUUUUGUUUUUCAAUAAUAUAGAAUAUAUUUAUAUGAAAAAACCCUAGUAGGUGGGGUUUAAUAGCACAAUUUUUUAAAACAUAGAAUUUGAAACAAAUAAAAAAUAAAUAAAUUCAUCGAGUACUUGAUUAUAGGGAAUAUAUGGUUAUCUCCAUUCCCAUCCCUGGGCUGUUAAGGUGAAGGCUAAAUCUCCUUAGGGCUAUCUAGAUCUAAGCAACAUAAGCUAUACGCAUAAAAACUAUUAUAAAUCUAUAUAGAUGUGCUUUACCUAAUAUUUGGAUGUUCCCAAAUCAAUUCAUGCUAGUAAAGAUGUGCCAAAUGUAUGAUAAUUCUCAUAAACACUACAAUAGUCUUUCAUUCAAUGGCUUUUUUCUGGAUCUUGACACAUGAUGGGUGGAAUCCUCUAGGAGGGUUGGUAGAUAGGGUUCUCUUCUUUCUAGAUUGAAUAAGAGUACAUGAUUGUUAAGAGUAAAGUCCUAACCAUUGUAGGGGUAGGUGGAGACAGAGGUGUUCAUAGAGGCUUCCUAUGAGCUUAAGUGACUUAGGCUCAUCCUAGGCUUAGGUCACUUAAACUAACCCACUUGGGUUUUAAUUACUUAAUUAACUCUAUUGGGAUUCAAUUAAUUAAUUAGCCCUAUCUAGAAGGAUCAUUCACAAGCUCCUAUGUAACCUUACGUAUUUACCAAAACACCCUUAUGGACACAUUUGGACAAAGAACACAACUAACAUUCAUAAACUAUGCCACCAUGGAAACUAAGCUCAAGCGGGGACCACUAGGACCCAUAAGAAAGUAUUAGUUCCUUUAGAAUCCAAUUUUGAAUUUGACUCAACAUUUGAAUACAGUAAGUUAACCGUACUUCAAUAUCCUAUGUAUAUUAUAACUAAACAUAAGUGCUUAGGUUUGUGAGCUACUAUCCAUUGUAUGCAAACUCCCCUUAAACUAUUUUCCUUAAUCUAACAAGGCAAUACUAUUCUAGAUUACCUCUACAAUCCUUGAUUCUUAAAUUCUCCUAUUGUGAGAUUAAUUGACAUAACUCAGCUCACAAAGAGCUUAUGUCAAGUUCUAAUAAAGGAAUAAUCAUAAUCUUAGAAUUUUUUAAUACAUGCCUUUAGGAUCAUUCAAGAGGACAAACUAUCUUAAUCCCAUGAGAUAUCAUGGUGCCUUUAUUGAGAAUACUUAUUUCUAUUAGCCUCCAUCAAUGGUGACCUAAUCCAUAGGGAAUAUAUAACCACCUUAGGGUCUUAUUUGUAGGUCAAAGUCACUACAAACUUUAGCAUAAGCUUAGUAUUCUCUCAAGGUUGAGAGGCUAUACAAUAUACUAGCUUGGUGAGAUCAUGACUACACACUAGCUAAUGUCAUUCACCAUAGGUUUUGUCUAAUGUGUAACCAUACACACUAGUGCACUCACCAUGGGAACCUGAUCUCAAUCACAAGGACCAGUCAUCUCUCCAAUUAGAAAGUAGUGCACUACAACCUUAAAUGGAUUACAUAAGUCCAUGGACUAACUAUGUACUAAUCAUCUACUUACAAGGAACCAAUGCUUUGAUCUUUGGUGUAAUUCCUACUGUACCCAAGUCAUUUACAAUGCAAGAGAUGUCAUGUUUGAAUGCUCAAAAAAUAUAAUGCAUGAAACAGAUAGGUAAAUCAUAAAAUAGGAAUCUUAUUAAUAAAUAAUAAAUUCAUCAUUGUUACAUCAUUUUAUGCUUUUAAGGUCCCUAUUCUAACAACUCCCACUAGCCCUCAAACCACAUUGAGAAUACAUUUGACACUUACACUAUCCUUAUAACCAUCAAAGAUUUUACUCGAAAAAAUCUUGGUAAGGAGAUCUUCCAUGUUCUUCGUAGAAUUUAUAUUCUUUACUACUACAUUUCACCUCUACACUAUCUCACAAAUCAAAUGGUACUUCAUUUCAAUGUGUAACAUUGAUGCAUAUGGCAUACAAAUUGCGUGAGUCCAUUAAUGGAUUAAAGCAAGAAUCUCGCUCAUGGAACAAACAUCUCGAUUAAGUAGAUAAGACCUUUGACUUUAAUAAAUAAAUAAAAAAAGAAUGAACUUUGUGAGUGCUAGAAUAGAGCACUUAAAAGAAUGACUUGGAAUUCAUUAUUUAUUUAUUGAUAUUUUAGUUUCUUUUUUAUCUAUCCUUAUCUACCCUAUGGAUUGGGUCACUAUUGAUAGAAGUUGAUAGCAAUAGUUAUUCUCAAUAAAGGCAACAUGAUAUCUCAUGAAUUUUAAGACAGUAUGUCUCCUUGGGUGAUCUUAAGGAUGUGUGAUCAUGAAAUCUAUGGCCUAUAAUAAUUCCUUUAAUGGAAUUGGACAUAUGUUAUUUGUGAGGUAGAGUAUGUCAUUUGAUCAUAUAAGAAGAGGAUUUAUAACUCAAGGAUGGUAGCGGUAAUCUUGAAAGGUUGAUAACUUGCACCUUGUUAAAUUAUGGAUGGUCAAUUCAUAGGGAGACUGUAAAUAGUGGAUAGUAGGUCAUGGACCCAAGCAUUUGGUUUCUUGUUGUAAUAUAUAUAGGGUAUUGGAGUGCAAUUGACUCUUUAUAGUGGAAUGUUGACUCAACUUCAAAAUUGGAUUAUGAGAAAGUUAGUAUUUUUCUAUGGGUCCUAAUGGUCCCUAUUCUAACUCAUAUUCCUUGAUGACAUGGUUUAUGAGGGUUGGAUAGGCUUUCAGUUCACUUAUGUGCAUAAGGUCAUUUUUUUUAAUUAUGCAAUAUUGUACAUGGGUAAGUGAUUGGUAUCUCUAGACUAGGUUAAUUGCUUAAUUGAAGUCAUAUAGGGUUAAUUAAUCAAAUUAGCAACCCUUUUGGGCUAGAUUAAGUGACCUAAGCCCAUGGUGAGAUUAAAACACUCAAUCCCAAUAGGAGGCUUAUAAAUACCCUCUUAGGGAUUAGGGCUUUAAAGUCUUGUCAUUCUCUCUAUGUAGUCCAAAGAGACAGAAACCUACUUCCAACCCUGAGAUCUCCACCAUCUCAAUGCCUAGACCUAAGGAGGAGUCAUCGGACAGAUGAUUGUUGUGUUUACAAGAUCAUCUAUGUUAUUGGAGUUUUCUUCACUAAUAAUAAUAAUCAAUCUAGGAAGAUCCGAUCAUAGGAAUGACACAUUUUCUAGAUGUUUGGUUUUUUUUUGUUUCUAAACACCAAAGUUUUCCAUCGUGCUUAGAUCUAGAAAUUCUAAGAUAGGAUUUCAUGCACCCUAACUAUCCAAAGCUUAGGAAUGGAGCAAUCUAGUAUUUCCGAAUAAACUGUUAAUUUAACUUCAGAACUGGAUUUUGAGGGAGCUAGUCCUAUCCUAUAGGUCUCAAUGGUCCUUGCUCAAGCUCAUAUACUUUGAUGGAAUGGUUUGUGAGGGUCGGAUCAGUUCUUAGUUCACUUAUGUGUAUAAGGGCAUUUUGGUAAUUAUAUAAGAUUGCACAAGGGUAAGUAAAUAGUAUCUUUGGAAUGAGCUAAUUGAUUAAUUGUAGCCUAAUUGGGUAAAUCAAUCAAUUAAUACCCUUUUUGGGCUAAGUUAAGUGACUCACGCCCACGGUGAGCUUAAGUGACUUAAGCCUAAUUAAAAACCUAUGUAUUCCUUUUUAGGAGUUAGGGUUUCAAACUUUUUUCAUUCUCUCCUUUUAGUCUAUAGAGAGAACCCUAGCCUCCAAUCUAGAUUUCCACCAUCUUAGUGUCUAGACUUAAGAAGGAGUCAUUAGAUAGAAGACUACUGCAUUUACAAGACCUUCUAUAGUUUUGAAGUUAUAUACGUCGUUAUAAAUCAAUUUAGGAAUAUCUAGAUUAUGGGUAUGACACUAAUUUCUAGAUCUAUGUAUUAUUUUUUGUUUUGAAUGCCUUGUUUCCACUAUGCUUUGAUUUAGAGAGCCUAGGAUAGGAUUGCAUACAACUUAAUGAUUCAAGGUUAGGGAAUGGAGCAAUCCAAAAUUCCUUAUAGUGUGUACAAGAAGGUGCAGGGAAGCAUAGUGGUCUUUAUUUUCUUAUAUAUUAAUGACAUUCUACUCAUGGGGGAUGAUAUAAGGUUAUUGUCAUUAGUUAAGAUCUAGUUGUCUACUUAGUUUUAAAUAAAAGAUCUAGGAGAAGUGCAGUAUAUUCCUAUGAUUAAGGUUCUAUGGAAUAACAAGAAUAGGAAACUGAUGUUGUCUUAAGCCACCUACUUUGACAAACUUUUGGUCAAGUAUGUGAUGUAAGAUUCCGAGAAAGGUUUCCUACCCUUCAAGCAUGGAGUUCCUCUUUCUCAAGAUUAGUGUCCUAAAAUAACUAUGAAGAAAGAGCACAUGUAGGCAAUAUCCUAAGCAUUAGAUAUAGGUAGCCUUAUAUAUACGAUUCUAUGUACUAGAUUGGAUAUUUUCUUUAUAAUAGGUAUGACAAGUAAAUAUCAAUCGAAUCUAGGCCUAUAACACUAAACAACGGUCAAGCAUAUACUCAAAUAUCUUAGAAAAUGAGAGAUUAUAUGCUUGUGUUCCGAAGAGAUGAGUUUGGGUAUACAAAUUCACACUUCCAGUCUAAUAAGGAUUCUUAUCAAUAUAACAAAUUUGUAAUAGGAUCCCUAAGGCCAUGAGAAUCUUUUUAUUAUUUUUUUCAUUAUUUUAUAUUUCCUUUUUAUGCAUAUCUCAUAUUUUGCAUAUUUUUUGGAUAAAAUAAAUAAAAAUGGUGAUUUUGGAUUUACUUUAGAAGAAUAUUUCUUUUAGAAGUUAUUUUCUAAUAAUUAUCUAUUAAAAAAUUAGAAGUUGCUAAUUUAGGUUACUAGACAUUCAUUUUGAAUAAUCUUUUUGUUUUGGAUAGGUGGUUCUCCAAGCUCUUCUCCCUAGAGAAAGAGAACAACAACUAGGUGGUCCUCAAAGCUCUUCUUUCUAGGAGAAGGAGGAUGACACCAAAGGUUCUUUAGGCUUUCCUCCCUAAGAGAAGAAGAAUAGUGGUGGAUAAAGAAAGUUCAAGGAAAAUGAAUAAGAAAAGCAAUUUGUUUUUUUUAAGCAUAAGUGUUGAAAUUUAAAAAAUAAGUAAAGAAAUUGAAAAGUCUCAUGAUAAAGAAUUUAUUUUAAGAAAGGUUACCAAAAUUACAAGAAGUCUCUUAUUCCAAAAGAACAAAACUAGGGAAUGUUUGGAAUUAGUACAUAUUGAUGAGUGUGAAACUUUUGGAGUUCAUACAUAGAAAGGGUAUGGGUACUUCAUUUUUUAUUGAUGGAUACUCUAGGUUUGGAUAUGUGUACCUAGUCCAUAAGAAAUCUGAUGCCUUAGAUAAAUUCAUUGAAUUUAAGGUAGAAUUAGAUAACCUAUUGGGCAAACAUAUCAAGGCACUUCGAUUAGAUCGAGGUGGUAUGUCUAGUAGGUUUGGUUCUUUUACAUAAGGAGCAUGAGAUAAUAUCUUAUUGUGUGCACUAGGGACUCCAUUGCAAAAUGGAGUAAUGGAAAGAUGAUGUUGAACUUUGAUAAAUAUAGUGAGAUUAAUGAUUGGUUUCUCAUCACUUUCCAUAUCCAUUUAGGAUAUUCCCUAAAGGUUAUAUAUGACCUAUUACUAAGUUGAUACCUUUAACUUCCAAAGAGUUACAAACACACUAUAAACUUAGUUUAUGAUAUAUUUGCACAUGGGAGUGUUUAGCACUUGUGUUGAACAAAAAUGUAGACCAAUUAGAAGCAUGGUAAAGGGUAUAUCAAUUUAUAGGAUAUCCAAGAAUAUUUCGAGAAUACUACUUUAUAACUAGGAUUAUUAGAAGGUCUUUAUUGCAACAAGUACCAGAUUUUUUAUAAAGACUAUAUGAUAAGUAAUAAUGCAAAGAGUGAUAUAGAUUGGAGAACACUAGAAGAUAGUCCCACAAUGCAUAAGAUACAAUGGAUCCAAAGGUAUAGAGACAUACCAUUCCUAUUACUUCUAUUACAUGAGUACCUCAUCAUAGUGGGAGGUUUAUACCCUACAAAUUAUGAUGAAGCAAUGAGCCUGUUAGUGCUCAUAAUUUGGCAAGGAACUAUGAAGGGAAAGUUGGAAUCUUUGUAUUUUAACAUAGUCUGGAUUCCUGUAGAAUCACCUAAAUGAAUAAAACUCAUAGGUAUAAGUUAGUCUACAAGAGGAACAAGGAGUAGACGGAAGAGUUGAGUUUUAUAUGACUAGGUUGUAGAUAAAGGUUAUAGUUCAAAACAUUGUUUCAACUAUAAGAAACAUUUUCACCAAUAGCCACACUCAAAUCAAUUAGAGUACUCCUAUCCAUUGCGGUGUAUCUUAUAAUUGUGAGAUAUUUCAAUGGGCUGUCAAGAUAGUGUUUUUAACAAAUUAUCUUGAAAUUAGCAUCUAUAUGAUAGAACUAGAUAUUUUCAUAGCAAAGGGCCUUGCAUGUACAAGAAGACAUAUUGAAGCUUGAUGAUGGUAUAAGAUCUUAUAGGUAGAUAACAAUCUACUCAUUGGGAAUGAUGUAGAAAUAUUAUCAUCAAUCAAGAUCAAUUUAUAUACUUAUUUCUAAAUGGAAAUCUACAAGGGAUUACAAGAAUAGGAAAAUUAGGCUAUGUCAAGCAUAUACUCUAGUAUCUUUGGAAAACGACAGAUUAUGUGCUUAUGUUCCAAAAGUGUUGAGAUAUUAUAGAGGGAUGACGUCAUAGUUAACAAGAUAUCUUUUGUAGAGAACCUGACGGAUCCUUUCACCAAGACAUUGACAAGGAGAGUCUUUAUUGGUCAUAAGGAUAGAAUAGGUUUCAAAUGAGUAUCUAAUAUGUUUUGAUAGAAUGAUGCUUUUAGGGCUAGUAGGAGAUUGUUAGGAUAGAGCUCUUAAAAACAUGACAUGAUGUAACAAAUUUGAAAUUUAUAUUUUAUUAAAUUAUAUUCCAAUUUCACUUUUAUCUAUACUUAUUCCAUGCAUUGUACUUUAUGAGCAUUCUCAACUAGCAUUUCUUGCAUUGUACACGACUUGGGUGCAUUGGGAGUUACACAGAGAUCCAAGUCAUAGGUUUCUUGCAAGUAAAUAACUUGUUUAUAAGUGAUUUAUGGACUUAGGCAAUCCAUUAAAGGUUGUGGUGCACUACCUUCUAAUUGAAGGGAUGAUUGGUCUUGGCCAUCGGGAUAGGUUUCCCAUGGUGAGUGCACUAGUGUGUAUGGUUACACAUCGGAUACAACUUACGGUGAGUCAUAACAUAAGGCUAUCAAGUAGUCACGACUUCACCAAGUUGUUUCAUUGUGUUGUAUCUCAACCUUAAGAGAAUACUGAGUUUGUGCUUAAGUUAGUAGUGGUUUUGACCUACGGGUAAGAUUGUAAGUUGAUCAUAUAUUCCCUAUAGAUUAGGUCACUAUUGAUGAAAGCCAAAAAUAAUAGAUAUUCUCAAUAGAUGCACCAUGAUAUCUCAUAAGAUUGAGACAAAGUGUCCUCUUAGGUGAUCUUAAGGAGGUGUGUUCAUAUAAACUAUGGUUAUAUUAGUUCUUUAAGUGAAACUAGACAUAAGCUCUUUAUGAGCUAAGAUAUGUUAGAUAAUCAUACAUUAAAAGGAUCUGUGACUCAAGGAUAGUAGAGGUAGUCUUGAAAGAUUGAUAGUUUUCUCCUUGUUAGAUUAUGGACACUAGUUCAUGAGGAGACUAAACACAAGGGAUAGCAGGUCAUGGACCCAAGCACUUUAUGUCUCAUUAUCAUUUACAUAAGGUAUUGAAGUACAGUUGAUUCUCUAUAGUGGGAUGUUGAACCAACUAUAUAAUUAGAUUAUGAGGAAGCUGAUAUUAUCCUAUGAGUCCCAAUGACCCCCGCUCAAGCUCAUAUACCUUGUUGGCAUGAUUUAUGAGUGUUGAAUCGACUCUUGGUUAAUUAAUGUGCAUGAUGGUGUUUUAGUAAUUAUGCAAGGUUGCACGUGGGUUAGUGAACAACAUCUCUAGAUUAGGCUAAUUAAUUAAUUAGAUGGUCCAAUGGGGUUAAUCAAUCAAUUAGGACUUAAUUUAGGCUAGAUUAAGUGACUCAAGCCUAUGUGGGCUCAAAUCAUUUAAGCCCAAUUAGGAACCCUAUAAAUACACUAUAAGGGUUAGGGUUUCCAUCACUUUUGUCUUCCACCAUCCAAAGAAAAGAGAGAGUCCUAACCCUCACCCUCCUAAACUCCCUACCAUUUGUCUACUAAGGAACGAGGUUGAGUCAUUGUGUGGAAGAUCAUGGGUCUAUGAAACUUUUGAUGACAUCAAUUUGAUUAUUCAACACUUGCAUUUAAGACUUGCGAACAUCCAAACCUAAAUGUUAGUAUUUUAACCCUAAAAAGAAUUUUUGUAAAAAAAAUGACAUUGCUUCCAUUACUUAGAUCUAAGAUAACAACACGUUUGAGGUUGAGAAAUACUAUUUUGGCAAUUUUGCCACCAUGGUUCCCCAGUGGAGUAUGUUUGAGAUAGUGAUAGUUUGGUUCACACUUUCUUAGUAGAGUAUUCUUUGAGACAAUGAAAAUCCCUAGUGGUUUCUUUAAGAUAUUGGUAGUUUUACCAUCCUGAUUCCCCAUUGGAGGAUUAUUUAGAUAGUUACAGUUUCCAAUGGAGUACUUUUGGAGACUUUGAUAGUUUGUCAUCUUAGGUCUCUAGUGAAAUAUUUUUUAGAUAGAGACAUCUUGGCUACCAUGGUUUCCCAAUGGAGUAUUUUAAGCUAAUUAGAUGAACCAUUGUGUUUGUAACCUCAGUGGAUUAAGAUUAGAUUAACUUUCAAUCCUCAACAAAGUGUCCUCAACUAUACACUCAAUUGUUCAAUUUGAUGCGACACUUAACAAAGAAUUUGAGUAGUUCUUGUUUUACUUAUCAGAGCAUUCCAAAUGCCAUGACAUCAAUUGUAUUCGGUUAUAUUUUGAGAUCUACUAGCAAGGCACUUUUGAGACACACAGAGUUUCACUUCAAUCCUUCUAAAGGAUUAUGGACAUAAGCUUGCAUUUGUAUUCAAUUGAGAAUUUUUGAUAUGGAGUUAUUUUAGCGAGGUACAUGCAAUGUUCUAUUUGUUUCAUAAGAUCAUAGGUUCACAACAAAGUAUUUUUCCAAACAGACUCAUGUGCUUGAUGGAUCAUUGUUGUAUACCAGGAUGUUAUCUCCUUGCAGUUUUCCUUCAAUGGAUGAUUUUGUAAUUGUCAGUCACCUCUUCCAAUAAAUAGUGGUUUCCAUCAAAACGCCUAACAACGUGUGAAUCCUACAUACUAGGUCAUAUUUCCCCUUCUUGACUAUCAUAUUAUCAUUGGAUUUCAUUUUAGUUUUAUCUACCCACAUUCCUUGAGAUUGUUAGAUUGUUCAAACAUCAAAUUUCCUAUAUUCCCAACAAAGUUUAAAACUUCAUAAAUAACAAUAAAGAAAAUAAAUGAUAAAAUGGUAGAAUUGGGCAACUUUAUACCAUGCAAUUGGUAUAGGUGUCUUCCGAACUUAAACCUAUGUUUAGUGUUGAUAGUUUCCAUUUAAGGAUCCAUAGUGAACUAGGUCCUUGAACCAAACUUCUACAUGUCACAUGCAUAGUAUUGAUAUGGACUUGGUUCUAAACAAGUUAACACUAUUAAUGGUCAUGCACUAGUAUCUUGAUUCUCAUGAGAGUUAAUAGGAAAUAGCCUAAUCCUAUAGUCAUGGCCUCACUAUAACUCUUACUUAGAUCAGUUCUCUAAGGGUAUAUGUGAACUAUACUUUGUAGCAUUUUUUGCCUUGGGUUAAUUUUGGGUAAAACCCUUUGUAACAUCACAUUGGUAGCAUUGUAACCACAAUGAUGGAGAAGAGACUCUUUCCUCAAAGUUAGUGCUACUUACAAGUUACAUAGUGUAGAUUGUUUCUACCCAUUGAACUUUCUUCAUGAAAUCUUCAAUAACAAAGGUUGUGUUACCUCCAGAGGUAGCUCCCUUAUGGGCUUAGCCCAUUUCUAAUGGAUGUAGCUUACUUACUAGUCAUGGGACAACCAUUCCUUAAUAAAAUGGUUAUUUUCUUCAUCUUAUAUAUGAUGAGAACCCUCGAUUUCUCCGUUCCCUAACCCUAGAUCUCAUAAGACACAUGCAUCUAUCACUACUCAUUUCUAAUUCUAUCGCAACGGAAUAAAAUGGCAAUAAAAGAUAUUAUUAACUAUAAAUUUAGAGAAAUAGCACUUAUACCUAUGAUCUGGCCGUUCCUAUAUCAAAAUCCAUCUGAUGAAGAUGAAGCCUACAGUUUGCAAAGAUCUUGUACACCUAAAGUCUGUCUCUCGAUGACUUUGACCAUGACUUUAGCACUCCAAAAUAUGGACUUUGAAAGGAAGGAAGCUUUGGCUUUCUCUCCCUGGAGGUGGAAAACAACUGACUAAAGUCAUGGAAACCCUAACCCUAACCCUAACCCCUAAAGGGUAUUUAUAAGGUUCUCGUAUUGGAUUUAAGUGACUUGAGCCCACCAAGGCCUAGGUCACUUAAUCUCGCCCAAAAUGGGUUCUAACUGAUUAAUUAACCUCACAAGGUUAUCUAAUUAAUCAAUUAACCCAAUCUAGAGACUUUGCAUACUAUCCCUUAUGCAACCUUACAUAAUUACCAAAACACCCUUAUGCACAAAAGUGAACCUAGAGUCAAUCCAACCCUUAUAAACCAUGUCAAUAUUGUAUAUGAGCUCAGAGUGAGGACCACUAAGACCCAUAGAAGUACUGGAUCCCUUAGAAUCCAAUUUUGAAGUUGAUUCAACAUCUCAUUACAAAAAAUCAAUUGCACUCCAAUACCUUAUGUAAAUAACAAAACGAAGUUCGGGUUCAUGACCUACUAUCCACUACAUGCAAACUCUCAAUGAACUGGUGCCCGUAAUCUAACAAGUUAGUGUUAUUACUUAUAAAGAUUACCUCUCUAAUCCUUGACUUACAAAUCCCACUUAUUAUGCGAUCAACUAACAUGCUCUAGCUUUAACGAGCAUCUGUCAAAUUCCACCAAAGGAAUUACUACAACCACAUAUUUCAUGAUCACAUGUCCUUUGGAUCACUCAAGAGGAGACACUAUCUCAAUCCCAUGAGAUAUCAUGGUAUCUUUAUUAAGAAUAACUGUUGCCAAUAGCCUCCAUCAAUAGUGACCUAAUCCAUAGGGAUUAUAUGACCACUUUAUGGUCUCACCCAUAUGUCAAAGCCUCCUAUUGAUUUUGGCACAGACUCAAUAUCCUCUCGAGGUUGAGAGUCCAUGCAGUAUAGUAGCUUAGUAAAUCAUGAUAAUCUAUAGCAUAGUGAAUCAUGAUAAUAUAUAACUUUAUGACAUGAUUCAUCAUAGGUCCUAUCUAGUGUGCAUCACAUACACUAGUACACUCACCAUAGGAAAUCCAUCCUAACAGCUAAGACACAUCAUGCCUCCAAUUAGAAGGUAGUGCACUAGUGUCUCUACUAAAUUUCCUAGAUCUAUGAACUCACUAUUGACAACUUAUCUACUUACUCCAACCUAUGACUUAUAUCCUUUAUACAACUCCUAAUGUACCCAAGUCAUGCACAAUAUAAGAGAUAUGAGUUGAAUGUUCAUAUCAAUGUCAAUUCAUAAAAGGGAUAGCAAGAGGACAAUCAAGUCUUACUUUGUUACACCAUGUCUUGCUUUUAGGGGCCGAAUCCCAACAAUAUACUUAUGUCAAUUUGUCAUGUGUAAAUCAUAUGUUCCACUUUAUUAGCAUCAUUAUAGUACUAUAACUUUCUACACAUUCAUCAAGAACAAAUUAAUAAAACAUCAUAUAUGAAAAUUAUCACAAAGUAUCUAGUAUUUUGUAAUUUCUAUAAAUACAUUGGCAUUACAAAUAUGCAUAUCUUCUAUUAUAUUUUCAAAUGCAACCCCCACAUUUGAAAUAUUUUUCCCAAUAAAUUUUUUCCUUAUAGGAAUAGCAAGACCUUAAAGUGAGACUCUCGAUUGCAUUUUAUAUAAUAUCUCAAUGUGGAAUGGUUGCAAUUCAUAUUGAAAAUCUUAUAUACAUUUUUAUCAAAUCUUUGUAAAAUAUAUGUAGGAUUAUCAAUAUGGAAAAUUCCAAUUUUCCUUCUCAAACAAAAUUAUCAAAUCGAUACAUCCUUUAAAGGCUAUUUAUAUUAUAGAUAUAAUUUUUAUCACCAAAAAUUCAAUAUGAUAUUAUUCCACUAUAUAUAUAUAAGGAGAAUUCAUAAACUUUAUAAAAUAACUUAUCUAAUAACUUUAAUCCCUUAAUAAUAAUUUUGAACAAAUAAAUUAUAAAUCCUAAUGCAAUUUCAGCAAAACAAAUAUAAUUGUAGCAUCAUAUUAUUACUUUCCAAUAAUUUUAGAAUAAUCUUAAACUAAAUAAAUAAAUAAACUAUCAACAAUAUUUAAAAAUUUCUGACAAGCAUGUUAAGGUAGAAAUGAUUUCUAGAUUUUAGGAAAUUUUUCAUUUACUUUUUCACAUAUUUUUUAUGUAACUAGAAAGCAGUAAAUAACUCAAAAGAAGUAUGACAACAUGAUCUUAACUUUCUUCCAAUGAUUUAUUUAAAUAGGAAUAAUACUCAUGUGAAAUGGAAGAAAAGGUAAGAAAAGAUAGAAAUAUUCUAAAACUUUCAAAUUAAAAAAAAAAAAGAAAGAAAGAAAGAAAGAAAAGGACAAAAUUUUAUUCUUUUUUAAAAUAGUUUACAAUCCAAUAUCAAUCAUUUUUAAACACUAUGUACUUACCUAUAUAGAAAUCAAAUAUGUUAUAUUCCCACUUAGGAAGAAUAGAGGAUUUGGAUUGUCACAAAAUUUUGUGUAAAGACGUAUAACUUUUAACAUAUAUAAAAAAUGAUAAAUCAAAAUCAUAGGAAAUAAAAUUAAUGUGGAUAAGAAAAGGUAGCCUAGUUUGGUGAGACACAUGUAAAACAUAUCUUCCUAAAAUCAUUAUCACCUCCUUGCCUAUGGUACCAAUGAUUGAUAGCAAUUCCAAGAUACAACCCUAAUUGGCUCACAAAACUAUCUCCCCUAUAUGCACGUCCAUAGGAAGAUGAAGAAGAACCUGCUCAUGAUUGAGUUAUCAAAACAAUAUGAAGAGUUAGGAUGAAAAGACACAUAAAGGAACUAUAAAAUAUGAAGAGAAGAAUGGUAUGAAGAUAUUUUAGUAUAAUUUCAAAGAUAAAAGGAAAAGCCUUUUUUUUUUUUUUUUUGAGUAAGAGAUGACCAUUAUGUUAAUAGAUAAUAAUAUUAAGAUUCCAAUUGGUUAAAAAUAUUUAAGGUUAUUAAAUUACAUAUUAAGUUAAGAUUUUUUAACCAUAAAAAUAAUUGACUUUCCAAACCAAAUGAAAUAUAUUUUAAUUAUUCUAUUUUUUAAAUAAUCAAAGUUUUAACCUUUUAAACAUCAAAUUUCCAACCAUAUAUAUUUUUUAAAGUUUAUUUUUAAGAUAAUUUUUAAAUAAAUCAUUUAUGAAUACAUUUUUUUCAAUAUUAAUAAUAACGUUAAUAAAUCUUAUAUGAGUAAAUUUUUAAAUUUUAUUUUGGACGACUUAACACUAGUGAAGAAAAGAGAAAAUGGCAAUGUCGGAAUAUAUGAGAGAAAACUAUUUAUGGAUGGGGUGUUGGAAUGGUUGGACUGGUAGUUGACUAAUAAUUAUUGAGCUGCAGUACUGUUACAAUCACAUGGAAUUCCUCUUCUGUGGCUCCGAGAAAUGCAGGUCAGGAUCUCCUUAGGGGCUUAGAAAUUGCCACAAACAACUACAGAGACGUAUCUGGAUAAAUAAGUUUGAAGGCUUUGAAGCUUGACAAGGAGUUGUUUCACUUAUACAUGCUCUUACUGGUUAUAGUUGAUUGCAGGUUACAUACUACUAAGUUGUUUAUGGACGGCCCGUCAGAAGUGCGGAAAGGUGCAUGGACAAGGGAAGAAGAUGUUCUGCUAAGGACGUGCAUUGAAAAGUAUGGAGAGGGAAAGUGGCAUCAGGUUCCUUUCCGAUCGGGUAUAAUGACUUCAUGAUAUAAUUUGUUUUAAUUUGCUGUUUUGGAAGAAGAUGUUUUCAUUUUUCUCGUGUUUCCAGGGUUGAACCGCUGCCGGAAAAGCUGUAGACUGAGGUGGUUGAACUAUCUGAGGCCAGAUAUCAAGAGAAGAGAAUUCACGACCGAUGAAGUUGAUCUCAUUAUAAGGCUUCACAGGCUGUUGGGCAACAGGCAAGCUCCGAAACAUCAGUAAAUCAAUUACUAGGGAUGUAUCCUCACAUUACGACUUGAAAGCUGUCAUUGUUUAACAUAGGAAAAAAAGAAAGAAAAGAAAAGGUUUUCCGUGUAGUUCUUAAAUUAUUUUAAUCUCAAUUUACGACUAUAUUAUUUAUUUUGUUUUGUUUUAUUUCUGCAGCCUUGGAGCCUUCUGAAAUUGUAUCUAUCAAAAUUCGUUUUUGAUAUCUAUCGGCUUAAUUUCUAUUUUUAUUUCCUCUCUUCUGGAGAUGGGCAUUGAUUGCUGGUAGGCUUCCGGGAAGAACUUCAAACGAUGUAAAGAAUUACUGGAACACCCACCAGAGCAAGAAGUACUUUGGUAAAGCGGGUAAAGAUGUAGCUGACAAGACAGCCAAAGUCACAGUUAUAAAUACUUGUCCUCGGACCUUCUAUAAGAACCUAUCUUAUUUAAAAGGAAAAGCAGCAAAAGAAAGUGAUGUCCAAUCAGCAGAUCAUACUCUUAGCAAGCCAUAUUCAACGCCACCUCUGUCAGAGGAUGGAUUUUCAUGGUUGGACAGCUUAUUUUCUGGCAAGGAAGGCCAAAAAG
Molecule: long non-coding RNA, 192584 nt
Filed under: Vitis vinifera (wine grape)
Lineage: Eukaryota; Viridiplantae; Streptophyta; Magnoliopsida; Vitales; Vitaceae
Description: long non-coding RNA (VVIN_LNC004685)
Source: RNAcentral